AGUAAAUAGUGAUAAUGAUUAUUUCUUUCUUGUUCUAACAAACACAAACUUUAUCACAAGAAUGAAAAAAUACAGGACCUGCAAAUCAGUUCACUCUUAUGGUCUCACUAGAAUUAAUUAGAAGUAUAUUUUGGUGCUAGAGAAUUGUAAGAAUUUCUGAUUUUGGUGGCUCCCAUGGAGGAGCGAGCUUCAUUCAUCUAUAUAUGUUUACUGUCCAGUAGCCAUGACAACCGCCGGGGGAGGCAUGGCAUGACCUGCAAAUUUAUUCCGUUAUGGCAAGGUGGAGCGCCCUUUUCCGGGAUACAGCUGCAUGAACUGCUUCCAGAAGGAGGCACAGUACCUGAAUUCAGAGACUGUAAAGGGACAAGUCCUAUCUUGAUCCACUCUUCUUUCUCCCCAUCAAGAACCCUACCAGCACUGUGUGGCUGGACGCUCAGAACAAGAACGAAGUGCCGUGACAGCUAAAACAAUGUCCAGAAACCUCAUGAUCUUGGCGGGUUAAGCAAAGAGGAGAUGAUCAAAGAAAUAUUUUUAGCUGGACAAAUUAAUAUGCAUAUAUGAUAAAUGAAAAAGAAUCACUAUCUCGGUUAUUCGAUUAAAAGGGUUUUUGACAAAAAUACUCUUAUUAUUUUCUUGUAAAAAUAACUUUCUUUUAAAACAGGUUACUUUAAAUACUUGAAAUGGUAGAAGGCAUUAAUGUAAAAUAAUAAUAAUAAUAAUAAUAACAGGUUACUUUUUUUAAAAAAAAAACAACAUGGGAAUGGUUAAAUUCACGAUUUAAAAAUUAAUUCAAUGCUUAACUAAACAAGUGGCUCUAAAUGCCUAAGUGAAAAAGUGGCUCUAAACGCAUAAUUGAGAAUGUGCCUCUAAACACCUAAUUGAGAAAGUGGCUUUGAACACCUAAUUAAGAAAGUUACUCUAAAAGCUUAACUGAGAAAGUGGCUAUGAACACCUCAGUGAAAAAGUGACCUUGAAUGCCUAAUUGAGAAAGUCGCUUUGAAGGCCUAACUGAGAAAGCGACUCUAAACGCCUAAGUGAGAAAGUGGUGUUGAAGGCCAAAGUGAGACGGUUGCUUUGAACACCUAACUCAACAAGUGGAUCUAAACACCUAAGCGAGAAAGUGGCUAUGAACGCCUAAUUGAGAAUGUGCCUAUGAAUGCCUAACUGAGAAUAUGCCUCUAAACUCCUAACUGAGAAAGUUGUACUAAACGCCUAAUAGAGAAAGUGGGUGAGAACGACAAAGUGAGAAUGUUGUUCUAAACUUCUAAUUGAGAAAGUGGCUCAGAACACUUAACUAAGAAAGUCACUCUGAACGCCUAAGUGAGAAAGUGGUUGUGAAUGCCAAAGUGAGAAAAUGACUCUGAACACCUAACUGAGCAAGUGACCCUUAACUCCUAAGUGAGAAAGUGACUCUGAAUGCCUAGUUGAGAAAGUGGCCUUGAAUGCGUAAUUGAGAAAGUCACUCUAAACAUCUAACUAAGAAAGUCACUAUAAAGGCCUAAGUGAGAAAAUGGCUCUCAACGCCUAACUGAGAAAGUGGCUCUCAACGCCUAAGUGAGAAAGUGUCUUUGAUCACUAAGGUGAGAAAGUGGCUCUAAACGCCUAAGUGAGAAAGUGGCCUCGAACACCUAAGUUAGAAGGUGACUCUAAAUGCCUAAGUGUGCAAGUGGCCCUGAACACUUAACUGAGACAAUGGCUUUGAACGCCUAACUAAGAAAGUGGUGAUGAAUUCCUAAAUGAGAAAGUAGUUCUUAAGGCCAAAAUAAGUCACUGGCUUUGAACGCCUAAUUGAGCAAGUGGCUAUGAACGACUAAAUGAGAUAGUGGUUGUGAGCGCCUAAGUGAGAAAGUGUCUGAAUGCCUAAUUGAGAAAGUGGCUCUAAAUGCCUAUGUAAGAAAGUGGUUGUGAAGGCCAAAGUGGGAAAAUGGCUUUGAACGCCUAACUAGACUAGUGGCUUUGAACGCCUAAUUGAGCCAGUGGCUCUAAACAUCUAAGUGAGAAAAUGGGUAUAAAUGCCUAAGUGAGAAAGUGCCUCUGAACACCUAACCAAUAAUGUGCAUUUGAAUGCCUAAUUGAGAAAGUGACUUUAAACACCUAAUCGAGAAAGUGGUUCUGACCGCCUAACUGAGAAAGUCGCUCUAGACGCCUAACUAAGAAAGGGGUUGUGAACGCCUAAGUGAGAAAGUGGCUUUGAAGGCCUAACUAUGCAAGUGGCUUUGAAUGCCUAAGUGCGUGAGAAAGUGGCUCUAAAUGGCUAAGUGAGAAAGUGGCUCUAAACACUUAAUUGAGAAUGUGCCUCUAAACGCCUUACUAAGAAUGUGCCUUUGAACGCCUAACUGAGAAUGUGCCUCCAAAUGCCUAAAUGAGCAAGUGGCUCUGAAUGCCUAAGUGAGAAAGUGGCUCUAAAUGCCUAAAUGAGAAAGUGGCUCUAAAUGCCUAAAUGAGAAAGUGGCUCAGGAUGCCUAAUUGAGAAUGUGCUUCUAAACGCCUAAUUGAGAAAGUCGCUAUGAACUUCUAAGUAAGAAGUGGCUGUGAAGCCAAAGUGAGAAUAUGGCUCUAAAUGCCUCAUUGAGAAAGGGGCUCAGAACACCUAAUAGCGUUUUUUUUAUAAAUUAAUGGCAAAGUGAGAAGGGUUUCUUUGACUGUUGACGACUUACUAAUAGUGUUUUGCUUUGGGAGAUUGAAAAUUACUUCCUUUGUGGAUUACUUUUUAACAUGUACAUACAAAUGCCAAAGUGCAUUUGAAUAUAUUUAUAAAAAGGGUCUUAAAGAAGAAACUACGUCUGAAAUUACUAGAUUACUGUACACAUGGACAUGCAUCUUAUGACCUUUUUGAACAUAAAAAAUUAUAUAUAUAUAUAUAUAUAUAUAUAUAUAUAUAUAGAUAUAUAUUUAUUUAUGUGUGUUUCAGCAAGCUGGCUAAACCUAUUAGGAGUCACUCAUUGGUCGGCAUGUUUAAUUUUCUCCCUAUUGAAUUAGGUGCGCAUACUAGUUGGUAUAAGUCAUUUAAUAAAAAAAAUUAAGAAAUAUUUACAAACUAGGUUAGCAUUAAAUAUGAGUACACUGUCUGAUCUAGGCAUUUUGGAGAUUCUUUCUUAUAACUUGAACUUCCUUAAGGGGGCAUUAGUUUUGAAAAAUCAAUGAAGUUAUGGAUGAAGUGUUAAACACAAGCUCAAGGCUAUAUUUGAAGGAAAAUAUGAUGGGAAGAAAAAAGAAAUGAUAGAAAUAAAAUAAAUAAAUAAAUGAAGGAAAAUAAAAAAUAAAUUUAAAAUUUAUAAAUUAUUAUUAUACAUGCAUUAUUUAAAAUUUAUUUUACUUAUUUUAAUAUUAAAUAAUUUUAAAAUAUAUAAAUUUCUAACCAAUUUUAAUUACAGUUGGUUCUCUUUCAUAUUUUUCAUAUGGAAAAACCAAACAUGAUAAAAUUAUUUUCCUAAUCAUUUUCUUUCUUUCCUUGAUACUUAGACAAUUUUGAAUUUCUCAAAAUUCUAAGAUUUUUUUUGAAAGAUAUUAGACUCCUAAAUGCUUUUAAAAGAAUAUAUUCUUUAAAGAAUUAACCAUCUAAAAGUCUAUCUAUCCUUUGGACCAUAAUAUCCUAGUACAAAAAUUUCAAACAAAUUGAUUGAAAAUAGAGAUUAGCUUAGGUAUUUUUGAACCACAUGUGUUUCUUAAAGUUUUUUUAUGUCUUGGCUAGAUCUUGACCCCUUGUUAAUUUUACAUGUUAGUACACUGAAAAUAGAACCAAAUAGUAAAUUUCCACUUGAUUUUGAAUCUGUUUGCAUUAGGAAAGAAUUUGGUGAUAACACUCACCAUACUGCAACAACCUCAAGUCACAACAACUUACCUGCAAUAGAAAAAAUGGCUACACCAGAAGAAUCUUCAAGACUAUUGUAAAAUCACAUAACUGAUAUUCCAUUCAAGAAUCUAUUACAAUAGGUGUAUAAAUACUAUACACAAAAAAACACAAUAAUGCAAGAGAAUAAGAAAUUCCUUUAUUUGGAAAAUAUCAAUGGGUUUCAAUACUACGUGCUAAGAUAGUUUUAGAUUCCCAAAAUAUUAGUGUAUAUUAUUUGGGUCUAUUAUGGGUUUAUAAUUAUUUUUAAAUUUUAUAGACUUUAUCAUAGAAUAAAUCUUGAUUCUUGUACACUAAAGCAUGCAUGACCUUUAAAACAUAAGAAAUUAUAAAUAAAAAAAAUGAAAAUGAUUUUAAUGUUAAGUUGCAGGGUUGCCUUGCUUGUCCUUAAUCAUAAUUUUCUUGAGGAGGAUUUACCAUUAAUCUAACAUUAAUUUGUUCACAUGAAAUUAAACAAGGUGGCGAAAGCUAUUAUCUACUAGUAAGAGCUCCAAAUGUCAUCAAAUUAGGUGUAUAGAAUAUAUAGUUGGUAAAAGUCAUUUAAUAAAGAAAAAAAAAAUUGAAAAACCACUUCCAAAUUAGGUCAGCGUUAAAUAAGAUUAGACCCCCUAAUCGUGGAAUGAACUUUGGAGCGUCUUUCUUAUAACUUAGAACUUCCUUUUGGGGGUACGCAUUGGUUUUAAAAAAUGAAUGAAGUUCUAGAAGGAGUGUUAUUACAACCAUAGAAAGGGACAUAUAAGAAGAAAUUAUGAAGAAUUGAUCAAAACACCAAGUAGUAAGAAAAAAUCUUGAAUUCCAAUAUACUUCAAAUUUUACUAAUAUUGUUGAUAAAAAGUUUAAUAAGAAAGAUGAUUUCCUUUUGUUAUAGUCGAUAAAAUUUUUGUUGACUCUUAGAUUUUAAAUUUUAUUGUUUAAAUGGGCAAUGAUUCAAGUUCUAAAGUCAUUAAGAUUGAUACCAUAAAGGUGAGGAUGUUUGAUGGUAUUAUGAGAAUGUUGAGUAAUGUUUAGCAUAUUGCUAAUUAAGUUGAGAAAGAGUUUAAUUUCUUUAGAGGCUUUGGAUACUCUUCUCUAUGAUUUUUCUGGAAAAAAAAAAUAUAAAUGAUAUUAUGAAUAUCAAUUAAAGUGUUUUGAUAGCUAUGAUAGGGAAAAAGGUGAAAAAUUUUAUACAAUUUGAUUGAAAAUAUAAUUUUAGGUGGAGCUAUGAAGGAAGAGUCACAUCAUGAAAAGUCUUUUACUAGUAGUAAAGAAGUUCUCAAAGUAGAUGGAUGCCACAAGAUGAUUGAGAUUCCGUUUUUCACUAAGUGUACUCAUUAACACAAGGAUGAAAAUACUUUCAAAAUGAAUAAAGUUAUAAAGAAAACAAAGACAAUUUCUUAAAUCAAGUUCGAUGAUAGUUUGAAUUUGGCACAUAUUUAUUCUCGUUAAUUAUGCAAGAUUGAGAAAUUUUAAUCAAUGUGGAGAUUGUUGGUAUUUGGUUUAAAUUAUCUAUUUAUUAUAUUUAGGAAAGUCAAUAUUUAUAAUAGAGUUUGUGUUUUGGUAAAUUACCUUUUUCGAGUUUGACUAUGAUUAGGAAACUAUUGAUUUUGGGUUCAUCCAUUGGACUUUACAAAUAUAAGGUUUUAAAUAGGAUUUAGUAAGAGAAAUAAAAAUGCAUAAAGAGUGAAGAGAUAUAAGCAAAGGGUGUAUUGAAUUUUAAGUAAAAAUAGAUUGAAAAAGUUUGAAGUUGUUGGGCUAUGUUUGUCUGGCCCAUGAGCCCAUAUAUUAGGCUAUUUUAUAUUUAGGUUUUUCCUAAGCCCAAAUAUGGAUAUAAAAAUAGCAAUAGGGCUAUGGUAUUAAGAGAAAAGGGCAUUUGAUUGAGAAAAGGAAAGAAGAUCAAGAUUUGUUUUUCUGGGCAUUGUUUUAAGGCUCAAGGGUGAAGUUACAAGUUCCUUUCAUCAACCUUUUUGGGGAAUUCCUAUAGUACGUUUUCUCCCUAAUUUCUUUCGUUCAUGUUUCAUUGGGUGAUGGAUUCCUACCUUAAGCGAGGACUUAAUUAUUGUAUCCCUAUUUAUUGAAGUAGAAGAAAUUUUCUUUGUGGUUUUUUACCUCUAUUCAAAGGGUUUUUCCACGUUAUAUUUGGUAUCCUCUUUUGUGGUUGAAUGUUAUUGAUUGUUGUUCUUGAUUCUUCUUAAGUUGUUAUUAUUCUUGAGAGGUGGUUAUUAUUGUUGAGUGGUUGUUAUUCUUGUGGAAGAAUCUUUUAACUUUGACAGGUUAAUACUCUAGAUCUCUCCCUUUAUUUUCCCAACAAGUGGUAUCAGAGCUUGGUUGUGGAACUUUUAUUCUUGAAAGGGAUGGAGAUAAAAGGGAACUCAACCUCCAUGAUAAAACUUAACAAUUCAAAUUAGGCUAUGUGGAAGUCCAUGAUGGAAGAUUUUCUCACCAUCAAAGAUUUGUCAAAUACUUUUGAAGAUAAAGAAGUUAGGCCCAAAGAUAUUUUUGAUUUGGAAGCUUACUAAGGGCUCGUUGGUUGUUGCAAAAGGAGAAACGAUAUAUUUUAGGUUUUUUCCUCUUCUCUAGCAUAUAAGUGCCGUAAACUUGGAUGCAUGAGCAAAGUUUGACAAAACACAUGGAUGAAUGCCGAACAAAGAUGAUGAAAAUGGAAGUACUCCAACAACCAGCAAGCAUAUAUGAGCAUAUGCAUCAUUCAACUUGCUCUUUUUUAUUUCUAUAUAUAUCACAAAGUGUAGAAGUCCACCAGGGCACAAACUGUAAAUGGAGAAAAAGAAUACACGAAUGACAUACAAUCAAUUUGUGUUAUUAUUAUUUUUUCUAUGAGAAGGAAAAUAUAUAAAAUAAAAGAACAAAAACAACAAAUGCAAGGCCUACAUAUUCAGUUUAUUCCUUGUGGUCCCAUAAAAGUCCUAAAAUACGUAGUUAUGUGCUCAGGACUCGUAAGAUUUUCUGAUGUUGAGUGAUGACUAUGCAUGGUGGAGGCUAGAGCUUCAUUUAUGUUCAGUAGCCAUGACAACAGGAGUGCUGGCAUGCGAACUGGCUCUAUGGGGAGGAAGGCAUGACCCGCAAACUUCAUUCCAUUGGGACAAGGUGAGCCUUUUUCGGGGAUAUGGCCGCAUGAACUUGGUCCUGAAGGAGGGACAGGUCCUGAAAGCAUAGAUUUCAAAGGAACAAUCCUUAUCUUCAUCCACUCUUCUUUCUCUCCAUCAAGAACCCUACUAGCACUGUGGAGGAGAACGACUGCUGUGACAGCUUAAACAAUUUUGAGAAAUCUCAUGAUGAUCUUGGAUGGGUUAAGCAAACAGGAGAUAAUAAAAUAGAGCAAUAUUUUUAUGUGAGCAAUAUGAAGAUAUAUGGAGGAGAACGAUCACCGGUUAUUUAUAUGAAUACUGCCAUUGGCAUGACUAGAGUUUUUGGUAGUUUGGCUUAGUUGAAGGGUUUUUUUGACUCUUGACUAAUAGAAUUUUCCUGUAGGAGAUUAGAAAUUGAAUAGGUCAUAAAGGAAGAAAAUACCUAGAAUUUACCCAAAUGGCUAGUUUUCUUACGUAGUUAAUUUAAUUCCACAUAUGCGUGCAUCUUAAAUCAAUUACAAAGAAAAUAUAUGAUACUCUCUCCAAGCUUUUUUGAAAAUAGAUAUGAGAAAUUAAUCCAUGCCCAUUAACUUUAGUUAAUAGUAAAGUAUGUAAUUUGGCUUGAUUAAAUAUCCUUAGUUAUGAUUUUCACGAGAAAGAUAAUUAUCGUUUUGAAUACCAGGUUCUAUUAUAUAAUCACAUUUUUUUUCACCAAAUUAAGCAAUAUUCGUAAAGCUUAUUUACAUUAUUGAUUUGUAAUUAAUUUAUGUACUACCAGUACAAGUGAUAUUCCCUAUCAUGUUCAGGAUACAUGGCCUUUUCUGUGCCAUAUUAAUUGCAUAAGGGGCUGCUAAAUCAUAUCUCAUAAAAAUUAAUCAUUUCCAAAUUGUUAGCACUAAUCUAUAGCAAAGUUAAGUAUUAAUUCAAAAUUUUCUCACGGUUGUAAAGCACUUAAAUAAGAGUAGAGAGACCAAUCUAGGUAGGUAUGGUCUAUGAAGACUUUUGUCAUAUAUGAUACGUACCAUUUACUUCAUUAUUUUAGAGGCAUUGAUUUUGAACAAAGAUAAAUUAAGUUGUGGUAGGAACACGUUUACUUGAAUUGGGGCUUGAAUAUUUGGGGCUUUUAGACCACAUACUUCCAGCAGAUUUAAGUCAUUGAACAUUACUAACACGCAUCAGCUUUUCCACCCUCAGGAGCCAUGAGACAAAAUCCCUUUCUAUGUAUAUAUGCACAUUUACCAACCCUCUUUAUUAUGACUUUAUCCAUGUUGACAUAGUUUAACAUGAACUCACAUUAGUAACUUAGGAUGGCAUUUAAGGAUUAAGCUAAAUUACCUUGAUAAAUAUGGUUAAUAUGGUUAAUUUGAUAUGUUAUCCAACAACUUAAGUUUUUAAAUCAAAAGAGUAAUUUAACAAUUACACUAUCUUCAUACCAUUAAUUGGAAGGCUCUUGUGGACCUGUGUUUUUCACGUGCAUCCCCACUCGAAUGGUGAGACUCGUUUUUCAUUUAUUUGUGAAAAUUUAAUUUUUUAGAAAAAGAUUUGGAGUCGCCACUUAUUUUAAUUUUUUUUAAAAAGGGAAAACAAUAUAAGAAAGAAAACUAUGUUUGACUCUUAUUUGAAAAAGACAUGUUUGCAAAAACAGAAUCUGGAUUUGGGGGUCAGACUACCUAUUGAGAAGAUACGGUGGAGAACCGUAACACCCCUUUAAGUACGUAUACAUACGGUUUCUACUAAACUAAUUAAGGGAAUUGUGGUAAUUAUUUAAUUAAUAUCCAUAAAUACCAAGAUUAAAGGAAAAAAACAAUAUACACAAAGAUGAUGACAAGAUAAAAUUACAAGAAUGUACAAAAUAAAUGACAAUAGAAUUAUGCAAAUUGAUUUAUUGAACUAAUUAAAAAAAUAUUUGAAAAAAAUAGUUUUCUGAAAAUUUCAAAUGAUUUUAUUAAAAACAAUUUUGAAUGAGUGGUUUCAAUUUAUUUAUUUACAAAAAAGAGUCAAUUUAUUUUCGUAAUUUCAUUUGUAUUCAAUUUUCAAAAAUAUUAUUUACACUUAUUGUAUCAAAAAAAUUUAUUACAAAAUUUCAAUUUGGGCACAAAAAUUAUUUUUACUUGCUUUUACUAGAAAAUAAUGAUUUUUUACAAUUUUAUUUACAUAAUAUUCCAAUUUUUUUUCAUUUAAGAAAAAUGACUUAUACAAAUUAUUAAAAAAAUAACUUUAUUUGCAAAAGACUUUUUAAUUUAAAAUUAAUUUUUGAGAAACUUUUUUUACAAAGUAAUUUUUAGACAAUUUUUAUUAAACAAAGAAUUUUUUUCACAAUUAUUAUUAAAAACAAUUUUUCAAAUUCUAUUAAAAACAAUUUUUUUAGAUUUUUUAAAAGCAUUUUUUUGAGUUUUUAUUAAUAAAAAAACUUUUUGAAUAUUUUAAAAUUAUUAUUUUAUUAAAACAUAUUUAUUGAAUUAUUCCUCUUGUUUAAACAAAAUUUCUAGUUUGUUAGAUAUCUAAUUUUGUACACAACAAGUAAAUAUAUAUAUAUAUAUAUAUAUAUAUAUAUAUAUAUAUAUAAAUAUUUAUAUAAACUAAUAAAAAUAAAACCAAAUAAAAGUGGGAAAUAAAACGUGUAUCCAAACAAGCUUACAACAAGUUUAAUGUCUGCUUACAAUUUUUCGAGUUUCACUUUCUUUCAUGAAAUUUCGUGCUCCACAUGUCAUAAAUUCAUACUCAGCCAACAAGAUUGCAAAAUAGGCUCAUGCAAAAAUAAAAAUGGCCCAAAUUUAAUAUUAAUUCACCAAAGUUUAAAAUAUGACAAAUCAAAAUAAAUUUAAUUGAGCCUCAAUUUAAUAUUUCAUAUUCGAAACCUAAUUUAAUACACAAACAUAAAUCCAAAACUAAAACCAAACCAAAUUGAAUAUAUAGAGUUCACAUGUAAUAAAAAAAAAAAAAAUUUAAUUAAGUCCAACUAGAUAUCCAAUAUGCAUAUCUAAAUCUCAAAUCUCAAAUAAAAGGCCCACAAACCAACACACAAGCCCAAUUUCAACAAUAAUCACUAUUAAAAUCAAAGGGAAAAAAACUUACACAAUUUCAAUUUUUGGAAGGAUGAGAAAGUGAGAGAAAGUUGAGGCAAUGGAAGAAUGAGAGAGGAAAGAAGGGAGUUGCCGACGGGCAAAUGGCUAACCGACAGCGACUGGUCCUGCCGGUGGUGGGAGGGAUUGAUGGUUUUUUUUUUUUUUAUAAAAAAAAAAAAAGAAAAUAAGAUGAAAAAAUGGAAAAGGAAAAAAAGAAAUGGAAGGAAGGAAAUGAGGGGUGCGUGUGGCAGUGAAAAAAAUUGGGGUCGGCCACUGUCUUGUGUGGGAGUUGGAGGAGGAAAAAAAAGGGAAAUAAAAAAAUAAAAAAUAAAAACUCUAGAGAGGAGAUGGAGCCGGUGGUCUUAAGAGUGGGGAGGCAUGGGAGGAGAGAGAAUGGGAGAGUAGGUGGAGUCGUUGGGGAAGAAUAGGAAGAGAAAGGACAGAUGAGAGAGAAAAGAAAGAAAAUGAAGAAAAGAAAUAGAAAUAGAAAUAAAAUAAUGAUAAUAAUAGUAAAUAAUAAUAUAAUAAUAUAAUAAAAUAAUAUACAAAAUAAUAAAAACUAAUAAUUAGAUGGUGAGUUGGCAAAAAAAUAUAAGAUAUAAUCAAGAUUUAAAAACUAAGAAUAAAGUUGGGCUAAAAAUUAAUGUAAAGAUAAAAUUGGAACAAAUUUUGGGAUCUACAGCUCUUCAUAUCCUUUGCCCAAGAUAUCUAGGAUUUUUUUUGAAAUAAUAUAUAUAUAUAUAUAUAUAUUACAAAAAUAUAAUAUUUUUGAAAAUUGUCUUUUUAAAAAAUGAUUUCACAUUCACAAAUUGUCUUUAUAAAAAUUUAAAAAAAACAAGUUUUAAUUUGUUAAUAGUUAUCUUGUAUUUCAUCUUUUAUUUUCUUUCUUAUUUCAAGUAAGAUCAUUGUUUCAAAAUGGGAUUUUGACAUGAAUAUAUUCUUUUAUACCCUUAGAUCAUAUGAUCAAGAGAUGAGCUCUAUGGUAUUAUAAUCAAGGAUAGUGAGACCCUGAAGAGCAUGUUGAUAUGUGGUGGCCAUGAUGGUAAUAAGUUUGUGUAUAGCUAAUGGAUUGACUUUAAAUAUGUCCAAAUCUAUGAUUUUAUUAUUUACAUAUCAUACGUUUUUUAAAAUGUAAUUAUCAUUAUGUUAUGCUAGUUUUUGUACAUAAAAAUUGUUCCAUAUAUAAUAUAUUUUUAAAUUGUUUUUACCUUGUAUCAAUUAUCCUAACACUUGUGCAUCAUAAUUAUCCGCUAAACCAUUUGUUCACCUAAUAGAUUUUGAUGGUUUUUAGGUAAGGACUCCCAUGCAUAUGCCUAUUGAGGAGGCAGAAUUAGCUUCAAAGAACAAGUCACUAGGUACCUAGAUUUGUGUUUUUCCUUAUUAGACUUGUAGGACAUGUAGUUCAUUUUCUUUAUGUAUUUUAGAUGUUUUCUUUUGUAUGUCUCAUCUUCUCAAUCUUUGCUUCCACUAUUAAUUUAUUUUGUUGUUAUUGUUUUAUCAAAAUCAUUUAAUUGUAUGUAUUUUUUUCAUACUAAAUAUUUAUCUAUUGAGACAUUGAUUUCUUUUUAGAUUUUGAUGCAAAAUGGACUCACCUUCUCUUAGUGGGCCCUUUUUGGGUCUUUACAAAUCAAGUUUCUAGUAAUAUUAUUAUAUAGCAGUUUUCUGUUCGCGAAUUACACAGUAAUUUUCUCUUAAUGAUGUAGACAUGGUCUUCUGGUAUGCAAAUUUACAUCCAAAGCAAAUGGUAUUUAUACUAAAAAAUAAGUUGGUUUGCUUUAUUAUCAAACUAAUAAAAAGGCUACCAUGAAUAUAUCCAUAUUAUCACAAAUAUUAGCCUUGCCAAUAUAUUUUAGUUUUUUUCCUCUUUUCCAGCAUGUAAGUGCCAUAAACUUGGAUGCAUGAGCAAAGUUUGGUAAAACACACGGUUGAAUGCCAAGCAAAGAUGAUGAAGAUGGAAAUACAGCAACAACCAGCAAGCAUAUAUCCGUAUAUGCAUCAUUCAACUAGUUCCUUUUUAUUUCCAUGUAUAUCACAAAGUGUAAAAGUCCACCAGGGUACAAAAUGUGAACAGAGAAAAAGAAUACAUGAAUGAUGUACAAUUUUUUGUGUUAUUAUUUUUCCUUAAUGUAUUUAUCAUGAUGAAAAUAUAUAAAAACAAAAAUAACAAAUGCAGGGCCUACAUAUUAUGUGCUCAGGACUGGUAAGAUUUUCUGAUGUUGGGUGAUGACUAUGCAUAUUGGAGGCUGGAGCUUCAUUUAUGUUCAGUAGCCAUGACAACAGGAGCAGCGCAUGCGAACCUGUUCAGUAGCAAUAUUUUUAUGUGGGCAAUGUGAAGAUAUAUGGAGGAGAACGAUCACCGGUUAUUUAUAUGAAUGCAGCCAGUGGCAUGACUACAGUUUUUGGUAGUUUGGCUUAGUUGAAGGGUUUUUUUGACUCUUGACUAAUAGAAUUUUACUGUAGGAGAUUAGAAAUUGAAUAGGUCAUAAAGGAAGAAAAUACCUAGAAUUACCUAAUGACUAGUUUUCUUGUGUAGUUAAUUUAAUUCCACAUAUGCAUGCAUCUUAAAUCAAUUACAAAGAAAAUAUAUGAUACUCUCUACAAGCUUUUUCAAAACAGAUAUGAGAAAUUAAUCCAUUCCCAUUAGCUUUAGUCAAUAGUAAGGUAUGUAAUUUGGCUUGAUUAAAUAUCCUUAGUUAUGGUUUUCACGAGAAAGUUAGAUAAUUAUUGUUUUGGAGACCAGGUUCUACUAUAUAAUCACAUUUUAUUUCACCAAAUUAAGCAAAGUUCGUAAAGCUUAUUUACAUUAUUGAUUUGUAAUUAACCUGUAUUGGUCACCGAAGAAUCAAUUUAUAUGCUACAAGUACAAGUGAUAUUCACUAGCAUGUUCAGGAUACAUGGCCUUUUCUGAGUUAUAUUAAUUGCAUAAGGGGCUGCUAAAUCAUAUCUCAUAAAAAUUAAUCAUUUUCAAAUUGUUAGCAUUAAUCAUUUCCAAAUUUUUUUAUAUUAUAAGAAAAUAUAAUAUCACAAAGAUAAAUUCCCAACGCACCAACAAUUCAAAAAAUUGAUAAUAGAGUUCAAGUACUUUUUCUUUUUUGGUUUUAUCUUGAUUCAUAUAUAACUUGUAAUGAAAGCCCGACUUGCAAAAUUUCAUGCUUUCUUUACUACUCUUGUAGAUGUUGCCUUUAAUAGUCAUUCCAAUACUGUCCAAUGCCACAUCAAUAAUGUGUAAGUUUAACAUUUUUGUCUUGUAAGAUUGACCUUUUUCAAAUCUCUAGUUAUUAGCUUUGUGCCAAAAAUUCAAGACUACGUGACAUUUAGAUCAAGAAGAAGAAAAUUGACUUGUAUGAAUUUUGAUUUUCUAUAUAUAUAUAUAUAUAUAUAUAUAUAUAUAUAGAUAGAUAGAUAGAUAGAUAGAUAGAGAGAGAGAGAGAGAGAGAGAGAGAGAGAGAGAGAGAGAGAAAGGUAAUGUCACCUUUAGACUAGUCCUAAAACAAACUUUAGGUAUACUUAUUGGUUGUAAUCUAAAAACUCAAGUAGAUAUUAAUGUCCAUCUCUAUUGCAUUUCAUGUCAAACUUUGGUUGGUGGAGAAUAGUAAGGAUUUAUCAUAUAUAUUGCUUUAUAACUCACAAAUUAAUUAAUUUUAUUUCAUAUAUAUGACUUACAAUCUUAUGGGUGAAUAAUAUUGCAUUCAAGUGCAUGAGGACAAACAGCACAUAUGAGUUCAAAAUUUUUAAUAGAUUAUUAUUAAGCUAUAUAUCAAACCUUUUUAUGUAUUUGUAAUUUAAAAAAGGAAAAAUGAAAAAGGCCCUAAAGAUUAGUUAAUUUAUCUUAUUGUAAGGAUUUAGUUUUUCCAUAAAUUAUAAAAUUUUCAAAACUUCUUAUCAUCUUAACAAAUCAAGUGGUUUUUAAUUAGCAAAAAAAAAAGAGGUAAAAAGUUGAACAAGUAAUUUUAUUUUGGAGUGAAGAGCCCUUAUUAUUAAACAUCACAAAGUAUUUUUAAUUUUUUUUUUCACUAGAGCAUACAUUUCGCAAUAGUACUUUUUGUACCUAAACGUCUUCAAUAUGCAAUAUAUAUGCAUAUAAACCAUCAUAAAUUAUAUAGUCCACCAUGGUUUUUAUAUGAUUUCAAUUAAUAAGUAAUUGAUAAUUUAUAUAUGUCAUUAAAUAAGAUGAAUUUACAAGACCCCCAACUUUUGAGGAAAUAUCACCUAAAAUACACUCAAGAAUAUUUAGUAGUCAUUUAAAUGAGGUAAUAAAUAUAAUGAAUUUCUCAAAUAAUGAUAAUAUUAAAAAAACUUGAAUUUAUUUUUUAAAAUGUAGACUUUUCUUUUUCAAAUGUUAAUUUCCAUUAUUGAAUUUGUUUUUUCUCUUUCUCUAGUGUGUAUAUAUAUUUAAAAAAAAAAACUUAUUCAUAUAAAUAUACUACCUUUAGAACUAAAUAUCAAAAUUUUAGUGGACCCAAACCAUAUCAAGAUACAUUCUCCAUGUUAUAUGUGCCAACAUCAAGAGCAAGUUUGUGAUCAAUGCUUUCCAAUUUAGAUUUUAAAUUUUAAAAUAGAAUUUAAAAUAUCAAAGAAGUAAAAUCCUCUCUAAAUUUUCCUAUAAAUAGAUCAAAGAUCAAAGCAUUAUACCUCUCUAUUAAACUUUCUAUCUUGCAUUUGACCUUAAGAAUCCAUUGGCUUCUAAUUAUCUUAAGCCCAAGGGGAAGUUCAACCAACUAGGGAGUUGGUUGCAACUUUUCACAUUUCACAAGGGAGAGCUUCCUUGAAGCUUCUUGGCUUGUCAUCAUCAUCAUGCAAAGCAUACAUGAAAACUUUCCCCUUAAUACGAAACAACUUCACCUUUGGUUUUUACUCAAUACUCGUCUAAUGUAAUUUUUUUUAUUAAUAAAAUUAGAAAUGAGCAUUGAAAUCACAUUUCUUAGUGACUAAAAAGUUAUUAAAAUCACAUAUUCGCAAGAAAAAGAUAAUAGAAAUGUUUAAUUGAAAUAAAUUUUAACAAAUGUAUUUGGGUAGAAUAGCAUUUGUUUAAAUAGAACACUUUCCUUUUGACAUUGAUUUAAUUAGUUAGGAUUAUAUUAUCAAAUUUUGAUGAAUUUUAAUCGUUACUCACACUUAUCAAGGGGAUUAAUAUAAAGGAGGCAUUAGUAUGCACUACAUAUUUUAGCAAGUAGUAGUAACAACUGAGAUUAUAUUCACAAUCAUAGACAUCACAAUAUUUGAGGUUUUUAUUUAUUUAUUAUUAUUAUUAUCCUGUUUCAACUCAAUAGAAAUCAAUAGAAAAUUUUACAUAGGAAAUACAGCCUCUAUGCUUGCACCACCACCAUAUGUGAGUACAAAUUGGCCUUCUGGGAUUACAGGGUGGUAAGCGUACUGCCAAAUCUAUAACAUAUGUGUCAUGAUUAUCACUCUUAAUAUCAAUUAACAUAAAUAUGAAUCAAAUAGAAAAUGAAUUAAUUUGUGAAAUAUAGAAAUCCUCACAAAUUUUUGAAUUAAUUUUGUCUAGCCCUUGUAUUACAAAAAAAUUUACAAUCUUUUAUAAAUGAUUACUCAUUUUCAUGAAACCAAUUUCAAUACCUCCGUUCUGUAAUAAAUAAUUUAAGCCAUAGAAAUUAGAAACUUUCUAUGAUCCUUUAAUGAUUUCAUUAAUAUGAAAAUAAAAUAUUUACUUAGAUUUAUAAUUUGCAUUGAUAAAUUAUAAGUUCUAUGAUCAAGUCCUUUGAACAUUGAAUAUGGAUUUUCAAAUUUAUUUUUGUUUUAGGACCUUGGGUUAUUCUUGAUCAAGUUGAGUUCUAUAACUCAAAAUUAUAUCUAAAACAUUUUCUUAGUUUAGAUCCUUAAUUACCAUUUAAUGAAUCAAAUUGAAGUAUGUCACAAUGUUUAGGUUCUCACUUUUCUUGUAGAUUUGACUUUAGGAAAUGUAACGAUAGGAUACACUUAGUUAACUACUGAUUAAGGGAUGACAAGAAUCACUAGUGCUGCUAUAAAGUACUAUUGUACCUUCUUUAGUUUUAUUCUAAUUUUAGUACUCUAUUCUGAAAUUGGUUUUGGUAAACCNNNNNNNNNNNNNNNNNNNNNNNNNNNNNNNNNNNNNNNNNNNNNNNNNNNNNNNNNNNNNNNNNNNNNNNNNNNNNNNNNNNNNNNNNNNNNNNNNNNNNNNNNNNNNNNNNNNNNNNNNNNNNNNNNNNNNNNNNNNNNNNNNNNNNNNNNNNNNNNNNNNNNNNNNNNNNNNNNNNNNNNNNNNNNNNNNNNNNNNNNNNNNNNNNNNNNNNNNNNNNNNNNNNNNNNNNNNNNNNNNNNNNNNNNNNNNNNNNNNNNNNNNNNNNNNNNNNNNNNNNNNNNNNNNNNNNNNNNNNNNNNNNNNNNNNNNNNNNNNNNNNNNNNNNNNNNNNNNNNNNNNNNNNNNNNNNNNNNNNNNNNNNNNNNNNNNNNNNNNNNNNNNNNNNNNNNNNNNNNNNNNNNNNNNNNNNNNNNNNNNNNNNNNNNNNNNNNNNNNNNNNNNNNNNNNNNNNNNNNNNNNNNNNNNNNNNNNNNNNNNNNNNNNNNNNNNNNNNNNNNNNNNNNNNNNNNNNNNNNNNNNNNNNNNNNNNNNNNNNNNNNNNNNNNNNNNNNNNNNNNNNNNNNNNNNNNNNNNNNNNNNNNNNNNNNNNNNNNNNNNNNNNNNNNNNNNNNNNNNNNNNNNNNNNNNNNNNNNNNNNNNNNNNNNNNNNNNNNNNNNNNNNNNNNNNNNNNNNNNNNNNNNNNNNNNNNNNNNNNNNNNNNNNNNNNNNNNNNNNNNNNNNNNNNNNNNNNNNNNNNNNNNNNNNNNNNNNNNNNNNNNNNNNNNNNNNNNNNNNNNNNNNNNNNNNNNNNNNNNNNNNNNNNNNNNNNNNNNNNNNNNNNNNNNNNNNNNNNNNNNNNNNNNNNNNNNNNNNNNNNNNNNNNNNNNNNNNNNNNNNNNNNNNNNNNNNNNNNNNNNNNNNNNNNNNNNNNNNNNNNNNNNNNNNNNNNNNNNNNNNNNNNNNNNNNNNNNNNNNNNNNNNNNNNNNNNNNNNNNNNNNNNNNNNNNNNNNNNNNNNNNNNNNNNNNNNNNNNNNNNNNNNNNNNNNNNNNNNNNNNNNNNNNNNNNNNNNNNNNNNNNNNNNNNNNNNNNNNNNNNNNNNNNNNNNNNNNNNNNNNNNNNNNNNNNNNNNNNNNNNNNNNNNNNNNNNNNNNNNNNNNNNNNNNNNNNNNNNNNNNNNNNNNNNNNNNNNNNNNNNNNNNNNNNNNNNNNNNNNNNNNNNNNNNNNNNNNNNNNNNNNNNNNNNNNNNNNNNNNNNNNNNNNNNNNNNNNNNNNNNNNNNNNNNNNNNNNNNNNNNNNNNNNNNNNNNNNNNNNNNNNNNNNNNNNNNNNNNNNNNNNNNNNNNNNNNNNNNNNNNNNNNNNNNNNNNNNNNNNNNNNNNNNNNNNNNNNNNNNNNNNNNNNNNNNNNNNNNNNNNNNNNNNNNNNNNNNNNNNNNNNNNNNNNNNNNNNNNNNNNNNNNNNNNNNNNNNNNNNNNNNNNNNNNNNNNNNNNNNNNNNNNNNNNNNNNNNNNNNNNNNNNNNNNNNNNNNNNNNNNNNNNNNNNNNNNNNNNNNNNNNNNNNNNNNNNNNNNNNNNNNNNNNNNNNNNNNNNNNNNNNNNNNNNNNNNNNNNNNNNNNNNNNNNNNNNNNNNNNNNNNNNNNNNNNNNNNNNNNNNNNNNNNNNNNNNNNNNNNNNNNNNNNNNNNNNNNNNNNNNNNNNNNNNNNNNNNNNNNNNNNNNNNNNNNNNNNNNNNNNNNNNNNNNNNNNNNNNNNNNNNNNNNNNNNNNNNNNNNNNNNNNNNNNNNNNNNNNNNNNNNNNNNNNNNNNNNNNNNNNNNNNNNNNNNNNNNNNNNNNNNNNNNNNNNNNNNNNNNNNNNNNNNNNNNNNNNNNNNNNNNNNNNNNNNNNNNNNNNNNNNNNNNNNNNNNNNNNNNNNNNNNNNNNNNNNNNNNNNNNNNNNNNNNNNNNNNNNNNNNNNNNNNNNNNNNNNNNNNNNNNNNNNNNNNNNNNNNNNNNNNNNNNNNNNNNNNNNNNNNNNNNNNNNNNNNNNNNNNNNNNNNNNNNNNNNNNNNNNNNNNNNNNNNNNNNNNNNNNNNNNNNNNNNNNNNNNNNNNNNNNNNNNNNNNNNNNNNNNNNNNNNNNNNNNNNNNNNNNNNNNNNNNNNNNNNNNNNNNNNNNNNNNNNNNNNNNNNNNNNNNNNNNNNNNNNNNNNNNNNNNNNNNNNNNNNNNNNNNNNNNNNNNNNNNNNNNNNNNNNNNNNNNNNNNNNNNNNNNNNNNNNNNNNNNNNNNNNNNNNNNNNNNNNNNNNNNNNNNNNNNNNNNNNNNNNNNNNNNNNNNNNNNNNNNNNNNNNNNNNNNNNNNNNNNNNNNNNNNNNNNNNNNNNNNNNNNNNNNNNNNNNNNNNNNNNNNNNNNNNNNNNNNNNNNNNNNNNNNNNNNNNNNNNNNNNNNNNNNNNNNNNNNNNNNNNNNNNNNNNNNNNNNNNNNNNNNNNNNNNNNNNNNNNNNNNNNNNNNNNNNNNNNNNNNNNNNNNNNNNNNNNNNNNNNNNNNNNNNNNNNNNNNNNNNNNNNNNNNNNNNNNNNNNNNNNNNNNNNNNNNNNNNNNNNNNNNNNNNNNNNNNNNNNNNNNNNNNNNNNNNNNNNNNNNNNNNNNNNNNNNNNNNNNNNNNNNNNNNNNNNNNNNNNNNNNNNNNNNNNNNNNNNNNNNNNNNNNNNNNNNNNNNNNNNNNNNNNNNNNNNNNNNNNNNNNNNNNNNNNNNNNNNNNNNNNNNNNNNNNNNNNNNNNNNNNNNNNNNNNNNNNNNNNNNNNNNNNNNNNNNNNNNNNNNNNNNNNNNNNNNNNNNNNNNNNNNNNNNNNNNNNNNNNNNNNNNNNNNNNNNNNNNNNNNNNNNNNNNNNNNNNNNNNNNNNNNNNNNNNNNNNNNNNNNNNNNNNNNNNNNNNNNNNNNNNNNNNNNNNNNNNNNNNNNNNNNNNNNNNNNNNNNNNNNNNNNNNNNNNNNNNNNNNNNNNNNNNNNNNNNNNNNNNNNNNNNNNNNNNNNNNNNNNNNNNNNNNNNNNNNNNNNNNNNNNNNNNNNNNNNNNNNNNNNNNNNNNNNNNNNNNNNNNNNNNNNNNNNNNNNNNNNNNNNNNNNNNNNNNNNNNNNNNNNNNNNNNNNNNNNNNNNNNNNNNNNNNNNNNNNNNNNNNNNNNNNNNNNNNNNNNNNNNNNNNNNNNNNNNNNNNNNNNNNNNNNNNNNNNNNNNNNNNNNNNNNNNNNNNNNNNNNNNNNNNNNNNNNNNNNNNNNNNNNNNNNNNNNNNNNNNNNNNNNNNNNNNNNNNNNNNNNNNNNNNNNNNNNNNNNNNNNNNNNNNNNNNNNNNNNNNNNNNNNNNNNNNNNNNNNNNNNNNNNNNNNNNNNNNNNNNNNNNNNNNNNNNNNNNNNNNNNNNNNNNNNNNNNNNNNNNNNNNNNNNNNNNNNNNNNNNNNNNNNNNNNNNNNNNNNNNNNNNNNNNNNNNNNNNNNNNNNNNNNNNNNNNNNNNNNNNNNNNNNNNNNNNNNNNNNNNNNNNNNNNNNNNNNNNNNNNNNNNNNNNNNNNNNNNNNNNNNNNNNNNNNNNNNNNNNNNNNNNNNNNNNNNNNNNNNNNNNNNNNNNNNNNNNNNNNNNNNNNNNNNNNNNNNNNNNNNNNNNNNNNNNNNNNNNNNNNNNNNNNNNNNNNNNNNNNNNNNNNNNNNNNNNNNNNNNNNNNNNNNNNNNNNNNNNNNNNNNNNNNNNNNNNNNNNNNNNNNNNNNNNNNNNNNNNNNNNNNNNNNNNNNNNNNNNNNNNNNNNNNNNNNNNNNNNNNNNNNNNNNNNNNNNNNNNNNNNNNNNNNNNNNNNNNNNNNNNNNNNNNNNNNNNNNNNNNNNNNNNNNNNNNNNNNNNNNNNNNNNNNNNNNNNNNNNNNNNNNNNNNNNNNNNNNNNNNNNNNNNNNNNNNNNNNNNNNNNNNNNNNNNNNNNNNNNNNNNNNNNNNNNNNNNNNNNNNNNNNNNNNNNNNNNNNNNNNNNNNNNNNNNNNNNNNNNNNNNNNNNNNNNNNNNNNNNNNNNNNNNNNNNNNNNNNNNNNNNNNNNNNNNNNNNNNNNNNNNNNNNNNNNNNNNNNNNNNNNNNNNNNNNNNNNNNNNNNNNNNNNNNNNNNNNNNNNNNNNNNNNNNNNNNNNNNNNNNNNNNNNNNNNNNNNNNNNNNNNNNNNNNNNNNNNNNNNNNNNNNNNNNNNNNNNNNNNNNNNNNNNNNNNNNNNNNNNNNNNNNNNNNNNNNNNNNNNNNNNNNNNNNNNNNNNNNNNNNNNNNNNNNNNNNNNNNNNNNNNNNNNNNNNNNNNNNNNNNNNNNNNNNNNNNNNNNNNNNNNNNNNNNNNNNNNNNNNNNNNNNNNNNNNNNNNNNNNNNNNNNNNNNNNNNNNNNNNNNNNNNNNNNNNNNNNNNNNNNNNNNNNNNNNNNNNNNNNNNNNNNNNNNNNNNNNNNNNNNNNNNNNNNNNNNNNNNNNNNNNNNNNNNNNNNNNNNNNNNNNNNNNNNNNNNNNNNNNNNNNNNNNNNNNNNNNNNNNNNNNNNNNNNNNNNNNNNNNNNNNNNNNNNNNNNNNNNNNNNNNNNNNNNNNNNNNNNNNNNNNNNNNNNNNNNNNNNNNNNNNNNNNNNNNNNNNNNNNNNNNNNNNNNNNNNNNNNNNNNNNNNNNNNNNNNNNNNNNNNNNNNNNNNNNNNNNNNNNNNNNNNNNNNNNNNNNNNNNNNNNNNNNNNNNNNNNNNNNNNNNNNNNNNNNNNNNNNNNNNNNNNNNNNNNNNNNNNNNNNNNNNNNNNNNNNNNNNNNNNNNNNNNNNNNNNNNNNNNNNNNNNNNNNNNNNNNNNNNNNNNNNNNNNNNNNNNNNNNNNNNNNNNNNNNNNNNNNNNNNNNNNNNNNNNNNNNNNNNNNNNNNNNNNNNNNNNNNNNNNNNNNNNNNNNNNNNNNNNNNNNNNNNNNNNNNNNNNNNNNNNNNNNNNNNNNNNNNNNNNNNNNNNNNNNNNNNNNNNNNNNNNNNNNNNNNNNNNNNNNNNNNNNNNNNNNNNNNNNNNNNNNNNNNNNNNNNNNNNNNNNNNNNNNNNNNNNNNNNNNNNNNNNNNNNNNNNNNNNNNNNNNNNNNNNNUAUUCAUAAAAUCUUUUGCCCCAUUCCUUUCAAAAGUUAAUAGCUAAUCAUAAUAUUUAAAUAAUAGAUUAGUAAAAAUGUGCUUUGCCAUAAAUAAAUAUAUAAAUAACAUAAAAAUAAAAAACAAAUAAGGAACACUCCUUUUGGUAUAAUAGAGUGAUUGGAACCCUCAAAUAUUAUGCUAGAGAUUAUCCCAUUAAAAUACAACUUGAUUGUUUUGAGAUUGAAGUGCAAUAAAUAAAUAACAUUUGAAUAAAAGUUAAUUACCAUAUUAGUCCAAAAUGCAUACCUCAUAUAAUGUGUUAUGUUUCAAGAUUUGAGAUUUCAUGGCAUGUAUUAAUUCAAAUUAGAUCAUUGAAAUUUCUCAAAGGAUUAAUUCUUUGGUGCAAAUAUAUUAUAGAGGAUAGAAACUAUAUAUAAUUAUCAAGUCUCAACACUUCUUAUAUCUAUAUCCUGAAGUAUGAAGUAUGAUUAAUUCCCUCACUCCAAUGGAUGUUUCCAACUACUCGUCGUCACAUUUCAAUCCAUCACGUAUAGUCUUCAUAAGUUCAUCUCUAUCCUAUAACAUUUUCCCACCUGAAAUAUUUAUAGUGAUAGUUUUAACAUUUUUUUUUAUAUUAUAAGAAAAUAUAAUAUCAAAAUGAUCUAUUCUCAAUGCAUGAACAAUUCAAAAAAUUGAUAAUAGAGUUCAAGUACUUUUUCUUUUUUGGUCUUAUCUUAAUUUAGUAUAACUUGUAAUGAAAGCUUAGCUUACAAGAUUUCAUGCUUUCUCUGCUACUCUUAUGGAUAUUACCUCCAACAACCAUUCCAACACUGUCCAAUGCCACAUCAAUAAUGAGUACGUUUUACAUUUUUUUUCUUAUAAGAUUGACCUUUUUUCAAAUCUCUAGCUAUUGCCUUUGUGCCAAAAAUUCAAGACUAUGUGACAUUUAGAUUAAGAAGAAGAAAAUUGACUUGUACAAAUAUUUUAUUUCUAUAUAUGUAGAGGUAAACCUUUGGACUAGUCCUAGAACAAACCUUGGGUAUACUUAUUGAUGGUAAUCUACAAACUUGAAUGGAUAUUGUCCAUCUCUACUGCGUUUCAUGCCAAACUUUUGUUGGGUGGAGUGUCAUAUAUAUUCUUUUAUAUCUCACAAAUUAAUUAAUUUUAUUUCAUACAUAUGAGUUCUAAUCUUAUAGGUGAAUAAUAUUUCAUUCAAGUUUGCGAGCAAAGACAACACAUAUGAGUUCUAAUUUUUUAAUAUAUUAAUAAGCCAUAUAUUAAUGUAUCUGAAAUAAAAAAUAAAUAAAAAAAAAAAAAAGAAGAAAAAACCCUAAAUAUUAGUUAAGUUAUAUUAUUAUUAGGAUUUAGUUGUUCCAUAAAUUAUAAAAUUUUAAAAACUGCUUAUCAUCUUAAUAAAUCAAGUGGUUUUUAAUUCACAAAAAGGAAAAAUAAAAGUUGGACAAGUAUUUUGUUUUUUUUUUUACUAGAUUAUACAUUUAACAAUAUUGGUAUUUUUUGUACCUAAAUGUUUUCAGUCUUACACAUACAUACACACACACAUACAUACAUACAUACAUACAUACAUACAUAUAUAUAUAUAUAAUCCAAAGUGGGUUUGAUAUGAUUUCAAUUAAUAAGUAUUUGAUAAUUUAUAUUUACCAUCAAUAAAAUGAAUUUAUAAGACUCCCUACGUUUGAGGAAAUAUCACCUAAAAUAUACUCAAUGAAUAUUUUGUGGUUAUUUAGAUGAAGUAUUGGAUAUGAUGAAUUUCUCAAAUAAUUUAAUUUAUCUUUAACAAUAGGAUAAUAAUUUAACCCUUUUUUUAAAAAAAUGUUAAUUUCCAUUAUUUAAUUCUUUUUUCUCUUUCUCUAGUAUAUUAAAGCAAAAAAGAAAUUAUUCAUAUAAAUAGUAUACCUUUAGGACUAAAUUCAAAAUUUUAGUGGACCUAGAUCAUAUCAAAAUACAUCCUCCAUGUCAUAUGUGCCAACAUCAAGAGCAAGUUUGCAAUUAAAGCAUUCCAAUUUUAAAUUUUAAAUUUCAAAAAGAAUGUCAAAUAUCAAAUAAGUAAAAUCCUCUCUAAAUUUUCCUAUCAAUAAAGGAGCAUUCUUUUACUUCAAAAGGUGGGAAAGGAAUUGGGCAAAUUGAGGCAAACCUCAUUAUUGAUUAGAAGGUUUCCUUAUAGUCUACAUCCUCUCUUUGAAUGUAAUCUUUGGCCAUGAGUCAAGCAUUAUACCUCUCUAUUGAACCAUCUAUCUUUCAUUUGACCUUGAGAACCCACUUGCUCCUAAUUAUCUUAAGCUAAAAGUGGAAGUUCAACCAACUUCCAAAUAGAGUUGGUUGUAGCUUUUCACAUGUCACAAGUAAAGGAGAGCUUCCUUGAAGUUCCUUGGCAUAUCAUCAUCAUUAUGCAAAGCAUACAUGAAAACUUCCCCCUUCAUAGGGAACAACUCCACCUUUGGUUAUACCCGAUACUCGUCCAAUGCAAUUUUUUAGGUCAAUAAAAUUAGAAAUGAGCAUUGAAAUCACAUUCCUUAGUGACUAAAUUAUUAAAAUCAAAUGAAAUCCAAUGGUAAAAAUGUUUCACAUCUCCAAGUUAUGUAGAAAAUUAUUCAAACCUUAACCAUGUGAUUGGAGUAUAAGGUAAUAAUAAUUGAAGAAUUGAACGAUCAUAGUACCAUGACAUCAAAUGAAUUGAUAGGUUCCUUGCAAGCCCAUUAACAACACUUGGAUGAAAGGUCUUAGAUUGAGGUGAAAAAAGCACUAAAAAGCCAAGUAAGUCUUAGAAGAGAAAAAAUGAGUCUCAAAAUAAUUCUAAAUCAAGUAAGAGAGGUUGGAAUUGAAAAAAUAGAAAAGGAAAUUCCAAAUUAGGCUAAAAAUGAGGACGAGGUAAUAUUUCAACUAAAAGAAAUAAUAAAUCUCAUAUAUAAUAUUAUAAUUAAAAAGAAAUAUGGUCAUUGCAAGUUAAAACGUAGGGCUUGGAGAUCGAAUGAGCGAAUGAAAGGAAUUUUAAGGCUAAUGCUAUAAAAGGUAAAAGUGAAAAUUUAGAGACCUUGUUAUUAGCUUAUAGUGCUGGAAAGAAUGAAAACAAAAGUACAUGGUUUUUGGAUUCAAUCUAUAGUAGUCAUAUGUGUGGUAGGGAAGAGAUGAUUUCCAAGUUAGAUAAGACUUCUAAUUUAGAGGUAAAAUUUGGAAAUGAUAUAAUAGUACUAGUUAAGGAUAAAGGUAAGAUUUUCAUUCAAUUAAAUAAAGGAUCCUAAAAUUUUAUCUCUAAUUUGUUAUAUGUUAAUCCAUGUCUUCAUCAAAAUCUAUUAAAUAUAAGGCUACUUUUACAAAAAAAUGGUUUGAUAUGUGGAUCUAUAUGGGUGUUCGUACCAUUAACGAUGAUUAGAAAUGACUAAUACCAAAGCUAAAUAUGAUACAAAAUCAUCUAUUUUUGUUAAAUAUUAAUUGUGGAUAAUUGACUUUCUUUAGCUCUAUAGUUGAUGAUAAAAUUUAGUUAUUAUACUCAUGUUUUGGAUAUUUAAAAUUUGGAAGUCUAAAAUUACUUUCUCCUAAGAAGGUUUUUGGGUUGUCUUCUAUUAAUUCUCUAAAUGAGGUUUGUGAAACAUGCAUUGGAGCUAUUUCAAAGAUUGGCAAUCCACCUAAAGCCAAGAAGUUAGAGCUGAUUCACACAAAAGCGUGGAGGCCAUCAUUGGUUUCAUCCCUUAGAAGCUCAUUGUACUACAUCACCUUCAUUGAUGACUCUACUAAGAAGGUAUGGGUUUAUUUUUUGAAAAAGAAAUCAAAAGUUUGUGAUGUUUUCAAAAAAUGGAAAGCCAUGGUGGAGAACAAGAUGGGCUUGAAAGUGAAGCGAUUGAAAUCUGACAACGGAGGAGAGUACAAAGAUGAGAAGCUUAAAGAGUUUUGUGCAACUAAUGGAAUUAAAUUGGAAAAAAUUGUUCUCAAGACACCUCAGCAAAAUGGUGUAGUAGAAUGGUGUUUUUAAAAUAGUUUAGGCCUGAAUGGGCAGUGAUUUUUAAAAGUCUUUCUACCCUUAAAAACACUUUUAAGUGCUUUUGGGAUGAAAAUAAAGUGUUUGGAAAAUUUUUAAAAACACUUUUGAAAAUCUGGAAAAACACUUGAAGUGAUUUUUAGAGAAUCACUUGAUAGGUGUUUUUUUAAAAAAAACACUUCAAUUUUUUUGAAAUAUUCCAAAAAUGCCCCCAGUGAUUCCCGAUAUCUUUCUUCCCUUUCGUUCAUACCUCUAUCCUUUAUUCUCCUCCUCCAUCGCUCUCCAUCUGAGACAACACAGUAAACCUCUAUUUUCAUUCGAGAUCGUGGAUCGAAGGUAACCCUCUAUUCUUUUUUUGUUUUCCUUUUCCAUUUUUUUUUUAAUGUCUGAUUGCCUUGAAAUGUUAGUUAGGGUUUUGGGUUUUAGGAUUGUUUGGUUAGGAGGAAAGUAUGAGAAAAUGAAAUCUAUAAAUCCUCAAAUGUUUUUAUAAAUCCUCAAUCAGCAGUAGCUUCAGAAGGCCACUCUACUUCCACUACUCCUCAAUCUCUGUUUCUCCUCGGAUUCUCUCUUCUGUACGUUUAUUAUUUAUUUUUAUUUCUGUUUUGAUUAUUCAAUUCUUGUUUUUAUUGUUCAAUUUCUCUCUGUUUAAUUACAAUUUCUUUUUAUGUUUUUCUUUUUUAUGUGAAAGAUGUUAAAAAGAAAUAUCAAACUAUGCACGUUUUUCUCUGUUUUUCUUGAUGAGUGGUGGGGAAACUGUGCUGCAGAUUAUGUAUAUGCCCUUUUGCAUGUUUGGUUGUUGAGAAAAUGUGAUAGAGCAAUUUGAGAAUUGAAAUUGUGAGCGGGUUUUUUUUUUUAAAAAUAAAUUAAUUAGUUUUUUUAUUUUUUGAGAUCCCAAGAAAGUAAACCUCACUUGGAAGAGAUUCAACCAAUCAUUUGGGUUAGUUGAGUUGAUUCUUUGUUUUCAGUGUUUCCUUUCUUUUCUGUCAUUUUCUGGGCUACCAAGCAGAGGGGCUUGGGGUUUUUUAUCCCCUUAUAAAAGUUGCAAUUUCGAAGUAAGACACAAUGGUAUGUAAUUAGAGUACAUUUAACAUUCUCUCUCUCUCUUUUGUUACUCUUUUUGAUUGAGGAUUGUGUUGAUAGUGAUAGAAAGAAACUUGAUACUGAACUUGUUUCAUGAAUUCCCUUCUGUAAUUUUCUUUUAAUUUAAUUUGGAAUAUACCCUUGUUAAAAUAGAACAAAUUGAAUUGAAUUUGAUUACAUAUGGGCAAUGUUACCAAAAAAAAAAUUUCAAGGAAAAAAAGAAGCGUUUCCAGUUGAUCCCAAUCAGCCACACAACUCAUUCCAUCAUCUCAAAAACCUAAAUAGUUAAAAACAUUACUGAAAAUGAUACCCGGGAGAUAACCCAAACCCAAUCAAUCAAUUUUUGAUCGGGUUGUAUUCAGGGUUAUGAAAAACCCUUUUGUUUGGCUCAAUGCCAGGCUCAACCUAAGAAUUCUUGUAAGUGCAAUAGAGGGAUUAAUGAGACUACAGUUUUGAUACAAUUAGGUUGCCCCAGUUGGAUGGAAGAGGGAAAGGAUAAGCCAAGUCCAGUUCUCGAUAGGUCAGCUACUAGGAAACCUUUAGUCGAUUAUAAUUGGACCUUUUUCAAUCUUUACUAGUGUGUUUGAUGUCAUAGAAACUGUGGUUACACUGAUCUAGCGGAGCCACAGAAUGGCACCAUGUCAUUAGAGAUUCUAUGACAUCACUUUCAGUCUUUUCUCAAAAUUUUAUUUUAUAGUAAUAUAAUUAAAAUAUUUUUUUUUUAUGUACAGACCAGUGUUCCAUAUGUAAGUUAAUCGUCCCUUCAUCAUCUGCAUAGUAAUUGUGCAGGGUUAGCCAAUGAAGUAAUUGAUGUUUGGUUCGAUAUGAAGAGUGGGUUAUAUUCAGAACAUUAAUCCAUUCUGCAUUACCUAUUCUAGAUUAAAGCAUGGUCCACACUAGCAAAUUAUGGAAAUUCUAAACUUUGCACUGAUUGUUUAUCAAUUAAUGGACCACAUAUAUUCUUGAUGUUAUGUUCCUUAAUUCUUUCUUUAUUCUUCAUUUUAAUUGUGUGAUUCUUUUUUUGAAAAUUAUUAUUUCUCUAAAAUAUAUAUUUUUUUAAAUAGAGAAUGUCUAGCAAUAUUGUUCAACCAUUUCAACAACCAAGUGGUGGAGAAAGUGAAAAACAAAGCAAGGCUUAUUGGGAUGAUAUUACAAUGGAUGCUUUUAUCAAAGUUUGUGUGACUGAGACUUUGGCUGGAAAUAGACCAAAUAGUCACUUUAACAAGUUGGGAUGGAAAAAUGUGAUAAAAGCCUUCAACAAUUUGACUGGAAGAAACUAUCAAUAUAGGCAACUUAAGAAUAAAUGGAGUUCUCUUAAAAAGGAUUGGCAACUUUAGAAUACCUUGAUUGGGAAAGAGACUGGCCUUGGGUGGGAUCCUAUGAGACAAACCAUCAAUGCAAGCAAUGAAUGGUGGGAUAAGAAAUUGAAGGUAUGUUUUGUUUAUUCAUUAAAUUUAUUUGAUUAAUUUAUAUAUUGGUUAUGAAAUAUGAUAAAUUAAAUACUCUUGUAGGAGAAUCUUGAAGCAAUAAAGUUUAAAACAAAAGGCUUGAAAAAUGUUGAGCAAUUAGACAUACUUUUCAAAGAUAUUAUUGCUACUGGUGAAGGAGCCUGGGCACCAUCACAAGGCUUUGUAGGACAAGAGGUUGAUGAUUCAUCUAAUGUGGGGGAACACGAAGAUAAUAUAAUAGAAGACCAAGAUGACUCUAGUUGCAAUCCGCCACUUGAUACUAUCUUCAAUGGUUUUGAAGCUACUUCUCAACCUUCUAUGGCAAAAAAAAAAAAAAUGAAGGAAGAAGAAAGAGGAAAAGGAAUGAAACCAAAUCUAAGCUUGUGGCUAUCCAGUUAGAGCGCAUUUGUAGUGCUGUGGAGAAUAGGUCUUCUAUCUCAUCUAAAGGAGAUAAGCCAGGUUGUAGCAUUGCUGAAGUGAUGAAAAUCAUACGUGGGAUGCCUAAAGUGAAGAAUGACUUUGAGUUAUAUAUGAAAGCCACAGAUAUCAUGGUUGUCAAGGAAAAUAGAGAUAUGUUUGUUGCAUUAGAAGACCCAAUUGAUCAGAUUGCAUGGCUUAAACAUAAACAUGUUUGAGUUUUAGAGUUGUUUCUUGUUUUUAUAUGGAAACAUAUUUUUGUUACCUAAUAUUGUUUAGUUGUUAGGUUGAGGGGAGGAAAGAGAUGUUGGUUUGCUUUACGUUAGUUGUUAUUUUAUAUUUCAUCUUAGUCAUUUAACUUUUUUUUUUGAGGUUUAUUAUUUCUAUAAGAUAUUUUUUUUAAUACAAAAUGUCUAGUAAUGGUAGGAAUUCUAAACUUCAAUUGUGUACUUUCUAAUUUUUUAAAAUAACUAUAGUAAUUGAAAAUAUACAUUAUUGUUGUUUAUUAAUAUAUUUCCUUUUUUAUUUGUGUAGAUGCCUUCUAAUAAUAAUGAUAAAAAUUUUGAUGAUGAAAGCGAUGAUGAACAUGAUUUUUAUCAGUUGGUGCUUGCGGGUUGUGCUGCAGCUGCAACAUUUACUAGUUUCAAAGAAAAAAAACCUUCUAGAACUUCUUCCCACACAGGAUACAAGUUUGUAAUGGAUGUCUUAAAUGGCCAUGAAAUUAGGUGUUUUGAGCAAUUUAGAAUGGAAAAACAUGUGUUUAUGAAUUUAUUAGAAACACUUACUAAAAGGUAUGGCCUAAAAGAAGGUUUUGAUAUGCCCUUAAUAGAGGUUUUAGCAAUGUUUCUCACUACAAUAGGUCAUGGACUAAGCAAUAGGAUGAUUCAAGAAAGAUUUCAACACUCUGGUGAAUCUGUAUCUAGAUGGUUUGAGAUUGUAUUAGAUGUUGUUUGUCUUAUGGCUGUAGAUAUUAUAAAACCAAGUGAUCCACAGUUUAAGGAAGUCCCUGAUAAAAUAAGAAAUGAUGAUCGGUAUUGGCCAUAUUUUAAGAAUUGUAUUGGGGUAAUUGAUGGAACUCAUAUACCUGUUGUGGUUCCUAGAGAUAGAAAAAUACCAUAUAUUGGUAGAAAAGGUGUGACUACCCAAAAUGUUAUGGCAGUAUGUGAUUUCAAUAUGUGUUUCACAUUUGCAUGGGCCGGAUGGGAAGGUGUUGCUCAUGAUGCACGAGUCUUUUUAGAGGCAUUAAGAAGGCCAGAAUUGGGUUUUCCUCAUCCACCUAAAGGUUUGUGAAUGAUAAUAUCAAACUUGUUUUUGUGAUCAAAUUUUUAUUAUCUAAUAUAUAUUUUUUUUUUUGUUUUAUAGGUAAAUAUUAUUUGGUCGAUGCUGGUUAUCCUCAAAUGAGUGGAUAUUUAGGCCCUUAUAAAGGCGAGCGUUACCAUCUUCCAGAUUUUCGACGAGGUAGUUCACCUAAAGGUAAAAAGGAAAUAUUUAAUCAUAGGCAUUCAUCCUUGAGGUGCACAAUUGAGAGAACGUUUGCCGUUUUGAAGAAUAGAUGGAGAAUGCUAUGAGAAAUGCAUAGUUUUCCUCUUGAGAAACAAGUAAAGAUCGUUAUUGCUUUAAUGGCUCUUCACAACUUCAUAAGGAUUAAUGCUAGAAUGGAUAUGGAAUUUAAACCUUAUGAUGAUGAUCAAGGGUUGCUUCCACUUAAUGAAGAAGAGAGUAGAGUGGAUUCACUUGUUGAGGAAGAUGGUUCACAUCAUACAAGAGAGAUGGAAGAACAACGUGAUCGAAUUGCAAAUCUUCUCAUAUCUCAUUGAUGUUUGAUUAUGACUCUAAUAUGUAAGAAUAUAAUUCCCCCCAAUUUUUUUUGCUAUGAAAACACUUGUCUUCUUAUUUACUUUUAAUUAUAAUUUUUUUUUUUGGGAAACUAAUAGGUAAUCAUAUAUUGUUUUACUUUGAAAUUUAUCUUUUAUUCAAUGUUAUUUUUUAUUGAUUUAGAUAUUUUUUGUAAAUAUUUUUAAAAAUUUUAGUAUAUUGAUAAAAAAAAUUAUUAUUUUUAAUUAGAAAAAUCUUUUUUUUUUAGAAAUUAAUAGGUGGUCAUAUAUUGUUUUACUUUUAAAAUUAUCUUUUAUUCAAUAUUCUUUUUUUUUUUUAUUGAUUUAGAUGUUUUUUAUAAAUAUUUUUUAAAAUUUUAGUAUAGUGAUAAAAAAAUUAUUAUUUUUAAUUAGAAAAGUCUUUUUUUUUAGAAAUUAAUAGGUAAUCAUAUAUUGUUUUAAUUUUAAAAUUAUCUUUUAUUCAAUGUUAUUUUUUUAGUGAUUUAGAUGUUUUUUCAUUAAUAAAAAGUUUUUUUGUUUAUCAUACCAUUUUUUUUAAUUAAAAUUGUAUGUCCUUUUUGGUAAUUUAUUAAUAUUAAAAGUGUUUUUAUAUUUAUACAAUAUAUUAUCAAAAACACUUUAGAAUCAUUUUUUUUUAUUAUCAUAAAAGUGUUUUUCACAGAAACACUAUAGCAAAAAACACUUCAAAUAAAAACACUUUCACUAGAAUCCCUACCAAACGGGCUCUAAAUGAACGUGCUAGAAGCAUGAGAAUACACACGGUCUUACCCAAGAUGUGGUAUUUGGUGUGUUUUGUGCAUUUCAUGUCAUGAUUCAAAAUCAAUUCUUAGAUAAAGUUCAAAUUCUUCGAUCAGAUAAUGGAAGCAAGUAUGUCAACCAAUAAUUUCAAGCUAUUUCAAUUAAAUGACCUUCUUCAUGAAACUUCUUGUACUCACACUCCACAACAAAAUGACAUGGUUGAGCGAAAGGACAAACAUAUUUUUAAAAUGGCACAUGCUUUGUUAAUUGGAGCAAAACUACCUUGUCAACAUUAGGAUGAUGCUAUUGUUAGUGUUGUACAUUUAUUGAAUCGAAUGCCCUAAAACCUAUUGAAGUUUCAAACUCCAUUAUAAGCUUCAUCUAACCAUGUUACCUUACCAUCCAUACUGUUUAUUCCACCACAUAUUUGGAUGUGUUACGUUUGUUCAUCUGCAUAAAAAUCAAUGAACAAAACUCAAUCCUUGUGUCAAUCAUUGCAUUUUUUUCGGGGUAUGCUACAAAUAAAAAGGGCUACUGUUGCUACAAUUCUACCACCAAAUUUACCUAGCUCAUGACAGAUGUCACAUUUUUGGAAGCUGAUUUUUUUUUUUACUUUUCAUCGGAAUCCACUUAUGAUCUUCAAGGGGAGACAUAGGAUGAAGAACAAUAGCGGAAGGGUUUUAAGGAAGUUAAGGAAAUUGAUCAAGAACUUAGAUCUAGUAAGAUAAUAAGGGGAGGAAAUGAGGUUGUAGCAAUAAAAGAACAUAAGGAGAAUAGCAUAGAAAAUAAGGAUGAAAGAAAUGGAAAUGGUGGCAACAAUGGGGAGGAAGGUGAAUUUGGACCCUCUAGCAAAAAACCCCUCUCCCUCACGUACCUAACAAUUGUUCUCCAAAGAAUAUUCUUGAAGUAAGUUCCCUUGCAUCAUCUUCUAGUCAUGCUUUGGAUACUCCAACUAGUUAUCACUUACCUUUCAAGCAUAAUAGAGGUAAACCUCUAGUUCGAUACUCACCAAAUGUUGAAGAGAAAGAAUCAAAGUACCUGAUUGUUAACCACGUAACCACCUAGAUACUAUUUGAGCCUCUUAAAGCCUUUAUGCACAAGUUGUUCUCUUGUCAUGUUCCUUGUGGAGUACAUGAAGCCUUAGUAGAUUCACAAUGGGCCUAAAAAAUUUAAGAGGAAAUGAAGGUGCUACUUAAGAAUAAGAUAUGGGAUCUUGUUUCACUACUGAAGGGAAAGAAAAUAGUAGGGUGUAAAUCAGUGUUCUCCAUUAACCAUAAGGCAGAUAGGUCUAUUGAGCAAUCCAAAGAAAGGCUUGUAGCCAAGGGAUAUACACAAACAUAUGACAUAGACCAUCAAGAGACAUUAUCACCAGUUGAAAAACUAAACAUUGCUAGAGUUUUACUAUUUCUAGUAGCAAAUUUAGAUUAUCCUUUACACCAAUUCAACGUGAAGAAUGUCUUUCUUCAUGGAGACCUUGAGAAGGAGGUGUAUAUGGAUAUUCCACUUAAUUACAUUGCAUCAUCAAGCAUUGGAGUAGUAUGUAAGUUGCAACAAGCAUAUGGACUGAAAGUCAUCUCAAGCAUGGCUUAGUCGUUUUGGCCUGGCUAUGAGAAAAUAUGGUUUUCAACAAAGUAACUCAAAUCAUUUUUUUUUUCUUUUUGUUUUUUUAACAUGAACAAGGAAAGAUUACUACCUUGAUAAUCUAAGUGGAUGAUAUGAUUAUCACAGGAGAUGACAUAGAAGAAAUUUCCCAACUUCAUAAAUAGUUGGAACCAAAUUUGAGAUGAAGAAGCUAGGAGGACUAAAAUGCUUUUUUGGGAAUAGAAGUAGCCAAAUCAAGCCAAGGUAUAUUUCUUUCCCAAUGAAAUCAUGUAUUACACUUAUUAUCUGAAGUGGGAAUGGUUGAUUGCAAGCUAAUUAAUACACUAAUUGUUCAAAAUCACAAACUUGGGGAACAUUCAGAUCGAGUGCCAACCAAUAAAGAGAGAUACAAAAUAUUAGUGGGUAAACUAAUCUAUUUAUCUCAUACUUGUCUGGAUUUUGCAAUUACGUUGUCAGCCUAAUAAGCUAAUUCAUGCACAAUUCUAGUGAAGAUCAUAUGGGGGCGGUAAUUCGAAUACUCACCUACUUAAAAUUUACCCCUGGUAAAGGACUCAUGUUCUCUAAGAGUCACCAUCUCAAUGUUGAUGGUUACUCAAACAUAGAUUAGGCAAGAACUACUGAUAGAAAGUUGACAUUUGGGUAUUUAACCUUUGUUGGUGGUAAUUUGGUUAUAGGGAGAAGCAAAAAGUAGAAAGUGGUAGCAUUGUCUAUUGUCUAAGCAGAGUUCAAAGGAAUUCCAAGGGACUUUGUGAGCUUCUUUGGCUUAGGAAGUUUUUAACCGAGAUUGGGCUUGCACCAAUGAUAGAAAUGAAUUUGUUUGUGACAACAAGGCAACUACUGAAAUUUCUCAUAACCUGAUUCAACAUUGAGGUGGAUCAAAGUCUUAUCAAACAGAAUCUUGAAGAAAAGUUCAUUUUGUUUCCUUUUGUGAUGUCAAAAGAUAAACUCACAAAUAUGCUUACAAAGGUUAUUUCAAGUAAAAGCUUCCACAACUCACUAGACAAGUUGGGCAUUAGAGACAUCUAUGCAUCAACUUAAUGGGGAGGGUUAGUGUGAGUUGUAAUUCCUUUUCUAAUUUAGAGUGAUUAUAGGACUAAUUAGUUGUCAUAUUCAUUGUAAAUUCCUCGCAUUUUACUAGCCCAAUUUCUAGCCUAGAAUUUUCUUUUUUCCAUUACCGAUUCUUUAUUGCUCGGUGAACCACUUCUAUAUAAGGGGUGCACUCAUGCAAACAAAACAUAGAAAAAAAAUAUAAUUGCUCAGAUUUAUCAUAGUAAGGAUUUAUCAUAUAUAUUGUUUUAUAACUCAGAAAUUAAUUAAUUUGAUUUCAUACACAUGAGUUCCAAUCUUAUAGGUGAAUAAUAUUGCAUUCAGGUUCGCGAGCACAGAUAACGCAUAUGAGUUCUAACUGUUUAAUAUAUGAUAAGCUAUCGAACUUUUGUAUGUAUUUAUAACUUAAAAAUCAAAAAGGAAUAAACCUUAAAGAAUAGUUAAAUUAGCUUACUAUAAGGAUUUAGUUUUUCCAUUAAUUAUAAAUUUUAAAAAACUUCUUAUCCUCUUAAUAAAUUAACUAGUUUUUAAUUAAAAAAAAAUUGGACAAGUGAUUUUAUUUUGGAAUUAGGACCCUUUUUUUUUUUAUCAAACAUCGUUGAAUAAUUUUUUUUUAUCAUUUUUAAAUAAGCACAUGAGUUAAAAAUGGGUACGUCAAUUAUAAAUAGUUUACAACUCAAACUCAUAAUACAGAUCUUUUAUAUAUAUGUUAAUGAAUUAGCUCAUUAUAUUCAUUUAUUAAUCUUGAUUUAGGCUAACAGCGCCCUACCAAAAAAAAUGUAUCCUAUAUCACAUUAAAGAAUUCUAUUUAGAGAAUUUUUAAAUAAAACAAUUUAGUUAAUAACUAUUGUUUAUAAAAUCUUUUGCCCUAUUCCUUUCAAAAUUUAAUCUCUUUAAUCACUUUCUAAUAGAUCAAUAAAAAGUUGCUUUGUCAUAAGCAAAUAUAUAAAUAACAUUAAAAAAAAUAAUAAUAAUAAGAAAGGAACACUCCUUUAGCGUAAUAGAGUGACUGGAGUCCACAAAUAUUAUGUCAUGUGCAACAAUUUUAAUUUAUUUAUUUCAGAUAUUUUGGCUUAUUGAGUUAGUUCAAAUAAGUAGCAGUAGUGGGCUAGAGAGUGGGUAACGUGAGUUAUUCUUUAGCUAGCUAUUUUUAGUAAUUGUUGAGUUAUAAAUUUCCUUAUUCUUGAGCAAUAAAACCAUCAGAUGAAAAACUUCCAAAAACUUGUCUUUGUUUUCUACUUUCCAAAUUCUUUCAAUACUGCAAAUAUUUUUUCUUAGCAACAUAGCUCGAGGGCAAGGUAGGGGGCGAGGAAGGGGACGGGAUUGUGUCAUUAACUUAGAACAUGAUAGAGUGGUAUCAGAGCUAAGUGUUUAGGUGAGUGUUUGAGUGUUGACACAAGUUAUAAAGCCCUUAAUGAAUUGUGAAGUUAUCAAGUUGUAAAUUCAUAAAUAAAAUGUGAUGUUACAAUAGGUGUAAAGUCACCAAUAAAAUUUGUGAAGUUGAAGAAAGUUGAAAAAUGCCAUGAUUUAUUGUUGUGUCAAUAAAAGGAUGAAAGUGCAUUAUAGUUUCAGUACCUUUUUUUUUUUCUUUUCCAUUUGUUGGAAGAUAGUCUUCCUAUUUUCCUUUUGUAUCAAAAAUUCUAAUUUUCUAGUACAAGACUAGAAGGGCAUGUAUGUGAGCUUGUGGAGGGUUUUGUACUUGUGAAACUAAAUUAAGGUAAAAGAAUAUUUUACUUCUUGUUUCUAAAUUAAUGCAUCCACAUAUGAAGAUCCAUGGGUAAUUAUGUUUAAGGAUUUAUUUCAAGUUUUUUUCUAAUACUAACCCAAAACCACAUGCACAGUAAAGAAAAGGUGUUGUUGAAUAGACUUGCCUUUCUUUUCUCUCAUAGAGAGAGAACUAGAAAGUAUUUGACAUCAUCCUAAAAGAAAAAUUAAACAUAUAUUCAAAACGAUAUCUUAUAAUGAAAACUAUUUAAUAUAAGGUUUUGAUUGUCAAAACUACUAAAGUUGUUCAUCCAAAUUAUUCAAAAUACUUUAAUUUUCUUGUAAAAGUAAAAUAAAUGUCAAGAUAUUUUACAUAUUCUAAAGAUCAAUGAUAACCACAACCAAGGCAAAACGUGUUGGUGAUUCAAACUUAAUCGAUCUUUUUAUUUUUGUAGCAUGAAUUAUUCAAAAUCAAUUAUGUAUGUGAAUUGUAAAAAUAAAAUAAAAUAAAUUAAAAUAAAUCAAAUCAAAUAAAUAAAAAUAUCUACUUCCCACUUUAUGUCUGAAUUGUUGCUUCUUCAAAAUACAAUGAAUGAUAUUGAAAUAUUUAAAAGCAUGACUUCAAUAAUUUACCUUAUUAAUUUACUUUCUUUGUGGGACACUAAGUUUGAUCACAGAAUAGAUCUACGGUGGAAACAGAUUUUUUUGAAUCAAAUGUUUGAAUAUGACUGAUGACUCUACUCACAUGCAUCAGAUUUCCAAAUUGCCAAAUUGUGUAUUUGUGUGCAUGCUUGUUAUGAAGGUCCAGUGUUCUGCCAUGGCUUUUCCGUGUACAUGCUGGCAGAGGAUGCUGCCAUGGCUUCCAUUUCUAAGGAUGGCUAUGACAAAGAUCAAAGCUCUUAAUGAUGUAAUCAUAUUUGUACAUCUAUUGGGAGCUUACUGUGAUUAGAUUACACAGAUCAAAAUCUUCUGAUAGAUUAUAGAGUUUCUUGCUUUUACUUGUUUCUGCUUAUUAACAAUCAGAAUUGGUUGCUAUAAGUUGCGACAAUGGCUAAGGAUUUGUUCGUACUCCAGGCUUCUUCUGGGAAUCAGGAUUUUUGUUCUGAUGAUUUGACUUUGUGGAACCAGAUCAUUGCCCUCUUUGUCCUUUCUUUUUCAAUGGGCAUUCAAAAGAUUGGCCAUCAUGUAUCAGGGGUCAGUAGUGAUUGUAGACGGGUUUCUUAUUCUUCCAAUGUUGAUAACGUGGUAUUGGAGGAGAACCAAGCCUCAGGGACAAGCUUCGAGGAUGACUCUGAUGACUGUGAGUUUGAGGAAGUGAGGUGUGAGCUUGGCGUGGUAGAAGGUCAGCUUUGCAACAUUCCAUUUGAGCUUUACGAUCUACCAGAUUUAAGAGAAAUUUUAUCUCUGGACACAUGGAAUUCGUGUUUAACAGAAGAUGAAGGGUUGAUAUGGACCAACAGACUUUUUGGUUGACUAUGAAGGAACUCCUUGUUGGUAGUGAUAUAUUUUUUGGCAGUCCCUUGGAUAUAUUUUUCAACAGAUUGAAAGGUGGAUGCUAUCCUCCAAAAGUGGGUUGUUUUAGAGAAGGUUUAGAAUUCUUGCAAAGGAUAAAGUAUUAUCAUUCUAUGAGAUUUUACCAUGACAACAUGACAUAAAUGUUCAUAAACAUGAGGAAGAUAUGGGCUCACUGCAAAAUGAGCACUGGUGUUGAGGAAAGGAUUUAUUUGUAGACAAGGAAAAAACUGUAAACUGAUUUGCUUGAUCUUAAUACAUAUCCUGAGAAUGGGUUUUUAUUAUGUAAAGAGGUGAACCCAGAACCAGUCACAAAUCAAUUGUCAAGGCAAACAAAGUCUGUGAAAAGCAGAAGGGAAAAUGCUUAACUCAACAAACAACAUACUAUGGCACAUGGAGUGGUAUUUUGAGGUGACAAUACUAACUGAUAAGGCCACUAAGGUACACACUACGACCCUCUACCCCACUGACAUGAUUACUUUAUGGUGGCGUUUGGAGGUAUGUCGAUAUAGAAAAAGGCACAUGCAUUAUAGACAAAUAAGAUGCCUUUAAGACUAAGUUAGUGCCUAAGACACCUCUCAACACAAGGUUAAUGUACGUAGAAACCUAUGUGAAUGACAAGCCCACCAAGGCCAUGGUGGACAAGGGUGCCACACACAAUCAUCUUUGUGGAUGAGGUAAAGAAACUAAAGCUCCAUAUAUCCAAGGAAGCUCAAUGGCUUACGGGAGUCAAUUUUGCUACCAAGCCACUCUAAGAUAUUGUAGCAUGAGGGGUUACCCUACAUAUUGACAUUUGGGAAGGCAAGAUGGACUUUAUAGUGGCACUGAUGCACGACUUCAACGUUGUGUUAGGGAUGGACUUCCUAUGCUAGGUAAAGAUAGUGCGACUAUCCUUCCUAUGUUCCAUAAUAUCUUGGAGAAGGAGACACCAUCUGUAGUCCCUAUGGUCACCAAAGGUAUGCUCAAAACCCUUUUGUUAUCAGCUAUGCAAGUGAAAAAGGGGUUAAAGAAGAAGUAGGUGACCGACUUGGCAACACUUAAGGAGGGGACUCCUUACCCAAGGCAAUCAAGGGAAUCCUUGACAAGUUUAAUUAAGGGCAUGAUACUGCCUAAGCUGCUUAAAAGGCUCCCUCAAAGAGGAAAAAAGAUCAUCAGAUUGAGUUGGUAGUUAAGCCUUAGCUAGUUGGAGAAGAUAACUUCAUAGAUACAUCCAAAAUCAUCCUCUACUUCAUAUCUAUUCCAUAUACAAUAUAUUUGUUAUUGAGACUGUAUUUGAUUCUUCAAAAGUUUAAGGAAAACGAAAAAUAAGAAAAAGAAUUAAUUUCUUUUUCAUGAAAAAAUCGAGAAAAUUAAACAUUUAAAAGAAAAAAAAAUACAUUUUUUCAACUUUUCUUAUGUCUAAUUCUAAGCAAAGUGAGAAGAAAUUAAAACUAUUUAACAUAUUUCUCUUUUAUUUUUGUGAUAUUUUCCUUAUCCUUUCUUUAUAUUAUUUAAACGUAAGAAAAUUACUUUCUUUUAUGGUCUUAUUUGUCUCUUUUUGAUACUUUUUAAGAAACCAAAUACCCUAAAAAAAAUUAUUGAAUUUGAUUUAAUACCUAUUUUUAUAUUACUCAAUUACCAAAACUUGUGGAACAUCCCGACCCAAAUCCAUGGCUAUUUAUAUGAUUUAAUUUGAAAACUAUAAUAUUUAAUUAAUAAUCCUAGAAAGGAUUAUCCAAGUUGACCCACAUGAUGCCCUACAUUUAUAUACAUAUUGUAAAUCGUAAUCACUUCCCUCAUUUUGAUGACUUUUAUAUAUGGAGACCAUGCUACCGUGUAGUUGUUGAUAGAUGACUUUCAUUCCCACUCGGUUCAACCUUGAAAACAUUGGCCUAGUUAAACCAUCUUUCUUAGAAAACCACAAUGCCACUAGUCAACCGUCACCAGGGACUACAAAUUAAUCAACAAAAACGAUACAUAUAAAACAAAAACGUUCAUUCCUUGUUUGAAAAAUGGGAUUCACUUGUAGGAAAAUUCUCUUCAUGAUGCUAUUUACUUUCCUAGUUUUCUCAGGUUGGAGGAUCGGAGAAGUUGAAGCAAUGAGGCCUUUGCAUGGCGGAGAGCAAUGGGCUGAGAGAAAUGGUUUGUUGCGUCAGUCCCUGCAGGCGGGUCGGUGCCACCAUCUGGUCCCAGUCCGUGCACACACAUCCCUGGACAGAGAGGAGGCAGGUGCGCCUUAAAUGAAAUGAACGUACUGGCCAUGUUGGGCUUGCGCCGCUUGCAUUUCCCAAUUUUGUGAUAGAUGUUGUUGUGGCUUCCGUUGCUUAGGAUAACCAUGCUCAAGAUCGAAGCUCGUAGGCUUGGCUUUGGAAUUGGGUUAUUGUAGAUGACCAGCUUCUUCUUUUUCUUUUUUUUCUAUUAUUAUUAUUAUUUUUUUUUUUUUGGGCAUGUGUUGGAGGACCAAUUCUGAAGAAAAGAAAAAGGUGGUCAGGAACUCUCAUAACUGAUGUAACUUCAAAAUGUAUGGAAAUUGAUUUUAUACUUUUUAUUCCAAUGGAUUGUCCCAAAGCUUAAUUUAUACAAAGUUAAAUGGCUUCAAAUCACGUAAGAAAUUCAAUUGAUGGACUAAUUUUUUUUGCUAAGAAAUUAAGAAUCUUGUUAGGAUGCAACAUGAUUCAUGUAUGUUUGGUAAUUCUUUUCAAAAAUAGUUUUUCAUUUUUCAUAACAAAAAAUUGGAAAACAAGUUCGAUAAUUAGAAAAUAGAACAAUGUUUUAAGAAAAUAAAGUAUUUUCAGAAAUUAAUUUAAAAAUAGUUAUAAAAUAUAAAAUAUGAUUAAAGAAUAAAGUACACAGUAAAAAUAAAAUUUAUUUUUAGAACAUAAUUAAAAAUAUAGAAAAUAAAUUAAGAAUAUUUUAGAUUUUCAAAUAGACUUUUAUUUUAUAAAAGAUUAGAAAACAACUUUUGAAAACGAUUUUUCAAAAAACCAAAUUGUAAGUCAAGAGAUUAAGUCAAAAUGAUGCAUCAAAGGUCAUACCUAACUUCAAACUAUGAUUUUCUUAAGAACCCUUUAAUGUUAAGUGUUGUACCAAAGUCAAAUUAAAUUCAACUUAAAUCAAUAAGUAUUAAGUUUUACCAAACACCCUUUAAUGUUAUAACUUAAAGGUAAAAAUAAUUUUAACCAUUAAGUCAAAAUGAUUAACUUAUUUUAAAUAAUCGAUUUCCUUUUGUCCAUAUACACAUCCAAUGAAAAUAUCUUUUAUGUCAAUGCCUCCACCGCAUGAUUCAUAUAACUUUUUAACUAAAUAUAUUGUAGUUAUUUUAUGAUUCUACAAGACAUUUAAUAUGAAUGUUUAGCAAAUAAAUUUAUUAUUUAACAAUAAUGAAAGUAAAUCUUAAUGUAAAUUAACAAAGGUAAAUAUGAAUUGAAAUUAAUAAGAAUAAUGCGUUAAUUUGAUGAUUCAAUAAAAAUGUUAACUUUAUUGGAUGACAUUAAUACUUAAAGUAUAAAUUAAAUAAUAAAUUUUAAGUUAACAAUUUAAAAAUAAUUUAGCUUAAAAUAUUAAGUUUUAUCAAACAUUUUGUAAAUCAAAUAAUAUUUGGACAAUUUUAUGCAUAUGUGAAUAGGAUUGCAACUUGAGUCGGUCCAAUUUGUACCCCAUGUAGGGUUCAAGUUGAAGGAUAAACUUUGAAUGGUUUGACUUGGGUUGGAAAAAUAUCAAUUUAAAAAUAUUAGGAUAGGUGUGGGUUCAAGAUUCAAGCAAUCUACCAAAACCCGAACCCGCACAUAAUUAUUAAUUAUAAAUUGAAGCAAUUGGAAAGUUAUAUAUACCUUGCCAUAAAAAUUUCUUAAAAUUGCACACACACCUGAGUUCCCAAGGAUCACAAUUUGAUAAUAUAUUGAGUUUUCAUCUAGUAAGAAGAUUCAGGGGUAGAUUGACCCAUAUGCAUGGAGAUGGAACGUUUGCAUAGUCACAAGCCAAGAGAUGAUUAACAGUACCUGUAAUUCCAAAUGAUGGUCUUUUCUCUAGAAAUAGGCACAUGAGCACAUACCAUAUGUCUCAUAUACCACCUCAAUGUUGAUCAAAACUCACUUGAUUAAAAAUAAAUAAAUAAAUAAAUAAUCAAAGAAGAAAUUAAAAUCCAUCUAUGCAUGACUCCUUGUAUUUAAGCAAAGUCAGAAGAGACCAAAUUUUAAGUCGAAAAGGAAGUCAGGAAGAUGAAUUAUUACAAAAGUCAAAUUUCAAAUGAUAUUUUUGUGCGUAAACAGCGGCCACCUAUGACUCCAUGUAUCGUUAAUCGAACUAUGUUGGGAAACUUUAGAAUUGGGUUUGAAUCCAUUUUUAAGUCUUCUAUGUAAUCGACCCUCACUCUCCGUUUUCCUCCUCUCUUUUUUGGAUCACAUGCUGAGAAUGAAAUUACCUUUGAAACGUUCCAUUGAAUUUUGGAAGUCAAAUAAAUAAGAGAGCAUAGUCACAGAAAAUUGCUUCCAAAGUAAUAUCCUCUGCUCCGUAGACCACUCCAUUGAAAUCAACGCUGACCUAUUGAUCUAAAAAUUGGGCUAUAGAUUUUUAUAUUCUUCUAGAGACGAAUACCAUAUUUUUUCAAGAAUUGCAGUCCCUUUCCUAAAAUAUGUGGAGACAAAAAUGAUGAAAAAGAAAAAAAAACACAUUAAUUAGAUAUGAAACAAUGAUGCUAAUUUUGGGAUGAGUAGGUAAGGUCGGAGAUGGUUAGACACCGGCAUAAGUCUCAAGACAAGUAAAGCCCAACGAUGCGUGUAUUAUGUGGGAUGAGUCCAACUCCACGGAAAGUUAAGCCUGAAGAAGAAUAUGAUUGAUUGACUGACAUCAAGAUUAAAUUGAUCUUAUUUACAGCAAAUUGGUUUAUAGCUAAUUAAGCCAUUGAUCCCAAUAAGUGAUAUUAAUUACAGCUAGGUCAUGGGUUAGAGUAGCAAGAGCCCCAUGUUGGACAGGGAAAAACCGUAAGGUGACAGAUUUGCUUGAUCUUAAUACAUAUCCUGUUGAUGGGUUUUUAUUAGGUAAAGAGGUGAACCCAGAACCAGUCCAUGCACACACAUCCCUGGACAGAGAGGAGGCAGGUGCGCCUUGAACCUGCAUUUUCCCAAUUUUGUGAUUGAUGUUGCUGUGGCUUCCGCUACUAAGGGUGGCCAUGCUCAAGAUCGAAGCUCGUAGGCUUGUUUUAGGAGUUGGGUUUUUUGCAUCUAUCCAUUUCCUUUUUUUUUUUUUCUUCUUUUUAUGCCAAUGGAUUGUCGCAAAGCUUAAUUUAAAGAUUAAGUUAAAUGGCUUCAAAAUAUGUACUUUGAUAGAAAGACUAAUUUUUUUGUUAAGGAAUUAAGAGUCUUGUUAGGAUGCAAGAAGAUUUAGGUAUGUUUGAUAACUGCUUUUGAAAAUAGUUUUCUAUCUUUUAUAAUAAAAAACCGGGAAACAAGUUUGAUAAUUAGAAAACAAAACACAGUUUUAAGAAUACAAACUAUUUUUAAAAAUUAUUUUAAAAAAAUCAUUAAAAAUAAAAUUUAUUUUAAGAAUAUAUUUAAAAAUAUAGAAAAUAUAGAAAACAAAUUAAGAACAUUUCAAGUUUUCAAAAAAACUUUUGCUUUAUAAAACGUUAGAGAACCAUUUUUAAAAACUGUUUUAGAAAACCAUUUUUCAGCAUUAUUUUUUAAAAUACUUCUUGAAGAAAGCCUUAGUCUUACAAAUUUUUAUUUUGACAUGAAUGUCAAAUUUCUAUUAGGAAUAAACAUAUAUCAAAGCUUUAAUUUUGUGCAACCAAAUUUGACUUAUUAUCUUGCUGUAUGUGGCUAUCACUAUCCAAUUCAUUGAGAUAAAACCAGACACUAAAUAGAGAUUUUGGGAAUUAUUUUCAAAAUAAGGACAAGUACAAAUUAAUUCUCCUUGAUAUACCAUAAAUUAGAGAGAUGUUUUAUAAAGUAAUAGAAUACUAAAUUAAAUAGAAGUUAGAUCAAACAAUUGUAAGUCAAGAGAUUAAGUCAAAAUGAUACAUCAAAGGUCAUACCUACUAUUAAGAAAACCUACUAUUGAAAAACAAUUGAAAAACCUAAUACUAGUCGUCUUCAAAAUGUCUUAGCAGUGGGAUGGUAAGGAUUUUGAUUGAAAAACCUACUAUUCCUAGUGUCCGAAAUGCUUGUCUUAUCAGGACAAAUCCACCCUAUGUUGAUAUAUAUGUAUAUAUAUAUAUAUAUAUAUAUAUUCUACUUUCCAAUCAAAGUAAAUCACUGAUUAAUGGACUAUCAAGUUUUAGACGUUUAAAAGAUCAAUGGCCAUCAGAAAAGAAAUAAUCAAAAAUUUGUUCAUGAUUCAAUUAAUUUUCUUCUUUUUUUUAUUUUUGUAUCAUGAAGUGUACAAACUUCACAUGGUUACAGCACACAUCAAGAGCCAAAGUAAUACACAGAAACGCAUAGAACUUGUCCAUGUUAUUCGUUGAACACAAACUUCAUCAAAAGAUGAAAAAUAGAAUACAGUUACUAAAGCUCAAAUGACCUGCAAAUCAGUUUAUUCAGAUGAAAACCACGACAAUAAACUACAUAUACUUGGAGCUGAUGGCUUGUAAAAAUGUCACUUGUGCAUGGUAGCCUUGACAGCCGGAGCAGUGGCAUGUGCUCUUGCAGGAGAUGCAGGUGGAUGUUUGCAAGGAGGGCCUUCAACGGGGGUUUUCCCACAUGGAUUUUGGCCAGAAGGAGGGACAGGACCACUUUGCUGAACCCUAGCAGCAUUGUGUGGCUGGACACUCAGAAGAAAAACAAGGGCUAUGACAGUAAAAACAACGUUGAGAAACCUCAUGAUAGUCUUGGUGAUGAGGCAAACAGGAGAUGAACUAAAAAUUAAUUGGAUAUGUAGAUUAUAUGCAUAUGAAGAGGAGAUGGUGUUAGUUGUUAUUUAUAAGCAUGCAUAUCCAAUGUAAUCACUUUAAUUUUUAAUUGUUUGAUUUGUUUGAAGGGUUUGGAUUCUUGACUAAUAGGUUUUGGCACGAGAUGACUGGAAAUUGAAUGGUCAUAAAGGAGAAACUGCCCUUGAAUUACCUGAAUGCAUAUCAAAGUUUAAUUUCUCAUUUCAUUCUUACAUUCACACCAAGGGUUUACUUGAAUUGAUGAUGGUUGAAACUUUGGAGUUUGGUCACAGUUCUGGAUGUUAAACUACUUUUUCUCGCAACAUAUAGUCCUUGUUACGAUGGCAGAAGCUUUCAUGUAAACAUCAUUAAUCAAGAAUAUAAAGAUAAAAUAAUUAACACAAACGAUACACGAGGUUUUAAUGUGGUUUGGCCAACCAUGCCCAUGUCUAUAGAUGAGAGAAUUAUUUCACUAUAAAAUAAAGAACAUUACAGAGGACAUAACCCGAUACAAUUAUUGGGUUCCCAAAACAUCCCAUGUUUCUCCACUCUUCAUAUCCCUACCCUAUCACGAGUCUUCUUGCUCCACCGAGUACCUCCCAUUCUUCCUCACACCUCUAUUCACCUCAUAUAGUCUUUACAGGCCCAUCUUCAUCUCAUAAUUUUUUUCUCCUCACGACUUAGAAUAUUUAUAGAGAUAUUUCCAACAACCUUCCUUAUUCUAAGUCUAAUAUUACAAUAAUAUAUCAAUCCAAAAAUAUUCAAUAUAAUAUUUUUUACAAAAAAGAAAUCUAUACUAAUUAGAAAUUUGGGACACUUCUUAACAAUCUCCACCUUAGACCAAAUUCCAUGAAGUCAAUCUUCAAACUCUCCAUGACACAAACUUUUUUGUAUUAUAUCACUAUGAGAGAGCAAUCGACUCUACCUUCACUGAAAAUUCCUUUUGCCUUCAUCUUGUGUGCUCCGUGGUUUUUUAAUCUUCCAUAAAUCUUCAACCCAAUAUCUUGUACCAAUUUGUUAUGACAGCGAAAGCUUUCAUGCAAACAUCGUUAAUCAAGAACACAAACAUAAAACAAUAACACAUACGAUACACGAGUUUUUAAUAUAGUUCGACCAACCAUGCUUACGUCAACGGAUGAGAGAGAAUCAUUCCACUAUACAAUAAAGAACAUUACUGAGGACAGAACCAGAACAUUACAAAGCACAUAACCAGAUACAAUUAUUGGCUUCUCGAAACAUCCCAUGUUUCUUUACUCUUCGUAUCCCUACCUUAUCAUGAGCUUCUCACUCCAUCGGGCAACUCUCAUUCUUCCUCAUAUUUUUAUUCACCUCGUAUAGUCUUUAUAGGCCCAUCUUCAUCUCAUAACUUUUUCUCCUCAUGACUUAUAAUAUUUAUAGAGAUAUUUCCAACAACCUUUCUUAUUCUAUAAGGAAGUCUAAUACUACAAUAAUAUAUCAACCUAAAAAUGUUCUAUAUAAUAUUCUCUACAAAAAAAAAAAAUCUAUACUACUUAGGAAUUUGGGGACACUUCCUAACACUCCAAAUAAGAAUUGAUCAAUUCUAUGGACAUGAUUCCACUCAAAUGCACCAGCUUUAAUUUCCAUCAUCAAGACCUAAGACACAAUGCUUGCCCUUUCAAAUUGGGCCAUCAUUUGGGUGUGUAUCUGCAUAUACAUUCCAUUUGCACACCACCACAAAGCUUGUUUAUGAUUUUGUUUUCUUUUGUUCAAAUCUCUUGAGAAAAUGCAAGAAAAAUGUGUAUAAAACUUUUCUCCCUUUUUCCCCAAAGGCACACGAUACAAGAGAUAAUUAGAUUGGUUGGAUGUUGGGUUUUGAUCAAUAUAUGUAUAUACAUUGACCAAGGGUGAAACUCAUAACACAUCAAACUAGGUCUACUAACAUGCAUGCUAAAUUAUCAAUAAAGUUCAAAAUAUUAAGUUGUAAUAAAUUUAUGCACCGAUGAUGAAUAUCAAGAUGCAUGAUCUAUACUCAUUAUUUUCAACAUACACAUGAAUUUAAAUUUUUUUAUUUUAUUUUAUUAUUAUUUAAAUAAAUAAAAAAAAGCAUUCUAGCUAAAAGCUAAUCAUACAACACAAACAAUGCAAUAAGUGAGCAUUAAUUUGGCUCAUGUUGUCGUGUUAUACACACACAAAUACCCAUGUUACAAGAUGAUAAGUUUGGCAUUACUAUUCAAAUAUUCCAAGUUUGAUAUAGCAAAAGCCAAGUAGAUUUUGUUUGACUUGGAUCAACAAUACGCAUGGUUUACAAAAAUUUCCUAUGCUCCUUGGACUUUCUACUCGUUUCUUGACUUUUCUUUGAGGACAAAUCAUAGUAACUAGCUUUUUUAAUCUAAACCUCUAAAAAUGAGUAUGAUUCAUAUAGAUUAGCAUGUCUAUUCCACUUGCAUCGGCAAAUAUCUGGUUUAUGAACAUUUGGAGAUGUUAAAAUGUAUAGUAUCUGUUGUGUCAGUGGAAGCUUUAUGCAAAUAAUGUUAGUUCAAGAACAUAAAAAUAAAACAAUCCUCACAAGGUUACAUGAGAUUUUAACAGGAUUUGAAUAAUCAUGCAUUGAUCCUUAGCCCCUUGACAUUAAAACUAUCACAUCCUUGCAAGGUCAAAAGAUUUGGGUUAGUAUGGGCCUCUCAACAGCCCAAUUGCUUUGAUUUCUUCUUCCCAUAUAUCCAUAAAAUAUAUAACGAAAAUAUAGAAAAAAUAUAUAUGCAAAGACAACAAAAUCUGUUCAACCCAAAAGAAAAAAGAAAAUAAAAGACCUGCAUGCUUUAAAAUUUGAUUCACAAAUUUGAAAAGUUCAAUUACAGGGCAAAUCCAUUCUAUGAUAAUAUAUUCUACUUUCUAAUAAAAGUAAAUCACUAAUUAAUAGACUGUUGAGUUUCAGCCAUGCAAAAGAUCAUGAAGCAAAAAUUUGUUCAUGAUUCAACUUUCUUCUUUUUAUUUAUAUAUCAUGAAGUGUACAAACUUCACAUUGUUACAACACACAUCAAGAGCGAAAUUAAUACACAGAAUGCAUAGAACUUGUCUACGAUAUUCGUUUAAUAUAAACGUCAUCAAAAGAUGAAAACAGAAUACAGAUACUAAAUCUAAAAUGACCUGCAAAUCAGUUUAUUCAGAUGACAAACACGACAAUGAACUACGUAUACUUGGAUCUGAUGGCCUGUAAAAAUGUCACUUGUGCAUCGUAACCUUGACAGCCGGAGCGGUGGCAUGUGCUCUUGCAGGAGAUGCAGGCGGGUGUUUGCAAGGAGGGCCUCGAACGGGGGCUUUCUCACAUGGAUUUGGGGUAGAAGGAGUGACCGGUCCCAUCUGCUGAGGACUUUCUGAAAGACCACGUCUUUUCUCUAUCAAGUACUCACGGUUCACUCCUUCAAGAACCCUAGUAGCAUUGUGUGGUUGAACACUCAGAAGAAAUGCAAGUGCUAUGACACUAAAAACAACGUUGAGAAACCUCAUGAUAGUCUUGGUGGUGAGGUAAACAGGCUAGGAGAUGUAAUCGAUUUGAUAUGUGGAUGAUAUGCAUAUGUAGAGGAGAUGGUGUUAUUCGUUAUUUAUAUGCAUGCAUAUCCAAUGGUAUCACUUGGACUUUUCAUUAUUUGAUUUGUUUGAAGGGUUCAAUUCUUGACUAUAAGGUUUUGCCACGAGGUGACUAGAAAUUGAAUGGUCAUAAAGGAGAAACUGUCUUUGAAUUACCUGAAUGGCAAAGUUUAAUUUAUCAUUUCAUUUUACAUUCACACCAAGGGACGACAGUUGUUUAAUGGAGGCUUGCGUUUUGAGAUUACUGUACUGCAGUGGCCUAUCUGCGGAUCGUGGCUUGUACAGUACUGUGUUUUUUAUUAUACCAUUAUUUUGUUCCUAUCUGGAACAAAGUAUAAAGUUUUGAUAGGGACGUGUUUACUUGAAUUGAGGCUUGAAAUUUUGGGAAUUGGUCAGAGAGUUUUGGAUGUUAAGCUGCUUUUUCUCGCAAAAUAAACUGCUAAUUAAGAAUUGAUCAACUCUUUGCAGAUGAUUCCAUUCACAUGCACCGACCUUUCAAAAUGGGGCAUCAUCCGGGGUGUAUAUGCAUGUGCAUACCAUUUCCACACCACCACAGAGCUUGAUCUUGUUUUCUUCUGUUCAAAUCUCUAGAAAAUGCAAGAAAAAUGCAUAUAGAACUUUUCUCCUUUUUUCCCUAAAGGCACAUGAUGAAAGUGUUAAUUGGCCAGGUUGGAUAAGUGAUGGGUUCUCAAAAUAUGUAUAUGUUGAUGACUCAAAGUCGUAGUCUCCGUCAUUAACUUGGGAGGUCUUGAGACACAUUGGCCUUAGUAUCUCUGAUCCAGUAUUGGACAACCAGUAAAAUGUAUAUAAGUAAAUAUACUUUUUAUAAAGUUUUUAGUUUAAUUAUAUUUAACGUGAUUUAAAUAAACAUAAAAAUAUGUUUAUUAUUUUUUGAUAUUAAAAGUUCUUUUAUUUCACAUCUUCAUAUUAAAUUUAAUUAAUUAUAAAAAUUUUCAAUUGUUAAUAUUGAUACAAGUAAUUGUUAAUUUUUUAAGUUAUAAUAUGUUAUUUAAUAAAAUUUAAUUUAUACAUCUAUUAAAUAAGUUAGUAAUUUUUUAAAAUAUAAUUAAAUUAAAUUGUUAUAAUUUAUAUUUACAUUUCAAUUUAUUUCAUUAUAUUCAUUGCCCAUGAUAUAAAUACUACUAUAUUCAUUACCCAUUUUAUAAAUACCCUAACACACAUUGGUAAACACAUUACCUCAUUACCCAAGACCCAUUUCUUCAUCCUCCCCUUCCUCUUCUUCUCUUUCAAACCUUUUUUAUUUUCCUUUAUUUGCAACGGAGUGAAUGGGAAUAAAACCAUCCUCCCAGUCCUCUUCUUCUCUUUCAAACCAUUUUUUUUCUUUAUUCUCUUUCAAACCCAUUUUUUUUUCCAACUAGGUGAAUGAGAAUAAAACCAUUCUCCUCGUCCUCUUUUUCUUUGUCAAACCUUUUUUUUUCUUUCUCUGCAAUUAGGUGAAUGAUAAUAAAUCCAUCUGCAAUUGAUUCUCCUUAAGGCUCAAUUUCUAGGCUGCUUCUCAUUUCGAAUUGAUCUAGACCAUCUUCGAGUCAAACUCAAAUAUCGGUGUCAUAGUAGGCUUGCCCAUGGUGGAUACUUCUUGGCUAAGUCAUAUUUGUCUCGAUCGAUACUUUGGAACUUUGUAUAUGCCUUAAUCGAGGGUGAAAUUCAUGACACAUAAAACUAGGUCUACUAACAUGCAUGUUAAAUUAUCAAUAAUGUGCAAAAUAUUAAAUUGUUAAUUUAUGCACCAAUGAUAAAUAUCAAGAUGCAUGAUCUAUACUCAAAGUAAUCAAAGACCAAGGAAGGUACAUAGUAAUUUUUUACAUGGAAAACCCUCACAUUAAUUGUGGAGACAAAAAAACCUUAAGACCUCUAAUCUACAAUUCACUAUUUGAGAUCAAAGUAUACAAAUUUACCUGACCGUUUUACCCUGAAGACUUACUCUUCAACACCUAUACUUUGAUUCACAUCUACGAUGUAGUACCUCCAAUACUUCAAUGGAUUCCUCUCAGCUUUUGAGGGGAUACAAAUCCUUCUAACAACCUAGAAUUCAACCCUGUAAAUUCUUUCUUGAGAAAUUGGGAAUAAUAGGGCAAGUUGGUUGAUUCUCAAAGUGUCCAACCCAAAAACAUAUUUAGGUAGGGUAUAUAUAGGCCUAAGACCCCAGAGAGUUAGAAACGAAAUUUUCUUAAAAAGUAAAAUAUCAACUUUCCAAAAUUAAUUACCAAAAGAAUUUUAUUUUAUUUUAAAUUAAAUAAUAAACUUUCUAAAAAUUAAUUAAAAAAUAAAAUAUCAACUUCUAAAAAAUGUAUUAAGAAAAGAAUUUCUUAAAAAAAAAUCAACUUUCUAAAAAUUAAUUAAAAAUAAAAUCUCAAAGUUGUCAAAAAUUAAUAAAGACAUUUUAACUCAAUUUAAAACUUCCAAAAAAAUUAAUUUGCCUUCAAAUAAUAUUUCAGACUUAUUUGUGACUACCUGGUUGAACACAAAACAACCUUGAAUCUUCAAUAGAAAGUAAGUUAUUAUCUAAAAAGAUUUCUAAGCCAAAAUAAAAAGGAAUAAAAUUGUUAAUACAUAAAAAUAUCAUAACACCGUGAGAAACAAAAAUGAUGAAAAAGGAAAAAACAUAUUUAUUAGGUAUGCGACAAUGCUUCUGAUUUUGGGAUGAGUAUGAAAGAUCGGAGAUUGUUAGACACUACUAUAAGUCUUUAGGAUGAAUAUGAAUGAAUGACAUCAAGCCACAUAAAGAGAAUUAACUUAAUCUCACUGAUAUUUAAUUGGUUUUAAGAUGAUAUGGUUAAGUUUUUUAUUCUAACAAGUGGUAUUAGAGCCAUGUUUUAAGGUUGGAGUUGCAAAAGCCUAAUCUGGGAGGAGGGAUUAUUAGGUAUGCAACAAUGUUGCUCCAAGAAAAAAAUGACCUUGGGAUAAGUGUUUAAUGCUGGAGAUGAUUAUACACCACUAUAAUCCUCAAAAUAAGUAUAGUCAAUUGGUUUUUUGAUGAGAUAACUCUAGGAUCCUAACAAGGUUUUAAUUUCAUAGAUUUUUCUAUAAAGGAAUUUAUAAAUGGCAUAACCAUUUCAAGAAACUCGCUGAAGUGGACACAUGAAACUGAAGUCCAUCAGUUUACAUUGGCUUUGCAUUCCUCGAUCAAGGUGGCGCAAUCUGUGUAAUCGGUGAACUCUCAGGGCCCAAUCUGUGCAGAAGCCAACACCAUAAAAAAGGGAUAUUAAAAGCUAUCAUCCUUACCCCAUCGAAAGAUUUGGGUUAGUUUGAGCCUCUCAAGAGCCAAAUUGCUUCUAUGUCUUCUCCCAAGAGAUCCAUAAAUAUAGAUGAAAAAAGGGGAUAAACCUAUAUGCAAAGACAAAUAACAAGUUUGUUCAACCCAAAAGAAAAAAAAGGGACAUGUAUGCUAUAAAAUCUGAUUGAAAAACUUAAUACUAGUCGUCUUCAAAAUGUCUUACCAGUGAGAUGGUCAGGAUUUUGAUUGAAAAAUCUACUAUCCCUAGUGUCCAAAAUGCUUGUCUGAUAAAAUCCACUCUAUGUUUAUAUAUAUAUGUUCUAAUUUCCAAUAAAAGUUAAAUCACUGAGUAAUGGACUAUUAAGUUUUAGACGUUCAAAAGAUCAAUGAUCAUCAGAAAAGAAACAAGCAAAAAUUUGUUCAUGAUUCAAAUUUACUUUCUUUUUAUUUUUGUAUCAUGAAGUGUACAAAUUUCACAUGGUUACAGUACACAUCAAGAGCCAAAGUAAUACACUGAAACCCACAGAACUCGUCCAUGUUAUUCGUUGAACACAAACUUCAUCAAAAGAUAUAAAAUAAAAUACAGAUACUAAAGCCAAAAUUACCUGCAAAUCAGUUUUUUCAGAUGACAAACACGACAAUAAACUACGUAUACUUGCAGCUGAUGGCUUUUAAAAAUGUCACUUGUGCAUGGUAACCUUGACAGCCGGAGCGGUGGCAUGUGCUUUUGCAGGAGAUGGAGGCCGGUUUUUGCAAAGCGGGCCUCCAACGGGGAUUUUCUCACAUGAAUUCGGGGCAGGAGGGACAGGACCCAUAUGCUGAGGAGUUUCUAAUAGACUAGGUCUAUUUUUUGCUUGAAUUCAGGCUUGAAAUUUUGGGGUUUGGUCACAGUUCUGGAUGUUUUAAGCUGCUUUUUCUCCUAACGUAUAUUCCUAAUUAAUAAUUGAUCAACUCUUUGUAGAUGAUUCCACUCACAUGCACCAACCUUUCCUUUAUCGUCAAGACCUGAGACACAAGGCAUGUCCUUUCAAACUGGGGCAUCAUCUGGAUGCGUAUAAGCAUAUACAUACCAUUUCCACAUCACCACAAAGCUUGUUUAUAAUCUUGUUUUCUUCUGUUCAAAUCUCUGGAGAAAAUGCAAGAAAAAUGCAUAUAAAACUUUUCUCCCUUUUUACCUGAAGGCACACGAUACAAGUGUUAAUUGGGUUGGUUAGGUGAUGUCUUUUCAGUAUAUGUAUAUACCUUAACCUAGGGUGAACUCAUAACACGUAAAACUAGGUCUACUAAUUAAUACAUGCAUGUUAAAUUAUCAAUACAGUUCAAAAUAUUAAAUUGUUAAUUUAUGCACCAAUGAUGAAAUGAGCACUAGUGUUGAGGAAAGGAUUUAUUUAUGGACUAGGAAAAACUGCAAGGUAACUGAUUUGCUUGAUCUUAAUACAUAUCCUGAGGAUGGGUUUUUAUUAGGUAAAGACAGUGAACCCAGAACCAGCCCAUGCACAUACAUCCCUGGACAGAGAGGAGGCAGGUGUGCCUUGAAUGAAAUGAACGUAGCUGGCUGUGUUGGGUUUGCGCCGCCUGCAUUUUCCCAAUUUUGUGAUAGAUGUUGCUGUAGCUUCUGCUACUAAGGAUGGCCAUGCUCAAGAUCGAAGCUCGUAGGCUUCUUUUUGGAGUUGGGUUUUGUGCAUCUCAAUGGUAGCUGGCAAGCUUUAUUCCUUACCUCUCUUGUGUAUCUAUCUAUCUCUCUCUCUUUUUUUUUGGAGUUGACAUAAAUGUAAACUAUUUUGGAAAACCAUUUUUCAGAAUUAUUUUUGAAAACACUUUUUAAAGAAAGCCUUAGUCUUACAAAUUUUUAUUUUGACAUGAAUGUAAAAUUUUCUAUUAGGAAUAAACAUAUAUCAAAGCUUUAAUUUUGUGCAACCAAAUUUGACUUAUUCUCUUCCUGCAUGUGGCUAUCACUUCCCAAGUCGUUGAGAUAAAACCAGCCAUGGUAUAGAGAUUUUGGGAAUUAUUUUCAAAAUAAGGCCGAGUACAAAUUAGUUCUCCUUGAUGUACUAUAAAUUAGAGAGAUUUUAUAAAGUAAUAAAAUACUAAAUGAAAUAGAAGUUAGAUCAAACAAAUUGUAAGUCAAGAGAUUAAAGUCAAAAUGAUGCAUCAAAGGUCAUACCUAACUUCAAAGUAUGAUUUUCUUAACAACCCUACCCGCCUAUGACAUAUAAAUUAAAUCUUAGAUAAACCUAUGUUUUACAAGUGUUAUAAUUAAGUUUGAAUUUAUUUACAUAUAUAAUAUAUGUUACCCCCAUUCAAGCCUCAUUGUGGAUCAAAAUCUUUGCAACGUAUUAUAGAUUUGGAAAUCAAGUCAGAGAAAACUCUUUCCCCAAGAAGAAUAUGGUGUUUCAUAGACUUUUUUUUUUUUUUUUUUUAAUAAUAAUCUUUUAAUUGCAUUAUUAAGAUAAAUGAAUUUUGUUCUUUUUCUGAAGAAAAGAUGUACAUUAGCUCAUGCAAGAUCGGUAAAAGUGCAUUUGGUAGUGAUUAUAUAAAACGUUUUUAGCCUAAAAAUUUAAAAAAAAAAAUGCUUUCAUAAAAAAACAUUUUAAAUAAAAGUGAUACCAAACACACUUUAAUUUAUCUGAUAUCACUUUUAAAGAUGUCAAACUCUUUUGAAGUUUCAUUUUCAAAAUUUGAAAUAGAUUGUCAAAAUGACUUAUGAAAUCCCAAAUUAUUCUUAAACCAUGCAUUCUACCCUUUAUUAAUGCAAAAGAUAACCAAAGAGCUACUUCAAUCCUAUAUACAAUUAAUGUGAAAACAAAAUAAAUAAACAUGAAAAUAAUAUUGAAAAUAUAUUUCAAAUUUUGAAUUAAAUAUUUAAUUAUUAUAAUAACCAAGUUUAUUGUUUAAAGUUUUUAAGGAAUAAAAAAGGGGUAAUUAUUCCUAAAUUCUCUAAACAUGCCCUAUUAUAUGUUGUAUUUCUUUCCCAAAACUCUACCUAAUGUUUGUGAUCCUAUCUUGCAAAUCUACCCUAAAAAUUGUUGUAAAUGAUAUGUUUAUAUACAAAAUGGAAAAUUCACGACUGAUUAGAUUUUGAAGAUGUCUCUCCUUCAUUUCUCUUUGUUUGUGAUUGACAAAGAUGGAUGACUAAGAUAGUGUUUGAUAAAUCAAUUUAACUAUUUUAUAUAAUUUCAUGACUUAAGUCAUUAUCAGAUUAAGAUAUUAUUUGGUUCGACUUUUAGGAAGUUAAAAACUUUUAUCUAAAAUUAAUAAAAACUUUUAUGUAUGUUUUACAAAUUUUGUUUAAAAAACUUAUGACUUGAAAAAAAAGUUAAUAUGAAAAUAAAAAAAUGUUACUUUUUAUAGAAACAAUAUUUUCAAUUUCAUAUUUAGUGAAACUUUUAUAAUGCUAACACUCAUUUAAAAAUGAUGAUUUUGAUUUCUAUUUCAGCUUUUAAUGAAAGUCAAAUAUAGUAAGUUAUCCCAAACAAGGUUGAAGUAAAUCUAAUAAAAUAACUUAAUGUUCUAACUUAAAUUUAAAAAUAAUUUUAAUUAUUGAGUCAAAAUAAUUAACUUAUUUCAAAUCAUUGAUUUCUUUUCGUCCUAUUUACAAACAUCUAAUGAGAAUAUGUUUUAUGUUAAUGACUCUACGUCUAUGAUUCAUAUAAUUUUUUUAACUAAAUAUAUUAUAGUUAUUUUGAGUCUAUAAGACAUUUAAUAUGAAUGUUUAGCAAAUAAAUUCAUUAUUUAAUAUUAAUGAAAGUAAAUAUUAAUUCAAAUUAACAAGGGUAAAUAUCAAUUGAAAUUAGUAAGAAUAAUGUGUCAAUUUGAUGAUUUAGUAAAAUAUUAACUUUAUUGAAUAACCUUAAUACUUAAAAUAUAAAUUAAAUAAUAAAUUUUAAAUUCACAAUUUAAAAAAUAAUUUAACUUAAAAUCAGCUUAAGUCAUAAGCAAAACAUAUUAAGUUUUGUCAAAUAUUUUGUAAAUCAAACAAUAUUUGGACAAUUUUAUGUAUAUGUGAAUAGGAUUGCAACUUGAGUUGGUUUAAUCUAUGCCCAUGGUCAAACUUUGAAUAAGUUAAGAUUUGACUUGGGUUGGAAAAAUAUCAAUUAAAAAAUAUUAGGGUAGGUAUGGGUUCAAGAUGCAAUCAAUUUGCCAAAACCCGAACCCGCACAUAAUUAUUAAUUAUUAAUUGAAGCAAUUGGAAAGUUAUAUAUAUCUUGCCAUAAAAAUUUCUUAAAAUUGUAGACACACUUGAGUUCAUAGGGGAUCAGAAUUUGAUAAUAUAAUGAGUUUUCAUCUAGUAAGAAGAGUAAGGGGUAGAUUGACCCAUAUGCAUGGAGAUGGAACGUGGAGCUUUUCUCCUAUGAAAAUGGUUUCGUCUGGUCGCCAAAAGAAGGCAUCGAAUUAGGGUUCAAAGUUUGUGCUCCUGUGGAAUUCAAGGCCUUCAGUCUACCCGUUUCCAUUCUCACAAGCCAAGAAACCAGACCCAAUGAUCCAUUCCACAUGGGGUCACGUGGACCUUUUCUCCUAUGAAAAUGUCUUCGUCUGGUUGCCAAAAGAAGGCAUCGAAUUAGGGUUCAAAGUUUGAGCUCCUAUGGAAUUCAAGGCCUUCAGUCUACCCAUUUCCAUUCUCACAAGCCAAAAAACCAAACCAAAUGAUCCAUUCCGCAUGCUCUCUCUCUCUCUCUCUCUGUGCUUUUUCUUAACUUGCAACACCGUUUGCAUGGUCAGAAGCCAAGAGACAAUUAACAGUACCUGUAAUUCCAAAUGAUGGUCUUUUUUCUAGAAAUAGGCACAUAAAUAUAUACCAAAUGUCUCAUAUACCACCUCAAUGUUUGUUUCCCUAGGCUGAUCAAAACUCACUUGAUUAAAAAAAAAAAAAAAAAGAUAAUCAAAGAAGAAAUUAAAAUCCAUCUAAUAUUAGUCAUUAACAAAGACAGUAGAGACCAAUUUUUAAGUUCAAAAGGAAGUCUGGAAGAUGAAUUAUUACAGAAGUUAAAGUCAAAUUUCAAACCAAAUGUUGGGAAAGAUUUAGAAUUGGGUCACUCUCCAUUUUCUUCCUAUCAUUCCUGGAUCACAUGUUGACAAUGAAAUUACCUUUGAAACAUUCCAUUGAUUUUUGGAAGUCAAAUAAAUAAGACAGUAUAGUCACAGAAAACUGCUACCAAAAUAAAGCCCAACGAUGCGUGUAUUAUGUGGGAUGAGUCAAACCCGACAGAAAGUUAAGCUUGAAGAAGAAUAUGAUUAAAUUAACUUGAUCUUAUUGAUAAUUAAUCGGUUUACAGUUAAUUAAGUCCUUGAUCAUAAUAAGUGAUAUUAAUUAGAGCUACAUCAUGGGUUAGAGUUGCAAGAGUCCCAUGUUGGGAAAGAGAUUGUUAAGUAUGCAAUAUUGGGAGCUCAUGUUCGGGGAGGGAUUGUUAGAUAUGCAAUGCUACUCCUGAAAAGAAAAAAAAAAAUGGACCCUAGGAUGAGAUACCACUAUAAGCUCUAACAAGAUUUUAGCUUCAUAGAUUUUCUAUAAAAGAAUUUAUAAUUGAGUGGCAUAAAUUAACAUUUCAAGAAAUAAAUUGAGAUGGGUUUACAUUCCUCAUGGUGGGGCAAUCUGUGUAAUCUGUAAACUCUCCGAUCCCAUCUAUGAAGAAGCCGAAGCCAUGACAAAGGAAUAUUAAAAAUUAUUGUAGCAAUCCUUACCCUGUCGACAUUAAAAAUAAUUGUACCCUUACCCCAUAGAAAGAUUUGGGAUAGUUUGGACCUCUCAAGAGCCCAAUUGCUUUUAUGUCUUCUCCCAAUAGAUCCAUAAAUAUAGAUGAAAAAAAAAUAGGACAAACAUAUAUGCAAAGACAAAGAACGAGUUUGUUCAACCCAAAAGAAAAAAAGGGGACAUGCAUGCUAUAAAAUUUGAUUGAAAAACCUAAUACUAGUCAUCUUCAAAAUGUCUUAGCAGUUGGAUGGUAAGGAUUUUGAUUGAAAAACCUACUAUUCCUAGUGUCCAAAAUGCUUGUCUUAUCAGGGCAAAUCCACCCUAUGUUGAUACAUAUAUAUUCUACUUUCCAAUAAAAGUAAAUCGCUGAUUAAUGGACUAUAAAGUUUUAGACGUUUAAAAGAUCAAUGACCAUCAGAAAAGAAACAAGAAAAAAAUUUGUUCAUGAUUCAAUAAAUUUUCUUCUUUUUAUUUUUGUAUCAUGAAGUGUACAAACUUCACAUGGUUACAGCACACAUCAAGAGCAAAAGUAAUACACAGAAACGCAUAGAACUCGUCCAUGUUAUUCGUUGAACACAAACUUCAUCAAAAGAUGAAAAAUAGAAUACAGAUAUUAAAGCCCAAAUGACCUGCAAAUCAGUUUAUUCAGAUGACAAACACGACAAUAAACUACGUAUACUUGGAGCUGAUGGCUUGUAAAAAUGUCACUUGUGCAUGGUAGCCUUGACAGCCGGAGCGGUGGCAUGUGCUCUUGCAGGAGAUGUAGGUGGAUGUUUGCAAGGAGGGCCUUCAAUGGGGGUUUUCCCACAUGGAUUUGGGCCAGGAGGAGGGAGAGGACCCCUUUGCUGAACUCUAGCGGCAUUGUGGCUGGACACUCCGAAGAAAAACAAGUGCUAUGACAGUAAAAACAACGUUGAGAAACCUCAUGAUAGUCUUGGUGGUGAGGCAAACAGGCUAGGAGAUGAAAUAAAAAUAAAUUGGAUCUGUAGAUGAUAUGCGUAUGAAGAGGAGAUGGUGUUAAUUGUUAUUUAUAAGCAUGCAUAUCCAAUGUAAUCACUUGGAUUUUUCAUUGUUUGAUUUGUUUGAAGGGUUUCGAUUCUUGACAAUUGGGUUUUGCCACGAGGUGACUAGAAAUUGAAUGGUCAUAAAAGAGAAACUGCCCUUGAAUUACCUGAAUGGCAAAGUUUAAUUUCUCAUUUCAUUUUACGUUCACACCAAGGGACGACAGGUGUUUAAUGGAGGCUUGCGUUUCAAGAUUACUGUACUGCAGUGGCCCAUCUUGGGAUCGUGGUCUGUACAGUACUGUGUUUUUUUAUUAUACCGUAAUUUCUUCCUAUCUGGAGCAAAGAAUGAAGUUUUGAUAGGGAUGUGUUUACUUGAAUUGAGGCUUGAAAUUUUGGGAUUUGGUCACAGAGUUCUGGAUGUUAAGCUGCUUUUUCUCGUAACAUACACUGCUAAUUAAGAAUUGAUCAGCUCUUUGCAAAUCAUUCGGCUCGAAUGCACCGACCUUUCCAUUAUCGUCAAGACCUAAGACGCAGUGCGUGUCCUUUCAAAAUGGGGCAUCAUCCGGGGUGUAUACGCAUAUGCCUACCAUUUCCACACCACCACAAAGCUUGUUUAUGAUCUUGUUUUCUUCUGUUCAAAUCUCUUGAGAAAAUGCAAGAAAAAUCCAUAUAAAACUUUUCUCCCUUUUUCCCCAAAGGCACAUGAUAAAAGUGUUAAUUGGGUUGGUUAAGUGAUGGGUUCUCAAUAUAUGUACAUACAUAUGGUUCAACAUCAUAGUCUAAGUCAUUAACUUAGGAGGUCUUGAGGCACAUCGGUGUAUCUCUGAUUAGUAUCGGAUGACAGUCAAAAUGUAUAUAAUUAAAUAUACUUUUUAUAAAAUUUUAAGUUUAAUUAAAUUUAAUAUUGUUUAAAUAAACAUAAAAAUAUGUUUAUUAUUUUUUAAUAUUAAAAGUCUUUUAUUUAAUAUCUUUAUAUUAAAUUUAUUUAAUUAUAAAAAAUUUCAAUUGUUAAUAUUGAUACAAGUAAUUAUUAUUUUUUUUAGUAAUAUGUUAUCUAAUAAAAUUUAAUUUAUGCAUCUUAUUUAAUUGUAUUAAAAAAAGUUAGUUAUUUAUUUAAAAUAUAAUUAAAUUAAAUUUUUAUAAUUUAUAUUUCAUGAUUUAUAUUUACAAUUCUAUUUAUUUCAUUAUAUUCAUUACCCAUGAUAUAAAUACCACUAUAUUCAUUACCCAUUUUAUAAAUACCCUAUCACCCAUGGAUAAAUCCAUUAGCUUAUUACCCAAGACCCAUUUCUUCAUCUUCACUAUCCUCUUCUUCUCUUUCAAACCUCCUUUUUUUUUUUUCUUUCUUUCUUUGCAAUAGGAUGAAUGGGAAUAAAACCAUCCUCCACAUCCUCUUCUUCUCGUUCAAACCCUUUUUUUUUCCAAUUAGAUGAAUGAGGAUAAAACCAUCCUCCCCAUCCUCUUCUUCUCAGUCAAACCUUUUUUUUCUUUCUCUACAAAUAGGUGAAUGAAAUUAAAACCAUUUGUGAUUGAUUCUCCUCAACUCAAGUUCUAGGUUGCUUCUCAUUUUGAAUUGAUUCACACCAUCUUCGAGUCAAACUCAAAUAUCGAUUUCAUAGGGGGCUUGCCCAAGGCGGAUACGACUUGGUUGAGUUGCACUUGUCUCAGCCAAUACUUUGGACCUUGUAUAUACCUUAACCGAGGGUGAAAUUCAUAGCUUAUAAAACUAGGUCUACUAACAUGCAUGUUAAAUUAUCAAUAAAGUUCAAAAUAUUAAAUUGUUAAUUUAUGCACCAAUGAUGAAUAUCAAGAUACAUGAUCUAUACUCAAAGUAAUCAAAUAUCAAGAUACACAGUAAUUUUUUAUGUGGAAAACUCUCACAUUAAUUAUGGUGAUAAAAAACCAUGGGGCUUAAGACCUCUAAUUUACAAUUCACUAUUUGAGAUUAAAUUCAGUACACAAAUUUACGUGAUCGUUUUACUCUAAAGACUUACUAUUUAGCACCUAUACUUCGAUCCACAUAUGCGAUGUAGUACCUCCAAUACUUCAGUGGAUUCCUCUUAACUUUUAAGGGGAUACAAAUCCUUCUAACAAAACCUAGAAUUCAAUCUUGUAAAUUCUUUCUUGAGAAAUUGGGAAUAACAGGGCAAGUUGGUUGAUUUUGAAAGUGUCCAACCCAAAAACAUAUUUAGGUAAGGUAUAUGCCUAUGACCCUAGAGAGUUAGAAACAAAAUUUUCUUAAAAAGUAAAAUGUCAACUUUCCAAAAAUUAAUUAACAAAAGAAUUUUAUUUUUUUUUUAAAAAAAAAUUAUCAACUUUCUAAAAAUUAAUUUAAAAUAAAAUAUCAACUUCUCAAAAAUGUAAUAAAAAUAAUUUUCUAAAAAAAAGAAAAAAACGCCGACUUUCUAAAAAUUAAUUAAUAAUAAAAUCUCAAAGUUGCCAAUAAUUAAAGAAGACAUUUUAAUUCAAUUUUAAAACUUCCAAAAAAAUUAAUUUGCCUUUAACAAAAUCUUUCAAACUUAUUUGUGACUACCUAGUUGAACACACAAUAGCCUUGAAUCUUUAAUAGAGGAUAAGUUAUUAUCUAAAAAGAUUUCUAAUCCAUAACGAAAAUGAAUAAAAUUGUCAAUACAUAAAAAUGUCCUAACACCAUGAGAAACAAAAAUGAUGAAAAAGGAAACAACAUAUUUAUUAGGUAUGCAAUAAUGCUUCUAAUUUUGGGAUGAGUAUGUAAGAUCGGAGAUCUACGAUAAGUAGUAGGAUGAAUAUGAAUGAAUGACAUCAAGCCACAUAAAGAGAAUUAACUUAAUCUCACUGAUAGUUAAUUGGUUUUAAGAUGAGAUGGUUAAGUUUUUUAUUAUAACAAGUGGUAUUGGAGCUAUGUUUUAAGGUUGGAGUUGCAAAAGCCUCAUGUUGGAGGAGGGGUUAUUAGGUAUGCAACAAUGUUGCUCCAUGAAAAAAAUGACCUUGGGAUGAGUGUUUAAUGCUAUAGAUGGUUACACACCACUAUAAGCCUCAAAAUAAGUAUAGUCAAUUGGUUUUUUUUAUGAGAUAACUCUACGAUCCUAACAAGAUUUUAGUUUCAUAGAUUUUUUUAUAAAGGAAUUUAUAAAUGGCAUAACCAUUUCAAGAAACUCACUGAAGUGGACACAUGAAAUUUAAGUGUAGACCUUCCAUUUUGCCUUCCUAGCACAUGUCCUAUUAAGUUUUUGUUUAGUAUUUUAUAGCAAUUCCUUGAUGACCCAUUACUACUCAUGUAACUUAUCUUUUCUAAGCUACCUUUGAGACUUUGGUUGAGGGGGUUUAUCCAGCUCCUCAUUAUGACCUUAGCUGCCCUUCGAAUUUAGAUUAGGCUUUACUUAGGUGCACUUUAGGUUAACACUCAUUGGGCCCACCUAGGUCACUUAGACCCACUUAGCACACUUGGCCCAUUUAGCACACUUGGCCCAUUAGACACCACGUUAGGCCCAUCUGGGUUCACUUAAACCCAUUUAGACACCUUAGGCUUGUCUAGCACUUAGGCUCACUUAGCGCACUCGGCCAAUUAGGCACCGCCUAGAUUCACUUAAGCCCAUUUAGGUAUGCUUGGCCCAUUAGGCAUCACUUUAGGCCCACCUAGGUAUCCUUGGCCUAUUAGGCACCGCCUUAGGCACACCUAGAUCACUUAGGUCACUCAGGCACACUUGGUCCAUUAGACAUUCUUAGUGUGACUUGUAUGACUCGCAUGGUUGUAUGGCUUGCAUGACUCAUUUUUCUUUUUUACUUAUUUAUUUAUUUAUAUUAUUAUUAUCAAUCACUUUUAUUUAUUCAUUUAUUUAUUUAUUUUUAUUAUUAUCAGUCACUUUUAUUUAUUUAGUUAUUUAUUAUUAUUAUUUAUUUAUUUAUUAUCUUGCUAUAACUAUUAUUAUUUUAUCAUUCUCUAAUUUUUUUAUUCAUUUAUUUGAUUUAAUAAUUUGAUAUAUUUUUUUAGGGAAAUCAAUGGAUAAGAAGAGUUGAUUCUUGUAAGACUUUGAGAAGGAAGGAAACUCUUUUGGACGUUUUUGAAGAUCACCGGAAAGUUAAAAUAGGGGUGAAGAAGUUUUUGAACAAGGUGGGACUCCUUGGGUGAUAUGCAUGGAUUGGUUUUUAAAAUUUAAAAAGGAUUUUUCUGGUGGAGAAAACAUAGAAUUUGGACAAAGGAGUCCUCGCAUGGGACAGUUGCCAAAGGCCAAUGAAAAUAGGGCUGGUGUUUUUGGAUAAGGGUGGGAGCCAAGAAGAACUCCCAGCCGACUUGGGGAAGAUCGAACCACCAUUGGAAAGAGGAUCUGCCACUUAAAAAUCUAGAGGACGCAAUUAAAAAGGGGAGGAAUAAGGAGGAAUAAGGAGGAGAGGCUGCCACUAAAACUCUACAGCACGCAUUCACCAUUGGAGGGGCCAGAGUCCAUGCAUUUUAAGAGCUUCCACCACGCACCAUUGGGGGAUCUUUCCUCCAAAGCACAAGCAGCAGAUUUUUGAGAGAUCAAGUGCACCAUUCAGCCAUAAAGAAUACCAUCCAGUUUUUUUUUUUUAAAAAAAAAAAAAAAGAGAGAGAGAAAAGACCGGCUGGUGGUUUUUUUGGGAGAAGGGAGAACACGCACAGUCCUUCAAGAAACCUAGCAGCAUUGUGUGGUUGGACACUCAGAAGAAAAGCAGGUGCCACGACAGUAAAAACAAUGUUGAGAAACCUCAUGAUAAUCUUGGUGGUGAGGCAAACAGGCUAGGAGAUGAAACCAAUACGAUAUGUGAAUCGAUGAUAUGCAUAUGUAGAGGACAUCGUGUUAUUUGUAAUUUAUAUGCAUGCAUUUCCAGCAGUAUCACUUGGAUUUUUCUUUGUUUGAAGGGUUUGGAUUCUUGACUAUUAGGUUUUGCCACAAGAUGACUGGAAAUUGAAUGGUCAUAAAGGAGAAACUGCCCUUGAAUUACCUGAAUGGCAAAGUUUAAUUUCUCAUUUCAUUUUACAUUCACACCAAGGGACGGCAGUUGUUCAAUGGAGGCUUGCGUUUUGAGAUUGCUGUACUGCAGUGGCCCAUCAGGGGAUCAUGGUCUGUACACUAGUGUGUUUUUGCUUAUACUAUAAUUUCUUCCUACGUUGAACGAAUAAUAAAGUUUUGAUAGAGACGUGUUUACUUGAAUUGAGGCUUGAAAUUUUGGGGUUUGGUCAGAGAGUUCUAGAUGUUAAGCUGCUUUUUCUCGUAACAUAUACUCCUAAUUAAGAAUUGAUCAACUUUUUGAAGAUGAUUCCACUCACAUGUACCAACCUUCCCAUUAUCAAGACCUAAGACACGAUGUCCUUAAUUUAAAAAUGGGGCAUCAUCUGGGGAUGUAUACGCAUGUACAUACCACCACUUCCAGACCACCACAAAGCUUGUUUAUGAUCUUGUUUUCUUCUGUUCAAAUCUCUUGAUAAAAUGUUUAAAAAAUGCAUAUAAUGCUUUUCUUCUGUUUAUCCUGCUAUCCUCCUUGAGCCUGUAAUUAAUUUUCAAAUUGAGUGUUUAGGUUUUGGAAAAUCUUAUGACUAAGAGCAUAACAUUGAGUGACAGUGAAAAAUUUUCUAUUAAAAGAGUUCAUUCAAUUUUGUACUCAUCUCUUUUUCUGAUUCUAUAUUUGUUGGAGUAAAAUCCAAUAUUGUUCUUAAUUAGGCAUCAAGAAGUUAAGAUUGUUCUAAAAAGGUGGUUUCAAAGAGUUUCCAUGUGAAAGUAUGUAGCCGAAGAUUGGGAAGUGUGAAUUGGGAAUGAUAAAAUUAAUUUGCUGAGUCAUCUCCAUACUUAAAAUACACCUAUUGUUCACCCUCAAGGUCAUGGUUGAAAGUAUCAUACGCAAGUACAUGGCUGCUACAACUCUAAGAUAUAUGAGUCAGUGGUGUACAUGCAUUUCAAUAAUAACUAGGUUCCGACUAGAAAAUAAUUGGCCUUACAUAACCAAAUCAUAAGAUAAGUUGGAAUUAGGUCUCCACAACUCGAAGCUAUAAAAAUGGAAGGAAAAAAAACAAAAUAAUCUCUACAUUUUUCAGAGAUUUCCUUAUCAAUCAAGGAAAAAUGUCUCCAUAAUUAGUAACUAGUAAGGACGUUAAAUUGAUUUUUUUAAAAUUAAUAAUUCACUUGUUAUCCCAAUUAUAAAAAAAUUGGUAUUACCCAUAAAAAUAGGUGGCCAUGGUAAUAUUUUAAGAUUUUUUCAAUUUUUAAAAUUAUUAUAAAUUAAUUGAAAAUAACUUCAAAUGUUAUAGAUUUUAUUUUAUUUUUAUUAUUUUGUUGAACUCAUCUAAUUAUAAUUAUUAAAUUUUUCCUUAUUUUUUCAGAAUUUUUUUAACUUUUUUAUUCUCAACUAUUAUAUUGUCUACAUAUUUUUUAAUUAAGAUAAUGUGCAUGCCACGCUAAAUGCUUAAUGAAGCACGCAUCAAAGUCUCAAAAGGCCAAAAUUGAUAAAUCGAACUAACAAGUGUUGAGCAUUCAACAAACCAAAGAGAUCCCAAGAGCUACUAAAAUCAAUGACAGCUCAUCAAAGCAAAAUAUUAAGCAUAAUUCAUCAUCUUCUGAGCAAAAGAUAAUUAUUGUAAAGAAAAUGCUAAGUUAUUGCAUUAAUACCUAUCGAAGUUCACAUUUGGCCAUUGAAUAUGUAUGAUGAAAUUUAAACUGCUAAAUCAGGGAACAAGUAAAUGAGACUUAACUAUAAGGGUGCAAACAAAUAUGACUAUAUUACAAAAAAUGAGACUUAUAUAUGUAUAUAUGACUAUGCCUAAUUCAUGGUGCCUUUUUGAUAUCUAACAAAAAAGUAUCAUUUUGUAUUGUCGAUGAUCCUUAUUAUAAAAGUUUAUUUGACUAUCAUAAGAGUGUUUAGUACCUCAUCCAAAAAUUCUUUGUAGUCCAUUGAAUGAUGGUACAAGUAAAUGAGACCAAAGGAUAAAGAUACAAACAAAUGAAACUAUGUUACAAAUAAUGAGACUUGUGUAUACAUGACACCACCUGAUUAGUGAUACUUUUUCUAUACUUACCGAAUGAAGUAUCAUUCCAUAUUCUCAAUGACCUUUACUAUAAAAGUGGGUUUGACCAUCAUAUCAGAGUAUUCAAUACCUCAUCCACAAACCCUUUGUAGCCUAUACAGUGAGAGCAUGUAUUUACACCUUGAACUACGAGCCCUCUCGCUCCACUGAGUGUCUCCCAUUCUCUCUCAUCCCUAUCCAUCAUGUAUAAUCUUUACAAGCCCAUCUCCAUCUAUAACUUUUUCCCCUUAUAACCUAGAAUAUUUAUAGAGAUAUUCUUUUCCUUAUUCUAUUAGGAAAUCCAAUGUUACAAUAAAAAAAUCAAUUUAGGAAAUAUUCUAUACAAAAAGGAAUCUAUACUAAUUAAAAAUUUGAAACACUUUUUAACAAUCUCCGUCUUGGCUCAAAUUCCAUUAAAUCAAUCUUUCAUCUUUCCAUGACACACUUUUUGUAUCACAUUUGAUGAAAUAACAAUCAACUUUACCUUCAAUUAAAAUUCCUUGUCAUACUCUUGUGUGUUUUGUUAUCUUUUACUCUUCUAAAAAUCUUCAUUGUGAGCUCUAGCUAAUACCAGUUUGUUGUGUAAGUGGAAGCUCUAAUGCAAACAAUGUUAGUUCAAAAACACAAAGAUAAACAAUCCACACAAAGAUACACAGGGUUUUAAUGUGGUUCGACCAACACAACCUAAUUCAUGGAUGAGAGAAAAGUAUUACACUACAUUAUAGAGAAUAUUAUAGAAAAUGUAAAUAGAUACACUGUUGGUUUCACGAAACAUCUCAUGUUUCCCCACUUCUUAUAUAAAACCUUGAACCAUAGGCUCCUUGCUCCUAUGAAUUUUUUUCAUUCUUCCUCACAUCUCUAUCCACCUCAUAUAGUCUAUACGAGUCCUUCUCCAUUUCAUAACCUUUUCUUCUCAUGACCUAUAAUAUAUAUAGAGAUAUUCUUAAUAACUUUUCUUAUUCUAUAAGGAAAUCUAAUAUUAUAAUAAGAAGUCAAUUUUAAAAAUAUUCUAUAUAAUAAUCUUUACAAAAAGGAAUCAAUAUUAGGAAUUUGGGAUACUUUCCAACAAAAAUAAUUUGAGGACACAAUAAACAAAAAAAACAACUAGUCUAGUAGUUGCCAUUUGCAUCCCCUUCUAGUGGGAUCUAGUCAUGUUAGCCAGUAAGAUGGGAUGGAACAAGCCACAAAGGCGGACAUAGGUGGGCCCAUACCCAAGGAAAAAGAUAGGUUUUCAACUAAAAAGACCAGUAUGAUUCCUAAAAAACUUACCGGUCCACCAGUUUAGACAAUUUAAUCGACGGUUCAUGUGAGUUUGCCCUAAUUCAAUGCCCAGAACAAUCUGCUUUUAAAAAUCAUGCCUUUAAGAUAAAAUUUUGAUAUUCCCAAAAAUCGGAUAACCUAGAGACUUAUAUUUAUUGUAAAUAUAGGUUGGUCUAAGCCUCACAGUUGUAUCAAAAAACGAGACGACCCACAACUCUAUUGGGUUGAAUGAAUGAAUUGCAUAUCUUUAAAGCCAAUAGACAAUAAAUUUUUCAUGCAUUUCAUGGUUGCAAAUUAUAUAUGUCACAAUUGAUGAUAUUUAUCCUUAAAUUAUAUUGUAUAAAAAUCAUCUUGAUAAUAGAGAUUAUAAACAAUGAGAUAUGAUUUCUAAUUUCUUUAUAAUCUUAAAAUAUGUUUACAACUUAUAAGCUUGUAAUGGAUAACAUGCUUAUUAAAAGCUAUAAUGAAGUGUACUACUAUAUAUGAUAGAGUGAUGGAUCUUAUUCACUAAAGUUGAGGGGCUCUUAAUAAAUUUCAUGGGUGAUUAUAAUGUGAUAAUCACAAAACUGUACCAUUACAAGACAAUUUUUGGACCUCUUAUUAUUUAUUUUGUUUAAUAUUACAUAAAAUCCUUAGACUUAAGGAUGUUACUAAGUUUUGUACUUGAUUUUGUAUAGCUUUGAUAUUAUCAACUGUUGAUGUCUAAUAAUGGAUUAUAUACGAAUUUGUUGGGUUUUAUAAAUAAUAUAUAAAAACUAGUGGAUAUUUGAUAAAGGACCCAUUGCUUCUAUAGUAGGAAAGAAUAUUUAAGAUUGUGUCACUCAUAAAUUGUUUUAAAAUACCAACUAGUCAAUUUAGAAAGAAUUUUUUUUUAAGUGUAUAUAUCUAUUUAGUAUAUAUGUCAUAUAUUAAGAUUUUCUAAAUUGGUUUUUCUAAAAGGUCCAAUUAUAAGAGGUGACACACUUAUAAGUUUAGGGAAUGACAAUUAUCUUGAUCCAACUUCAAAACUUGUAAGGAAUAUUAGUUAGUGGAAGAAUUAAUGUGUAAGUGAGGAACUUACUAAUCUAUCUCUCUUUUUUUUUUUUGGGUGAAAUUGUAAUUUGUUUUAAAUAUGAUUGUAAUUGACAAGUUCAUUUGGAAUAAACUUACUAGAGAUGUAGAGAUCCCACAAAGGCCCUAUGCUAUGUGAGGGGCUCUCUUUAACAGAAUAUAUAAUUUCUUGCUACGGAGCCCGUAAGGGGGUUGUAGAUACUGUUGUACGAACAUCAGAUGCUGGAUAUCUCACGCAUAGACUUGUUGAAGUAGUUCAACACAUUGUUGUACUUAGAACAGAUUGUGGCACUAUCCGAGGUAUUUCUGUGAGUCCUCGAAAUGGGAUGAUACCGGAAAGAAUUUUUAUUCAAACAUUAAUUGGUCGUGUAUUAGCAGACGAUAUAUAUAUGGGCCCACGAUGCAUCGCCAUUCGAAAUCAAGAUAUUGGGAUUGGGCUUGUCAAUGAUUCAUAACCUUUCAAGCACAGACAAUAUUGAUUCGACCCCUUUACUUGUAGAGCACAUCUGAUCUCUCGACNNNNNNNNNNNNNNNNNNNNNNNNNNNNNNNNNNNNNNNNNNNNNNNNNNNNNNNNNNNNNNNNNNNNNNNNNNNNNNNNNNNNNNNNNNNNNNNNNNNNAAACGCUCUUUAAUGGAACUUUAGCUUUAGCUGGUCGUGACCAAGAAACCACCAGUUUCGCUUGGUGGGCCGGGAAAUGCGUAGAGAUCGGAAAGAACACCAAUAGCGAAAGCACUCUACUAGGCCGACACUGACACUGAGAGACGAAAGCUAGGGGAGCGAAUGGGAUUAGAUACCCCAGUAGUCCUAGCCGUAAACGAUGGAUACUAGGCAUUAUGCGUAUCGACCCGUGCGAAAUCAAGAAGAAAAAGAAUCUGCAAGACAAGUAGAUCUUGGAUCAAAUGUACAAAACCAAGGAAAUCUUGAAUCAGUCCUCUCAAACCACGAAAAAGAUAUUGAAGAAGAUUAUGCAGGAUAAGAUGUUGGGGAUAAAUGUAUGCCCAAGAUCCAAUCUAUCAUGUAAUCAACUUUAGUUUUAAUAAGGUAUUAAUUCUUUAUUUCAUUAUCAUAUUUGUUUAAAAUAGUUUAUAUGAUAAGGUCCUUGAUUAAAAUUUGAAAAUUGUUAUCAUGAUAGAGAUUAUGAUAAUGAGAAGCAAUUCUUUUAAUAAUUUUAAUCUAAACUGUUCUUGAUCAUAGGAUUAUUGUCAACAGGACAUCAAUAAUCCAGAUAGAUCAAUAUAUAUGUGAUGGUCUUUAUUGGAUAAAGAUUGAUAUAUCUCAUUUGUUAAAUUACAUAUAUAGAUGAUGCACAUGUAGAUGUGAUCAUUGAACUGACUCAACUGAGAAUUUCUAAUGGUUAUCUUUACCUUAAAUUGUCAAUAGGAAUUUCUCAAGAAGAAAUAUAAUAGUUUUCUUUGACCUGAGAUUAUCAAAGUAAUUAACAAGUUAUUUAUUAUAUUUUAAUCUCGGACACCUAAUGCCUUAGGGCACUAGUUGAAUGGAUAUUGGAUAUAAUUAAAUACUUGUAGAAUUAAUGAUUAAUCAAGAAGGAAUCCAUCAACUCGUGGUAAUGAGUUUGAGCUCUAUGAUAAAAAUAAGACCUUGGCCAAGGGCAAUUGAAUGAAUGAAGAAAUGAGUUUCUUAAGUCAUUCACUAAAUAAAUAAUGUGUUGACUUAUUAGAGUUUGACAGUAAUACCAUACUCUAGAGUUAGCCCAGAGCUGUAAAUGAUGGAAGGAAAUAUUACAUUAUUCUUCUACCGGUUCUUGAAAGUAAAAGAUAUUACUUCAUACUAUCUGGACGUUAAGGAGUGUUGCUAGACACCUACCUUAAUUAGUAAAUUGAUUUGAUUAAUUUACUACCAGCUUAGUAAUGAACCUACGGGGUCACACACAAACGAGUGUUUUAAUCUUUGCAAAGAACUAUUUAUUAUUAUUUGAUAAUUAAAUUAGAGAAUUUAAUUUUAAUCAAAUAAAUAAAUAUGUUCUAUGUGGAAUAUUAUUAUAUUCUUUGCUAGCACCAAGAAUAUAAUUAAUAUAUAUAAAAAAAAUAAAUAAAUAAAUAAAAUAUUUUUCUUUGGACGUGGAAGUUAGUCCACGAGAAUGUUUGCUAAACAUUUGCAAACAUAUGGGUACAUGCAGCAACUUACAGGAGGGAUGUGGGUUUUGUUUUUAACUUACAAGACUUGGUCAAAGUGUUUUUCAAAUGCUAUUGAAAAUAGCAAAAGAAAAAACAAAUGGACCAAUAGAAUCUCUUAGUAGCCCAAAAAAGGAGGACACGAUAGAGAUAGAUUAAGUGAUAAAAUCAAAAAUCAAAUUAGUUGAGUUAUCUUAUCACUUAAAACAGAAGUUGUAUCGGAUAUGCUAUAUAGCAUAUAUACACAAUCUGAAUAAGGAUCGAUCUAUCUUUAUCCUCCUUGUUUUUACGCCAAAGAAAUACAAAGUGUUGUUCUAUUUUUUUUAAGUUCCGCGUAUCAAAGGGUUGAUAGCAAAGAUUAAUUUCGGUGUGGAUACACGUAGAGUCUUCAUACAAUUGGAGAAAAUUUUAUGCUUGAAGAACUGAUAUCCAGGUUAUUAUUUUAAAUUUUUUGAUAGCUGCAGUAUAUAUUUUGAAUGCAAAAUAGAUCAAUUUUCCGCUGUAUGUGUUAUAAAUUUAUUUUAUAACCUUUCAUCAGACUCAGACAUGCAAAAACGUACAAAGAAAAAAGCAAUUCAAGAAUCACACGGAAGCAGAACUCGAUUUAUUCCUAAAAAGAUAUUUGAUUUUUCAAUUGAGAUGGGAUGAUUCUUUAAAUAAAAAAAUGAUCAAUAAUAUCAAGGUAUAUUGUCUCUUGCUUAGACUGAUAAAUCCAAGAGAAAUUUGUAUAUCAGUUAUCAAAUUGUAAAUUCACAAAUAAAUUAUGAUCUUAUAAUAGGUAUAAAGUCAUCAAUAAAAUUUUUAAAGUUACAAAAUUUUGAAAAAUGUCAUGAUUUAUCAUUAUGUCAAUAAAAGGAUGAAAGUGCAUCAUAAUUUCAACACUUUUUUUUUAUUUGUUGGAAGAUAGUCUUUCUAUUUUCCCUUUUUCUUUCAAGAGUUCUAAUUUUCUAGCACAAGACUAGAAGGACAUGCAUGUGAGCUUGCCGAGAGUUUUGCACUUGUGAAAUCAAAUUGGGUUAAAUAUAUAUAUAUAUAUAUAUAUAUAUAUAUAUAUAUAUAUAUAUAUAUAUAUAUAUUAUUUUUUGUUUCUAAUUAAAUGCAUGCAUCCACAUACGAAAGAUCCAUGUGUAGUUAUUUUUAGGGAUUUAUUUCAUGUUUUCUCUAAAUCUAACCCAAUAACAUAUGCACAAUAGAGAAAAGGUAUUCUUGAAUAUACUCCCUCUUUCUCUCUCCGGUAGAGAGAGUUGUGAAAGUAUUUAACGUCAUCCUUAAAGAGAAAUUAAACAUAUGAAAACUAUUUAAUAUAAGGUUUUAAUUGUUAUAUCUAUUAAAGUUGUUCAUCCAAAUUAUUCAAAGUACGUAUCUCUAUGGACUUGCAUGUUCACAAAUUUUGAAAGGUUUAUACGACAAAUUAUAAGUAUUUAAAAUAAAUGUUGUGAUGUUUGAUAAAAUACACUAUUGGGUUUUACAUAUUCAAACAAUCAAUGAUCACCACAACCAAGGAAAAAUGUGUUCAUAAUUUAAACUUGAUCUUUUUAUUUUUGUAGCAUGAAUUAUUCAGAAUCCACAAGGUCACACGACAUCAAGAGUGAAAAUAAUACACAACAUUCUUGCACACAAUUAAUUGAUGCAUGUUAUUUAUUUUUUAUUCAUUAUAUAUGUGUACAAAACAUACACAAACAUUACGGAAAGAUGAAAAAAUUACAGAAGCAAACAUGAGCUGCAACUCAGUUUAUUCCCAUGAUUUUAUGACAUAUGAUAGUUAUACUUGGUGCAAAUGACUAGUAAGAAUUUCUGAAAUCUGGUAGUGGCCAUGGUGAAGCUUCAUUUGUGCUUAGUAGCCAUGACAACCGGAGAGGUGGAGGGUGGGCUUGGCCGAGGGGGAGGCAGGGCGUGGCUUGCAAAGUUCUUGUUGAUCAUGCAAGGGGGGCCUUUGCCGGGAAUUCGGGUGCAUGGACUUGGGGCAGAAGGAGAAACUGGACCCGCCUGCAGAGACUGCAAGACAAUAUUAAUUCUUUUCUUCUUCCACUCUUUUUUCUCUCCAUUAGGAACCCUACUAGCAUGGUGUGGUUGGACACUCAGAAGAAAAACAACUGCAGUGACAGCUAAAACAGUGGUGAGAGACCUCAUGAUCUUGGUGGGGUUUAAGGUAAGACACUAGGAGAUAUGGAAUUAAUAUGAUAUCUGGGAUGAUAUGCAUAUGUGGAGGAGAUCAUAUUAAUUGCUAUUUAUAAGCAUAUGCAAAUGAUACCCAAUGUUAUAACUUUGAUUUUCCAUUGUUUCAUUUGUGUGAAAGGGUUUUUUUAGCUCUCGGAUACAAGGGUUUUGCCACGGCAUAGACUAGAAAUUGAGAAGGUCAUAAAGAUACUAGGUUUGAAUUACAUACAAUGACAAAGUUUUCAUAGGUCAUUAAUUGUAAGCAUCCGCCAUCCCAAAAAUUAAUUAAUUAAUUAAUUAAAAAAUUUACUGUUAUUAAAUACAAUGAUAAUUAUGAUCUUUGUAAAAAUAAAAAUAAAAAUCAAUUAAAUAAAAAAUAUCUACUUCCCACUUCAAAAUACAAUGGAUUGUUAUGUCUGUGAAUUGUUGCUUCUUCAAAAUACAAUGGAUGAUAUUGAAAUAUUUAAAAGCAUGACUUCAAUAAUUUAGCUUAUUAAUUAACCUGUAACAUCAUACUUUUGCAUGAUGUUGCCCCACCGAAUAAUUUAGCAGCAUGACGGCCACCAAAAUCAUUUCCUAACAAAUAUUUUCCAAAUUAAGUUAGAAUUGGUCUCAUGCAAACUGUCGCAUUUAAAAAGUUUCACGGUUUGUAUACCACUUUUCUGACUGACGAUUAGUGGAUUACUUCCUUUGUGGGGCACUAAGUUUGAUCAAAGAAUAGGUUUAUGGUGGGAACGGAUUUUUUUAGUGAAUUGGGGCUUGAAUGUUUGUUGGUUUGGUCGUGAUGCUCACAGCCUUUACGUGACAUCCUCCUCAACAAUCAAAGGUUUGAAUAUGACUGAUGACUCUAUUCACAUGCAUCAGCUUUUUUAUGCAUUAUCACGAUCCAAGAGCAGAGGCCCUUUCCAAAUUUCCAAAUUGUGUAUUUGUGUGCAUGCUUGUUAUGAAGGCCCAGCGUCUACAUUUAUGAAUAUAUAUAUAUAUAUAUAUAUAUACUUUUCCAUAUACCAUUUUUGCAGCACCCCAAAGCUGCUUAUUCUUCACAUCUUCCCCGCUCUCUAUUCAUAUAAAACGAUCCAUUCAUUUCUUUUCGAAGAUGGGUUUCACUUCUAGGAAAUUAGUCCUCUUGGUGGUGCUUUUCAAUUUCACGCUUCUCUCAGCUUGGAGUUUCCGAGAACUUGAAGUAAUGCGGCUACUAGGAGGAGGGCAAUGGGCGAAGAGAAACAGUCUUGUGCUUCAGUCUCUGCAGAAAGGUCCAGUGCUGCCAUCCGGUCCCAGUCCUUGUAAUCACAUCCCAGAACAAAGGGCAGGGCGAUGCACCUUCAAUGAAAAGAAUAUAGCUGACGACAUUGCAACUGCACCUCCAGCCGUUUCCGCGUACAUGCUAGCAGAGGAUGCUGCCAUGGCUUCCCUUGCUAAGGAUGGCUAUGACCAAGAUCACAGCUCUUAAUGAUGUAAUCAUAUUUGUGCAUGGAUCAGCUGAUGAGUUAGAUGUGGAAGAUAGACCCCAAUCCUUAUGAUUAGUAUAUAUAUUUUAUCUCUAACCUUAAUUCAAUUCAUAUACUUGGUUUAGAAAGAAUAACCAAUUCAACUGGUUAGAUAAGAUGCCAUGUAAACUGAGUUUAGUGCUUGAUAAUGCAAUCAUAUUUUGUAUUGAAAAUAUUGAUCUUUAUUUCGGUCCUAAAAACCAUGACAGGAGGGAUAAAAAAAACACCAAAAACAGGAAACCAAGAGGAGGAUCAAUAAAUUUUGAUCAACCUUAUUUAGCAGAAACAGACGAGCGUAAAUGUUGGAAGUAACCCAAAUUGCCUGUGCAAAGGUAUAUGAAUUCGUACACAUAAUCAGGUGCCACGAAGUUGGAUGAAACGCUUGAGUGGGGUUUCCUAUUCCAUGCAUGAAUGCAAAACUAAGAAACAUGAUGAAGAUGGUAAAUCAGCUACCAAAGAUAUGUAUGCCCAUAUGAUUUCCAUCUUAUUCAUUUUUUCUCAUUCAUCUUUGUAGAUAGCGUAAAAAACUUCAGAAGGGUACCACAAGUAAAUAGUGAUAAUGAUUGUUUCUUUCUUGUUCUAACAAACACAAACUUGAUCACAAGAAUGAAAAAAUACAGGACCUGCAAAUCAGUUCACUCCUAUGGUCUCACUAGAAUUAAUUAGAAGUAUAUUUUGGUGCUAGAGAAUUGUAAGAAUUUCUGAUUUUGGUGGCUCCCAUGGAGGAGCGAGCUUCAUUCAUCUAUAUAUGUUUACUGUCCAGUAGCCAUGACAACCGCCGGGGGAGGCAUGGCAUGACCUGCAAAUUUAUUCCGUUAUGGCAAGGUGGAGCGCCCUUUUCUGGGAUACGGCUGCAUGAACUGCUUCCAGAAGGAGGCACAGUACCUGAAUUCAGAGACUGUAAAGAGACAAGUCCUAUCUUGAUCCACUCUUCUUUCUCCCCAUCAAGAACCCUACCAGCACUGUGUGGCUGGACGCUCAGAACAAGAACGAAGUGUCAUGACAGCUAAAACAAUGUCCAGAAACCUCAUGAUCUUGGCGGGUUAAGCAAAGAGGAGAUGAUCAAAGAAAUAUUUUUAGCUGGACAAAUUAAUAUGCAUAUAUGAUAAAUGGAAAAGAAUCAAUAUCUCGGUUAUUUAUAGGGUUAUUCGAUUAAAAGGGUUUUUGAUAAAAAUACUCUAAUUAUUUUCUUGUAAAAAUAACUUUCUUUUAAAACAGGUUACUUUAAAUAAUUGAAAUGGUAGAAGGCAUUUACGUAAAAUAAUAAUAAUAAUAAUAACAGGUUACUUUUAAAAAUAAAAACAAAAACAUGGAAAUGGUUAAAUUCACGAUUUAAAAAUUAUUUCAAUGCUUAACUAAACAAGUGGCUCUAAAUGCCUAAGUGAGAAAAUGGCUUUGAAUGCCUAAGUGAGAAAGUGGCUUUGAACGCAUAACUGAGAAUGUGCCUCUAAACACCUAAUUGAGAAAGUGGCUUUGAACACCUAAUUAAGAAAGUUACUCUAAACGCCUAACUGAGAAAGUGGCUAUGAACGCCUCAGUGAGAAAGUGACCCUAAAUGCCUAAUUGAGAAAGUCGCUUUCAACGCCUAACUGAGAAAGUGACUUUGAACGCCUAAGUGAGAAAGUGGUGCUGAAGGCCAAACUAAGAUGGUUGCUUUGAACACCUAACUCAACAAGUGGAUCUAAACACCUAAGCGAGAAAGUGGCUAUGAACGCCUAACUGAGAAUGUGCCUAUGAAUGCCUAAUUGAGAAUAUGCCUCUAAACUCCUAACUGAGAAAGUUGCACUAAACGCCUAAUAGAGAAAGUGGGUAAGAACGACAAAGUGAGAAUGUUGUUCUAAACUUCUAAUUGAGAAAGUGGCUCAGAACGCUUAACUAAGAAAGUCACUCUGAACGCCUAAGUGAGAAAGUGGUUGUGAAUGCCAAAGUGAGAAAAUGGCUCUGAACACCUAAUUGAGCAAGUGACUCUUAACUCCUAAGUGAGAAAGUGACUCUAAAUGCCUAGUUGAGAAAGUGGCCUUGAAUGUGUAACUGAGAAAGUCACUCUAAACAUCUAACUAAGAAAGUCGCUAUAAAGGCCUAAGUGAGAAAAUGGCUCUCAACGCCUAACUGAGAAAGUGGCUCUCAACGCCUAAGUGAGAAAGUGUUUUUGAUCACUAAGGUGAGAUACUGGCUCUGAAUGCCUAAUUGAGCAAGUGGCUCUGAACGCCUAACUAAGAAAGUGAUGAUGAAUGCCUAAAUAAGAAAGUGGUUCUUAAGGCCAAAAUAAGUCACUGGCUUUGAACGCCUAAUUGAGCAAGUGGUUGUGAAUGACUAAAUGAGAUAGUGGUUGUGAGCUCCUAAGUGAGAAAGUGUCUGAAUGCCUAAUUGAGAAAGUGGCUCUAAAUGCCUAUAUAAGAAAGUUGUUGUGAAGGCCAAAGUGGGAAAAUGGCUUUGAACGCCUAACUAGACUAGUGGCUUUGAACGCCUAAUUGAGCUAGUGGCUCUAAACAUCUAAGUGAGAAAAUGGGUAUAAAUGCCUAAGUGAGAAAGUGCCCUUGAACACCUAACCAAGAAUGUGCAUUUGAAUGCCUAAUUGAAAAAGUCGCUCUCAAUGCCUAAUUGACAAAGUGGCUUUAAACACCUAAUUGAGAAAGUGGUUCUGACCGCCUAACUGAGAAAGUCGCUCUGGAUGCCUAACUAAGAAAGGGGUUUUGAACGCCUAAGUGAGAAAGUGGUUGUGAAACAAAAGUGAGAAAGUGGUUUUGAAGGCCUAACUAUGCAAGUGGCUUUGAACGCCUAAGUGCAUGAGAAAGUGGCUCUAAACGGCUAAGUGAGAAAGUGGCUCUAAACACCUAAUUGAGAAUGUGCCUCUAAACGCCUUACUAAGAAUGUGCCUCUGAACGCCUAACUGAGAAUGUGCCUCCAAAUGCCUAAAUGAGCAAGUGGCUCUGAACGCCUAAGUGAGAAAGUGGCUCUAAAGGCCUAAAUGAGAAAGUGGCUCAGGAUGCCUAAUUGAGAAUGUGCUUCUAAAUGCCUAAUUGAGAGAGUCGCUAUGAACUUCUAAGUAAGAAGUGGUUGUGAAGCCAAAGUGAGAAUAUGGCUCUAAAUGCCUCAUUGAGAAAGGGGCUUAGAACACCUAAUAGCGUUUUUUUUUUAAAUUAAUGCCUGAUGCGACUCAUGGUAGCUUAGCUUUAAAGGCGUAUCAACAAAAUUUAUACCUUAAAUACUAUUACUAAAGUAGCCAAGCUACUAUAGCAUAGUGGUUCUAGGAUCGUUCACUGGGAAAGGUUUUCGCAAACACAAGUGAUAUUCAAAUUAGGAAAAUAGGUGAUUUUCUUAUGGAUGUUAGCUUUAAAAGAAGAUGUAAAUGUUUUAAAAAGAUUUAAACUAAUCUAAGCUAACAUUAAAGACUAAAAUGAAAGGGUGUAAAAACAAGUUUCUCAAAGAUAGGAUAGCUAUGCUCUGGCUCUUAUGCAAAUUGGAAAUCUCAGGAUAGGCUCCUCGCGUUGGGGUUGCAACUAUGGUGAUGCUUGCUUCCCGAACCGGUAUGGAUUUAGCAAAUCAAGUUUUAAUCCUUUAAAAUGGCAAAAAAGAUGGUAGUGAAUUUUAUCAAUGGUUAUUCACCUUAGACUUCCUUUGAAUGGCUCGUAAGAGAUAACUCAUGGUCUAAAGCCAAAAGCUUACCAAAUAUUGGCAACUCAAAGUCAUUCCAGGUGAUAAACUCACCUUUCAAUGGCCAUUGAAAUUGGUUCUAACGGAUUAAUGCAAAACUUGGAAUUGAAAACCUCACCUUCCAAUAGCUCGUAGGAGAUAACUAAUGGAUAGAAAUCCAAAAGCUUAUCAAGUAUUGGCCGUUGGAAGUUGUUCAAAGGAAAUAAAAACCAAACUUUGCAUUAAUGAACCAUUAAUGAAAAACGACUACCUUACCUUCCAGGUGUGAGAAAUUUCCAUGGGAUUGCAUCCAAGCCAUCACAUAACAUCCAUACUUUGAGAAACUAAAAGUUUUAGCCAAUCAUCCUCUAAGGAAAAGCCCUCAGAGGCUGUUUGGCUACUAAGAAAAUAGAAAUGGAGAAGAACAGGAGAAGAGAGAAAAACAAAGCUUUAUAUAUCUCUAAGUUAAUGUACAGAGGAUCGAUCCCCAAACAUCCCAUUCUUCUGUUGGAGGUGUUGUGCACCUCUAUAUAUAGCAAAAUUACAAGAUAAAGCUUUAUGUCGGCUGAAUACAAGGUUACAAAAGGAAUUUACAUGAGAAAAUAUCAAGCUAAAAAUAUUUGGGAAGUCGGUGGUGCGUGCGUGGAGAAACAGAGGAUUCAAAGGAAUUUCGCAAUGUAAAAGGCACAUUGCGAAAUUUUCGCAAGGUGAAUUACUCAUGAUGCGAAGUGCCAUAUUUUCGCAUCAUGAGUUAAUUCACCUUGCGAAAUUUUCGCAAUGUGAAAUUCACAUUGCGAAAUGGCAAAAUUUCGCACCAUGAAGAAAAUCUCCUUGCGAAAUUUUCGCAAUGUGAAAUUCACCUUGCGAAAUUGGUCAUUUGGCAUGAUGCAGUUGCCUUCCGAAGGCCAUAUCUUCCUCAUUUCAGCUCCAAAUCAUACACGGUUUGAAGCGUUGGAUUCUUGACUUCCUAAGCUUUCAAAUGGUAUAUAGCAUGUAGAAAAUGGACUUCGGGAAGUGCUCCAAAAGUGUGAAAGAAGACUGCAGCUGUUUUCUUCACUCUGUUUUCCUCUUCUCCAUUGCUUGUGCUCGUGUUUCCACUUGAAAUUCAAGCCUGUAAUCAUCCAAAAUCCUUGCUUAACUCGCCCAAAUAGCUCCUCCAUCAAUUGGCAUGCUUGAAUUGGUUCAUAAGCUGAUAAAAACAUGUAAACUUGCCACAAAAAUGGUUAAAACCAAUUACUAAGGACCUUAAUGAAUUAAUUGGGUUAAAUGAAUAUGAUUACUACUCAAAGGUGCUUAAAACCAUUAUUAUUAGGUCUACAAAAUAGCACUUUUUGGUAGUAAUCAAUGCCAAAGUGAGAAGGGUUUCUUUGACUGUUGACGACAUACUAAUAGCGUUUUGCUUUGGGAGAUUGAAAAUUGAAGUAGUGGUCUUAAAGAAGAAACUACGUCUAAAAUUAUCAGAUUACUGUACACAUGGGCAUGCAUCUUAUGACCUUUUUGAACAUAAAAAAUUAUAUAUAUAUAUAUAUAUAUAUGUGUGUGUGUGUGUGUGUGUGUGUGUGUGUGUGCGCGCACGCGCGCUCAUGAAAAGGAAAAUGGUUUUGAUGUUAAGUUGAAGAGUUGUCUUGGUUGUCCUUAAUCAUCAUUUCCUUGAGGAGGGUUCACCAUUCAGCAAGCUGGCUAAACCUAUUAGGAGUCACUCAUUAGUCGGCAUGUUUAAUUUUCUCCCUAUUGAAUUAGGUGCGCAUACUAGUUGGUAUAAGUCAUUUAAUAAAAAAAAAUUAAGAAUAUUUACAAACUAGGUUAGCGUUAAAUAAGAGUACACUGUCUGAUCUAGGCAUUUUGGAGAUUCUUUCUUAUAACUUGAACUUCCUUAAGGGGGAAUUAGUUUUGAAAAAUCAAUGAAGUUAUGAAUGAAGUGUUAAACACAAGCUCAAGGCUAUAUUUGGUUUUCAAAAUUUUUGAAGGAAAAUAUGAUGGGAAGAAAAUAAAAAUGAUAGAAAUAAAAUGAAUAAAUAAAUGAAAGAAAAUAAAAAAUAAAUUUAAAAUUUAUAAGUUAUUAUUAUACAUGCAUUAUUUAAAAUUUAUUUUACUUAUUUUAAUAUUAAAUAAUUUUAAAAUAUAUAAAUUUCUAACCAAUUUUAAUUACAUGUGGUUCUCUUUCAUAUUUUUCAUAUAAAAAAACCGAACAUGAUAAAAUUAUUUUCCUAAUCAUUUUCUUUCUUUCCUUGAUACUUAGACAAUUUUGAAUUUCUCAAAAUUCUAAUAUUUUUUUUUGGGGAUAUUAGACUUCUAAAUUCUUUUAAAAGAAUAUAUUCUUUAAAGAAUUAACCAUCUAAGUCUAUCUAUCCUUUGGACCAUAAUAUCCUAGUACAAAAAUUUCAAACAAAUUGAUUGAAAAUAGAGAGUAGCUUAGGUAUUUUUGAACCACCUGUGUUUCUUGAAGUUUUUUUGUCUUGGCUAGAUCUUGACCCCUUGUUAAUUUUACAUGUUAAUACACUGAAAAUAGAACCAAAUAGUAAAAUUCCACUUGAUUUUGAAUCUGUUUGCGUUAGGAAAGAAUUUGGUGAUAACACUCACCAUACUGCAACAACCUCAAGUCACAACAACUUACCUGCAAUAGAAAAAAUGGCUACACCAGAAGAAUCUUCAAGACUAUUGUAAAAUCACAUAACUGAUAUUCCAUUCAAGAAUCUAUUACAAUAGGUGUAUAAAUACUAUACAUGAAAAAACACAAUAAUGCAAGAGAAUAAGAAAUUCCUUUAUUUGGAAAAUAUCAAUGGGUUUCAAUACUACGUGCUAAGAUAGUUUUAGAUUCCCAAAAUAUUAGUGUAUAUUAUUUGGGUCUGUUAUGGGUUUAUAAUUAAUUUUAAAUUUUAUUGACUUUAUCAUAGAAUAAAUCUUGAUUCUUGUACACUAAAGCAUGCAUCUUAUGACCUUUAAAACAUAAGAAAUUAUAAUUAAAAAAAAUGAAAAUGAUUUUAAUGUUAAGUUGCAGGGUUGCCUUGCUUGUCCUUAAUCAUAAUUUUCUUGAGGAGGAUUUACCAUUAAUCUAACAUUAAUUUGUUCACACGAAAUUAAACAAGGUGGUGAAAGCUAUUAUCUACUAGUAAGAGUUCCGAAUGUCAUCAAAUUAGGUGCAUAGAAUAUAUAGUUGGUAAAAGUCAUUUAAUAAAGAAAAAAAAUUGAAAAACCACUUCCAAAUUAGGUCAGCGUUAAAUAAGAUUCGACCCCCUAAUCGUGGAAUGAACUUUGGAGCGUCUUUCUUAUAACUUAGAACUUCCUUUUGGGGGCACACAUUGGUUUCCAAAAGUGAAUGAAGUUCUAGAAGGAGUGUUAUUACAACCAUAGAAAGGGACAUAAAAGAAGAAAUUAUGAAGAAUUGAUCAAAACACCAAGUAGUAAGAAAAAAUCUUAAAUUCCAAUAAACUUCAAAUUUUACUAAUAUUGUUGAUAAAAAGUUUAAUAAGAAAGAUGAUUUCUUUUUGUUAUAGUCAAUAAAACUUUUGUUGACUCUUAGAUUUUAAAUUUUAUUGUUUGAAUGGGCAAUGAUUCAAGUUCUAAAGUCAUUAAGAUUGAUACCAUAAAGGUGAGGAUGUUUGAUGGUAUUAUGAGAAUGUUGAGUAAUGUUUAGCAUAUUGCUAAGUUGAGAAAGAGUUUAAUUUCUUUAGAGGCUUUGGAUACUCUUCUCUAUGAUUUUUCUGGAAAAAAAUAAAUAAAUGAUAUUAUUAAUAUCAAUUAAAGUGCUUUGAUAGCUAUGAUAGGGAAAAAGGUGAAAACUUUUAUACAAGUUGAUUGAAAAUAUAAUUUUAGGUGGAGCUAUGAAGGUAGAGUCACAUUAUGAAAAGUCUUUUACUAGUAGUAAAGAAGUUGUCAAAGUAGAUGGAUGCCACAAGAUGAUUGAGAUUCCGUUUUUCACUAAGUGUACUCAUUAACACAAGGAUGAAAAUAGUUUCGAAAUGAAUAAAGUUAUAAAGAAAACAAAGACAAUUUCUUAAAUCAAGUUCGAUGACAGUUUGAAUUUAGCACAUAUUUAUUCUCAUUAAUUAUGCAAGAUUGAGAAAUUUUAAUCAAUGUGGAGAUUGUUGGUAUUUGGUUUAAAUUAUCUAUUUAUUAUAUUUAGGAAAGUCAAUAUUUAUAAUAGAGUUUGUGUUUUGGUAAAUUACCUUUUUCGAGUUUAACUAUGAUUAGGAAACUAUUGAUUUUGGGUUCAUCCAUAGGACUUUACAAAUAUGAGGUUUUAAAUAGGAUUUAGUAAGAGAAAUAAAAAUGCAUAAAGAGUGAAGAGAUAUAAGCAAAGGGUGUAUUGAAUUUUAAGUAAAAAAAAAUUGAAAAAGUUUGAAGUUGUUGGGCUAUGUUUGUCUGGCCUAUGAGCCCAUAUAUUAGGCUAUUUUAUAUUUAGGUUUUUCCUAAGCCCAAAUAUGGAUCUAAAAAUAGCAUUAGCACUUUGGUAUUAAGAGAAAAAGGCAUUUGAUUGAGAAAAAGAAAGAAGAUCAGGAUUUGUUUUUCUAGGCAUUGUUCUAAGGCUCAAGGGUGAAGUUAUAGGUUCCUUUCAUCAACCUUUUUGGGGAAUUCCUAUAGUACGUUUUCUCCCUAAUUUCUUUAUGUUCAUGUUUCAUUGGGUGAUGGAUUCCUACCUUAAGCGAGGACUUAAUUAUUGUAUCCCUAUUUAUUGAAGUAGAAGAAAUUUUCUCUAUGGUUUUUUACCUCUAUUCAAAGGGUUUUUCCACGUUAUAUUUGGUAUCCUCUUUUGUGGUUGAAUGUUAUUGAUUGUCGUUCUUGAUUUUUCUUAAGUUGUUAUUAUUCUUGAGAGGUGGUUAUUAUUGUUGAGUGGUUGUUAUUCUUGUGGAAGAAUCUUUUAACUUUGGCAGGUUAAUACUCUAGAUCUCUCCCUUUAUUUUCCCAACAAGUGGUAUCAGAGCUUGGUUGUGGAACUUUUAUUCUUGAAAGGGAUGGAGAUAAAAGGGAACUCAACCUCCAUGAUAAAACUUAACAAUUCAAAUUAGGCUAUGUGGAAGUCCAUGAUGAAAGAUUUUCUCACCAUCAAUGAUUUGUCAAAUACUUUUGAAGAUAAAGAAGUUAGGCCCAAAGAUAUUUUUUAUUUGGAAGCUUACUAAGGGCUCGUUGGUUGUUGCAAAAGGAGAAACAAUAUAUUUUAGUUUUUUUCCUCUUCUCUAGCAUAUAAGCGUCGUAAACUUGGAUGCAUGAGCAAAGUUUGACAAAACACACGGAUGAAUUCCGAACAAAGAUGAUGAAAAUGGAAGUACUCCAACAACCAGCAAGCAUAUAUGAGCAUAUGCAUCAUUCAACUUGUUCUUUUUUAUUUCUAUAUAUAUCACAAAGUGUAGAAGUCCACCAGGGCAUAAAUUGUGAAUGGAGAAAAAGAAUACACCAAUCUAGGAUUUUUUUUUAAAUAAUAAUAUAAUUUUUAAUAUAUAUAUAUAUAUAUAUAUAUAUUACAAAAAUAUAAUAUUUUUGAAAAUUGUCUUUUUAAAAGAUGAUUUCACAUUCACAAAUUGUCUUUAUAAAAAAAACAAAAAACAAAAAAAACAAGUUUUUGUUAAUAGUUAUCUUGUAUUUCAUCUUUUAUUUUCUUUCUUAUUUCAAGUAAGAUCAUUGUUUCAAAAUGGGAUUUUGACAUGAAUAUAUUCUUUUAUACCCUUAGAUCAGAUGAUCAAUAGAUGAGCUCUAUGGUAUUAUAAUCAAGGAUAGUGAGACCCUGAAGAGCAUGUUGAUAUGUGGUGGCCAUGAUGGUAAUAAGUUUGUGUAUAGCUAAUGGAUUGACUUUAAAUAUGUCCAAAUCUAUGAUUUUAUUAUUUACAUAUCAUACGUUUUUUAAAAUGUAAUUAUCAUUAUGUUAUGCUAGUUUUUGUACAUAAAAAUUGUUCCAUAUAUAAUAUAUUUUUAAACUGUUUUUACCUUGUAUCAAUUAUCCUAACACUAGUGCAUCAUAAUUAUCCGCUAAACCAUUUGUUCACCUAAUAGAUUUUGAUGGUUUUUAGGUAAGGACUCCCAUGCAUAUGCCUAUUGAGGAGGCAGAAUUAGCUUCAAAGAACAAGUCACUAGGUACCUAGAUUUGUGUUUUUCCUUAUUAGACCUGUAGGACAUGUAGUUCAUUUUCUUUAUGUAUUUUAGAUGUUUUCUUUUGUAUGUCUCAUCUUCUCAAUCUCUGCUUCCACUAUUAAUUUAUUUUGUUAUUGUUUUAUCAAAAUCAUUUAAUUGUAUGUAUUUUUUUUUAUACUAAAUAUUUAUCUAUUGAGACAAUGAUUUCUUUUUAGAUUUUGAUGCAAAAUGGACUCACCAUCUCUUAGUGGGCCCUUUUUGGGUCUUUACAAAUCAAGUUUCUAGUAAUAUUAUUAUAUAGCAGUUUUCUGUUCGCGAAUUACAUAGUAAUUUUCUCUUAAUGAUGUAGACAUGGUCUUCCGGUAUGCAAAUUUACAUCCAAAGCAAAUAGUAUUUAUACUAAAAAAUAAGUUGGUUUGCUUUAUUAUCAAACUAAUAAAAAGGCUACCAUGAAUAUAUCCAUAUUAUCACAAAUAUUAGCCUUGCCAAUAUAUUUUAGUUUUUUUUUCCUCUUUUCCAGCAUGUAAGUGCCAUAAACUUGGAUGCAUGAGCAAAGUUUGGUAAAACACACGGUUGAAUGCCAAGCAAAGAUGAUGAAGAUGGAAAUACAGCAACAACCAGCAAGCAUAUAUGCGUAUUUAUAUAUGCUUUUUAUUUCCAUAUAUAUCACAAAGUGUAAAAGUCCACCAGGGUACAAAAUGUGAACAGAGAAAAAGAACACACGAAUGACAUACAAUUUUUUGUGUUAUUAUUUUUCCUUAAUGUAUUUAUCAUGAUGAAAAUAUAUAAAAACAAAAACAAAAACAACAUAUUAUAUGCUCAGGACUCGUAAGAUUUUCUGAUGUUGGGUGAUGACUAUGCAUAUUGGAGGCUGGAGCUUCAUUUAUGUUCAGUAGUCAUGACAACAGGAGCAGCGCAUGCGAACCUGUUCAGUAGCAAUAUUUUUAUGUGGGCAAUGUGAAGAUAUAUGGAGGAGAACGAUCACCGGUUAUUUAUAUGAAUGCAGCCAGUGGCAUGACUAGAGUUUUUGGUAGUUUGGCUUAGUUGAAGGGUUUUUUUGACUCUUGACUAAUAGAAUUUUCCUGUAGGAGAUUAGAAAUUGAAUAGGUCAUAAAGGAAGAAAAUACCUAGAAUUUACCCAAAUGGCUAGUUUUCUUAUGUAGUUAAUUUAAUUUCACAUAUGCGUGCAUCUUAAAUCAAUUACAAAGAAAAUAUAUGAUACUCUCUCCAAGCUUUUUCGAAAAUAGAUAUGAGAAAUUAAUCCAUGCCCAUUAACUUUAGUUAAUAGUAAAGUAUGUAAUUUGGCUUGAUUAAAUAUCCUUAGUUAUGAUUUUCAUGAGAAAGUUAGAUAAUUAUCGUUUUGGAUACCAGGUUCUACUAUAUAAUCACAUUUUUUUUCACCAAAUUAAGCAAUAUUCGUAAAGCUUAUUUAAAUUAUUGAUUUGUAAUUAACCUGUAUUGGACACCGAAGAAUCAAUUUAUAUGCUACAGGUACAAGUGAUAUUCACUAGCAUGUUCAGGAUACAUGGCAUUUUCUGAGUUAUAUUAAUUGCAUAAGGGGCUGCUAAAUCAUAUCUCAUUAAAAUUAAUCAUUUCCAAAUUGUUAGCAUUAAUCUAUAGCAAAGUUAAUUCAAAAUUUUCUCACAGUUGUAAAGCACUUAAUGAUAGAAAUAGGAGUAGAGAGACCAAUCUAGGUAGGUAUGGUCUAUGAAGUUUUUUGUCUUAUAUAAUACGUACCAUUUACUUCAUUAUUUUAGAGGCAUUGAUUUUGAACAAAGAUAAAUUAAGUUGUGGUAGGAACACGUUUACAUGAAUUGGGGCUUUUAGACGACAUACUUCUAGCAGAUUCAAGUCAUUGAACAUAACUCUACUAACACGCAUCAGCUUUUCCACCCUCAGAAGCCAUGAGACAAAGUCCAUUUCUAUGUAUAUAUGCACAUGUACCAACCCUCUUUAUUAUGACUUUACCCAUGUUGACAUAGUUUAACACGAGCUCAAACUUAGGAUGAUAUUUAAGGCUUAAGCUAAAUUAUAUAUUUUGAAAAAUAUGGUUAAUAUUAUCCGUUAUCCAACAACUCAAGUUUUUAAAUCAAAUGAGUAAUUUAACAAUUACACUAUCCUUAUACCAUUAAUUGGAAGGCACUUCAUAUCUUUUGCCCAAGAUAUCUAGGAUUUUUUUUUUUGCUUAAAUAAUAAUAUAAUUUAUAAAUAAAUAAUAUAUAUAUAUAUAUAUAUAUAUAUAUAUAUAUAUAUAUAUAUAUAUAUAUAUAUAUAUAUAUAUAUAUAUAUAUAUAUAUAUAUGUAUGUAUGUAUGUAUAAAAUAGUAUUUUACAACAUAUUUAGAAAAAAUAUGAUAUUUUUGGAAUUCGUUUUUUUUAAAAAAAAACAAUUUCACAUGCAUAAAUGGUCUUUAAGAAAAACAAUUUCUUGUUAAUAGAUAUCUUGUAUUUCAUCUCUUAUUUUCUUUCUUAUUUCAAGUAAGAUUAUUGUUUCAAAAUGGGAUUUUGACAUGAAUAUACUCUUUUAUACCCUUAGGUGAGAUGAACAGGAGAUGAACUCUAUGGUAUUAUGAUCAACGAUAAUGAGACCUGAAGAGCAUGUUGAUGAUACGUGGUGGCCAUGAAGGUAAUAGGCUUGUGUAUAGCUGAUGGAUUGACCAUAAAUAUGUCCAAAUCUAUGAUUUUAUUAUUUAUAUCUCAUACAUUUUUUAAAUGUUAUUAUCAUUAUGUUAUGCUAGUUUUGUACAUCAAAAUUAUUCCAUAUAUAAUAUAUUUUAAAACUGUUUUUACCUUGUAUUAAUUAUCAUAACAAAAAUGCAGCAUAAUUAUCCACUAAACCAUUCAUUCACCAAAUAGAUUUUAAUGGUUUUUAAGGUAAGGACUCUCGUAUGCCUAUUCAUGAGGUAGAAUCAACUUCAGAGAACAAAUCACUACGUACCUAGAUUUGUGUUUUUCUUUAUUAGACAUGUAGGAUAUGUAAUCUAUUUCCUUAAUGUAUUUUAGUUGUUUUCAGUUGUAUAUCAUCUUGUCAACCUUUGCUUCCACUAUUAAUUUAUUUUAUUAUUGUUGUUUUACUAAAAUCAUUUAGUUGUAUGUAGUUUUUAUACUAAAUAUUUAUAUGUUGAGACAAUGAUUUCUUUUUAAAUUUUGAUGCAAAAUGGACUCACCAUCUCUUAGUGGGCCCUUUUUGGGAGGGUGUUUACAAAUCAAGUUUCUGAUAAUAUUAUUAUGUAGCAGUUUUCUCUUUACUAAUUACAAAUAAAUUUUCUCUUAAUGAUGUAGACAUGAUUUUAGGCUAUGUGAAAUUACACCUAAAGAAAAUAAUAUUUAUACUAAAAAAUAAGUUGUUCUGUGCUAUUAUCAAACUAAUAAAAAAACUACCCUGAAUAUAUCCAUAUUAUCACAAAUAAUUAACCUUGCCAAUAUACUUUAGUUUUUUUCCUCUUCUGUACCAAUAUAUUUUACUUUUUUUCCUCUUCUCUAGCAUAUAAGUGCCGUAAACUUGGAUGCAUGAGCAAAGUCAAACACACGGAUGAAUGCUGAACAAAGAUGAUGAAAAUGGAAGUACUCCAACAACCAGCAAGCAUAUAUGAGCAUAUGCAUCAUUCAACUUGUUCUUUUUUAUUUCUAUAUAUAUCACAAAGUGUAGAAGUCCACCAGGGUACAAACUGUGAAGGGAGAAAAAGAAUACACGAAUGACAUACAACCAAUUUGGGUUAUUAUUAUUUUUUAUAUGAAAAGGAAAAUAUAUAAAAUAAAAUAACAAAAACAACAAAUGCAACGCCUACAUAUUCAGUUUAUUCCUUGUGGUCCCAUAAAAGUCAUAAAAUACGUAGUUAUGUGCUCAGGACUCGUAAGAUUUUCUGAUGUUGAGUGAUGACUAUGCAUGGUGGAGGCUAGAGUGAUAGGCCACGACGAUCUGAGAGGGACCAUAAACCAAAUCCCAAAUAUUUGGGAUGAGUGGGAACGUGAAGAACCGUUGGACUUGGACUGGGUUGUGGCAGUUGAGAGUCCUACGUGCAGAAGGAAAUGGGUCAUCCGUAGUGAGAGUUUUCCGUCAUUUUAUUUCCGUUUGUUAUGCUCGUUUGUACGUGGCUUUGCUUAUUUAAAGCAGCCAAUGCUUUCGUUAAAGAGUAGUAUUUUUCUUUGCAAUCAAAUUGUGGUUCGUUUCUCACCCGAAGAGAAAACAUAGUAUCUUAGCCUUAUACUCUGAGUUUGGGACCUAUCAUAGAGCUUCAUUUAUGUUCAGUAGCCAUGACAACAGGAGUGCUGGCAUGCGAACUGGCUCUAUGGGGAGGAAUGGCAUGACCCGCAAACUUCAUUCCAUUGGGACAAGGUGAGCCUUUUUCGGGGAUAUGGCCGCAUGAACUUGGUCCUGAAGGAGGGACAGGUCCUGAAAGCGUAGAUUUCAAAGGAACAAUCCUUAUCUUCAUCCACUCUUCUUUCUCUCCAUGAUGAUCUUGGAUGGGUUAAGCAAACAGGAGAUGAUCAGAUAGAGCAAUAUUUUUAUGUGGGCAAUAUGAAGUUAUAUGGAGGAGAACGAUCACCGGUUAUUUAUAUGAAUGCUGCCAGUGGCAUGACUAGAGUUUUUGGUUGUUUGGCUUAGUUGAAGGGUUUUUUUGACUCUUGACUAAUAGUAUUAAUUCAAAAUUUUCUAACGGUUGUAAAGCACUUAAAUAAGAGUAGAGAGACCAAUCUAGGUAGGUAUGGUCUAUGAAGACUUUUGUCAUAUAUGAUACGCACCAUUUACUUCAUUAUUUUAGAGGCAUUGAUUUUGAACAAAGAUAAAUUAAGUUGUGGUAGGAACACGUUUACUUGAAUUGGGCCUUGAAUGUUUGGGGCUUUUAGACGACAUACUUCCAGCAGAUUUAAGUCAUUGAGCAUUACUAACACGCAUCAGCUUUUCCACCCUCAGGAGCCAUGAGACAAAAUCCCUUUCUAUGUAUAUAUGCACAUGUACCAACCCUCUUUAUUAUGACUUUACCCAUGUUGACAUAGUUUAACAUGAGCUCAAAUUAGUAACUUAGGAUGACAUUUAAGGCUUAAGUUAAAUUACCUUGAUAAAUAUGGUUAAUAUGGUUAAUUUGAUAUGUUAUCCAACAACUUAAGUUUUUAAAUCAAAAGAGUAAUUUUACAAUUACACUAUCUUUAUACCAUUAAUUGGAAGGCACUUGUGGACCCGCGUUUUUCACGUGCAUCCCCACUCGAGUGGCGAGACUCAUUUUUCAUUUAUUUGUGAAAAUUUAAUUUUUAGAAAAAGACUUGGAAUUGCUACUUAUUUUAAUUUUUUUUAAAUGGAAAAUAAAAUAAGAAAGAAACCAUGUGUGACUCCUUAUUUGGAAAAGACAUGUCUGUAAAAACAGAAUCUAGAUUUAAGGGUUAGGCUACCUAUUGAGAAGAUACGGUGGUGAACCGUAGCACCCCUUUAAGGUCGUAUACAUACGGUCUCUACUAAACAAAUUAAGGGAAUUGUGGUAAUUAAUUAAUUAAUCAUAAAUACCAAGAUUAAAGGAACUAAACAAUAUACACAAAGAUGAUGACAAAAUAAAAUUACAAGAAUGUACAAAAUAAAUGAAAACAGAAUUAUGCAAAUUGAUUUAUUGAACUAAAUAAAAAAAUAUUUUAAAAAAUUAGUUUUCUAAAAAUUUGAAAGGAUUUUAUUUAAAACAAUUUUGAAUUAGUGAUUUCCAUUUAUUUAUUUACAAAAAAUAGUCAAUAUAUUUUCUCAAUUUCAUUUGAAUUUAGAGAUGUCUUUAUCUUUGAUGCUUGCAUAGGCUUUUACUUCUACCCGCUUGCUGAAGUAGUCAGUGGCUACGAGUAGAAAUUUCUUUUGCACGGAUGUGAUAGGUAAGGGGCUAACUAUAUCCAUACCCCAUAGUGUGAAUGGCCAAGGGCUCAUGACAGGAUUGAGGACUUCUGACAGCAUAUGAGGAAUGGGAGUGUACUUCUGGCAUCAGCCACACCUUCUAACAUAGCUUUUGAUGUCUUUCCUUAUGGUAGGCCAAUAGUACCCCUAUGUGUGAGCGCGAUGAGCUAAGGUACAUCUACCUUCAUAAUUGCUGCAUACGCCCUAGUAGAGAUUGGCUAGGAUGUACUGUGCUUCUGGACCGCUCAAACACUUGAGGUACAACCCCCCAAAAGAUUGCCUAUAAAGCUUGUCCCUGAUUAGAGUGAAAUGAGCAGCCUGCACCUGGAUCUUCUGUGUUUGUUUCUUAUCUUUAGGUAGUUCCCUUAUCCAAAGGUAUUUCCCAAUUUCGUAAGUCCAAUCAGUGUUUGUCUCAAUAGUACUACAUACGGAUGCUGCCGCGAUUGAGGACGUGGUUUGGAGGUAAAUGGGCAGUAGCAUUGCCUCCUCUAGAGGGAGAGUAGCGGCUACUUCAGCCAGCGCGUCAACUUUUGAGUUCUCUCUCCGAGGUACUCAGUCCACCGCCCAUUCACCCAAUUUUGCAAAGUUAUUUUGUACUAAUGCGAGAUAGCGAGCCAUGCGCUUGUCCUUAACUUCAUAUUCUUUCCAAAAUUUCCUAAUGACUAGUUGAGAAUUGUUGCAUAUUUUUAACUUAACUAGUACUAAAGUAAGGGUAAGGUUCAAUCCGGUUAAGAUUGCCUCAUACUCAACUUCGUUGUUGGAGGCGGGGAAACCGAGCUGAAUAGCUUAUUCUAGAAGUUUCCCGAUUGGUGACUGUAAAAUUAGGCCUACCCUCGAACUGGAGGCCCUGGAUGUUCCAUCUACAUGAAGUGCCCACCACCCUUCCUCAGGGGAGUAUGCUAGGUGGGGUGGCUUUUGAGGGAACUCAGCUAUAGAAUCGGCCAUGACUUGUCCCUUCAAUGCCAAUCUAGGCUGAUAUUUGAUUUUGUAUUCACUCAACUCUAUGACCCACCUUAACAUUCUUCUGGAUAGGUCUGAUUUAUGCCAAAUACUUUUGACCAGUUGAUUCGUGAGUAUAGUUACUUGAUGGGCUUGAAAAGAAGGGCGGAGCUUUUGGGUGACACUUUUUAGAGCUAAGGUCAUUUCCUCCAUCUUGGAGUACCAGGUUUCUACAUCAACUAUCGCUUUGCUAACGUAGUAAACGAGCCUUUGUUCUUUAUCUUUUACGUGACGAAAUAGGACAACGCUGACCGCAUAGUUAGACAUGGCUAAAUCUAUGUGAGUUGUUCACUGGAUUGCGGGCUACUCAGAAUGGGUGGAUGGGUAAGAUAGCAUUUAACCUUGUUGAAUUCUCGUUUGCACUCAUCUAUCAAACCGAUCACGCUUGCCCCUUUUAGCAUGAAGAAGAAAGGCCUUAGCUUAUUAGUGAAAUGAGCUAUGAAAUGUCCCAGUGCAGCUAGGUGACUUGUGAGGCACUACAACUCCUUCUUGCUGCUCGAGGCAGGCGUUUCAAGGACGACUCUUAUUUGGUCCGAGUUCACUUCAAUUCCCAUUUAUGUUACCAUAAACCCUAAGAAUUUCCCCGCGUUGACACCAAAGGCAUAUUUAACAAUGUUUCUUCUAAUUGUUGGGCGUGUUCACUAUGAUUUUUGCUUUUCACCACGAUUUCGUCAAUGUACACUUCCAUGGUCUGGUCGAUUAGGGAUUUGAAGAUCUUUGUCAUCAGCCUUUGAUAAGUAGCGCCAAUAUUUUUUAGCAUAAACAACAUGACCUUGUAGUAGUAAAGUUCGUGCGGCGUCACGAAGGUUGUCUUAUCUUUGUCUAGUUGGAACAUGGGGAUUUGGUGGUAUCCAUAGAAUGCAUCUAUGAAGGAGAGCAUUCCAUGUCCAAUAGUGGCAUUUACUAUUUAAUCUAUUCUAGGCAAUGGAAAACUAUCCGUUGGACAAGUCUCAUUCAAGUUGGUGUAAUGAACACAGACUCGCCACUUUCCUCAUUUCUUUGGAACAACCACCACUAUAGACCCUCGUUUUUGUCCUUUUAGCACAUGUCUUUAAGUUCACUUCCAGUGCUCCAUAUUAGUUCCUUGGUGGCCCAUUACUACUCAUACUACUUACCUUUUUUUAGCUACCUUGGAAACAUUGGUUGAAGGAUUUAUCUAACCCCAUUAUGACUCUUAAUAGCCCUAAUUUAGAAUUAGGCACUGUUCUAAACACCUUAAGCCCACUUAGGCACCACAUUAAGCCCAUUCACUUAGGCCCACUUAGGUUCAUCUUGGCCCACUUAGGUUCACCCAAGCACACGUGGUCCACUUCGCUCGCCCUAGGUCACUUAGGCACACUUUUAGACUCACUUAUUUUUGCAUGACUUGCAUGGUUUCAUGAAUUGCAUGACUUGUGUGGCCUACAUAGCUUUAUUUAUUUAUAUUUUAUGUAUUAUUUUUGUUUUAUUUUAUUUUAUAUUAUUAUAUUAUAAGUUUUCUAACUCAUGUUUCCUAGAUUUUUUUAGCAUGAGGAAACGGGCUACCAUCUAUUUGGAAGAAGGAUCACCAUAAUUUUCGAGAAACGAAAGUGACAGAGAUUUUUUUUAUGGAAUAACGAAAGGACAGGGAAAGAGAUAGUGGUAUGAAAGGUCAUCUGAAACAUAUAUAUCCAUUUGAAAUUUUCUGAGGGGACGCACAGGUUAUGGAAGAAUAGAUUAAAUGAUUUGGGAGGUCCACAACCUGUACACAUGAUUAAUAUCCCUUGAAUGCAUGAUGAUAGGAGCAGUCACAAUCUCGACAUACAUAAUCUGCUGUUAAAGAACAACAUACACGCAUGCAUGGAGAGGAAUGGAUGCACAAUCCAUCAUUGACCCACAUGUUCUCAUACAAGUCUACGCCUUUGUGAGAGAUGUGCUGCUAUUGAAGAAGCGGUCGCAUCCUUGAGACAGUCCGCACACACGGAAGGAGGGGAAGAGGAUUUGGUCAUUAUUUUCGUGAGAAAAGUAGAGACACAUAUAUCCAAAUGGGGCAUGGUGAAGACGCAUAGGAGUGGAUGAUAAGAGUGAAAGCAAGAGACUUUUUGAGAGGGAAAGGGUGCACAGUUUGGGGUAUGAGAGUGAGAUUAUCAUAUUUAUGGAGAGUGAAUCAGUGCAUGGUUCAAGAGGGAAGAUUGGAGAAAGAAGGAAAAAGGGGAGUCAUCCAUGUUGAAGAAUACCCUGUCCAUUAGGGAUUCGACAUCACAUAUCGUCAAUGGGAGUGGCUUGCAGAAAUCUGGACCACACACCAUUGAAAUUCGGAUCCAUCACGCACCACCAAAAUAAGGAGGAAAUGGGUGGAGGGCUGUUAAUGGUAGAGAAUAACAAGAUUAUUUAUGGAGAAAAUUAUAUUGUACAUAGGCACGUUUGAUGAGUGGUCAGUUUGUUAAUGGUGGAGAGUAUCAGGUUUUUGGAGGAGCAGUAACAUAUUUUAUGUGGAGAAUAAACUACUAGCAAACCAAACUUUCCUCUUAGAAAUUUUAUGGAUGAACACCAUGUACCAGAAUAUUGGAAGGAGAGCACCAUCUCCAUUUUGGGGAAGAACACACCACCGACCUUAGGAAAAAUGGGAGAAAUUCUAGAAGUUUGAUUUUCGUUUCUGUUAGAAAAAAGGAGUUCAUGCUGCAACUGAUGAUUCUCAUGGAAGCAACCUUGUUGCCAUUCUCUGUUGAUCUAAUCAUCAUAUGGAGAGGGAUCACCGACCUUGAGGAGAGAUUUUGGCUACUCUAAAACUGGAAAAAAUGAAGGAGUUAUGGAUUCAUUUGAUUAGAAGAUUAUUACCACACAUGGUUCCUGAAAGGGCGAUUUAGAGAUAGAAUUGGUUAGAGAGAACUGUGGAUAACCAAAGAAAGAGAAGAAACAAAAGAGACAAAGUAGUGGAGAGAGGAAAGCAAGCAAACAAGUAGAAAGAUGGGGGAUUUCGGAUUUGGAGAUGAGAUUAAGAGCUGGAAACCAAGCAUAACAGUGCUUGAAAGGAGUUGUCUAGGUACGAUUACUAAAGCUUCAUGUUAUCCUAUCUUCAUAUUGUUUCUUUCUGGUUUUUGCAUAUUAUUUUGUUGGUUUCUACAUAUUAUUUUGUUGAUUGAAUCUGAAUAUAAAAAACCAUCGUGUUAUUGUUGAGACUGAGAUUGUUUUCAUGCUUCCACUAUUUGGGUUAUGCUCUGGUUCUCAAGUUCACUGAUAACUCAUGAAGUGAAGCUUCACUUGUUGACGCAAUGAUUUAUGUUUAUGUCCUAUUUCUAUGGUUGUUAUUUUUGCUGUGAUUUUCCUCUAUUCCUGUUGACUGUCCAUGGUGCGCGUCAAGUGGUGCAUUUCAACCUAGGGCUGCUCUGAUCUGUUAUUUUAAGAUGAAGUUGCCUAGACUAUCAUCAUUUUUUGAAAAGUGGGAUUCUCAAAGAUGUCCACAAUUGGUACAUAUUAAAAAGGGUUUCCUAAUAGUGACACCCUCUCUGAGUAAAACUUUUAACCAUCAUUGCAACUUUGCAACUUUCACAAGUAAAGGCUGAGAGGCUACCAAUCAUUUAAACAUGUAAACUUCGCCCUUAUUAAUACGGAACAACUCCACCUUUGGUCCUACCCAAUACUCAUCAUCCAAUGUAAUUUUUUCAAUCCAUAAAAUUAGCAACGAUCAUUGAAAUCACAACCAAAACUUCAAAAGAAAAAAGAUAAUAGUAAAAUAUUCAUUUAAUUAUAUUUUGAUGAAUUGUAACCAUUACUCACACUUCCUGGGGCAUCAAUAUUGAUGCAUCUAUACACACUACAUAUUUCAGCAAGUAGUAGUAACAAUUGCGAUUAUAUUUACAAUCAUUGACAUCACAACAUUUGAUGUGUUUUUAACUGCAUAGAAAUCUAAAGAAAAAUUUACAUAGGAUUACAAAGCGGUAAUUGUGCUUCCAAAUCAACAUGUGUGCCAUGAUAAAUCAAAGAGAAAAUGAAUUAAUUUGUGAAAUAUAUAAAUCCUUACUAUUCUCCACCCAAGCCAGCUUCCACAUAAAGUACAAUAGACAGAAACCGCAUCCUCAUGACUCCCUGCAUGUAUAUAUAUAUAACAGAAAAUGGAAAAUGGAAAAUGAUCACGAUAUUAAUCAAUUAAUAUCACAAAUCUUAAUUAAGCAUCAAAUCUUAAUUAUGGAAAAGAAACAAUUAUGGCAAAGAAAUUACUCAAUUAAUUAAGCAUCAAAUCUUAUUUAAAAUCACAAACCAUGUAUAUAUAUAUAACAGAAAAGAAACAAUACCUGAAUAAAAUUGUUGUCAAAAGCAACGUAAUUAUGGCAACGGAUGCAGCGGAAGUCGCAAGAAAGUGGUGGGCAUCCAGAAAGGCUUCAAGAGCACUAAGCAUACGUGCAGUUUCUGGUGGAAGGGCCAUUGGAACUUGGAAUAUCAAAGAUUAACAGCUACUCUUCUUGACGGAUCCUACAAUAUCAUUCAGAAAAAUUAAGAAAAAAAGAAUAAUCUUAAGUUUCCAUAUUGCAACUCUUAUACAAGAGAUUCCGGGUGAGAAAAUACCAGAUAUUUAUGAAGAAGGCUUCAAGGUGAAAGCUCCCAACAACUUAGUUCCUGGUGGGAAGGACAACUAUCACCUUAAUUUUUACCAACAAAGUGAGAGAAACCACAAACAGAGAAAGAAAGAGGGGGAAGGGAAAGUUGGUUAUUUUGUUUUAGAAAAACAGUUAAAUGAGUGUGAACUAUGAGCAAUGAUGAUUAAUUAUAUGCUAAAAUACACCAUUUGCCACAUCAUCAUGUUAGGUUAUGAUUAUAAACUUUGAAUUGUCCAUUAAUUUCCUUCAGAACCAGUUAAAAAAGUGAAGCUUAAUUUAUUUUAUAUAACGGUUUCAUGUUUCUUUUAUUAUUUUCAAUCCUUGUGAAGAAAAUAGGCUUGAUGUAGAUGCUUAAUUGUUAAAUAAUUUAUUUAUUAGGUAGAACGAGAUUUAAAUACACUACAAACCUAGUAUUUCUCAUUAAUCUCCCAAUAAAUUCCCUUUGAAUCUUCAAAUAAAUCAUUUACCAAGAGUUUAAGUAGUCUCAUAUAGAUUAAGGUCGUGUUUGGUUGACUGGAUAUAACAUGGGAUAGGAUAAGAGAGAGGAUAUUAUAUCUUGUCCAAUGUUUAGUUGGUGAUAGGAUAUGAUAAGCUAUCUCAUCACUUAUCCUAUCUUAUAUUCAACUAAACGUAGGAUAGCAUAAGUAGUAGGAUAUAUUAUCCAUCUUUUUUUUCAUCCCUUUCACAUGGGAUAUGUUAAUUUUAUGGUAAAAUAUGGAACAUACAUAUCCCAUUAUCAAAAAUUCAUUUUCUUUUUUAUGCUUUUUUAAUACUCAUUUUAGAAAAUAAAUUUUUAAUUGCAAAUUAAUUUUAUGAUUUAAAAAAAACUAAAAAAAUAUCUAUAAAAUAAUAUUAAUAUAUAAUAUAUAAAUUAUUUUUAUAUAUUAAAUAACAUAAUAUAAAAAAUAAUUAUUUGCAAAAUUUAAAUAUUUUUAUCAUGAAUAUUUUUAAACAUAACAAAAUUUUCAUUUUUUUUAAAUAGAAAAUAUUUAAAUGUGUUAUAAUUUUUAUUUUAAACAUUGAAAAUAAUAUAUAUUUCAUAUUAUUUUUAUUCAUUUCACAAAUUAAAUAUAAAUAUGAUAUAACAUAUCUCAUUAGAUUUCCUAUCUUAAAAUAUUAUGUUCAUAGACUAUGUAUAUCUUAGGAUAUGCAUAUCCUAUCCAAUGGGAUAUGACAUCUCCUAGGAUAUCCUAUCAUAUCAUGUCAACCAAACCUAACCUAAAGGUUUAAUAGUUUAUUUUGUAAUAUUUCUUAAAAAAAUAGUUUUUAAUAGUUCAUAUUUACAUAUUUUUCUCUUUUUCUUCUUAGUUCUCAAAUAUAGAAAACCAUUUUGGGGAAAACAGAAUACUUUAUCAAAAUAUUUUUUAAAAACAAAAACAGCUAAAAACACAUCAAUUCUUUUUUCUAAUUGUAAAGCAACAACUUCCACGUGAAAAGGCAAUCUGAUUAGAAAAAAGAAAUCAACAACUUCCAACUGAAAUUGAGCUUCAGGUUCUUGACCAAGAAACAGAGAGCCAAACAGUUAAGGAUGUGUUAAGAUAUCCGACAAAAAAAAGAAAGGAUUAGUUAAUAUAUUUGUCUUAACAGUCAAUGAUGAACAACGCUCGGAAGAAAUUGCUGAAUGUGAAAUCAACCAUACCCAAGCAAUCAGAUUCUUGAAAGCUACCAAACUUGAAUUUAAUUUUCUGAAGAAAGUGAGCGAAAGUGAGAGGAAGUGAGAGAGAAACAGUCAUGAAUCUUAUAUAGGAAACGAAGCAAAUGAACUUGAAUUGGAUCUCUGCAGAAAGAAAGAAGGUAAAGGGUUAGGAGAAAUCAACUACAACCAAGUUAUCAGAUUCUUGAAAACUGGCAAACUUCAAUUUAAUUUUCUGGAGAAAGUGAGCGAAACUGAGAGAAAGUGAUAAACAGUUAUGAAUCUUAUAGAGGAAACAACGCAAAUGAACUUGUAAUGGAUCUAUACAGAAAGAAAGAACGAAAAAAAAGGAAGAAGGAAAAGGGUUAGGAGAAUUUUACCGGAUUGAUGACAAAAAGGGCCAAGAAAUUGUUGGGUGUGAAAUCAACGACACCCAAGCUAUCAGAUUCUUGAAAGCUACCAAACUAGAAUUUAAUUUUCUAGAGAAAGUGAGCGAAAGUGAGAGACAAACAGUACAACUCCCAAGUGAAAUUGAGUUUCAGAUUCUUGACCAUGAAAGUGAGAAAGAAACAGUCGUGGAUCAUACUUGUCAAUCACAGCUAAUUAACCUGUCCAGGAUAUCAAGAAAAAGAAACACAGGAUUAAAGAAUUUGUACCUGAUAGAUGAUCAAGACCGAGAAAAAAUUGAUGAAUGUGAAAUCAGCAAUUUCUCAUUCGGCAAUUUCUUCUAGGCUCCUUGAUCAUCAAUCAGGUACAAAAUCUGAAUCCAACUCCAACACCGAGAUGAACCAUGCCAACGCCGGACCCUACUCCAACACAAGAUCUCUUUCUUCGUUGUAAUCACUGCCCUCGACCCUUUAUUCACAGCCAAAGUGUUCUGAGUGUGAGAUGAUGAGUUUUGUUGCUAUUGUAGCUAUCUUUAUAAUGUUUCGGCUAUUUUCAUAGUUUUUAUUUAUUUAAUUUUUUUUUUUUAUUAUUUUUUUUUUUUUCUGUCUACAAUGGUGAAGUGAGGUUACAUUUUUUUUUAAAAAUUUAUGAAUUAAUAAUAAUAAUAAUAAUAAUAAUAAACCAUUAGUGAAUUAAUAUACCAUUUGUUAGCACUAACUAAAUAUUUGCCCUUUAAAAAAAAUUAGUAACAAACUCAACUUUUUACCACAAAAAAUAAUAAAAUGGCUUCUUCUUUUUCUUUUUUUUCUAUUAUUUUUUUAUUUUUUAUUUUUUUGGGCAUGUGUUGGAGGACCAAUUCUAAAGAAAAGAAAAAGGUGGUCAGGAACUCUCAGAACUGAUGUAACUUCAAAAUGUAUGGAAAUUGAUUUUAUACUUUUUAUUCCAAUGGAUUGUCCCAAAGCUUAAUUUACACAAAGUUAAAUGGCUUCAAAUCACGUAAGAAAUUCAAUUGAUGGACUAAUUUUUUUUGCUAAGAAAUUAAGAAUCUUGUUAGGAUGCAACAUGAUUCACGUAUGUUUGGUAAUUCUUUUCAAAAAUAGUUUUUCAUUUUUCAUAACAAAAAAUUGGAAAACAAGUUCGAUAAUUAGAAAAUAGAACAAUGUUUUAAGAAAAUAAAGUAUUUUCAGAAAUUAUUUUAAAAACAGUUCUAAAAUAUAAAAAAAAUAUGAUUAAAGAAUAAAGUAUGCAGUAUAAAUAAAAUUUAUUUUCAGAACAUAUUUUAAAAUAUAAAAAAUAAAUUAAGAAUAUUUUAGAUUUUCAAAUAAACUUUUAUUUUAUAAAAGAUUAGAAAACAACUUUUAAAAACGAUUUUUCAAAAAACCAAAUUGUAAGUCGAGAUUAAGUCAAAAUGAUGCAUCAAAGGUCAUACCUAACUUCAAACUAUGAUUUUCUUAAGAACCCUUUAAUGUUAAGUGUUGUACCAAAGUCAAAUUAAAUUCAACUUAAAUCAAUAAGUAUUAAGUUUUAGUAAACCUGCACCCUUUAAUGUUAUAACUUAAAGGUAAAAAUAACUUUAACCAUUAAGUCAAAAUGAUUAACUUAUUUUAAAUAAUCGAUUUCCUUUUGUCCAUAUACACAUCUAAUGAGAAUAUCUUUUAUGUCAAUGCCUCCACCACAUGAUUCAUAUAACUUUUUAACUAAAUAUAUUGUAGUUAUUUUAUGAUUCUACAAGACAUUUAAUAUGAAUGUUUAGCAAAUAAAUUUAUUAUUUAACAAUAAUGAAAGUAAAUAUUAAUGUAAAUUAACAAAGGUAAAUAUUAAUUGAAAUUAAUAAGAAUAAUGUGUUAAUUUGAUGAUUCAAUAAAAAUGUUAACUUUAUUGGAUGACUUUAAUACUUAAAAUAUAAAUUAAAUAAUAAAUUUUAAGUUAACAAUUUAAAAAUAAUUUAGCUUAAAAUAUAAAGUUUUAUCAAAUAUUUUGUAAAUCAAAUAAUAUUUGGACAAUUUUAUGUAUAUGUGAAUAGGAUUGCAACUUGAGUCGGUCCAAUUUGUACCCCUCGUAGGGUUCGAGUUGAAGGAUAAACUUUGAAUAAGUCAAGGUUUGACUUGGGUUGGAAAAAUAUCAAUUUAAAAAUAUUAGGAUAGGUGUGGGUUCAAGAUUCAAGCAAUCUACCAAAACCCAAACCCGCACAUAAUUAUUAAUUAUAAAUUGAAGCAAUUGGAAAGUUAUAUAUACCUUGCCAUUAAAAUUUCUUAAAAUUGCACACACACCUGAGUUCCCAGGGAUCACAAUUUGAUAAUAUAUUGAGUUUUCAGGGGUAAGAAGAUUCAGGGGUAGAUUGACCCAUAUACAUGGAGAUGGAACGUUUGCAUGGUCACAAGCCAAGAGACGAUUAACAGUACCUAUAAUUCCAAAUGAUGGUCUUUUCUUUAGAAAUAGGCACAUGAGCACAUACCAUAUGUCUCAUAUACCACCUCAAUGUUGAUCAAAACUCACUUGAUUAAAAAUAAAUAAAUAAAUAAUCAAAGAAGAAAUUAAAAUCCAUCUAUGACUCCAUGUAUUUAAGCAAAGUCAGAAGAGACCAAAUUUUAAGUCGAAAAGGAAGUCAAAUUUCAAACCAUAUUUUUGUGCGUAAACAGCGGCCACCUAUGACUCCAUGUAUCUUUAAUCGAGCUAUGUUGGGAAACUUUAGAAUUGGGUUUGAAUCCAUUUUAAGUCUUCUAUGUAAUCGACCCUCACUCUCCGUUUUCCUCCUCUCUUUUUUGGAUCACAUGCUGAGAAUGAAAUUACCUUUGAAACGUUCCAUUGAAUUUUGGAAGUCGAAUAAAUAAGAAGGCAUAGUCACAGAAAAUUGCUUCCAAAGUAAUAUCCUCUGCUCCGUAGACCACUCCAUUGAAAUCAACGCUGACCUCUUGAUCUAAAAAUUGGGCUAUAGAUUUUUAUAUUCUUCUAGAGACGAAUACCAUAUUUUUUCAAGAAUUGCAGUCCCUUUCCUAAAAUAUGUGGAGACAAAAAUGAUGAAAAAGAAAAAAAACACAUUAAUUAGAUAUGAAACAAUGAUGCUAAUUUUGGGAUGAGUAGGUAAGGUCGGAGAUGGUUAGACACCAGCAUAAGUCUCAAGACAAGUAAAGCCCAACGAUGCGUGUAUUAUGUGGGAUGAGUCCAACUCCACGGCAAGUUAAGCCUGAAGAAGAAUAUGAUUGAUUGACUGACAUCAAGAUUAAAUUGAUCUUAUUUACAGCAAAUUGGUUUAUAGCUAAUUAAGCCAUUGAUCCCAAUAAGUGAUAUUAAUUACAGCUAGGUCAUGGGUUAGAGUAGCAAGAGCCCCAUGUUGGACAAGGAAAAACCGUAAGGUGACAGAUUUGCUUGAUCGUAAUACAUAUCCUGUUGAUGGGUUUUUAUUAGGUAAAGAGGUGAACCCAGAACCAGUCCAUGCACACACAUCCCUGGACAGAGAGGAGGCAGGUGCGCCUUGAACCUGCAUUUUCCCAAUUUUGUGAUUGAUGUUGCUGUGGCUUCCGCUACUAAGGGUGGCCAUGCUCAAGAUUGAAGCUCGUAGGCUUGUUUUAGGAGUUGGGUUUUUUGCAUCUCAAUGAUCCCUCUCUUCCGUAUCUAUCCAUUUCCUAAUAAGAGUUAGGUAUGUUUGAUAAUUGCUUUUGAAAAUAGUUUUCUAUCUUUUAUAGUAAAAAACCACGAAACAAGUUUGAUAAUUAGAAAACAAAACACAGUUUUAAGAAUACAAACUAUUUAAAAAAAUUAUUUUAAAAAUAAAAUGGUAAAAAUAAAAUUUAUUUUAAGAAUAUAUUUAAAAAUAUAGAAAAUAUAGAAAACAAAUUAAGAACAUUUCAAAUUUUCAAAAAAACUUUUGCUUUAUAAAACGUUUGAAAACCAUUUUUAAAAACUGUUUUGGAAAACCAUUUUUCAGAAUUAUUUUUUAAAACACCUCUUGAAGAAAGCCUUAGUCUUACAAAUUUUUAUUUUGACAUGAAUGUCAAAUUUCUAUUAGGAAUAAACAUAUAUCAAAGCUUUAAUUUUGUGCAACCAAAUUUGACUUAUUCUCUUGCUGCAUGUGGCUAUCACUAUCCAAUUCAUUGAGAUAAAACCAGCCACUAAAUAGAGAUUUUGGGAAUUAUUUUCAAAAUAGGGACAAGUAGAAAUUAAUUCUCCUUGAUAUACUAUAAAUUAGAGAGAUAUUUUAUAAAGUAAUAGAAUACUAAAUUAAAUAGAAGUUAGAUCAAACAAUUGUAAGUCAAGAGAUUAAGUCAAAAUGAUGCAUCAAAGGUCAUACCUACUAUUAAGAAAACCUACUACUGAAAAACAAUUGAAAAACCUAAUACUAGUCGUCUUCAAAAUGUCUUAGCAGUAGGAUGGUAAGGAUUUUGAUUGAAAAACCUACUAUUCCUAGUGUCCGAAAUGCUUGUCUUAUCAGGACAAAUCCACCCUAUGUUGAUAUAUAUAUAUAUAUUCUACUUUCCAAUCAAAGUAAAUCACUGAUUAAUGGACUAUCAGCAGAUGAUAAAUGAAUUUAGAGAAAAUUUAAGGCAUCCUAAAUGUCCAUCGAAAAAGAGUAGUUCCAAGUGUCACAUUGGGGAAUAUAAUUGGGGAAUAUAUGGUGAGAACCUGUCACAUUGGGGAAAAGUAAAGUCUCACGAUCUAGCAUAUACAGUCAAAUACUUCUGGACCCACCCUCUUUCCAUAACAAUCUAUUAAAAAUUGAAACUUAAAAUUAAUUUUCAAAAAUUAGAUUAUCAAUAUUCUACCUAUGUAGAUUUAUCAUAAUAAUAAAUUUUAAUUUAAAUAAUUGAAAUGAAAUAGUGAUAAAUUUAAUGUUUAAAUGAUUAAAAAACAAAUAUAUAACCUAUAAGACAAGUAUAAAAACUAAUUUAAUUAAUUAAUUAAUUAUAAAAAGUAUAAAUAAUAAAGAAAUGUAAAAGAUAAUAAUAAAAUUUGAUAACGAAUUUUUAUUUAUUAUAUAUAUAUAUAUAUAUAUAUAUUAUUAAUAUGAUGAUUUUUCAUUUUUAUUUUUUGAGUUAGGUUUCUUUUUCGAUAUAUAGUUUUUUAUUUUAUUUUAUGUCUUUGUUAUUGUGUUAUCUCAGUUUCAAAAGAAAUGAAAAUUAUUUAUCCCACAACUUCAAAACUAAAAAUAUUAUAUAGAUUUAUUAAUUCCUUACAAAAUACAAGUACAGCCAACAUGCAAGCAAUCAGCAGAUGAUAAAGAAAAUUUAAGGCAUCGAGAGAAAGUCUGUUCUCACGAACAAUGUGAAAAGUCCCACUCUUUCUCACGAAAGCAUAUAUAGUCAAAUACUUCUGGAUCUUUCUCACGAACUAGCAAUACGUCUGGACCCACCCUCUUUGCAUAUCUCCAGCUACACCUGAAAAAGACUUGAAAAGAGCUCCUUAUAUAUAUAUAUAUUUAGACGUUUAAAAGAUCAAUGGCCAUCAGAAAAGAAACAAUCAAAAAAAAUUUCAUGAUUCAAUUAAUUUUCUUCUUUUUAUUUUUGUAUCAUGAAGUGUACAAACUUCACAUGGUUACAGCACACAUUAAGAGCCAAAGUAAUACACAGAAACGCAUAGAACUUGUCCAUGUUAUUCGUUGAACACAAACUCCAUCAAAAGAUGAAAAAUAGAAUACAGUUACUAAAGCUCAAAUGACCUGCAAAUCAGUUUAUUCAGAUGAAAACCACGACAAUAAACUACGUAUACUUGGAGCUGAUGGCUUGUAAAAAUGUCACUUGUGCAUGGUAGCCUUGACAGCCGGAGCGGUGGCAUGUGCUCUUGCAGGAGAUGCAGGUGGAUGUUUGCAAGGAGGGCCUUCAACGGGGGUUUUCCCACAUGGAUUUUGGCCAGAAGGAGGGACAGGACCCCUUUGCUGAACCCUAGCAGCAUUGUGUGGCUGGACACUCAGAAGAAAAACAAGGGCUAUGACAGUAAAAACAACGUUGAGAAACCUCAUGAUAGUCUUGGUGAUGAGGCAAACAGGACAGGAGAUGAACUAAAAAUAAAUUGGAUAUGUAGAUUAUAUGCGUAUGAAGAGGAGAUGGUGUUAGUUGUUAUUUAUAAGCAUGCAUAUCCAAUGUGAUCACUUGAAUUUUUAAUUGUUUGAUUUGUUUGAAGGGUUUGGAUUCUUGACUAAUAGGUUUUGGCACGAGAUGACUGGAAAUUGAAUGGUCAUAAAGGAGAAACUGCCCUUGAAUUACCUGAAUGCAUGGCAAAGUUUAAUUUCUCAUUUCAUUCUUACAUUCACACCAAGGGUUUACUUGAAUUGAUGAUGCUUGAAACUUUGGAGUUUGGUCAUAGUUCUGGAUGUUAAACUACUUUUUCUCACAACAUAUGGUCCUUGUUAUGAUGGAGGAAGCUUUCAUGUAAACAUCCUUAAUCAAGAAUACAAAGAUAAAAUAAUUAACACAAACGAUACAUGAGGUUUUAAUGUAGUUCGGCCAACCAUGCCCAUGUUUACAGAUGAGAGAAUUAUUUCACUAUAAAAUAAAGAACAUUACAGAGGACAUAACCAGAUACAAUUAUUGGGUUCCCAAAACAUCCCAUGUUUCUCCACUCUUCAUAUCCCUACCCUAUCACGAGUCUUCUUGCUCCACCGAGUACCUCCCAUUCUUCCUCACACCUCUAUUCACCUCAUAUAGUCUUUACAGUCUCAUCUUCAUCUCAUAAUUUUUUCUCCUUGCGACUUAGAAUAUUUAUAGAGAUAUUUCCAACAACCUUCCUUAUUCUAUUAGGAAGUCUAAUAUUACAAUAAUAUAUCAAUCCAAAAAUAUUCAAUAUAAUAUUUGUUACAAAAAAGAAAUCUAUACUAAUUAGAAAUUUGGGACACUUCUUAACAAUCUCCACUUUAGACCAAAUUCCAUGAAGUCAAUCUUCAAACUCUCCAUGACAUGGACUUUUUUGUAUUAUAUCACUACGAGAGAGCAAUCGACUCUACCUUCAUUGAAAAAUUCCUUUUGCCUUCAUCUUGUGUGCUUCGUGAUUUUUUAAUCUUCCAUAAAUCUUCAACCCAAUAUCUUAUACCAAUUUAUUAUGACAACGAAAGCUUUCAUGCAAACAUCGUUACUCAAGAACACAAACAUAAAACAAUAACACAUAUGAUACAUGAGUUUUUAAUAUAGUUCGACCAAGCAUGCUUAAGUCAACGGAUGAGAGAAAAUCAUUCCACUAUACAAUAAAAAACAUUACUAAGGACAGAAUCAGAACAUUACAAAGGACAUUACCAGAUACAAUUAUUGGCUUCUCAAAACAUCCCAUGUUUCUCUACUCUUCGUAUCCCUACCUUAUCAUGAGCUUCUCACUCCAUCGGGCAACUCUCGUUCUUCCUCAUAUUUUUAUUCACCUCGUAUAGUCUUUAUAGGCCCAUCUUCAUCUCAUAACUUUUUCUCCUCAUGACUUAUAAUAUUUAUAGAGAUAUUUCCAACAACCUUCCUUAUUCUAUAAGGAAGUCUAAUAUUACAAUAAUAUAUCAACCUAAAAAUAUUCUACAUAAUAUUCUCUACAAAAAAAAAAAGAAUCUAUACUAAUUAGGAAUUUGGGGACACUUCCUAACACUCCUAAUAAGAAUUGAUCAAUUCUAUGGACAUGAUUCCACUCAGAUGCACCAGCUUUAAUUUCCAUCAUCAAGACCUAAGCCACAAUGCUUGCCCUUUCAAAAUGGGCCAUCAUCUGGGUGUGUAUCUACAUAUACAUUCCAUUUUCACACCACCACAAAGCUUGUUUAUGAUUUUGUUUUCUUUUGUUCAAAUCUCUUGAGAAAAUGCAAGAAAAAUGUGUAUAAAACUUUUCUCCCUUUUUCCCCAAAGUCGCACGAUACAAGAGAUAAUUAGAUUGGUUGGAUGAUGGGUUUUGAUCAAUAUAUGUAUAUACAUUGACCAAGGGUGAAACUCAUAACACAUCAAACUAGGUCUACUAACAUGCAUGCUAAAUUAUCAAUAAAGUUCAAAAUAUUAAGUUGUAAUAAAUUUAUGCACCAAUGAUGAAUAUCAAGAUGCAUGAUCUAUACUCAUUAUUUUCAACAUACACAUGAAUUUAAAUUUUUUUAUUUUAUAUUAUUUAAAUAAAUAAAAAAAGCAUUCUAGCUAAAAGCUAAUCAUACAACACAAACAAUGCAAUAAGUGAGCAUUAAUUUGGCUCACGUUGUUGUGUUAUACACACACAAAUACCCAUGUUACAAGAUGAUAAGUUUGCCAUUACUAUUCAAAUAUUCCAAGUUUGAUAUAGCAAACACCAGGUAGAUUUUGUUUGACUUGGAUCAACAAUACGCAUGGUUUACAAAAAUUUCCUAUGCUCCUUGGACUUUCUACUCAUUUCUUGACUUUUCUUUGAGGACAAAUCAUAGUAACUAGCUUUUUUAAUCUAAACCUCUAAAAAUGAGUAUGAUUCAUAUAGAUUAGCAUGUCUAUUCGACUUGCAUCGGCAAAUAUUUGGUUUAUGAACAUUUGGAGAUGUUAAAAUGUAUAGUAUCUGUUGUGCCAGUGGAAGCUUUAUGCAAAUAAUGUUAGUUCAAGAACAUAAAAAUAAAAGAAUCCUCACAAGAUUACAUGAGAUUUUAACAGAAUUUGAAUAAUCAUGCAUUGAUCCUUAGCCCCUUGACAUUAAAACUAUCACAUCCUUACAAGGUCAAAAGAUUUGGGUUAGUAUGGGCCUCUCAACAGCCCAAUUGCUUUGAUUUCUUCUUCCCAUAUAUCCAUAAAAUAUAGAAUGAAAAUAUAGAAAAAAUAUAUAUGCAAAGACAACAAAAUCUGUUCAACCCAAAAGAAAAAAGAAAAAAGAAGACCUGCAUGCUUUAAAAUUUGAUUCACAAAUUUGAAAAGUUCAAUUACAGGGCAAAUCCAUUCUAUGAUAAUGUAUUCUACUUUCUAAUAAAAGUAAAUCACUAAUUAAUAGACUGUUGAGUUUCAGCCAUGCAAAAGAUCAUGAAGCAAAAAUUUGUUCAUGAUUCAACUUUCUUCUUUUUAUGUAUAUAUCAUGAAGUGUACAAACUUCACAUUGUUACAACACACAUCAAGAGCGAAAUUAAUACACAGAAUGCAUAGAACUUGUCUACGUUAUUCGUUUAAUAUAAACGUCAUCAAAAGAUGAAAACAGAAUAUAGAUACUAAAUCUAAAAUGACCUGCAAAUCAGUUUAUUCAGAUGACAAACACGACAAUGAACUAUGUAUACUGGGAUCUGAUGGCCUGUAAAAAUGUCACUUGUGCAUGGUAACCUUGACAGCCGGAGCGGUGGCAUGUGCUCUUGCAGGAGUUGCAGGCGGGUGUUUGCAAGGAGGGCCUCCAACGGGGGCUUUCUCACAUGGAUUUGGGUUAGAAGGAGUGACCGGUCCCAUCUGCUGAGGACUUUCUGAAAGACCACGUCUUUUCUCUAUCAAGUACUCACGGUUCACUCCUUCAAGAACCCUAGUAGCAUUGUGUGGUUGAACACUCAGAAGAAAUGCAAGUGCUAUGACACUCAAAACAACGUUGAGAAACCUCAUGAUAGUCUUGGUGGUGAGGCAAACAGGCUAGGAGAUGUAAUCGAUUUGAUAUGUGGAUGAUAUGCAUAUGUAGAGGAGAUGGUGUUAUUCGUUAUUUAUAUGCAUGCAUAUCCAAUGGUAUCACUUGGACUUUACAUUAUUUGAUUUGUUUGAAGGGUUUGAUUCUUGACUAUAAGGUUUUGCCACGAGGUGACCAGAAAUUGAAUGGUCAUAAAGGAGAAACUGUCUUUGAAUUACCUGAAUGGCAAAGUUUAAUUUAUCAUUUCAUUUUACAUUCACACCAAGGGACGACAGUUGUUUAAUGGAGGCUUGCGUUUUGAGAUUACUGUACUACAGUGGCCAAUCUGCGGAUCGUGGUUUGCACAGUACCGUGUUUUUUAUUAUACCAUUAUUUUGUUCCUAUCUGGAACAAAGUAUAAAGUUUUGAUAGGGACGUGUUUACUUGAAUUGAGGCUUGAAAUUUUGGGAAUUGGUCAGAGAGUUUUGGAUGUUAAGCUGCUUUUUCUCGUAACAUACACUGCUAAUAAAGAAUUGAUCAACUCUUUGCAGAUCAUUCGGCUCGAAUGCACCGACCUUUCCAUUAUCAUCAAGACCUAAGACGCAGUGCGUGUCCAUUCAAAAUGGGGCAUCAUCCGGGGUGUAUAUGCAUAUGCAUACCAUUUCCACACCACCACAAAGCUUGUUUAUGAUCUUGUUUUCUUCUGUUCAAAUCUCUUGAGAAAAUGCAAGAAAAAUCCAUAUAAAACUUUUCUCCCUUUUUCCCCAAAGGCACAUGAUAAAAGUGUUAAUUGGGUUGGUUAAGUGAUGGGUUCUCAAUAUAUGUACAUACAUAUGGUUCAACAUCAUAGUCUCGGUCAUUAACUUACGAGGUCUUGAGGCACAUCGGUGUUGGUAUCUCUGAUUAGUAUCGGAUGACAGACAAAAUGUAUAUAAUUAAAUGUACUUUUUAUAAAAUUUUAAGUUUAAUUAAAUUUAAUAUUAUUUAAAUACACAUAAAAAUAUGUUUAUUAUUUUUUAAUAUUAAAAGUCUUUUAUUUAAUAUCUUUAUAUUAAAUUUAUUUAAUAAUACAAAUUUUCAAUUGUUAAUAUUGAUACAAGUAAUUAUUAAUUUUUUUAGUAAUAUGUUAUUUAAUCAAAUUUAAUUUAUACAUCUAUUAAAUAAGUUAGUAAUUUUUUAAAAUAUAAUUAAAUUAAAUUGUUAUAAUUUAUAUUUACAUUUCAAUUUAUUUCAUUAUAUUCAUUGCCCAUGAUAUAAAUACUACUAUAUUCAUUACCCAUUUUAUAAAUACCCUAACACACAUUGGUAAACACAUUACCUCAUUACCCAAGACCCAUUUCUUCAUCCUCCCCUUCCUCUUCUUCUCUUUCAAACCUUUUUUAUUUUCCUUUAUUUGCAACUGAGUGAAUGGGAAUAAAGCCAUCGUCCCAGUCCUCUUCUUCUCUUUCAAACCAUUUUUUUUUCUUUAUUCUCUUUCAAACCCAUUUUUUUUCCAACUAGGUGAAUGAGAAUAAAACCAUUCUCCUCGUACUCUUCUUCUUUGUCAAACCUUUUUUUUCUUUCUUUGCAAUUAGGUGAAUGAUAAUAAAACAAUCUGCAAUUGAUUCUCCUUAAGGCUCAAUUUCUAGGCUGCUUCUCAUUUCAAAUUGAUCUAGACCAUCUUCGAGUCAAACUCAAAUAUCGGUUUCGUAGUAGGCUUGCCUAUGGCGGAUACGCCUUGGCUAAGUCAUAUUUGUCUCGUUCAAUACUUUGGAACUUUGUAUAUGCCUUAAUCGAGGGUGAAAUUCAUGACAUAUAAAACUAGGUCUACUAACAUGCAUGUUAAAUUAUCAAUAAUGUGCAAAAUAUUAAUUUGUUAAUUUAUGCACCAAUGAUAAAUAUCAAGAUGCAUGAUCUAUACUCAAAGUAAUCAAAGACCAAGGAAGGUACAUAGUAAUUUUUUAUAUGGAAAACCCUCACAUUAAUUGUGGAGACAAAAAAAACCAUGAGGCUUAAGACCUCUAAUCUACAAUUCACUAUUUGAGAUCAAAGUACACAAAUUUACCUGACCGUUUUACCCUAAGGACUUACUCUUCAACACCUAUACUUUGAUUCACAUCUACGAUAUGCGUAUGUAAUCACUUGGAUUACAAGUAAUUAUUUUUUUUUAGUAAUAUGUUAUCUAAUAAAUUUUAAUUUAUACAUCUUAUUUAAUUGUAUUAAAAAAAGUUAAUAAUUUAUUUAAAAUAUAAUUAAAUUAAAAUUUUAUAAUUUAUAUUUACAAUUCUAUUUAUUUCAUUAUAUUCAUUACCCAUGAUAUAAAUACCACUAUAUUCAUUUCCCAUUUUAUAAAUACCCUAUCACCCAUGGAUAAAUCCAUUAGCUUAUUACCCAAGACCCAUUUCUUCAUCCUCACUGUCCUCUUCUUCUCUUUCAAACCCUUUUUUUUUUUCUUUCUUUGCAAUAGGAUGAAUGGGAAUAAAACCAUCCUCCACAUCCUCUUCUUCUUGUUCAAACCCAUUUUUUUAUCCAAUUAGAUGAAUGAGGAUAAAAUCAUCCUCCCCAUCCUCUUCUUCUCAGUCAAACCUUUUUUUUCUUUCUCUACAAAUAGGUGAAUGAAAUUAAAACCAUUUGUGAUUGAUUCUCCUCAACUCAAGUUCUAGGUUGCUUCUCAUUUUGAAUCGAUUCACACCAUCUUCGAGUCAAACUCAAAUAUCGAUUUCAUAGGGGGCUUGCCCAAGGCGGAUACGACUUGGCUGAGUUGUACUUGUCUCAGCCAAUACUUUGGACCUUGUAUAUACCUUAACCGAGGGUGAAAUUCAUAGCUUAUAAAACUAGGUCUACUAACAUGCACGUUAAAUUAUCAAUAAAGUUCAAAAUAAUAAAUUGUUAAUUUAUGCACCAAUGGUGAAUAUCAAGAUACAUGAUCCAUACUCAAACUAAUCAAAUAUCAAGAUACACAGUAAUUUUUUAUGUGGAAAACUCUCAAAUUAAUUAUGGUGAUAAAAAACCAUGGGGCUUAAGACCUCUAAUUUACAAUUCACUAUUUGAGAUUAAAUUAAGUACACAAAUUUACAUGAUCGUUUUACUCUAAAGACUUACUAUUUAGCACCUAUACUUCGAUCCACAUAUGCAAUGUAGUACCUCCAAUACUUCAGUGGAUUCCUCUCAACUUUUAAGGGGAUACAAAUCCUUCUAACAAAACCUAGAAUUCAAUCUUGUAAAUUCUUUCUUGAGAAAUUGGGAAUAAUAGGGCAAGUUGGUUGAUUCUGAAAGUGUCCAACCCAAAAACAUAUUUAGGUAAGGUAUAUGCCUAUGACCCUAGAGAGUUAGAAACAAAAUUUUCUUAAAAAGUAAAAUGUCAACUUUCCAAAAAUUAAUUAACAAAAGAAUUUAAUUUAAAAAAAUUAUCAACUUUAUAAAAAUUAAUUAAAAAUAAAAUAUCAACUUCCCAAAAAUUAUUAAAAAUAAUUUUCUAAAAAAAGAAAAAAAAACGCCGACUUUCUAAAAAUUAAUUAAAAAUAAAAUCUCAAAGUUGCCAAUAAUUAAAGAAGACAUUUUAAUUCAAUUUUAAAACUUCCAAAAAAAUUAAUUUGCCUUUAACAAAAUCUUUCAAACUUAUUUGUGACUACCCGGUUGAACACACAAUAGCCUUGAAUCUUUAAUAGAGGGUAAGUUAUUAUCUAAAAUGAUUUCUAAUCCAUAAUGAAAAUAAAUAAAAUUGUCAAUACAUAAAAAUGUCCUAAUACCAUGAGAAACAAAAAUGACGAAAAAGGAAACAACAUAUUUAUUAGGUAUGCAAUAAUGCUUCUAAUUUUGGGAUGAGUAUGUAAGAUCAGAGAUCUAUGAUAAGUAGUAGGAUGAAUACGAAUGGAUGACAUCAAGCCACAUAAAGAGAAUUAACUUAAUCUCACUGAUAGUUAAUUGGUUUUAAAAUGAGAUGGUUAAGUUUUUUUAUUAUAACAAGUAGUAUUGGAGCUAUGUUUUAAGGUUGGAGUUGCAAAAGCCUCAUGUUGGAGGAAGGGUUAUUAGGUAUGCAACAAUGCUGCUCCAUGAAAAAAAUCACCUUGGGAUGAGUGUUUAAUGCUAGAGAUGGUUACACACCACUAUAAGCCUCGAAAUAAGUAUAGUCAAUUGGUUUUUUUUAUGAGAUAACUCUACGAUCCUAACAAGAUUUUAAUUUCAUAGAUAUUUUUAUAAAGGAAUUUAUAAAUGGCAUAACCAUUUCAAGAAACUCACUGAAGUGGACAAUUGAAAUUUAAGUAUAGACCUUCCAUUUUGCCUUCCUAGCACAUGUCCUAUUAGGUUUUUGUUUGGUAUUUUAUAGCAAUUCCCUGAUGACCCAUUACUACUCAUGUAACUUAUCUUUUCUAAGCCACCUUCGAGACUUUGGUUGAGAGGGUUUAUCCAGCUCCUCGUUAUGACCUUAGUUGCCCUUUGAGUUUAGAUUAGGCUUCACUUAGGUGCACUUUAGGUUAACACUCAUUGGGCCCACCUAGGUCACUUAGACUCACUUAGCACACUCGACCCAUUAGGCACCACGUUAGGCCCAUCUGGGUUCACUUAAACCCAUUUAGACACCUUAGGCUUGUCUAGCACUUAGGCUCACUUAGCGCACUCAACCCAUUAGGCACCGCCUAGAUUCACUUAGGCCCAUUUAGGUAUGCUUGGCCCAUUAGGCACCGCUUUAGGUCCACCUAGGUAUACUUGGCCAAUGAGGCACCGCCUUAGGCACACCUAGAUCACUUGGGUCACCUAGGCACACUUGGCCCAUUAGACAUUCUUAGUGUGACUUGUAUGACUCACAUGGUUGCAUGGUUUGCAUGACUCAUGUUUCUUAUUUACUUAUUUAUAUAUUUAUUUAUUUAUAUUAUUAUUAUCAAUCACUUUUAUUUAUUCAUUUAUUUUAUUUAUUUAUUUUUAUUAGUAUCAAUCACUUUUAUUUAUUUAGUUAUUUAUUAUUAUUAUUAUUUAUUUAUUUAUUAUCUUGCUAUAACUAUUAUUAUUUUAUCAUUCUCUAAAUUUUUUAUUCAUUUAUUUGAUUUAAUAAUUUGAUAUAUUUUUUUAGGGAAAUCAACGGAUAAGAAGAGUUGAUUCUUGUAAGACUUUGAGAAGGAAGGAAACUCUUUUGGACAUUAUUGAAGAUCACCGGAAAGUUAAAAUAGGGACAUUAUGAUCUUGUUUUCUUCUGUUCAAAUCUCUUGAUAAAAUGUUAAAAAAAUGCAUAUAAUGCUUUUCUUCUGUUUAUCCUGCUAUCCUCCUUGAGCCUGUAAUUAAUUUUCAAAUUGAGUGUUUAGGUUUUGGAAAAUCUUAUGACUAAGAGCAUAACAUUGAGUGACAGUGAAAAAUUUUCUAUUAAAAGAGUUCAUUCAAUUUUGUACUCAUCUCUUUUUCUGAUUCUAUAUUUGUUGGAGUAAAAUCCAAUAUUGUUCUUAAUUAGGCAUCAAGAAGUUAAGAUUGUUCUAAAAAGGUGGUUUCAAAGAGUUUCCAUGUGAAAGUAUGUAGCCGAAGAUUGGGAAGUGUGAAUUGGGAAUGAUAAAAUUAAUUUGCUGAGUCAUCUCCAUACUUAAAAUACACCUAUUGUUCACCCUCAAGGUCAUGGUUGAAAGUAUCAUACGCAAGUACAUGGCUGCUACAACUCUAAGAUAUAUGAGUCAGUGGUGUACAUGCAUUUCAAUAAUAACUAGGUUCCGACUAGAAAAUAAUUGGCCUUACAUAACCAAAUCAUAAGAUAAGUUGGAAUUAGGUCUCCACAACUCGAAGCUAUAAAAAUGGAAGGAAAAAAAACAAAAUAAUCUCUACAUUUUUCAGAGAUUUCCUUAUCAAUCAAGGAAAAAUGUCUCCAUAAUUAGUAACUAGUAAGGACGUUAAAUUGAUUUUUUUAAAAUUAAUAAUUCACUUGUUAUCCCAAUUAUAAAAAAAUUGGUAUUACCCAUAAAAAUAGGUGGCCAUGGUAAUAUUUUAAGAUUUUUUCAAUUUUUAAAAUUAUUAUAAAUUAAUUGAAAAUAACUUCAAAUGUUAUAGAUUUUAUUUUAUUUUUAUUAUUUUUUUGAACUCAUCUAAUUAUAAUUAUUAAAUUUUUCCUUAUUUUUUCAGAAUUUUUUUAACUUUUUUAUUCUCAACUAUUAUAUUGUCUACAUAUUUUUUAAUUAAGAUAAUGUGCAUGCCAUGCUAAAUGCUUAAUGAAGCACGCAUCAAAGUCUCAAAAGGCAAAAAUUGAUAAAUCGAACUAACAAGUGUUGAGCAUUCAACAAACCAAAGAGAUCCCAAGAGCUACUAAAAUCAAGGACAGCUCAUCAAAGCAAAAUAUUAAGCAUAAUUCAUCAUCUUCUGAGCAAAAGAUAAUUAUUGUAAAGAAAAUGCUAAGGUAUUGCAUUAAUACCUAUCGAAGUUCACAUUUGGGCCAUUGAAUAUGUAUGAUGAAAUUUAAACUGCUAAAUCAGGGAACAAGUAAAUGAGACCUAACUAUAAGGGUGCAAACAAAUAAGACUAUAUUACAAAAAAUGAGACUUAUAUAUGUAUAUAUGACUAUGCCUAAUUCAUGGUGCCUUUUUGAUAUCUAACAAAAAAGUAUCAUUUUGUAUUGUCUAUGAUCCUUAUUAUAAAAGUUUAUUUGACUAUCAUAAGAGUGUUUAGUACCUCAUCCAAAAAUUCUUUGUAGUCCAUUGAAUGAUGGUACAAGUAAAUGAGACCAAAGGAUAAAGAUACAAACAAAUGAAACUAUGUUACAAAUAAUGAGACUUGUGUAUACAUGACACCACCUGAUUAGUGAUACUUUUUCUAUACUUACCGAAUGAAGUAUCAUUCCAUAUUCUCAAUGACCUUUACUAUAAAAGUGGGUUUGACCAUCAUAUCAGAGUAUUCAAUACCUCAUCCACAAACCCUUUGUAGCCUAUACAGUGAGAGCAUGUAUUUACACCUUGAACUACGAGCUCUCUCGCUCCACUGAGUGUCUCCCAUUCUCUCUCAUCCCUAUCCAUCAUGUAUAAUCUUUACAAGCCCAUCUCCAUCUAUAACUUUUUCCCCUUAUAACCUAGAAUAUUUAUAGAGAUAUUCUUUUCCUUAUUCUAUUAGGAAAUCCAAUAUUACAAUAAAAAAAUCAAUUUAGGAAAUAUUAUAUACAAUGUUCUAUACAAAAAGGAAUCUAUACUAAUUAAAAAUUUGAAACACUUUUUAACAAUCUCCGUCUUGGCUCAAAUUCCAUUAAAUCAAUCUUCCAUCUUUCCAUGACACACUUUUUGUAUCACAUUUGAUGAAAUAACAAUCGACUUUACCUUCAAUUAAAAUUCCUUGUCAUACUCUUGUGUGUUUUGUUAUCUUUUACUCUUCUAAAAAUCUUCAUUGUGAGCUCUAGCUAAUACCAGUUUGUUGUGUAAGUGGAAGCUCUAAUGCAAACAAUGUUAGUUCAAAAACACAAAGAUAAACAAUCCACACAAAGAUACACAGGGUUUUAAUGUGGUUCGACCAACACAACCUAAUUCAUGGAUGAGAGAAAAGUAUUACACUACAUUAUAGAGAAUAUUAUAGAAAAUGUAAAUAGAUACACUGUUGGUUUCACGAAACAUCUCAUGUUUCCCCACUUCUUAUAUAAAACCUUGAACCAUAGGCUCCUUGCUCCUGUGAAUGUUUUUCAUUCUUCCUCACAUCUCUAUCCACCUCAUAUAGUCUGUACGAGUCCUUCUCCAUUUCAUAACCUUUUCUUCUCAUGACCUAUAAUAUAUAUAGAGAUAUUCUUAAUAACUUUUCUUAUUCUAUAAGGAAAUCUAAUAUUAUAAUAAGAAGUCAAUUUUAAAAAUAUUCUAUAUAAUAAUCUUUACAAAAAGGAAUCUAUAUUAGGAAUUUGGGAUACUUUCCAACAAAAAUAAUUUGAGGACACAAUAAACAAAAAAAACAACUAGUCUAGUAGUUGCCAUUUGCAUCCCCUUCUAGUGGGAUCUAGUCAUGUUAGCCAGUAAGAUGGGAUGGAACAAGCCACAAAGGUGGACAUAGGUGGGCCCAUACCCAAGGAAAAAGAUAGGUUUUCAACUAAAAAGACCAGUAUGAUUCCUAAAAAACUUACCGGUCCACCAGUUUAGACAAUUCAAUCGACGGUUCAUGUGAGUUUGCCCUAAUUCAAUGCCUAGAACAAUCUGCUUUUAAAAAUCAUGCCUUUAAGAUAAAAUUUUGAUAUUCCCAAAAAUCGGAUAACCUAGAGACUUAUAUUUAUUGUAAAUAUAGGUUGGUCUAAGCCUCACAGUUGUAUCAAAAAACGAGACGACCCACAACUCUAUUGGGUUGAAUGAAUGAAUUGCAUAUCUUUAAAGCCAAUAGACAAUAAAUUUUUCAUGCAUUUCAUGGUUGCAAAUUAUAUAUGUCACAAUUGAUGAUAUUUAUCCUUAAAUUAUAUUGUAUAAAAAUCAUCUUGAUAAUAGAGAUUAUAAACAAUGAGAUAUGAUUUCUAAUUUCUUUAUAAUCUUAAAAUAUGUUUACAACUUAUAAGCUUGUAAUGGAUAACAUGCUUAUUAAAAGCUAUAAUGAAGUGUACUACUAUAUAUGAUAGAGUGAUGGAUCUUAUUCACUAAAGUUGAGGGGCUCUUAAUAAAUUUCAUGGGUGAUUAUAAUGUGAUGAUCACAAAACUGUACCAUUACAAGACAAUUUUUGGACCUCUUAUUAUUUAUUUUGUUUAAUAUUACAUAAAAUCCUUAGACUUAAGGAUGUUACUAAGUUUUGUACUUGAUUUUGUAUAGCUUUGAUAUUAUCAACUGUUGAUGUCUAAUAAUGGAUUAUAUACGAAUUUGUUGGGUUUUAUAAAUAAUAUAUAAAAACUAGUGGAUAUUUGAUAAAGGACCCAUUGCUUCUAUAGUAGGAAAGAAUAUUUAAGAUUGUGUCACUCAUAAAUUGUUUUAAAAUACCGACCAGUCAAUUUAGAAAGAUUUUUUUUUAAGUGUAUAUAUCUAUUUAGUAUAUAUGUCAUAUAUUAAGAUUUUCUAAAUUGGUUUUUCUAAAAGGUCCAAUUGUAAGAGGUGACACACUUAUAAGUUUAGGGAAUGACAAUUAUCUUGAUCCAACUUCAAAACUUGUAAGGAAUAUUAGUUAGUGGAAGAAUUAAUGUGUAAGUGAGGAACUUACUAAUCUAUCUCUCUUUUUUUUUUUGGGUGAAAUUGUAAUUUGUUUUAAAUAUGAUUGCAAUUGACAAGUUCAUUUGGAAUAAACUUACUAGAGAUGUAGAGAUCCCACAAAGGCCCUAUGCUACGUGAGGGGCUCUCUUUAAUAGAAUAUAUAAUUUCUUGCUACGGAGCCCGCAAGGGGGUUGUAGAUAUUGCUGUACGAACAUAUGUUGGAUAUCUCACGCAUAGACUUGUUGAAGUAGUUCAACACAUUGUUGUACUUAGAACAGAUUGUGGCACUAUCCGAGGUAUUUUUGUGAGUCCUCGAAAUGGGAUGAUACCGAAAAGAAUUUUUAUUCAAACAUUAAUUGGUCGUGUAUUAGCAGAUGAUAUAUAUAUGGGCCCACGAUGCAUCGCCAUUCGAAAUCAAGAUAUUGGGAUUGGGCUUGUCAAUCGAUUCAUAACCUUUCAAGCACAUACAAUAUCGAUUCGAACCCCCUUUACUUGUAAGAGCACAUCUUGGAUCUGUCGACUAUGUUAUGGUCGGAGUCCUACUCAUGGCAACCUGGUCGAAUUGGGAGAAGCUGUAGGUAUUAUUGCGGGGCAAUCUAUUGGAGAACCGGGUACUCAACUAACAUUAAGAACUUUUCAUACCAGCGGAGUAUUCAUUGGGGGUAUAGGUAUUCGUGCUUGGAUGGCAACUCAAGAUCAGCCUCAUGAAAACCUUAUAUUCCCUGAGAAGGUUCUACCCCGUGGAAACGCUCUUUAAUGGAACUUUAGCUUUAGCUGGUCGUGACCAAGAAACCACCAGUUUCGCUUGGUGGGUCGGGAAAUGCGUAGAGAUCGGAAAGAACACCAAUAGCUAAAGCACUCUACUGGGCCGACACUGACACUGAGAGACGAAAGCUAGGGGAGCGAAUGGGAUUAGAUACCCCAGUAGUCUUAGCCGUAAACGAUGGAUACUAGGCGCUGUGCGUAUCGACCCGUGCGAAAUCAAGAAGAAAAAGAAUCCGCAGGACAAGUAGAUCUUGGAUCAAAUGUACAAAACCAAGGAAAUCUUGAAUCAGUCCUCUCAAACCACGAAAAAGAUAUUGAAGAAGAUUAUGUAGGAUCAGACUCAGACAUGCAAAAACGUACAAAAAAAAAGCAAUUCAAGAAUCACACGGAAGCAAAACUCGAUUUAUUCCUAAAAAGAUAUUUGAUUUUUCAAUUGAGAUGGGAUGAUUCUUUAAAUAAAAAAAUGAUCAAUAAUAUCAAGGUAUAUUGUCUCUUGCUUAGAUUGAUAAAUCCAAGAGAAAUUUGUAUAUCAGUUAUCAAAUUGUAAAUUCACAAAUAAAUUAUGAUCUUAUAAUAGGUAUAAAGUCAUCAAUAAAAUUUUUAAAGUUACAAAAUUUUGAAAAAUGUCAUGAUUUAUCAUUAUGUCAAUAAAAGGAUGAAAGUGCAUCAUAAUUUCAACACUUUUUUUUUUUAUUUGUUGGAAGAUAGUCUUUCUAUUUUCCCUUUUUCUUUCAAGAGUUCUGAUUUUCUAGCACAAGACUAGAAGGACAUGCAUGUGAGCUUGCCGAGAGUUUUGCACUUGUGAAAUCAAAUUGGGUUAAAUAUAUAUAUAUAUAUUAUUUUUUGUUUCUAAUUAAAUGCAUGCAUCCACAUACGAAAGAUCCAUGUGUAGUUAUUUUUAGGGAUUUAUUUCAUGUUUUCUCUAAAUCUAACCCAAUAACAUAUGUACAAUAGAGAAAAGGUAUUCUUGAAUAUACUCCCUCUCUCUCUCUCCGGUAGAGAGAGUUGUGAAAGUAUUUAACGUCAUCCUUAAAGAGAAAUUAAACAUAUGAAAACUAUUUAAUAUAAGGUUUUAAUUGUUAUAUCUAUUAAAGUUGUUCAUCCAAAUUAUUCGAAGUACGUAUCUCUAUGGACUUGCAUGUUCACAAAUUUUGAAAGGUUUAUACGACAAAUUAUAAGUAUUUAAAAUAAAUGUUGUGAUGUUUGAUAAAAUACACUAUUGGGUUUUACAUAUUCAAACGAUCAAUGAUCACCACAACCAAGGAAAAAUGUGGGUUGCAGUGGAAUGGAUUCUUAGGUAUCUGAGGGGUACUUCUAACACAUGUUUAUAUUUCGGAACUAACAAACCUAUGCUUAUAGGAUGCACAAAUGCAGAUAUGGUUGGGGAUGUUGAUUCCAUAAAGUCUGCUUCUGGUUAUUUGAUCACUUUUUCAAGGGGAGCAAUGUCAUGGCAAUCAAGGUUGUAGAAAUGUCUUGCUUCAUCGACCAAAAAGGAUGAGUAUAUUGCUACCACUGAAGCUAGCAAGGAGUUACUGUGGAUGAAGAAGUUUCUACAAUAAUUGGGUCUAUAAUAAGAAAGGUAUCUACUCUACUAUGAUAGUGAAAGUGUUAUUCAUCUCAGUAAGAAUCCAAAUUUUCACUCUAGAUCCAAGCAUAUUGAUGUGAGAUAUCAUUGGAUUCGUGAUGCACUAAAGAUGAAAUUGUUUUGCCUUGAUAAAAUUCAUACUUAUGAGAAUGGAUCAGAUAUGAUGACAAAACCAAUACCUACAAAGAAACUACAAUUCUAUAGAAAGCAAACGGGCCUGGUAGAGCCCAUUACAUAAUCGGGAGUGGGAGAUUAGUUGGGCUUCCUCGUAUAUGAGGAAGUGGACCCCAUAUGCUUAAGGACCAAGUCGGUUGCAUUGAAAAAAAAAAUGAAUUGGGAAAAAAACAUAGAGAAGAUAAGAGAGAAAAAAAUGCAUCUAACUGCCCAAAUUUCAUCAACGAGUCGAUCCUGCUUCAUCUAUGGUCCGAUCGAGUUGAAAUUUGGAGAAGUUUGAAACUCAAGUAGCUACAAUCUAAAUAGUGGAGAUCAGAUUUUGAGCUCGGGAACAGAUGUUACUGCCUAUGAACAGUAACAACGUUUUUAGUAUACUUUCUCCAAUUUUCUGUGUUUUUACUAAGAGAGCUUGUAUAAUCCAAGGUUAUGUGUGUUUCUUGGUGUAUUUGGUAGCCUCUAGAGAUUAUUCUAGAAAAGACUAGUGCAACCCAUUAUUGUUGAUAGUAGAAGAUUGAACUGGACUAGGUCUCAUGGUUUUUCCCUUCGCAUUGGGGGUUUUCCACAUAAAAAUUAUGGUGUCUGAUUUAUUUUUCUGUUGGAUGAGUUUAUUUAUUUAUUGUUGCUAGUUGAUAUUGCCUUUUAGUUUUGCAUAAAGAAAUGGUAGAAAAAUUCUGGUGUUUGUUGGAAUAUUGUGAAUUCACCCUAACACCAACCACAACCCCAUCACAUUUCCAUUGCAAUCUCGUCCUUUUUACCUUUAUUCUUCAGGUGCUUCUUGCCCUCCUAGAUUUGAAGUUUCAGAAUGAGCCCAACUUUGUAUUUCAAGCCUACCCCAAAACUAUCAAGGCCGCUGUUGCUAGCUUACUGGUAUUUGCCUUGAAAGUUGAAGUUGACUUCACCUUCCAUUCUUCUCAUCUCUCUCCUACUUGUUCUUAUCUCCUCAGCACUAACAUAAUGUUGUGCGGCUCCCUCUUAGUGGCUUCACUAGCAUCACUCUUGUUCCCAGAUACAUGUUGACCUCUCAUAUACCUCAUCUACCUCUUACUUUCACUUGGCAACUAGCAUGGCUUAUCCGAAAGUGGUGCAGGUGGGUUUACCAAGGGAUUAUGGUCAAACUCCAGACGAUAUUCGCAGGCAUACAACAAUGGUGCGUGAGAAGAAAUGCUCCACUCUUACCUUUAACCAUGAGGGAUAUACUUCACAAAGCCCAUCUAGGUACAAAUCCAUAACUACAGGUACUCCAAAGCUAAUUUGGUCUUGUAAUUAUACUUGUUCCAAACCCCAGCCCCCUAAGUCUAGAGUGACAAUUUAAAACUUCAUUGUCUGGUUGCUUAUGUACCAUUGGCAAGCCACUUGAGAUUGUAUUUCCAUAAGUGGUCUUAAAAUUUGGGUAAGGUUUUGAGUAGUAGUGUGAUUUAUGUUGUUGUAAUGGAAGGGUUUAUGUGCAUGCAUGUAAGCCCUAAUGGUCCUUGGACAUUUUCCCUCUCAGAUUUGGCAUGUAUUUAUUUAUUUAUUAUUAUUAUUAUUAUUAAUAUUAUUAUUUGUCUUGUGUGUUUCCAUGCAUUGUUCCUUGGCUUCAAAUUUCUACCACUAUCAUCUUCUCCAAGUACUCAACAUGCAACUAGUCAAAGUAACGGAAAUAUAUAAUAAAAAGAUUUCUUUCCACUACCCUUUCAUUGGACCCCAUUUUCAUUAUAUAACUAUAACACCCCAAAACUAACUCUAGGGGCAAAAUAAUAAAUUAUAAAGUAAUUAAUUAAUUAAUUAAUUAAACUCAUUAAAGGUGAAAGAGUCCUUUUACAAUUAAUAAUCCUAGGUAUAAAUUAGAUUUUCCUCUUGCCUUUUUUAUUCAAAAAACCCUAUUAAUCAAAAUUAGAGAAUUGGAAAUCAUAGGGCCAAAGGUUUAAAGGUUCAGAGUUUGAAGUUUAGAUUUUUUCAGAAAAGAUUCUAAUCCUAAAUUAAUAUAUUAUUGUAGACCCCCUUUUAGGUCAUUCCUACCUUGCAGCUCAAUUUUACCAUGUGGAAGAGCCUUGGUCAGCCACGUGUCAACACCUGAGAAGCCAUGAGAGAAUUAUAAUAGUGGUUUGGGAAGCCAAUCAAAAGGGGACACGUUGCAUGGGAAUCUGGAAGCCGUUAAUGGAGGAGCGUCUCUGGCAGCUGGAGUGAGGGGUGUUUUUCUGAGCAGGCCGUUGGAGAUAUUUUGGGGGGAAGGAGGCUGCAGAGAGAGAGAGGAUUUUUUAGGGAGCUUUUCAGGCGAGUCUGAAGGAUAUCUUUGAGAGUUUUUCAAAAAGGAUUCUGGUGGGAGCAGAGGGGAUUUUUGGGUUGCUUGAGAGAAAGAGUGGGAAAAACAAGCUGGGUGUCCGAGAAGAGUUCGAGAAGAAAAGAAGUUUGAUCAUCUUUACUUGAGGGGCUCAGGUAUGGCCAUUACGAGUACUCUUGCUCUGGAUUUAUUGGUUUUCCUCUCUUGACAUUGUUGGUUUUAAUCAUCGUUUAUUGGGCUCUGAUUGCUCUUAAGCUCGUACUGCACCUGCUCUGUUUUGUUCUCUCACUAGUUUCUCUGAUUUUUCUCUUAUAAAUCAUCGAGGUAUGGUUUGCUUUCCUUGAGCUUGAAGUUUGAUCAAAUACACAAAAGCUUUAUGCUCAUCUCACCUGCUGAUCCAUUUAAAUCAAUAUGAAAUGGAGUUUAUUCUAACGGGUUGUUUGUUUAAAGCACGUUUGGUUUUCUUGGGAACCCUUUCUAGCUUUUGAAAUAAUUUUCAAUCAUUAUUCUUAAAAAUCAUUUGGGUGUUCAAAUAGUUUGUUUUUUUUCUAAACUCAUUGGAUGGCACUCCAAGUUUUUUUUGCUGAAGUUUUCUUUCUCUGGAUUAUCGAUGAAUUGCCUUCAAAAUCUUCCUAGAACCUCCGCUUUACCUUUGCAAAGCUUCACUUGCCAUGGAAUAAAAGCUAUUUGCUUUGUUCACACUCUGGGAGUGAUGCAUGAGACUACUAAUUUACGUCGGAGCAUAGCUGUGAAGGCAGUUUUUUGGGUUCCAUAUCCGACGCCAAGAUGAGUGGUCCUGAAAUCGAGGAAAAAUAUGAGAUCUACAGCAAUAACAUGACAGAAGCUUGGGAGGCAAUGCUAGAACUGCCAUUAUCUGCACUUUGAGCCCUGCACAAAGCCAUGUUGAGUAAUCUGGAAGCACUCUGUUGUUUGCUAGCUGUACCAAAGAAGGCACUACAAGAAGCAAGGGUUAUAUGAGAAACCAACCUCAUCUGAUGAAGAGUCCACCCUUUUCGGCGCCGGUCAGACUGGGCAGCAGCGUGAGUUUCAGCUGCGUUGGAGUUGGGGAAGCGGCGACAUUGAUUCAGGUCACUGGAUGUAUAGACGACAUGUGGAUAACACCGCGGCGGAGCCCGGGCAGCCACUACAUUGCCUCGCCCAUCUCAUGCUUUAACUAUGGGAUUACCUUGUGUCUACAAACUUGGGGAUUGCGAUGCAGUUUUGAGAUGCUUGAAAAACUCCGAGGGCAUUGAAUUUGAAGGGAUAUCUUGAGGAACUUUCAAUGUUGUUGAGAUACUUUCACGUCCCUUUGAAUUAGAGCAGUGGAUGCUAUGCAUGCUGAGACGUUUUUCUGAUGACGAGUUUGGCGAGGUGGAUAUUGAUGGUUCAUUGGCUGCUAGUCAUUCCUCAGUGGCUGAAGAUGUUGUCAUGGUUAAGAAAGGAUGCUGAAAGUAGGGAGAUCAAAGGGAAAGGGGCUCUAUAGAAAAUUACCGUCGUGCUAUGAAUCUAUGCAGUCACGUGGAUUUGGUGUGUUGCCGGUUCGCGCCCAUCUCGGUGCAUUUGAUCUGGAGAAGUGAAUCAAUUGACUUGUCAGUCAGAGAAGGAGCCAGUCAAUAAAGGGAAGAGGAAGCUGCCCAGUAUAUUAAGAGGUCAUGGCAUGCACUGUGGAAAUCAAAACGGUUGAUGAAUAUUGUUACAGAGAUCAGUGAGCGGAAGGACUAGGAGUUUGAUGCAGUCUAUGUGGUUCGAGGUGAGAAAGCACAGAAUAAAGAGCCAUGACCCCAUUUGGAUUUUGAUACCUCACCUGAUGCCCUCUGUCCCAAGCUGAAGGAGAUGGUUCGUCCAUAGAGAAAUCUGUGUAUCACACCCAAUGAGCCAUUUUAUAAUUAUUUUGAUAAACUGAGGAAACUGAAGCAGCAAAGCAUGGUCACCUUUAGGGUUGUUUAUUAUUUUAUUUCAUCUUUCACCAUUUUUAAUUUCAAAGCAAUCCCAUAAAUUCCGGUUUUCAAAUAUUUUUCAAAUGACUUCAAUUCUUUUCUUGAAAUUUCAUCCUUAGGGUUUUAGGUCUCAAAAAUUCACUUUUCAAAUAAAAUUCACUGCCAUUCUUUCUUUUGGCCAGUGACUUUCACAAUUCCUCUGAUUUUCAAAAUGUUUUAAAUAAGCUAGAAUCAAAUUCCGUAAUUCCAAGUGAUGGAAUUUAUGGAAUUGAUUCAUGCAAAAUAAAAGGGCUUUGGUGGGGGCCCUACAUCAAAGAAUUUUCUUUAAAAUAAAAAAUCAAUUUGAAUGAAUUGUGACAUGUGAUGACUUUUGUGCUUGAUUUAGUGACAUGUGAGUUAUGUUUAUGCUCUUUAUUGUACACUGACCCAAUUUUUUGUGAGAGCACAUUGAUCGUUUGAUGCUAAGGUACGCCCCGCUCUCACUUUGAUCAUUCUUCAUUGAGUAUUCUGAUUUUCAUACGUGCAUAAUCAUUCUGGGUAUUCUCUGAUUUCCUCGUCAUUGCCACAUCAGCUUCAUUUUAUUAGUAGAGACCCGACUUUAGGGACUUAGAAGGGUGCUACGGUUCAUACCGUACCUUCCUGACAAGUAACCUGACCCCCGAACCCGAUCCGGUUUUUCGUAGAUCACCUUUUCCAAAACAAGGAGUCACACUUAGGGUUUUUCUUUCUUAUUUUGUUUACCCUUUAAAAAUAAAACAAAAAUAAGUGGCGACUCCAAGUCAUUUUCAAAUAAUCAAUAAAAAUCAAUUUUUCAAAACAAAAAUCGAGUUUCGCCAUUCGAGAGGGAAACGCAUUCGAGCAAUCGAAAUGCGGGGUCCACAAAAUGGCGACCCCACUGGGGACCAUUAGAGGGUCAAGCUUGAACUUAGGAUGAAGCAAAUGUGGCUUUUGAUGAGUCAAUUAGUGGAUACUCACUUCUUGAUUGCACAUUGAGGGUUCCCGAGUUUUCACUUGAGACAUUGACAUGAUUGAUUGUAUUGGUUGAUUAUCUUGAUUGGAGAUUCUGACACAGUGAUUUUCUUUGUGCUUCAUUGAUAUAUUUGUUUGAGAUAUUUGACAUGCUGAUUAUGAUGAUUGAUUCGUAUUGAUAGAGGAUUCUGAGAUAGCUAUUUUCUCUAUGCUUCAUUGAUAUAUUCAUUUGAGAUUUUGACAUGCUGAUUAUAUUGAUUGAUCAUUUCGUAUUGCUUAGCGCAUUGAUCUUGAUUUUGCCAUGAUUAUUUUGAUCACUUCACAUGCGUACACUCACCACUGUACAUCACUCAGCUUACUAUGUUGAUUCUCUGGCUUGUAUAUUGCCUUGAUCGUCUUUUGAGCAUGAUGUCUGUAUCACUAUUUGUCUUGAUCGUCAUAGUUUGUGUGGACUUGAGUGAUAUACCUGUACUCUGCUUGACUGUAUGGUGCAUGACUACCCUUCCUUUGUGUGAUUGCAUGUUGCUUGUCCGUGUGGGCCGCACAUCUAUCCCCUUACCUCCAACCCUCUGGUUUUCGGUCAUUUUCUUCAUUUCGGCUCUCACUAUUGCAAGUGUGAGACCUUCUGUGUGUUUGCUCUCUGACCAAGCCGGAGAUUAGGAGUAGGGUCUAGCGACGGGCUAUAUCGAUGUACGGGAGCGUCCUGGAGGAGAGCGACACACUGAUGUCAAUUGGAGUCUGAUCAUUGAAGACCUGUAUAGCCCGGAGCUAGGUUUCAUGGAUAUUUGUGUGGCCAGUGUGUUUCCUUUCCCGUUUUAGUUUCCUAGGAUUUUCGGAUGCACCCACACCGUUCACUGUGCACUUUAGUCGACUAUUGAGCGUUGAGAGUUUGAGAGAUUUCACCAUAGGAAGCCCCCUGGGAUGCGAGGUAGUGCAUGUGUGGAGGUGAUGACCACCUUGCAUGGAAGCACCCCGUCUCUUUAGAGGCGUGCAGAGGGUUGCGUACCGCCGGAGGGUAUGAUCGCUUCUGCUAGGGAUCUUUUAAAGUCCACCCAUAUCCAUUUAGAGCCACCUUGACCUCGUAGGUUGAGCCAUAGAUCUUUCGAUUAGGACUCCCUCCCUACACGUGGGUGCAUCUGAGGGCUUUCAGAGCCUCUGUGGUUACAGUUCGGAUCCAGCAUUCCCUCUUUUUAGUCUCCAGUUGAGAGUGCUCGGAGAUCGGUAUGAGUUUGAGUACGGUUGGAUCACCUUUCGUCUUGUCGCCUUAGUUCGUGUUUUUCAUUUGAUGAGUUUAGCACGUUUUCUCCCUAGGGCUUUUCGUUCCCAUUUCUUGGCUCGACACACCUCUUCACUUUGUUGUCACUCACUCGAUACUUUGGGAUAUGUUCAUUGAUCAUCUUUUUAUACUGUAUACCUAUCACGGGCUCAGUACCUCAUCAUUUGUUUGAUCCUUGGUUCGAUUUUCGACUCGAUGCUCAUAUUUUCAUUAUAGAAAGGUGAAAGGCACAUUUUCAUAUUCACACCUUUUUCGAGAGAUUCGCCUUGAUCACCUUAUCAUUUUUUUUCUUAUGGAGCUCGAGUUGGAGGUUGAAUCAAGGAUAUUUUGGUCUAGAUUGGGUAUCGAUCUCGUGUUAGUGUUGUUCUUCACACCCCAUUCAUUUUCUUCACACAUCGAUCAUUUUUUGGAUCAUCGAUAGAAAUUCUUUAGUCAUAUUUGUAGUUGUCUCACACUGGACACUCAUGUGACUCUAGAGAUUCUAUCGUCUAUCCAAAGUUUGAUUGUCACCAUAUGAUUGUGUGUCGCACCCUGUCAUGUAUUGAGUUGUGUUGUAUCAUGCAUUGGUCAUUGUUCGUUACAUCCCGUGUCGUUGCAUGAGUCGUGUUUGAGUCGUUUUGCUCGGUUUCUUUUGUAGGAGUCUAUUUGUAGUCCCAGUCUUGGUUCAGUGCCCUGGGUUGAGUGGGAGAGAGGUUGAUUCGUAUUGCUGAGCUGCUAUAGACGGAUUCACAGUCAGUUUUGAUUGGCUAGCUUAUUGCUUCUGUGGUUUCGAUUUAGGAGGCAUUGGCCAGUUUGAGUUAGAGGAUGGAUAGUCAGCCGAGUAGGCAUGUAGUGCUCGAGGACACGCCAUCUGAUAUAGUGACGCCACCUGUUAUACCCGUUCAGAUGCCAGCUACACAGACUUUGCAUACUAUUUCACAUGAUCAGGCUACUGUCAUUCCACCUGUUGUCACACCAGUUACCAUUAUUGAGGAUCCUCGUUCCCGUAUGGACAGACUCGAGCGGAGGGUUCAACAGAUGAGAGACCCUGAUGAGAUGAUUUCGUGGGAUGACCUUGAUGAUGUGCCAGUAGCCACUUUGCCAGUUGGUUUCAGGAUGCCUGAUAUAGAGAGAUAUACGGGUGUUGGAUGUCCUCGUAUUCAUCUCAGACUUUAUAGCACAGUUAUGAGAGCUCUUGGUCUAGAUGAGGCACAGUUGCUCACUUUGUUCCCAUUGUCAUUUAGCGGCGUGACACAGAGAUGGUACGCUUCAUUAGAGUCAUCUCGUCGGAGAACUUGGGAGGACUUAGCACAGGAGUUUCUGAGACAGUAUUCCUUCAGUGGUGAUACGAGCGUUACACGUAGAGAGUUUGAGUUUCUUAGACAGGGAUCAGAUGAGUCUGUUUCUUCUUUUAUCUCCCGCUGGAGGGAGAAGGCUGCGGAGAUGAUUGAGCGACCUACCGAGAGAGAUCAGAUGAGCAUGUUUUUGAGGAGUUUGCACCCUAGGUUUGCUCGGCAUCUGACAGGAGUCCCAUUCCAUGAUUUCAGAUCAUUGGUUCAGGCUUUGUUCGAUGUAGAUGAUGGCAUAUCUAGAGGAUUAUGGUCAGAUAUUAUCCCUUCUUCAGAUACUGAGGGGAAGGGAGUUGUUGGAUCAUCUGAGAGCUAUGGAGGCGUAUUUUCAGCAGACUUUCAGCAUCGACGACCUGGUUAUCAUUCCUAUGCGAGAUCACUGCAGACAUCCAAGAGUGAUUUCCCACCCUUACAGCAUCGUCAUCCUCAUUCAGUUCAGCAGUACCCUUCUGUGCAUCCUCAUACUGUCACGGUGCGACCUUCAUUUCAGUUUCAGCGUCCACAGACUAGUAUCCCACAGUAUGAGCAGUCUCGCCCCCAUCGGCGACGUCAGAGGACUUAUUCUGAUUUGGGGAUGCAUUUGGAUAGAGUUUUUGAGCGACUCAGAUCUACUGGUUUUUUAGUACCAUUGGCCCCUAGGCCACUCCCGAGUACCUUGCCUCCGCGUUUUCGUGCUCAUGAGUUCUAUGCAUUUCACCAGAUGGCAGGCCACCGUACUGAUUAUUGUGCUUCUCUACGUCAUACCAUACAGGAUCUUAUUGACAGUGGUGCGGUUAGUUUUCUUGUAUCGGCUAUAGACACUGAUCUUGGUCCAGAUAUGACUGUUGUUUCCUUUCCAGCCUAUUCCACACAUGCAGUUCCUCCUUUUUCGGGCUUAUACCAUCACAUUUUGGACACCCAGGGCACUGAUAUUCACAGGACACUUUGAUACCUUGUUGGUGUAUUUUGGGACUACAUUGUUAGUUGGUCGUUUGAGUUUUUGUUCUCCUUUACUUUGUAUUUGAGUUUUGUUUUAUAGAUAGUGAGUCGAGUCGUACCCUGUGUUUCGAGAGUAGACCUUACUGUCUUAUUUUUCGCAUGAUGUACUCUCAUUUCACUUAGUGAUAUUGUUGUUUUCUUGGGUAUGUGUUUCUGUCUUCUUUUUAUUAUUAUCAUUGUAUCGCAUCAUGCAUUUUAUGUGUUGUUAUCUUGUGUAGCAUAUUGUGUUGCUUUGUUUUUGUCUCUUGCAUGUGUUUGUUUUAGAGUCUUGGACAGUUUUAGUGUUGUGACUGGUCCGCGAGCAGAGAUUGAUGGCAUGAUGGUUAUGAUAUUUUCAGAGUACCUUGAGAUUAGACUUCGUCAGUUGAGGUUCACCAUGUCGGACGAGAUCGCACCCAUUACUUUUACUACUCUUUACGAGAUGAUGGUGGAUUUGACACGGAGGGUUGAAAGGAUUGAGCUUAUUUUGUCGGAGUAUCCAUCGUCAUCGAGAGGAGCUCCAGGAGUAGCGAUGCCUUCAUUGCCACACUUGACUUCACCGACACCUGUUACUUUGGGUGCCUCGCAUCCACGACCUCGCCCACAUUUAGUACUCCAGCAGCAUUCCCCAUCCAUUUCAUUGGCUACGUUGGCACGACCUCCAUCCCGGCUUCGGGGCCCUCCGGUCGUUACAGUUCCUCAGGAGCGAUUUCCCCCCCAUCGACGAUGUCGGAGACACUUUUCAGAUUUGGGCGCACCCCUGAGCAGAGUUUUUGAGACGUUCCAGGCCAUGGGAUUUUUGGCUCCUCUGGCUCCUAGGGCACUUCCAGAUCCUGUGCCUCCACAGUUUCGACUUGAUUUAUAUUGUAUGUACCAUCAGUCAGUAGGACAUCACACUGAUCGUUGCACUGCUCUACGACAUGCCAUACAGGACAUUGUUGAUUCUGGGACGUUUGGGCAUCCUUAGUCCGAUAUGUUUCCUAUUCCUACCUCAGCUCAAGCCAUGCAUGCAGACGCCCCUUCACCAGCAGUCCCUGAUCUUAUUGAUUUGGGCGAUUGACUCAUGAUUGGCUUACCUUGGUGUGGUGGCACUCAGACUUUGUUCCCUCUGUGGCCAGAGAUGUGAUGACAGGACCAGUCACUGUUUUUUGUUUGUUUAGUCUUGUUUUACUUUUGAAAUUUAGAGACUAUAACUCGAUUCUUGAGUAUUGUCUUUGUUGUCUUUCUUUUACAUGAUGUACUCAUCGGAUUAUCCCAUUGGAUGCAUUUUCCUUUAUGGACAUGUGUUUGUGUUUUGUGAUAUGAUGUGUUGUACUUUUGACUUGGGGCAUCUCUUCACUUGCAUAUUGUGGUCUUGAGGCUUGACCUAUCAUGGAGGAUAUUGAGCCUAUUAGCCUAGGAUCAGAGAUUUGACCUAGAGAGUUCGAGACUGUGACAUAUCUUCUUAUGAUCAGAGCAGUACCUCGCUCACUUCCCACACCUUGCUUUUGUUUUGACCUACAUCCAUCCAUUAUGAGCUUUACACAGCAUCACCCUUGAGACCAUUAUAUGACCUUUCCAUCCUUGGUUUUUCUAGCUUUGCACACCUCCUCUCUGAUCCGACUAGGUAGAGUGUGAGGAGUUUGAGCCCAGGGUUGAUUUCGCAUGACGAGGGUUAGCUUAUGAUCUUUGGAUGGCUUACGAUGUGAGGAUUGGUCGAUUGCUUGAUGAGACUAUCACUUAUUUUUCCGUGAGUACAGAGGUUGAUAUUGUAUGAUGAGAGUUGGCUUGUGAUGGGCACUCGUGCCUGAUGAGAUCACCGUUCACUUUGCUUUGAGAAGAUCAUCUUUGAGAUUAUUAUAGGGCAUUUGGAGUACGGUUGGUGCAUGAUUCUAGAGGGUUGACGUGGUUAUAUCAGAUGGACAUCGGUCUUUAGUAUUGAUCAUUUGAGGGCUUGAUAGCACGAUGUUUGAGACCGUGGUCACAGGAUGGGUGGCCUUCAUUUCGGUUAGCUCACACCCUAUUACCUUUAUUGACAUCUAGACCAUUGCUAGCCCUUUGAGCCUCGCAUGGGCAUCAUAGUCUUUUAUUUCUUAUAGCCUUGCUCACCUUCUACAUCGGGAUAGGGGCCCUUCAGUGUAUGCAUGCAUUGUUUAGGAGUUUCAUGAGCCUUGGACCUAGGGGCGCAUCUUUCUCAUUAUCUUUUCCUAUCAUUGCAUCAUUGCAUUUCAUCACACUUCAUUGAUCGCGUCCUUUAUCCUAUCUUUUACUCGUUUUGCAUCACUUUCUCCACCCCGAGUGGUGAUCCCCCUCAGUUCAUUACAUGGAGGGUAGUCACGUCAUUUCCACUAUCUAUCAUACGGACGUUGAUCCAGGGAUCCUUGGCUUAAGAGGGUCACAUCAUUAGAGAGAGUUUAUGCUACAUUGGCAUUUGAGAGUAUGUUUAUCCAUUUUUACUUCAUCUUUAGAUCUUUCUUGGUUUGCGUUCAGAGCAUGUACAUUUUGUCUAUAUGUAAAAAAAAAAAAAAAAAAAAAAAAAAAAAAAAAAAAGAGGCACAUGUGUGUAUUAUUCUCUAUCAUUGAGUAUGUGUAUAUUAGUGUUCGAGGGGUCGCUUUGUUAGAUAUGUCUAUUCAUGGGAGUUCGUAUGUGAGCUCCUCGGGACCUUUCAUUCUUCGUAUUCAUUUUGUUGUUGUAUGUUUUGAGAGCGAGAUGAGUGGCCUUCUCUUAGGAGCUCUGGGUCAUUGUCCAUUCCAUCAUUGUGUUCGUUAUUGACGUGACCUCCUUUCAUAUUUGAUUUGAGCAGAUCAUCACUUGUUCUCGUAUUCUAUGCUUCAUCAUCAUCCUCGUUUUCACUUCUGAUUCAUCAUUUUUAUUUCACCUCUUAUUCCGUUCUUACAGUGACCUCAUUUUCGGGUUUGGUGCUCUCUUCGCACCAUCAUUAUACAUCUCGUCAUCAGUUCGGUUAUUCUUCAUUGCAUCAUCAUUGUUACCAUGUUCACAGUAGGCAUCUUUAGGUCCAUGGCUCACGAGAUUUUCUAUACAUGUUGCAUUUUAUACAUGAGGGCAUGGGUUUUUGAUCAUUGGGUAUUUGGGCCUAGUUUCCUUUCAUUUCUAUCACCCUAUCACCCUAGCUUACGUUACGUCCCGUGUCUUAAGACCACCCUGAGACCAUGACAUCACAUGUUGUGUUUGAUAGCUCUUAUGUGAGCGAUACUUGAGAUUGAUUCGAGAGCAUUCUGUUCGUGAUGGACCAGGAGUUAUGGUAUGACCUUACACUGGGGCAUAGCCAUCUCAGAGAGUUUUAUUAUCGGAUGACCAUUAUGUCGAGGCAUACCCUUCUCAGUCGAUGACGGAUUUUUGAGACAUGUCCAUUCCUCGGAGGAUAUCAGAUGUCCUUUUUCCACAUUGGAGCAUGAGACAUGAUUGACGCAUUUCAUCUGGUGUACUUUACACAGGGGCAUACCCCUUUCGGUCGAUGAUGGUUUUUUAGGUAUAGCUGUUCCUCGGAGGUGUUUAGAUUCAUUUCACAUUGGAGUACGGGAUAUGAUUGGUUGAUUUCUUUGAUGUGAUCACAGGAGCAUAGUCUUCUCAUCAUUAUUGACAUAUUUUUUAGAUGAUUGGAUCAGGACACGGGCACUUAUGAGAGCAUGCGGCGGAGUUUAGUCAUUUCAGGGUUGCCCUAUACUGGGGCAUAACCCUUUCAUUGGAGGUUGAUCUUAGAGACACCAGUUCGCAUUGGGACAUGCUUUUUCUUUAGAGGAGGUCAGAUACUCUCUUCACAUUACCACGAUGACUUUGAGGAGUAGAGGUUCAUUUUGAUCAGAUGAUGUAUGAUUGGUUGCACUCCUCUCAUCGACGUUUGAUUUGGAGAUGCUUACACUGGGGCAUAGCCCACUCAUUGAUGAUGAUUUUGUGAGAUGACAGUUUAUGCCGGAUACUUACUUUCCAGAGAUCAUUCUGCAUUGAGAGCUUACCCAUUCUGAGAUGAUGCAUUCACACUGGGGCAUAGCCACCUUGCCGAUUUUGACAUUGAGACUUCAUUUUGUGUUUAUGAUUGCUGCUUUCGAUGGAUCAUAGAGUCAUUGACACCCUGGGCUCAAUCUUCUCAGCGUACCUAGUUUGAUUUGGAUAUUCACUUAUUUUUGUUACACGCCCAUCCAUCCUACAUUGGACACUGUUAUACCUGCACCCAUCUUAUCAGAGCCUUACAUCUUUUGAGCCCACAUAUUUCAUCGUCUUACAUGACCUUACCCAUUUCUCUUGUGAUCAGAGGAUGAUGCAUACCAGUCUCGGGCUUUCUGGUUGGGUUUUCACAUGCCUUUGGACCUUAGGUUCAACAUCUUCCGUGAUGGUAGGGCCUGUUAGAUUGUUGAUGCACUUGUGAUGAUGUACUCAUAUUGAUAGUUGACAUGUCGUGUUUUGAUUUGCUUACAUUUCAGACCUAGAGUUUUGGUCAGCGUUUGUGUGAUCCAUUAUUUUAGUUUUGCUUUGUCAGCAUGAUUUCAGUGAUGUUUGGACUUAUUUUAGCGUUUGUUCAUUGAGGCUCUGUAUGUGUUUUUCAUUGCAUCAUCAUUGAGCAUAUCCCAGAGUAUCUUGUUUGGUGACAUUCUAUGUCUUAUGUUGGUUACUAUCUUACACUGGGGCAUACCCCCCAUCCUUGAGUUUAUCAGAUCUUUUGCGUACUUUCUCACUACUCAGUUUAUUUCUUGAUCUUUGCGAGUCAUUAUACUGGGGCAUACCCCUUUAGCGCUUUUCUACUGGGGCAUACCCCCUCUCUUUGGGUUUACCGUGUCUCGUGUUGCUUUCAUGGUUGUUGGACCCAUUUGUCGAUCUUUGCGAGUUAUCACCUAGGGCAUCCCCCUACUAUCAUCUUGUCUAGGGCAUCCCCCUAUUAUCAUCUUGUUUAGGACAUCCCCUUACCAUUAGUUUGUCUAGGGCAUCCCCCUUCAUUCAGUUAUCACCACCAUAGAUCAGGCAUCUAUGGGCAUUUGAGAUUAUAUCACCACCAUGGAUUUUCAUCCUUGGGCUUUUGAGAUUAUCACCACCAUAGAUCAGACAUCUAUGGGCAUUUCAGAUUCACCAUCAUGGAUUUUCAUCCAUGAGCCUUUGUUUCAGUUAUCACCACCAUGGAUUUUCAUCUAUGGGCAUUUCAGAUUCACCACCAUAGAUUUUCAUCUAUGGGCUUUCGAGAUUAUCACCACCAUAGAUCAGGCAUCUAUGGGCAUUUGAGAUUAUAUCACCACCAUGGAUUUUCAUCCUUGGGCUUUCGAGAUUUUCACCACCAUAGAUCAGACAUCUAUGGGCAUUUCAGAUUCACCAUCAUGGAUUUUCAUCCAUGAGCCUUUGUUUCAGUUAUUAUCACCAUCAUAGAUUUUCAUCUAUGAGCAUUUAUUUCAGUUAUCACCACCAGGGAUUUUCAUCAUUGGGCUUUCGAGAUUUUCACCACCAUAGAUUGGCAUCUAUGGGCAUUUUUUUAUUGUAUCACCACCGUAGGUCUUCACCUAUGGGCCUUCUAGUUUAGUGUUUAGGGUUAGUUUUUUUGGUUUGGCUUACAGAGCUUUAUUUUCUUAUUUUCUAGUUUAGUGUUUAGGGUUAGUUUUUUUGGUUUGGCUUGCAGAGCUUUAUUUUCUUAUUUUCUAGUUUAGUGUUUAGAGUUAGCUUUUUUUGGUUUGGCUUGCAGAGUUUUAUUUUCUUAUUUUCUAGUUUAGCGUUUAGAGUCAGUCUUGUCAUGCAGAGUCACAGCUCCUAGCGUUCAUAUUCUCCGGCAUUGCAUGUCUCACCUUCAUGGAUUUGCACUUAUUCUCACUCUCCUCACCUCGUUACCCUGUGCUUAUCGCCUAUUCAUCUCGUAGUCCACAUAGGGCAGUCUCUUUUAGACGCAUUCUUGUUCGUACUCCAGGGUGGUUCGACCGUUACUCACCUUUGACAUCGAUCUUCGGGUCACUUUUGGAGACGUUUUAGAGGGAGCUUGGAUCCUUAGUGUGGCUUCAGAGGCAUUUUGAGGCACCCAUCUUUCUCUUUUAGGAUUAGAGCCUUUGUGUUUGUCUUUUGGCCUGAGUGAGUUCACAUCUCACUCGUGUCCCUAUGGGGGUCUCCUUGGUUCUUCAGUAGAGUUCACUUCAUUCCACUCACUAUUCACACUUACUUUUCACUCCAGUGUUCAUGUUCUUUACACUCGUGAACUCUACCGAAGAGGGGCAUAUUUGUAGACCCCCUUUUAGGUCAUUCCUACCUUGCAGCUCAAUUUUACCAUGUGGAAGAGCCUUGGUCAGCCACGUGUCAACACCUGAGAAGCCAUGAGAGAAUUAUAAUAGUGGUUUGGGAAGCCAAUCAAAAGGGGACACGUUGCAUGGGAAUCUGGAAGCCGUUAAUGGAGGAGCGUCUCUGGCAGCUGGAGUGAGGGGUGUUUUUCUGAGCAGGCCGUUGGAGAUAUUUUGGGGGGAAGGAGGCUGCAGAGAGAGAGGAUUCCAGAGAGCAUUGAGGGAGGGUGCUGCGGUGAGAGGUUUUUUUUUUUGAAGAGGGUUACAGAGGAAAAAAAAAACGAAGAAAAACAGAGCAGAGAGCUUUAGAGAGAGGAGAGGAUUCUGUUAGCUAGGAAGUAGUAGAGCUGUGAGGGGGGAGUUUUUUUUUAGAGUAGCAGAGAGCAAGGAAGAGGAAAAAGCUGCUUUUUUGAGAGACAUUAGAGAGGUUCCGGGAAGCUGCAGAGAGAGAGAGGAUUUUUUAGGGAGCUUUUCAGGCGAGUCUGAAGGAUAUCUUUGAGAGUUUUUCAAAAAGGAUUCUGGUGGGAGCAGAGGGGAUUUUUGGGUUGCUUGAGAGAAAGAGUGGGAAAAACAAGCUGGGUGUCCGAGAAGAGUUCGAGAAGAAAAGAAGUUUGAUCAUCUUUACUUGAGGGGCUCAGGUAUGGCCAUUACGAGUACUCUUGCUCUGGAUUUAUUGGUUUUCCUCUCUUGACAUUGUUGGUUUUAAUCAUCGUUUAUUGGGCUCUGAUUGCUCUUAAGCUCGCACUGCACCUGCUCUGUUUUGUUCUCUCACUAGUUUCUCUGAUUUUUCUCUUAUAAAUCAUCGAGGUAUGGUUUGCUUUCCUUGAGCUUGAAGUUUGAUCAAAUACACAAAAGCUNNNNNNNNNNNNNNNNNNNNNNNNNNNNNNNNNNNNNNNNNNNNNNNNNNNNNNNNNNNNNNNNNNNNNNNNNNNNNNNNNNNNNNNNNNNNNNNNNNNNNNNNNNNNNNNNNNNNNNNNNNNNNNNNNNNNNNNNNNNNNNNNNNNNNNNNNNNNNNNNNNNNNNNNNNNNNNNNNNNNNNNNNNNNNNNNNNNNNNNNNNNNNNNNNNNNNNNNNNNNNNNNNNNNNNNNNNNNNNNNNNNNNNNNNNNNNNNNNNNNNNNNNNNNNNNNNNNNNNNNNNNNNNNNNNNNNNNNNNNNNNNNNNNNNNNNNNNNNNNNNNNNNNNNNNNNNNNNNNNNNNNNNNNNNNNNNNNNNNNNNNNNNNNNNNNNNNNNNNNNNNNNNNNNNNNNNNNNNNNNNNNNNNNNNNNNNNNNNNNNNNNNNNNNNNNNNNNNNNNNNNNNNNNNNNNNNNNNNNNNNNNNNNNNNNNNNNNNNNNNNNNNNNNNNNNNNNNNNNNNNNNNNNNNNNNNNNNNNNNNNNNNNNNNNNNNNNNNNNNNNNNNNNNNNNNNNNNNNNNNNNNNNNNNNNNNNNNNNNNNNNNNNNNNNNNNNNNNNNNNNNNNNNNNNNNNNNNNNNNNNNNNNNNNNNNNNNNNNNNNNNNNNNNNNUUUCAUCCUUAGGGUUUUAGGUCUCAAAAAUUCACUUUUCAAAUAAAAUUCACUGCCAUUCUUUCUUUUGGCCAGUGACUUUCACAAUUCCUCUGAUUUUCAAAAUGUUUUAAAUAAGCUAGAAUCAAAUUCCGUAAUUCCAAGUGAUGGAAUUUAUGGAAUUGAUUCAUGCAAAAUAAAAGGGCUUUGGUGGGGGCCCUACAUCAAAGAAUUUUCUUUAAAAUAAAAAAUCAAUUUGAAUGAAUUGUGACAUGUGAUGACUUUUGUGCUUGAUUUAGUGACAUGUGAGUUAUGUUUAUGCUCUUUAUUGUACACUGACCCAAUUUUUUGUGAGAGCACAUUGAUCGUUUGAUGCUAAGGUACGCCCCGCUCUCACUUUGAUCAUUCUUCAUUGAGUAUUCUGAUUUUCAUACGUGCAUAAUCAUUCUGGGUAUUCUCUGAUUUCCUCGUCAUUGCCACAUCAGCUUCAUUUUAUUAGUAGAGACCCGACUUUAGGGACUUAGAAGGGUGCUACGGUUCAUACCGUACCUUCCUGACAAGUAACCUGACCCCCGAACCCGAUCUGGUUUUUCGUAGAUCACCUUUUCCAAAACAAGGAGUCACACUUAGGGUUUUUCUUUCUUAUUUUGUUUACCCUUUAAAAAUAAAACAAAAAUAAGUGGCGACUCCAAGUCAUUUUCAAAUAAUCAAUAAAAAUCAAUUUUUCAAAACAAAAAUCGAGUUUCGCCAUUCGAGAGGGAAACGCAUUCGAGCAAUCGAAAUGCGGGGUCCACAAUUAUAUUCAUUAGUUAGUUCUAAACACGCUCGAUAUUCUUUCAAUUUUUUUUAAAUUUAGAUUAGGGUUAGUUUAUUUAUUUUUUUUAAAAAAAUUAAGAUCAAAAUAUUGGAAACUUAAAAUUAUGGAUUGAUUUAUUGUUGGAAAUUGAGAAAUUUUGGAAAUUGGAAAAUUUUAAGUUUUUAGAUGAAAAAAAAAAAAGGAAUCGUGACUUUCGACCUUGGAAGUAUGUUAUGAUUUAUAUGCAUAUAAAGUUUUAAUGCACUAUAGAUUGCGGCAAUUUUGGAGAAAAAAAAAAGGGACACAUCGUGUGUGCAUUAGAGAAAGGCAUUGGAAUAUAUAUAUAUAUAUAUAUAUAAUAUGUAGGGUAUGGCGUUGAGCGUGUGGGGAAGAAUGAGUAUGAUGGGAACAAAUAAUAAUAAUAAUAAAUAUAAUAAUAAUUAUAAAAGCAAUAUUAAUAAUAAAUGAAGACAUGUACGGAGUGUGUGUUUGGUGGUAAAUAUAUGUAUAUAUAUAAUUAUAUUAACAAUGAUGGAGAGUUGUUGUGUAUACAUGUUAUGUUUGGUGGGAAAAAAAGAAAAAAAAAAAAAGAACUAAAAGUGAUAUAGAAUAUAUAAAUAAAAGGAAGUGAAGUAAAGUUUUUGGUAUUAUAAUUAUAUUAAUGAUGGAUGUAAGUUAAUAAAUAACAUAGAAUUUAAUUAGUGAAAUAAAUUGUAAUUUAAUUAAAUUAUGUUGUGUCCCUAGAAAUAAAAUGAAAAUAAAAUUUAAGUUUUAUAUGAAUUAAAAAUUUAUUAAUUCUUUUAAAAUAGGAUUAGAUUAAAUUAUUUUUCAUAAUUAAAAAGAUUAAUUUGAAUGCCUAAAAUUUUUAGGAUUUUCAAACCUAUAUUUUUAGAUAAAUAGUAAUAGUUAUUUCUUUUAUGUUAUGUUAGGUGAAGAGUAGACUUUUCAGAAUUACUUUUCUCCAAAGAUUUUGAGAACUCCUCUGAGGUAAGGGAAAUUAAUGCAGAUUUUGCAAAAGAAAAUAAUUAUAUAUAUAUUUGCUUUUAAGUAUGGAUCAAAUAUAUUUUUGCAUGGAAAAAAAAGUUUUAUAACAUUUAUUUUGUUUAUAACGAAACAUUUGGAGAUAUUAUGCUUUUGUAAGUUGGAAUAAAUAAAAUAAGGAAUUCAACUUUGGUUUGUUCGACCCUUAUCAACGAGAUAUAAUAAUUGACUUUUCGACCCUUAUCAACGGAAUAUAAUAAUUGACUUUUCGACCCUUAUCAGCGGAAUAUAAUAGUUAACCUUUACAUUUUUGUAAUGGGAAAUGUAAUUGAUCUGGACCUCAACCUCUAAGGGUUUGGUUAGAGGUUACUAGUACUAGUAAUAUUUGGUUUCAUCCUCCUUAAAAAGGAACAUUUGAGGCGAGCCACCCAUUUGUGAAGUCCCUCUUAACUGAGCACUAUUUGUUAUUUGAUAACCAGAGUGAAAACAAUUGAAAUGUAUUUGAUUUGAAAUGGAUAUGAAAUGAUUUUUAUAUAUGAAAAUUUUUGUUGAACGGUUUAAAUGUAUUAGCAUGUUUAACUCAAAAGUUUUAUAAAUAGAGUAUAUGUUAUAUCUACUGCUUGUAAGUAAAAUUGAAAAUAUUUUACCCAUAAAACUAUGUUAAUAUUCCUUAUUAGGCUUUGAGUUCAUCCCUCUUUGUUGAUAAUUUUCCAAGUACCCUCAGUUCGGGUGAGGUUUGACGGUUAGGAGGGGAAAUUGGCUUGUUAGGACAUUUAUCAAAACUCUCUUUAUUUUGAGUAUUGUUUAGAUGUUAAAAAAAAUCUCAUUUGAAUUAUUUGAGUUUGGAGUUAUUUGGACAAUAACACUUGGUUUGAUGUGUUAAUUUUUAAAAUUGAUAUCUGGAGAUUUUAGAAUUUUUGUUCUACUAGUCUAAACAACAAUUUGGUAAUUGGAAAUUUUCAUUUACAUGAUGAAUGUUUGUAUUGUUUCCACUUUGAGCCUUUAGGUUUGAAGUAUGAAAUGACCAUCAUGCCCUUAGAGUGGGUUUUGGGAUGUGACAAUAACUUUAUUAUUCUUAAGAAAUUGGAUAAUAUAUAUAUAUAAAAAAAAAAUGGGGUCAAUGUGGGGCUUUAGAAGGGAUUGAGAGAAAAAAGGGGGGAAAAAAAACCUGAAAAAGGGAGAAGGGUUUCUUGCAACUAAGAGCCCCUUUUCGCGGUGUGAUUUAAAAAUAAUAUUUUAUUUUUAAAAACAAAGAAUUACUUUUAAAAUUCUCUAAUAUCGUUGAUCUUUGUUUUUUGAAAACAGUUUUUAAAAAUAAGGUGAAUAGAGAACAAUUUUUAAAAAACAAGUAGAUAUUAUUUUCACUAGUUUUAAAAAAUAAAAUGUAAAAAUAGAAAUAUUAAAAAAACCAUAAAAAUAAAAUAAAAUUGACCAUGAUAUCACACCAUAAAUCCUAAAAUAUGAUAUUCCUUUAAUUACAUGUACUUUUGUGAAAAAAAAAAUUAAUUUUUCUAAAAAUUUUCAUUAAUCAAAUAAAUUUCAAAUCAAAUUGUACUUGAUAAAAUAAAAUUUAUUAAUUUUUAAAAAUAUUUUGAAACUCAAAAACCAAUUUAAUUAAUGCUAAAAAGUUAUGAAAUAAUAUUAAUAAGUUAUAGAUCAAAAUUUAUUCUAAAUAUUUAGUUUGGUUUCUUCUUUAUAUAUAAAGGUAAAUAAACUCCAAAUUAAGCAAUACAUUGGAUUGAUUAAAAAGUUUAGUAAUUUUUAAAAAUUAUUUAAAACUCAAAUAAUGAAUCAAUUAAUAUAAAAAAUUUAUGAAUAAAAAUUGGUUUAAAACGAUUUUAUAGUUUCUUUUUCACAUAGAAUCAUUAUUUUCUUUUUCUUUUUUUACUAGGAAAAUGAAUUCUAAAUUAAAUAAGACUUAACGCAUUAGAUUCAUUAGUGAGUCUAUUAAUUUUUUAAAAUAACUUGAUACUUAAACAAUAAUCUAAUCUAUACCAAAAAGUGGUUGAAAAUGACUCUACCGUUUUUCUUCUACAUAGAAUCCUUAUUUUCUAAUUUUUUUUUCAACUAAGCAAAUAAGCUCUAAAUUAAAAUUUAAUGUAUUGGAUUUAUUAACAAGUUUAGUAAUUUUUUAAAAUAAUUUGAAACUCAAAUAAUAAAUUAAUUGAUACCAUAAUUUUAUGAAUAAAAAAUGAGUUCAUAAUAAUGAGUUUAUCAUUUUCUUUUUUGCACAUAAUUAUUAAAUGGGUUCAUAAUAAUGACUUUAUGAAUAAAUUAAUUGAUACCAUAACUUAAAAACAACUUUUUAGAAAACAUGACCAAACUUACCCCUAGAGUGUUUGGAGAGAAGUGGAGGAAAUGAAAAGAGUUGCAGGUGAGGCUAUGCUUCCUCUCACUCUGGGCUUUAAAAAAACUCUUUGCUUUUGGAUUUUUGUAGAGGGGGAGGUUGUGUCUAUAAUUCAAAUGGUACAGAAGAUGGAAUUGCAUGGGUGUUAAGCUUGGAUCUGGGAUUAAGAACCUAAUCAUGCAGGGACUCUUUUUCUAAACUGUCAUUUAUGAGAUGUCUAUUGUUUUUAUCUUGAUUUGAUUAAGUGACUUUUCCAGAUUGAUUUCAGAUAAUCUAUUUUAUUAGAUAAAUCCUUUGGAGCAUGAAAUGACAAAAAUCUAAUAUCCCCUGUUUGAUUCUCAUUUAAUCAUUUACUGAUCAGUUUUGCUUGGUAGAUUUUUCAAUGAUUCUUUGUGGGCUUGGCCUAAGACAAACCAUUUCUAAGGUUGUAGACAUUCCAUUACUAGAAACUGUACUUCCUCUCUAUUUUAAAAUUUGAGAUAGUAUUUAAGAGAAAAACAGGAAAUAAAUUAAGCUCUGAUAUCAUCAACCCAAACUUUUAAGCUGUUGGGUAAGGGAACACUUAGAAAUAUUCUCUAAAUCAUGACUACAGUUAGGGCAUAUUUUCUCUGCAUCCUGUCUCUGCCGGUGAGCCAUAUGAGCAUUCUAAUCUUUUGCAUCAAAAUUCAGCCAGAGAGAGUUAAGGCUAUGGCAUAUCUGGGUUGCAUUGACUAGCUAGCAGGCUCCUCAGGCUCACAUAAAAAAUGAAUGAGCUCCAAACUAGGAUUGAGCUUGGCUUGUUUGUUUCACAAUGAGCUCUAAUCAAAGAUUCAAAGCUGAUGUUUACUUGAGCUUUGGACAUUUCAGGUUGUUUUAGAGACUUGGGCAAUUCAGAAGCCUAUCAAAGCACAUAUACUUUGGGUUCAAUUUUUUGUCGCACGAUUGUGUUGCUCUAAAUAAUGGUGUUUUGUGUUUCCCCUGAGUCCAUGAUUUGGACAACAAGAUACGGAUUCUCUCUUCACAAUUGAGUUUUGGAGGCUGGGUUUUCAAAGCUUAGUGGUGGAAUAAUCAGAUAGUUUUGUAAUCAAAUAUGUUUAUAACUUAAUUAACCUAUUUAUUAAAAAAAAAUUAAAUGAAUCAAAUAUAGGUUAAUUAGUUUAGAGUUAUAAUUAUGUUAAUUAAUAUGAUUAUUAAAUAGAUCGAUUAAGAUAAAAAUCGUAUUAUGCAAAUUGAUUCAAAAACUACCUAUUGAUUAAAUGGGUUUUGCAAUAUGAUACAAAUUUGAUUCAAACACAACUAUACUCAAUUCAAACCUGUGAAAAAAAAUGUUAAGUUUGAAUUGUAUUGACGAAUUAUAUCAAACUUUAUCACCCUUAUACAAAACCAUUCCCAAUGCACCUAUUGGAACUUUUUGAGUUACUACUUGACUUUGUUGGAUUCAUACUCUCAAGAUUUUAUUUUUUAUAUUAUUUUUUAAAAUAAGUGAUGAGUCAAGAAUAAAUAAAUAAAUAUUAUUUUUAAAAUUAAAUAAAUUAAUAUUCAUUUUCAAAUAAAUCAAAAUAAAAUAAAACAAGUCCCCAUUGAGUGGAAAUACACAUAAUAAUAAGACGAGAAUAUACACCCAUAUUUCUAGUGGAGUCAAUUCUAGCUCAAUUUUUCAUCGAAGUAGAAAUUUCAACCUAGCCAUCAAGUAACAUUCUUUUCCAAUUGUGAAACUAAUUUCUAGUUCUUUUAUUCACUAAGCUGGACUGGAACCAUGUCAAAAAGCCUAGCAAUGAACUCAUAUUGAACUUAGAAACUCAUGUUUUAGUAUCUAGAUUUCAAUUUUACAUCUGGUCAUAUAUUAAUAUCUCUCUUGUGUUCUUUUUUUUUUUUUGGAUAUUUGGACCAAUGUUUAAUCACAUUUUUUUGCUAAUGACACCCCUCAAAAUGUCAAUAAAAAAAAUUUAUAUGAAAGCCUAGCUUACCUCAUUGAUAACACCUCUCUCUCUCUCUCUCUCUCUCUCACCAGGAAGUCUCUCCACUGGAAGCCCCCACUUAUUCUCCAAGUAAGUUUUCCUCUCAACAUUAUGACUUUAUCAAUCUCUUUCUUACUACUACAACUUCCUUGAUAUUUCCCAUAUCAUAGCUUUGUCCAUCUCUCUCAUCACCACAACUUCAUCAUUCUCUUUAUGACAAUUUCAUCUUCAUUUCUACAUAUUACAAGAUCAAACAAAUUUAAGUAACAUCUUCAUUUCAUAUUGCAUCAUAAUAUUCUGUGAUUAAGUUUUAUUUAUCAAAUGUUUAGUUCCCACCUAGUGGAGUUUGGCUAGGGUCCCCUUGUUAUCCUUUUUAACAUUCGACUUGUAUCACUUGCAUUAUACAUGACUUGGAUGUAUUAAGAAUUACAUAAAGGAUACAAGUCAUGCAUUCCUUGUAAGAUGAUAAGUUGUUCACAAUCAGUUCAUAGACUUGAGAUAAUAUUAAGUUUGUGUUACAAUCAACAUGAGGUUUUGACCUAUAGGUGAGACCCUAAGGUGGUCAUAUAUCUUAGGAUCAGGUCAUUAUUGAUGAAGGCUAGUAGUAAUAUGUAUUUUCAAUAGAGGCAUCAUGAUAUCUCAUAGGAUUGAGACAGGUUGUCCCCUUGAAUGAUCCAAAGGACAUGUGAUCAUGAAAUCUAUGGUCACAAUAAUUCCUUUAGUAGAAUUUGGCAUAUGCUCUUUAGAGUUAGAGUAUGUCAAUUGAUUACAUAAUAGGAUAGGAGGAUUUAUAACUUAAGGAUUAGAAAGACAAUUUUGAUAGGUUGAUAGCACUAUUUUAUUAUAUUAUGAAUACCAAUUCAUGGAGAGUCUACAAAUAAUGAAUAGUAAAUCAUAGACCCAAGUUUUGCUCGUUGUAAUUUCAUAGGACACUGUAGUGUAGUUAACUCUCUUUAGUGGAUUGUUGAGUUAACUUUAGCAUUGGAUUUUGAGGGUGUCAGUAUUUUCCUAUGGGUCCCAAUGGUCCAUACUUGAGCUCUUAUUUCAUGGUGACAUGUUUUGAAGGUAUUUUAGGUAUCUAAUUCAUAAGUAUGUAUGAGGGAGUUUUGGUAAAAAGGAAAGGUUGCACUAUCUUAUGAAUUAACUUUACAAAAUGGUCUAACUAAUUAAUUAGAACCAGUUAUGACUAAUUAAUUAACUAGGAUCCAAGUAAGUUAGACUAGGUAACCCAAUCCCUAUUUGGACUUAAGUCGCAUAAGCCUAGAAGGAAGCCUAUAUAAACUCCUUUAAGGGUUAGGGUUUUAGGCUUAUAGUUCAAUUUUCUAAAAUUCCAAAGAGAGGAACCCAAACCACCCUUUUGGGAAAAAGAGAAGCCCAGUAUUCUCUUGUGCCAAGACUCAUGGAAGGAUAGAUCGGGUGGAAGAUUGUUGGGUAGAUGAGUUCUACGAUAACCAUUGCAAUUUCAAAGUCUUCAUCAAAUGGAAAUCAAUUUGGGAACAUCUAAAUCACAAGUAUAAGUUUUUAAUCUCUAGAUUUUUAUCAUAUUAUGGUUUUUAUAGUCAUAGGUUUCCGCUACGUUAAAUCUAGAGAAGUCAAGGAUAGAUGCAUGCAUUCUAUGAGAUCCAGGGCCUAGGAACGGAGUAAUUUGACGUUCUUAGCACCAAUAUUCCCCAAUCAAGAGCUAUUUAAUCUUUGCAUUAAAUGUUCAAGUGCCUAACCAAUCCUUAUAGAAACAUGAAAUUAUUUCAAUAUUUUCCUAAGCAUAAUUGACAAAAAUUCAACCAAUAUCACCAACAAUCCAAAUUAUUAUAAGAUUUAAAAUUCAAAAUCAUAGAUAAAUUAAUAAAGACAACCAAAUGAAGAAAUAUAAAGAAACAAUGACACAAGGAUUUUAUGAGGAAGAUCUUUGAAUUAAUAAAAAACCACAUACCCAUAAGUGAUAGAAAAUUUUCAUUAUGAAGAAAAAUAAAUAAAUACAAGGUUUUACCUAACCUAAGUCUACCAAUCCUCUUUUAGACUAUUGAACUAGUACCUUCAAACUUUAACCAUACAACUUAUUCAUUAAGAAUAGACUUGGCAUUACUACCAAACUCAAUCUUAGUGACUUCUUGAUACCCAAUCAAGAACUAAAGGACUUUAUCCUAAUCAAAAGACAACAAUGAGAGAAGGGAUGGUACGACAAGAUCAAUCAAACCCUUUUUGAAAGAAAACUAAACUAAAACAUGUUUUCUAGCUCAAAAUAGGAGUAGAUUUUCUUAGGAAACAAACACAUCCGGUUAGGUAAGAAGAAGGUGCUAGCUCCAAAAGGUUGUCUUAACGACUACCUUGUUUUCUCACACCCUAAUUUGAAAAUUUAGGUUUAAAUAGUAGGGAUUGAAUAUGAAUCAAACUGCAAUAAUUCAACUAGAAUACUUCUAAAGAAUUUUUUAUGUCAAAUGAUUGAACUUUGAUUUGGACAAAUAAAUAUGUAUUAAAUAGCUCAUCCUUAGUUCUUAAGAUUGACUGAUUGAAUAUGAGAUUAGAUCAAUUACAAAUAAAGCAAAAAAGAAUAAAGUGGUGUUUAUUUAUUUAUUUUUACUUAAUUCUAAAUAAAAAUCAAAACUAAAUACUAUUUAAUAGUAUUAAGUUGUUUUUUUUUUAAUAUUUUAUUUCUAUUAAGUAUCAUGAGUUAAAGAAAAGCUGACAAGUUACUUUUAGCAUCGGGAAAAGUGGAAUAUUUUGGUUUUUUCUAUUUAGUAAAAAAAUUAAAGAAAUAAAUAAGUUGACAUGCAAAAAGCAAAAAAACAUAAAUGAUCUAAAAUUUAAAAGUAAGUUGCUUUCAACAAAAAGUUAAAAACAAAAAAAAACAACACCUUAGCUAAAAGCUAACACUUUUUAACACCCUUGAUCUUCUAACAUAAAAUUUAAUCAAGAUACCUAAAAUUAAGAAAAAAAAAUAUAUAUAUUCAAUUGAUUCAAUUUUGCCCAUCGACAACCUCAAACGAUUUACUUUCACCUUUAAUGACCUUCAAGUAUAACCAACUUUGAAUAGGUAAUUAUUCCAAGGGAGAAUUUUAUCAAUCCACCUAAAGCACUCAUAGUUACUGUACAUAUUUAAAUUAAACUAAUUUUUCUAUUUCUCUGUAAAGUUUAUGUUGGGUAAAAACCGAAGUCUUGCAUGAAAGGGCACUCCUCAAAUUUGGCUAGAGAAAAACACCCUUGUAGUUAAGGUCUUGGUCCCAACAUUUUUGUUGUAUUUUUGUCUUGCUUUUUAUCUUUUCCUAGCAAAGGACUUAAAAAGGGUAGGUUGCACAUCUACUUGUAAAUCUAAUUGAGCCAAUUAGAGAAGCAAACAAGAAAAGAAGAUAUGCAAACAUUAUGGAUAAAUUAAGGUCCAUAAGGAUCAUUGGAUACAUAAGUAGAAACUCUUCAUCAAAAUUUAAAACAAUCUAAAAUCUCCUUACUACUUCAACCUUUCUUUCAAAUCACUAAAGGAAAUACAAUCUGAAGUGGCAAAGGAGUGGUAUGCCAGCAACCAAACAGAGAAGUUGUGUAUUGUUUAAGAAAUUCCCUCACUAGACUUGGGUGUUGUUUAUUUUUUUACUUAAUUUUAAAUAGAACUUUAAUGUUUGAUAGUGUUAUAGGUUAUUUGUUUUUAUAAUAUUUUAUUUUUAUUAAAUAUUAAAAAGUAAAGAAAAACCAUUAUGUUAUUUUUUCUAUUCAACAAAAAGUUUAUAAUAAAUAAUAAAAAAAUAGAAAAACAAAUAAUUUAAGUUCUGAAAACAAAUUGCUUUAUGCAAAAAAAAAACCAAAAAAAAACAAACACUCUCUUAGUUAUACUUUUAAAUAUCUAGAAAUCUAGGCUAGUUAGUACAAGCAUCAAUUACUGAUCUAAUUAUCUUCCAAGACUAAACUAGAGUUACUUGUGGGGAAAUAGCCAUGGAGAAGCUAUGAAAUUGUACCAUGAUGGAUUGGGGGUACAAGUAGAGGGCCUUCUUCUCAUAUGCCAUUGUCGUCGCAUACCAGUUAAUGCAGUCUUAGGGAGGUUGUCCAUGAUUGUAUGGUGAACCCAGUGACACCAUUUACGGAGUAGGCUAUGCAAGUUGCCAAGUGAUAACAAGGCGUAGAGGACAUAUAGAUAGGGCCACAUUGUUGAUGAAAACCGUAGAGUGAAUAGGGAUGAGAUUCCGUUGUUGUUGGAGGCUGAUUCCCACAAUGUUGAGAGUGAGAUGUUGAACUGUGACUGUUGGGUUAUGGAUAAUCACCAUGAUCUGGGUUUUCUUCUUCAAAGCCUUAAUCUCUUACCCACAUUCUGUACGUCACCAUCGUGGCAGUUACGGGCCAAGAGGGAUCCGUGCCAAGGCAGCCCCGCAACCUGACCUACGCGGCUUCUGGUGGUCUGCCUUGCUUUCCCCUUUUUCGGUUUGGGAUUUUGUUUUUGCGGCUUUUGGUGGUCUGUCUUGCUUUCCCCUUUUCCGUUUAGGAUUUUCAGUUUAGGAAACGGAAAUGGACAAGAAUGGCACACUCAUGAGUCAUGGGUCUUGUUGACCAUGAUACAUCACCACAAAUUGUCGUCCUUAAUUAUCAUUAAACCCCACUUUUCCCUUCCUUUUUGUUGAAUUUCUUAUCCAUUCUCUCUCUAACCUUAACAAGUUAAAACAAAAUAAAAUUCAAGUUUAACACAUUUAAUAAAUUAAAAAUAAAAAAUCAUCUUCUCAAAAAUAAAUUAGGACUUGUAAAUUAAAAUUAUUUCUAUGUAUAUAGCAGAUAGGAUGACAUUAAGAUGACAGGCUGUUCAAUUUAUGGUUUUUCAUCUUCUUUCAUCUCAUAUUCUAUAAAAUCAAUUUAUGGGUUCUUCAGUAAGUGGGUAUUGUUGAGGCCUUACGUCCCGGUGAUCCACGUAGAUGCCAAGUGGACGCAUGCUUUCAACUAAUAUUGAGUUCUGAUUCAGUUGUCCCUGCAAAAGAUGUUCGGACAGGGUGUUCGGACAAACCCUCCGAUGGUUUUGUCAGCCAUGGCUAAAGAGAUUAAGCAGUUGGCCUUUUUCUAGGUAUAGCAAGCAUACCUUCCUCCUUGUGUGAAGGUCCUUAUAUAUAGUAUCAGAAGCUCUGUCUCCCUCUUUAAUGGUAGGGAGACUUUUUGGCUCGUCAUGAUGCCUCUAUGUGGUGGUAGGGCCAUCAUCACCUUACGGGUGGCUGUUAGAGAUCGUGGGAGGCAACGCGGCUGUCAGAGAUCGUAAGAGGUGUGUGGACCCGCAUCUUUCACGUGCGCCCCCACUCGAUCGGCGAGACUCGCUUUUUAUUCGUGAAAAAUAAUUUUUGAAAAAGUCGGAGUCGCCACUUAUUUUAUUUUUAUUUUAAAGGGAAAAUAAAACAAGAAAGAAAAACCCUAAAACGUGACUCCAUAAUUUUUGGAAAAAGCAUGUCUUUGAAAAACCCAAGUCUAAGUCCGGGGAUUAGGUUACCUAUUGGGAAGGUACCUUUAAAAGGUAGCACCCCUCUAAGCUCUAUAAAGGUCUCUACUAACUAAGUUAAGGCGAAUGUGACAAUUAACCUGUUAAUUAUGGAUACCUAAGUAGGCUAGAUGGUUCCAAAAAAUAGCAUGCCAAACAAGAUCAAAUCAUAAUAAAGGAAGGUUAGGAUGCGUACCUGGACCGCUUCUCAAGCGCUAUCAUAAAACAUCAAUGUUUAAUUUAAACAAUAUAUCAUCCAACAUGUAUUUUAUUAGAAAUAAUCAAACAAUGAAAUAUGUAUAUCAGAACACUCAAGCAUUAUUAGACAUAAGCAUUAUUUCACAAUGACAAUCAUAUUCACAGAAUUCAGAAAGUAGGUGAUAGAGGACAUACCUAGAUAGCAUAGAUAAUUUGUAACGUGCUUCCUCAAGUUGUAAGGGGUUAGAUAAAUAAUAAAAUAUAGAAAUCCUAGCAUGCUCGUUGUCUAAUUAGCAUAGCAGAAGUGAUCAAAGCAUACAAAAUCAUCAAUUAUCACAUACAUCUUGUAUAUAAUUCCUAAAAAAAAUAGAUAUGAUUUCAAUAAAUGGCAAGGGUGACAGUAAAGAUGAGUUUUAAAAAGAUGAUUUUAUGUAGGGGUUUCACCAAUUCCCCAAUUGAUAUACACAAAUAUAGCUUGGAAUUAAAUGUUAUCACUUUCAUAAAAAAAAAUAAAAAAUAUAUAAAAAUAAAUAAAAUAAAAUAAAUUAAAAAAUAAAAAUUCAUGAGUAUUAAAAAAAACAUUUUUUUGAUAGUUUUAAUGAAUUGUAUUUAUAAAAUAAAGUUUUGAUUUACUUAAAUAAGAAGGCUUUAAUUUCAUGCAAAGAAAAUAUUUUUUUUAGAAAAGUUUGUUCACAAGAAAAUAAAUGUUAUCACUUUUAUAAAGGAAAUGUUUCAUAAGUAUUAAUAAUAACAAUAAUAAUAAUAAUAAUCGAUUCCAUAGUUUUAAUGAAUUUUAUUUAUAAAAAGAAGCUUUAAUUUAUUAAAUAAAAAGACUUUAAUUCCAUGCAAAGAAAAUGUUUUUAAAAAGUUCAUUCACAAGAAAAUAAAUGUAAUCAUCACUUUUAUAAGGGAAAUAUUUCAUAAGUAUUAAUAAUAAUAAUAAUAAUAAUAAUAAUAAUAAUGAUAAUUGAUUCCAUAGUUUUAAGAAAAAAGUUUUAAUUUAUUUAAAUAAAAAGACUUUAAUUCCAUGCAAGAAAAUAUUUUUUUAAAAGUUCAUUCACAAGAAAAUAAAUGUAAUUAUCACUUUUAUCAAGGAAAUAUUCAUGAAUAUAAUAAUAAUAGUAGUAAUAAUUGAGUCCAUAGUUUUAAUUAAUCUUAUAAAAGGAAGUUUCAAUUUACUUAAAUAAAAAAAGCUUUAAUUCCAUGCAAAGAAAAUGUUUUUUUUAAAAGAAAGUUUAUUCACAAGAAAAUAAAUGUUAUCACUUUUAUAAAGGAAAUAUUUUAUGAGUAUUAAUAAUAACAAUAAUAAUAAUAAUAAUUGAUUCCAUAGUUUUAAUGAAUUUUAUUGAAGGAAGCUUCAAUUUAUUUAAAAAAAAAAAGACUUUAAUUCCAUGUGAAGAAAAUGCUUUCAAAAAAAUUCAUUUACAAAAAAAAGAGAAAGAAAAUUAAUUAAUUAAUAAUGGUAAUAAUAAUAAAACCUUAUAAAAAAUAUAUUUGAUGAUUUAAAAAUAUUUUUUUUUAUGUAAGAAUAUCUUUUAUAAUUUAAAUUUUCCUUUAAUAAUUUUUUUUAACUUUAUUUUAUUUACAAGAGGAUGAUUUCCACAACUCUUUAUUUAGAAAGCACAAAAAAAAAAUUUUAUUAUUUUUUUAAAACAUAAUAAUUUUUUUUUAAAUAAGAUAAACAAUUAUUUUAUAUUUUAAUCCAAGAGAACAAAAAAAUGUUUAAAAUAAUUUAAAUAUUACAACUUUUUAUUUUUUUAUUUUUGAACAAAGCUAUCAUAAAAAUUAUCAAAACACUUAAAAAAUUCAAACUUUUUCAUCAUCAUCAGGAAUUAUCCCAAAACUAAAAAUUAAGCACAAUAUAAAUUUUCAUUAAUAUCCAAAUUAUUGAAAACUAAAAAAAACUUGCAAAAUAUUUCAACUUUUCAUUAACAUCACAAAAUUGUCCAAAACGAAUAAAACAUCUAAUUUUUAAAUUAUCAUCCUGAAUCAUCCAAGACAAAUGCCUACAAAAAGUAACAUGAGAUUAGCAAUAAUAAUAAUGAUAACUAAAAUAAAAUAAACAAAAUAAAUUCAAAAACAAAAAAAAACUAAAAAUCCUAACUUGAUUUAUAUUUUAUUCAAGCAAUCAUCAGGAAUUAUCCCAAGGCUAAAAAAAAUAAGCACAAUAUAACUUUUCAUUGAUAUCCAAAUUAUUAAAAAUUAAAACAAACUUGCAAAAUAUUUCAACUUUUCAUUAACAUCACAAAAUUAUCCAAAACAAAUAAAACAUCCAAUUUUUAAACUAUCAUCCCGAAUCAUCCAAGACAAAUGCCUACAAAAAGUAACAUGAGAUUAGCAAUAAUAAUAAUGAUAACUAAAAUAAAAUAAAUAAAAUAAAUUCAAAAACAAAAAAAAAACUAAAAAUCCUAACUUAAUUUAUAUUUUGUUCAAACAAUCAUUAACACAUCUCAUAUAAAUACAUUAAAUCCAACCAAACACUCACCGAAAGACAUUAAAUCCUAUUAUAACCGUCCAUGGUUUCAUUCCCUUUUUUUUAACAAAUAAAUAAAAACAUGCCAAUAGCAUCAUUCACAUCAGGACUGACCAUAUAUUCACAUUUGUUUGCAUUUUAAAUCCAAUAAAACGAAGUCAAAGAACACUAACCUUGCUUGCAGCUACCCUCUUUCACGGUUGUGUCACUUUUUCUUCUCAGUUUAGUUAUGUCUGCUUCUUCGAUCUGGCUCGUGUGUUCCUUCACCACCAAGAGUCCUCGAAUCAGCCUAUGCGUCCUUUAGAAGUUCCACCCGGAAACGUGAUCUCCAUGUCUACAAUUUUCUUCUGAAUCUCAUUAAAAAAUAAAAAAUCCACCCAAAAUUCUUCCAGAACUCUCUUUUUUCUUUUUCUUUUCUCUCCUGAGACGUCUCCCUCUAUUUUCAAGCUCUCCUCUCCAAAAAAUCCUCCUCUCUCUCCUCAAUUGUCUUUCUCAUAUUCCCCAAAAAAAAACCUAAAUCCCCUUCAUCAUGCCUCUCCUCCCUUUUUUGCAUGUGAGUUGACUUUUCUUUCCUUCUAUGAAUUCCCCCUACUCUCUUUCUUGCAAAAUACAGUCUGUCUAUUCAAUAUGCCACCUCAAUUCUUCCUAAAAUAUAUCAUCUCUUUUUCUUUUCCAUUUAAAAUAUGCUUUGACCCAAAACACUACUGAAUCCUCCUUCCAUCAUCACGUGAUUCUUUUUCCAAAAGACAAAUUACAUUACCUUCUUUGCUGCUCAUCAUUUCUUUUUUCAUACAUAAGCUGAAUCUUCCCCAUAACAUGGCUCCAUUCAUUUUUUCCAUAUGUCUACUCUUGGAACCAAUAUGGUAGCUACCCACUCCAAGCUUCACAUCAUAGGCACUUUCUUAUCUUUCUAUUGGCGGACUUCCUACAAAAUUUCAAAGUUAAUAAAGUAAUAGUAAUAAUAAUAAUAAUAAUAAUAAUAAUAAUAAUAAUAAUAAUAAUAAUAAUAAUGAAAACUUUUAAACAAAAUUAUUAAAUUAAACUAAAUAAGUAAAGACAAGUAUUAGGGAAAAGUGAUAAAAUAAUAGGAAAAUAAAAUAAAUGAAGAAAUAUACAAAAUAAUAAAUAAAAUAAAAUAAGCAAAAAUAUAAGGGUAAAAAAAAUUCAAGCAAUGUGAUUUUACAAAAACGAUCUAAAUGGGCCUAAGGUGCCUAAAUGGGCCUAGAAUGCCUAAAUUGGCCUAAGGUGCCUAAAUGGGCCUAAGGUGCCUAAAUGGGCCUAGGGUGCCUAAAUGGGCCUAGGGUGCCUAAAUGGGCCUAGGGUGCCUAAAUGGGCCUAAGGUGCCUAAAAGGGCCUAUGGUGCCUAAAUUGACUUAAGGUGUCUAAGUGGGCCUAAAGUGCCUAAAUGGUCCUAGGGUGCCUAAGUGGGCUUAGGGUGGUGCUUAAGUAGGUCUAAGGUGCCUAGGGUGUAUCUAAGUGAACCUAAAGUGCCUAAGUGGGCUUAGGAUGACGCCAAAUGGGCUAGGUGCGUCUAAUGGGCUUAGGGUGUACUAAGUGGGCCUAGGGUGCUUAAAUGGGCCUAAAGUGAUCUAAGUGGGCCUAAAGUGAUGCCUAAUGGGCCAAGUGUACCUAAAUGGGCUUAAAGUAAUCUAAGUCGGCCUAGGGUGACUAAGUGAGCCUAAAGUGUCUGAAUGGGCCUAAAGUGAUGCCUAAUGGGCCAAGUGUACCUAAAUGGGCCUAGGGUACCUAAAUGGGCCUAAAGUGUACCUAAAUGGGCCUAGGGUACCUAAAUGGGCCUAAAGUAAUCUAAAUGGGCCUAGGGUGACUAAGUGAGCAUAAAGUGGCUAAAUGGGCCUAAAGUGAUGCCUAAUGGGCCAAGUGUACCUAAAUGGGCCUAGGGUGCCUAAAUGGGCCUAAAGUGAUCUAAGUGGGCCUAAAGUGUCUAAAUGGGCCUAAAGUAAUCUAAGUGGGCCUAGGGUGACUAAGUGAGCCUAAAGUGUCUAAAUGGGCCUAAAGUGAUGCCUAAUGGGCCAAGUGUACCUAAAUGGGUGCCUAAAUGGGCCUAAAGUGAUCUAAGUGGGCCUAAAGUGUCUAAAUGGGCCUAAAGUAAUCUAAGUGGGCCUAGGGUGACUAAGUGAGCCUAAAGUGUCUAAAUGGGCCUAAAGUGAUGCCUAAUGGGCCAAGUGUACCUAAAUGGGUGCCUAAAUGGGCCUAAAGUGAUCUAAGUGGGCCUAAAGUGUCUAAAUGGGCCUAAAGUAAUCUAAGUGGGCCUAGGGUGACUAAGUGAGCCUAAAGUGUCUAAAUGGGCCUAAAGUGAUGCCUAAUGGGCCAAGUGUACCUAAAUGGGCCUAGGGUGCCUAAAUGGGCCUAGGGUGACUAAGUGGGCCUGAAGUGUCUAAAUGGGCCUAAAGUGAUGCCUAAUGGGCCAAGUGUACCUAAAUGGACCUAGGGUUACCUAAAUGGGCCUAGGGUGCCUAAGUGGGCCUAGGGUGCCUAAAAGCUAUCCUAAAAAAAAACAAGAAAAGCCUAAGUCUAAGUUAGGGCUGCCAAGGGUCACAAUAAGAGGUCAGAUAAUCCCUCAACCAAAGUCUCCGAGGUGGCUUAGAAAAGAUAGGCUACACGAGUAUUAAUGGGCCACCAGGGAAUUGCUAUAAACGACAUGUGCGAGGAAGACGAAAUGGAGGGUCUACAAAUAUGCCCCUCUUCGGUAGAGAUCACGAGUGUAGAGAAUGUGAGUAAAAGUACGAAUAAUGAGCGGAACGAAGUGAACUAUACCGAAGAAACUAAAAGAAAAAGACCUGAGAUUUUGUCCUAGCACAUGACGAGAAUAAGCUCUAAACACGGGGACGUAAUCACAAAAAAAAAUAACUUCAGGUCAUGAGCUCAAGGCUUUACACAGAAAGAAUGACUCUGGGUCAUAAACGAGAGAAAUGACCCUGGGUCAUAAGUGAAAAAUCGACUCUGGGUCGAGAGCUCUAGGCUUUAAAUGGAACAGAAAUGACUCUAGGUCACAAAUGAAAAAUCGACUCUGGGUCGAGAGCUCUGGGCUCUAAAUGGAAAAGAAAUGACUCUGGGUCAUAAAUGAAAAAUCGACUCUAGGUCGAGAGCUCUGGGCUCUAAAUGGAAAAUCGACUCUAGAUCAAGAUCUUUAGGCUCUAAAUGGAAAAUCGACUCUGGGUCGAGAGCUCUGGGCUCUAAAUGGAAAAGAAAUGACUCUGGGUCAUAAAUGAAAAACGACUCUAGGUCGAGAGCUCUGGGCUCUAAAUGGAAAAUGGACUUUGGGUCGAGAGCUCUGGGCUCUAAAUGGAAAAGAAAUGACUCUACGUCAUAAACGAAAAAACGACUAUGGGUCGAGAGCUCUGGGCUCUAAAUGGAAAAGAAAUGACUCUGGGUCACAAAUGAAAAAUCGACUCUAGGUCGAGAGCUCCAGGCUCUAAAUGGAAAAGAAAUGACUCUAGGUUACAAAUGGAAAAUCGACUCUAAGUCAAGAGCUCUGGGCUCUAAAUGGAAAAUCGACUCUAGGUCGAGAGCUCUGGGCUCUAAAUGGAAAAUCGACUCUGGGUCGAGAGCUCUGGGCUCUAAAUAGAUAGCCGAUCAGGAUACUUUUCGACUCAAGGUGUCGGGUCGAGGCCACUCACAAGUGGCUAGAAUGAUGAAAAUGAAACAUCUCAGGGAUGUGAAUGAUGCAAAUGACUCCAGGUCGUGAGCUUAGGGCUCAGAAUGCUAUGAAUGACUCUGGGUCAUGACGCAGUGAGUAACUCGGGGUUACGAUGAAUAGCUUAGGGCUAUGGAUGAAAUGAAUGACUCAGGGUCAUGAUGCAAUGAGUAACUCAGGGUUACGAUGAAUAGCUCAAGGCUAUGAGCUCCGGGCUCUAUGACUGAUCGGCUAGAAGGAGAAUGCGAUACGCAAACCCCAAGUCAAACCACUCAUGGGCGACCAAAUGAUGAAGGCUCAGCUCAGGGCUGGAAAGACUCCGGGUCUAUGGGAAAUGAUAGCUUAGGGCUACCAGGCUCAGGGCCUAAGGGAAAAAGGAUAGCUGAGGGCUAUAAGACUCAGGGUCUAGAAGGAAUGGAUAGCUCAGGGCUACGAGGCUCGGGACCUAAAAAAAAGGAUAGCUCAGGGCUACUAGGCUCAGGGCCUAAGAGAAGAAGAAUGCUCAGGGCUAUAAGACUCGGGGUCUAGAAGGAAUGAAUAACUCAGGGCUACGAGGCUCAGGGCCUAGAAGGGAAUAAUGGAGAAGACCAACUCGAAAGUGAACAUGAAAUAUAUUGGCUCAAAGCCAUAUAUUCAAAAUGUCAAGGGUCGGACUACUAAAACUAAGAAGGGAAAUAUGCCCCAGUAUCCAGGGUGCUCACACUGCUGAAACAACCAGUAAACCAAUCAUCUGCUAUAAUCAAUGGGUCAAGGACCAAUACAUCAUGACAAACCUCUGAAAAGUCAAAACUGAAAGAGGCCUCUAUGUCUGAAAAAGAACUACUCUAUCGACAAAUCUCAAAAGGUGAAUCUCAAAGCGUGUAUAUCGUGGCUAAUCUAAAAGCAAAUCUCAAAGUGCACAAAAUGCUGCUCAUCUGGAUAAUCCAAUCUGCAAGGUAACAAUGACAAAAACAAAUAUGUCUCAUGAACAUCUAGCUAAAGGAUCCACCCUCGCUCCUCGGGUGACACCUGAUGCAAUCCCUCUCUAUCUCAACAAAUCCAUGUAGGGAGGCCCUGAUACAGUCGAUCGUCGGAAGCUUUGGGCUAGCACUCAAUCUAAAACCAAACUGGCCACUGUCUUAAUCUCAAGGAUACUCAAAGAAAAUAGGGGAAAUAUGCCCCAAUAUAAGAUCUGAUGUCAAAGUCGUGAGGCAAACAACAAAUAAUGAUCAUCUAUCCUCAUACCACUGCCUAAACACAAUCUCAUCAAUGAGAGGGGAAUAUGCCCCAAUAUGGAUAUCUGAUGUACAAUAAAGAGUCUGUCAAAAUCAACCCAACAUCUCUAUGACCAUGAAUAAGGAUAAUCAUACCGCACAAUAACAGAUAGGAAUCUCGGGGGGAUGGGGGAAUAUGCCCCAGUGUGGGUAUCUAAUAUACAACCAAAGGAUGAAUCCAACAUCAUCAAUCAACUAUCCUCAGCUCAACAAUAAUCUGCUAAGAAGUCAGAAUGAAGUAUCGACCAAUGCCCCAAGGGGGACACUCUAAAUCUAAUCUCAAAUGAAUAGCCAAAAUGAUGAGGAAUGUGGUAAUCUCAGAAGUAGAAACAUGUCUCUGAUAAAUCCCUGACUGAAUCUGAUAGGAAUCUGGUAACCUCAAAAUGGGGAAAUAUGCCCCAGUAUGCCUGAUCUAUACACUGCACUGAAAACUGCCUCCAGCUCAGUAAUAAUCCACUAGUCUAUCUCAGAAGUACUCUGCGAAUGGAACCACUAGGGGCUCAACGAUGCUCCACUAGAACUGAUAUAGUCUCAACAUACCCCACUAGGGAUCUCCGAUCGGUGAAAAUGACCAGACUCAAAGAAAGUGCUCCAUUAAGGGCUCAUCUCAACCAAAUGAAAGGGGGAUAUGCCCCAAUAUGGGUAUCUAAUGCACAACCAAAGGAUGAAUCCAAUAUCCUUAAUGAACUAUCUCCAAACCCAAAAAAAAUCCAUCAAACAUCAAUAUGCCAAGCGAGAGAGAAACCAAAUGCUUCCAAAAGUAUCUUCCAUAAAAGAGAACAUAGUAAUGACCAUACUUCAACCAAUCUACAAAAGUCUGUCCAAGUGAAGACCGUCAAAGAUAACAUCUGAUCUCAUGGCCUCAGGGUGGUCUUAAGACACGGGAUGUAACGUAGGCCAAGGUGAUAGGGUGAAAGAAAUGAAGGGAAACUAGGCUCAAAUACCCAAUGAUCAAACCCGUACCCUCGUGUACAAGAUGUAAUGCAUAGAAAAAUCUCAUGAGUCAUGGACUUAGAAGUAACCAAAGGGAAUGUCGAUAACGAAAUGAGAGAAAGGAUGAAUGGUCAAACCAUCAAUGAAAUAUGUGAAUGAUGUGAGGAAGGUAUCAAAUCAGUAAUGGGUAUCAAUAUGUAGGGAAUGAAUAAAAGGUGGAACAAAGAUCUGGAAAGAGGUAAUGAGAUACAAAAGAAAGCAAUGAGAAAGUAGAAUGAGUGAUGAUCAACUCAUGUUAGUACAAUAAAGGAAAGUCAUAUCACGAAUGAUGGAAUGGUGGGUAUAAGACAAUGAUUCGGAGACCCUAGUAAAAAGGUCACUCAUCUCUCAUACCUAAAAUAUAUCAAUCAUGAUCCAAGAAGCAUAGUAUCUCAUAGAACUCUCAUAUGAACCCUCGACACUCCAAAUGCAUAACAGGAGUGGCUCAAGGACUGAAAAACUCAUAAAAACUCACAAAAACCCACAAUGACAAAUAUACCCAAUAAAUGAACCUCCAAAGGUGGCAUAAAUACCCAAUGGAACGAGAUACCAUACAUGAGCAUAUCAUUGCGCUUUUUUUUUUUUUUUUUUCCGCAUGCUCUGAUCAUCAAUAAAUCCAACUCCAAUGGAAAAAUAUAAGGAAUGAACAAACUCUCUCUGACCACUGAUGAAUACAUGAACCCCAACCCAUGAGACAACCUCUCAAACUAAGAUCUCCGAAUCAAUGUCAAAUGAUGGAACUAAUAGAGUGAUAUGACUGCCCUCUUUGCACUAAGACGUGAAGAAUCAUCAACCCAAGGAAGAGAAUAGAUAAGAUGAAGCAAAUAAUGAUAGAGACAAGAAAGAGAAUGAAUAUGUGGCGAUAAUAAAAUAGAACAAAUAGGGUGGUAAGAGGAUGGUAACCAAAUGAGAAGAUAGACCUAUAAGUCUAAAGCUCAUGAGAUUUUUCUAGCAAAGCAUGCAUAUACAUCAAAGGGUCCCAACCCAGGUAUAGAAAUGGUAAUCAAAGCUAUAAGAAAGAAAUAAGGCUAUAACAUACCACGCGAAGCUCAAUGGGCUAGCAACGGUCUAAUAUAUAGAGGUGAUAAAGUAUGAGGCUAACAGAAAUGAUGGCCACCCAUCCUGCGACCACGGUCUCAAACAUAAUACUUCUUUAGCUGAUCCACGUUGGUAGGCUCUGAAAAUUGGUUUCCACCUAAGUUUGUCAACCAUGCAGCCCCUUCUAGAGUCAACUCUCGGAUAACAUAAGGCCCACUCCAAUUAGGUCUAAACUUUCCUCUAGGGUCUCCAAUCAAACCUCUGAGAAUCCUCAAAACUAAGUCCCCUUUUUGCAAUGGUCUAGGCUUAACCCGUUUCUUGAAGGCACGAGCCAUCUUUCUUUGAUAGGCCUGAGCAUGAUCUGCCACUCUCAAUCUCCUCUCAUCUAAAAGGUUAAGCUGAUCAAAUCGAGCUUGAGCCCACUCUGCCUCAGAAAUCUGCUGGUCAAGGGCUACUCUCAACGAGCCCAUCUCUGUCUCGACUGGCAAAACAACCUCCAUACCAUACACUAGAGAGUAAGGCGUAGCUCCUGUAGAAGUACGAAAAGAUGUACGAUAUGCCCACAACGCAAAAGGAAGCUUCUCUGACCAAUCUCGAGAAGUCUCAACCAUUUUCCUCAAAAUCCUCUUAAUAUUCUUGUUUGCAGCCUCUACUGCCUCAUUGGUCUGUGGCCUAUAUGCUGAAGAUCUAUGAUGUCGAAUAGCAUACUUCUGCAACAAAGUAUCUACCUCAGCUCGAAAGUGCACCCCUCUGUCUGAAAUCAGCUCAUGAGGAACCCCAUAGCGGCAAAUGAUAUGUGAUCUGAUGAAACUGGCAACCCUAGCGGAUGUCAACCUUGCAUAUGAUGCGGCUUCCACCCACUUGGUGAAAUAAUCUAUGGCAACCAGGAUGAACUCGUGACCACUGGAAGAUUUUGGUGAAACCUUCCCAAUAAUAUCAAUACCCCAUACUGAGAAUGGCCAUGGCGAGGUCAAGGCGUGUAACUCUGAUGGUGGUGCAUGUAUGAGAUCACCAUGAAUCUGACACUCUAGGCAUUUCUGGACAAACUGAUAACAAUCUGUCUCCAUAGUCAACCAGAAGUAACCCGUCCUCAUAAUCUUACGAGCUAGCAUGUGUCCUCCCAUAUGCGGACCACAAACUCCUGCAUGAACCUCUCUCAUCACUCGAUCUGCAGAGGCUCGAUCUAAACAUAAUAGAAGCAUACCAUCAACUGAUCGCCUGUAUAAGGUAUCUCCACAAAUCACAAAUCUAGUGGCCAAGUUCCUCAGUGCUCUCCGAUCCUUGGCAGUGGCUACCUCAGGGUACGUGCCAAAUCUGAGAAACUGAUAAAUGUCAUGAUACCAAGGUAGAUCAUCCUGGUCCUCUAUCUCUCCAAUCAAACAACAAUAGGCGGGUGCAGACCUCGACUCAAUCAGUAAUGGACGUAUGACUACAUCAAUCGGAAUGUCCACGGAGGAAGCUAAAGUAGCUAAGGCGUCAGCAAAUCGGUUCUGCGCUCUAGGCAGAUGAACAUAUCUCAAGUCGUCAAAUCUCGCAACCAACAACUCUAAAUAUGCAUGAUAUGGUCUAAGCUUCACGUCCUUAGUCUUCCAAUCCCCCUGAAUCUGCCUGAGUACCAGAUUGGAGUCACCAAAUACCUCCAUCUGUCUAAUGCCAAGCUCCAAUGCAGUCUCUAAACCCAAGAUGCAAGCCUCAUACUCAACUAUGUUAUUUGUGAUAGGAUGUCGAUCAUGGAACGCCAAACGAACAGAUCUCGGAAUAUGAUCGCCCUGAGAAGACACCAACAAAACACCUAUCCCAUACCCUAACUGAUUGGCUGCACCAUCAAAGUACAAGCACCAUCCUGAUAAGCUAGUCAUAGCAACAAACUCCUCAUCUGGAAAAUCAUCAUCAACUGGUCUAUCCUCAGAUGUCGAUAGUGAAGCUAAGCGAUCGGCGACAAUACUUCCCUUAAUAGACUUUUGAGAAAUGUACUGAAUAUCGAACUCUGUCAAAAGCACGAGCCAUCUCAUCAAUCUACCAGUUAAUGCAGGUCUAUCAAACAGAUACCUCAAAGGAUUUAACCGAGAAAUCAAGCACACCGAAUACUCAGUCAUGUAGUGCCUCAAUCUCUUGGUGGCCCAAAUUAACGCUAAACACAUGCGCUCAAUCAUAACAUAUCUCAUCUCAUACUCCAGCAUCCUCUUACUCAAAUAGUAAAUCGCUCGCUCUUUCUCGGAGUCAUCAAGCUGAGCUAGCAUGCAUCCCAAGGCCAUGUCUGAAACUGACAAAUACAGAAGAAGUGGACGUCCUGGCAUAGGAGGCACUAAAACAGGGGGAGAAAGCAAAUACUCCUUGAUCUUCUCAAAUGCAAUCUAGCAGUCGUCAUUCCAAACCGUUGGCUGAUUCUUCCUCAACAGACGAAAGAUGGGCUCACAUAUGUCUGUCAAUCUGGCUAUGAAACGACUAAUAUACUGUAACCUACCUAGAAAACCCCUGAUCUCUUUCUCAGUCCUCGGCACAGGCAUGUCAAGUAUGGCUUUGAUUUUAUCUGGGUCGACCUCUAUGCCCCGAUCACUGACCAUAUGCCCCAACAGUUUCCCAGAAGUCACUCCAAAUGUGCACUUUUUGGGGUUUAGCCUCAGUCUAAAUUUUUGAAUCCUCUCAAAGAAUCUCUCUAGGGCCGCUAGGUGAUCUGCUCUACCUCGGGAUUUCACAAUCAUAUCAUCCACGUAAACCUCGACAUCCCUAUGCAUCAUGUCAUGAAACAAAGUGGUAGCGACUCUCUGAUAAGUGGCUCCUGCGUUCUUCAACCCAAAUGGCAUAACUCUAUAACAGUAGGUACCCCACUCAGUAAUAAAGGUUGUCUUCUCCAUAUCCUCUGGAGCCAUCAAAAUCUGAUUAUACCCUGAAAACCCAUCCAUGAAAGACAACGUCGAAUGACCUGCGGUGCCAUCAACCAACAAAUCAAUGUGUGGAAGAGGAAAGUCAUCUUUAGGGCUGGCUUUAUUGAGAUCUCUGAAGUCAAUAUUGAGAUCUCUGAAGUCAACACAAACCCUAACUUUGCCAUCCUUUUUAGGAACAGGGACGACAUUAGCCAACCACUCUGGAUACUCAACUACUGAUAUGAACCCAACACUAAGUUGUUUCUGAAUCUCCUCUUUUACCUGUAAACUCCAACGUGGAUGCAACUAUCUCAUUUUUUGCUUAACUGGUCUAGCAUGUGGUAGGGUAGGUAAAUGGUGCUGGACUAUAGAGGGAUCAAGACCUGGCAUGUCCUCAUAAGACCAUGCAAAGACAUCCAAGUAUGACCUGAGUAAAUGGAUGAGUCUAUCUCUCUCAUCUGUAGAUAUGGGUGAACCAAUCUUCAGCUCUCUAGGCUGAUCCUCUGUGCCAAAAUCAAUAGUCUCAAUGUCCCCUGCAGCAGGUGAAACUCUCUCAUCUAUGGGACCAGAGUCAUGAUCAAAAGAGUCCCUAUCCGAAUCGGGCCAUGCAACUUCAUCACUUAUAUCAAAUAUCUGUGAAGUGGGUAGGUGGGGUGCAGAUAUAGAGGUACUAUCACAAGAGGUAGGCGAAUACUCAAAAAUGCUCAAAUCCAUAAAUGAAGCAACAGAAACAUCGUUAGAGUGGGAGACAAAUCCCGAUAAAACAUCAAAAGAAAGAGGUGGGUCCACAAGGUCGGACGCUCCCUCAACUGGGCUAACAAUGCCCUCAAACAAGCUACUAUCAUCCUCUGGAAGCUCUGGAACAGGAAGAGUCUGAGUCUCCUCAAAAACCUCAAUGGUAGACACCCCAAACAUAUCAAAUGCUGAAAUAGGCUGAAGCUGAACAAUGCUGGUAAUUUGGCUCAUGGUCAUCAUGUCCAUCUCAUCUCGGUACUCAUCAUAGGAAACAACUCCAUCAAUCAUCUCAGUAGAAUCAACCAUCACCCCAUCACCAGUGAUCUCCUCUAGAAAACAUAGAGACAACAUGCUAGCUCGAUCUGGAGGCGUAGGAGUAAUCGUCAAAGGGAAAGAAGAGUCGAGAGCCCCAUCACUCAACUGUAGCUGGUGAAAUAGAUGCUGAAGAUCAGUCUCUCUAUCUGUAUGAACCACACUAUCAAUCUCCUCUAGACGAGGUCUAGUCUUUGAUCCUCUGACAAAGUAGUCAGCCAAACUCAACCUAUAGGGUCGAAUAGGAUAAUCAAAUGCUGUGUGGGAUAAACGGGCUCUCACCCUCUCCUUGCGCAGCCGCGCCAUGUGACGAUAAUCAGCCUCAGUAGGGAUGAAUCCAAGUCCAAAUGUCGUAUCAUGGUCAAUGGCAGCUAUGAACUCGCUCGGUCCCUGCUGACGUCGUCCUAACCCCAUGCCAGGUAGAAAGGUCAUACCCCUCAUCAUAUCAAGGACCACUGUGCAACUGUGCUGAUCAAACGACAUAGCCACAAAGUCUCUACAAAAAUCCUCAAUCUCGAGAGUCUGUAUCUCAUCAAAAGUAAACCCAGUCAGAAGUAGGUCGUCCUCACUGUGACUGAUCUGAAGUACUGGCUCAGAAGCGACAAAUAUAUCCCUGGUAGAGCGCACUGUGAUGACCUGCCCAUCAUGAAUAAACUUCACCUUCUGAUGAAGGGAAGAAGGAAUAGCUCCAACUACAUGAAUCCAUGGUCGGCCUAGUAGCAGGUUAAAGGAUGUAGGAAUCCUCAAAACCUGGAACAAUGUGGAAAAUGUGGCUGGACCAAUAUGCAAAUCAAUCAUUAAGGUACCCAUAACCUCCCUCUUGGUGCUAUCAUAUGCCCUGACUGUCUGAGUAGAAGGACCAAAAUCUGAAGGUGCGAAACCAAGGGCUAUAGCAGUGGCUAAAGGGCAAACAUUCAGGGCUGAGCCGUUGUCCAGUAGGACAGACGAGACUCUAUGGCCUGAACAUCCAACUGUGAUGUAUAGAGGGUGCACGUGGUCUAAACCAUCAGGUGGCAAGUCAUCAUCUGAAAAUACAAUGCAAGUGGCCCUGCCAGCCGUCAUCAUAUGAAUCAAUCCCUCUGGAGUGGUGGUAGUCUCUACUUUGAUCUGACUCAAGGCUCGAAUCAAAGCAUCUCUAUGAGUACUGGAUGAUGCUAAUAAACUCCAGAUGGAAAUGCGAGCCUGAGUGCUCUAUAGUUGUCUCAAAACCUCAUCAUCCUCUCUCCUAACCUCCUCAUGAGAGGCUGCACCCUCAAAUGGUUUGACUGCUGUUGGUGGUGGCUGAGCUAUCCUCCCACUACGAGUCACAAUAUGUAUCUCUCUCCCUACUGAAUCAUCAUCCUCUGGCCAUAAAGUGAAUGGGACAAAAGCAUCCUGACAUCCGAUAACUAAGGGUGUAGGAUGAGUCAACUAGAAUGGUACCUCGUCUGGGAUCAAACUGAAUGGUGCAGGAGUCCGAGGGACCAAUGAAACCCCAUCAAUCUCAUAGCCGUCAUGCUGAUUACUACCAAAAAGUGCUAUUUUGUAGAUCUAAUUAUAAUGGUUUUAAGCACCUUUAAGUAGUAAUCAUAUUCAUUUAACCCAAUUAAUUAAUUAAGGUCCUUAGUAAUUGGUUUUAACCAUUUUGUGGCAAGUUUACAUGUUUUUAUCAGCUUAUGAAUCGAUUCAAGCAUGCCAAUUGAUGGAGGAGCUAUUUGGGUGAGUUAAGCAAGGAUUUUGGAUGAUUACAGGCUUGAAUUUCAAGUGGAAACACGAGCACAAGCAAUGGAGAAGAGGAAAACAGAGUGAAGAAAACAGCUGUAGUCUUCUUUCACACUUUUGAAGCACUUCCCGAAGUCCAUUUUUUACAUUCUAUAUACCAUUUGAAAGCUUAGGAAGUCAAAAAUCCAACGCUUCAAACCGUGUAUGAUUUGGAGCUGAAAUGAGGAAGAUAUGGCCUUCGGAAGGCAACUGCAUCAUGUUAAAUGACCAAUUAUCAAGGUGAAUUUCACAUUGCGAAAAUUUCGCAAGAAGAUUUUCUUCAUGGUGCGAAAUUUUGCCACUUCUCACCAUGAAGAAACACCUUGCGAAAAUUUCGCAAGGAGGAUUUAGGCACAUUGCGAAAUUCCUUUGAAUCCCCUGUUUUGAGACGUUGUUGAUGUUAUUCCACUACCGGUUCUCCAAGAUAUUUUGCUUGAUUUUUAGCUUUGUAAAUACCUAUUUUACCCUUGUAAUCAACCAAUGAAUAGGUUGCUUUUGUAAUAGCUCUUGUAAUUUAGCUUGUUAUUGUCUUUAAAUAGAGGUGAAGAGCCUCAGAUCAUCUAAUCUUGUAACCUGUAACUUUAUAAGUUAUAAGAGCACUUUUGUUCAUACGUUUCUUUUCUCUUUUCUUUCUCAUUUUCUUAGUAGCCAAACAUCCUUGGAGGAUGAAAUCCCCAAGGAUGAGAGGCUAAAACCUUUUAGUUUCUUGAAGUAAUGGAUGCCAUGUGAAGCUCCUGUGUCAGGAUGGAGAUUUCCAAGCCAUGAAUGUAAGUAGCUGAGCGUCAUAAAUGUUUUCAUUCAAAGUAAAGCUUUUAAUCCCUCUGACUUGCUUUGAAUGGCCAAUACUUGAUAACCUUUUGGUCUUAGUGGAUUCUUAUUGUUAGAUCCACUGACGUUCAUUAGUUAUCUCCUACGAGCCAUUGUAUUGCAAGUCGAGGAGAUGACCUAUAUCAUUAAAAGAGCAUUUAUGAGUUCAGCUACCCUUUUUGUAAGUUUUCAGACUAAACUCAGUNNNNNNNNNNNNNNNNNNNNNNNNNNNNNNNNNNNNNNNNNNNNNNNNNNNNNNNNNNNNNNNNNNNNNNNNNNNNNNNNNNNNNNNNNNNNNNNNNNNNGAGCGUCAUAAAUGUUUUCAUUCAAAGUAAAGCUUUUAAUCCCUCUGACUUGCUUUGAAUGGCCAAUACUUGAUAACCUUUUGGUCUUAGUGGAUUCUUAUUGUUAGAUCCACUGACGUUCAUUAGUUAUCUCCUACGAGCCAUUGUAUUGCAAGUCGAGGAGAUGACCUAUAUCAUUAAAAGAGCAUUUAUGAGGUUCAGCUACCCUUUUUGUAAGUUUUCAAGGACUAAAACUCAGUUGUUAAACACAUACCGGUUCGGGAAGUAAGCAUCACCUUAGUUGCUUCCCCAACUCGAGGUGAAAAGUUCCAAAAUCUCCAUUUUUACACAGUGAGUUAAGCAUGGCUAUUCAAAGCUUUAAGAAACUUCUUUUUCCAUCUUUUAACCUAUUUUCAUGUUAGUUUAGUUUACACACCUUCAUCUUUUUAUGUUUUCAUCUUAACCUAAUUUUUAUUAAGAAAAGUUCACUCCAUCCUCCGAACUUCACCAGUUAAAGUAAAAACCCUUCCCAGUGUUCGAUCCUAGAGCCACUAUGCUAUAGUAGCUUUGCUACUUUAGUGUAAGGACCUUAGGUAUAAAUUUUGUUGAUACCCUUACAUGCCAAGCUACCAAGAGUCGGGUUAUCACAUGCAAAACAAUUGGCUCGGGUAAUCCAUCAUCCCAACUCAACAUAUGUAUACUAUCAUCCUCUAUAAGGUCCAUGUGAUGAAUAUCUCCUGAAGAUGGAUGCACUACGUGUGUAGAAUGAGCAGGAAGAGGGUUAUUGGUCACACUUGGCUGCCCCAAGUUGACCAAACCCUGGUCUAUCAAGUCCUAAAUAGCAUGUAUCAAAGCAGUGCAAUGGUCCGUGUCAUGCCCUGGUCCCUGAUGGUAGGAAUAAUGUAAGUCCAUCCUGAAGCGAGGUGGUAUGGGUUGUGGUAAAGGCCUGGAUGCUAAUGGAGUCAAUAAUCCACCCUCUGCGAGCUUCUGAAAAGCUCGACUCAAAGGCAUACCCAACUGAGCAAACUGACGUGGUGGCCUCUACACAUAAGUAGUGGUCUGUGGAGCUCGGGGUCGAGUAUAUGGGGCAGGAGGCCUCUCUGCGACAUGUGCAACAAAAAUAGGCUGUGAGAUUGGAUGUAGAUAGGUAGGAGUCAUAGGUCUGGAAGGAGUGGGUGGUCUGUAAUGCACAUGAGAUGAAGGUGGAUAGUAGUACCCAAGAGUCUACCCAACUGUCUGAUAACGUCUAGAAGGUCUCAUCCUUGCUGAACUGAUAGCACCAACAUCUCCUGAUCUCUGUCCUCCUGAAGGCCUCUUCCCCUUAGAAUCAGUAGGGGAAGACUUAGACCAUAAUCCUCUAGCAAUGCCCUCCUCUAUACCAUACAAAGCCUGUACCAAAGAUCCAAAAUCCGUUUGAGGAAAUCCCAUCAAGUGUCUAGCAAAUCUGGGUUGUAAGCUCCUCAUGAUCAUGCUAAUAUGAUCUCUCUCUGAAGGACGGUCUAUAAUCUGUGAAAUCUUCUCCCUCCAGUGGGAGAUAAAUGAAGUGACUGACUCCUCCGGCCUCUGUCUCAAAGCCUCCAACUCUCUCCUCGAAACAUCAAUGACAGUGUUAAAUGCAAACUGUCUCAAAAACUCCUGGGCUAAGUCAUCCCAAGUCCUACGGCGUGAUACCUCCAAUGAAGCGAACCAACGUUGUGCAGCACCACUCAAUGAUAUAGGGAAGAUCAUAACCAUCUGGGCAUCAUCCAGUCCAUGGGCCCUCAUAACAGUACUAUAGAGUCUCAAAUGGAUGCGAGGGCAUCCUAUGCCUGUGUAUCUUUCAAUCUCAAGCAUCCUGAACUUGGCCGGUAGACUGGCCACUGGUGCUCCAUCAAAAUCUUCCCAAGUAAUAGCUCCCUCUGAAGUCCUCAUCUGUCUUAACUUCUGCUCAAGUUUAUCCAUACGAGCAUGUGGGUCCUCUAAGAUCGGAGUAGGCACUAUGGCAAGAGGUGGUGCAACCUCAGUUUGACUAUGUAGAGUAAAAGGUAUAGUCUGUGGUGCUGGCUGACUGUGCGGAGGUGGUGGUGGUACUGUGGUAUCAAAAUGGGUAUCCUCUUGAACUGGGACCUAUUGGGCUUGCUGCCCAUCUAUCCUCUGGCCAAGGCUAGCUAUAGCCUCCUGGAUCGAAGCCAUGGCCGCAGCAAACUGGUCAACGGUAACUAUCUAAGAAUCCAUAUCUCCUUGAUCUGAUCUCUAGUCUAACUGGUUUGAUGCUCUGGUCAAUCUGCCUCCAACUCUAAUCCACAAAGGUGAAUCCAGAUCGGUCAAGGUAAACUCUCCUACAAAUAUGGAAAUACUGGAUAAGGUGCGGUACAAAAGCGACUCUGUAUGAAUCCAGUGCGUAGAAGCAAAGCCCAAAUAUACUCAAUAUGAUACCCUCCUCUGAUCACACCAAAAGGAGACUAAGGAAGGGAUAACCAAAUCCAAUCGUGACCAAGGCAGCUCUGAAGGUCCACAAAUGCACCCACGUGUAGGAAUGAAAUCUUAAUUGGGUCUAGGCUAAACUAUAAGGUUAAGGCGGCUCUAUGAGAUAAAAUGGGUGGGUCAAAGGAUCCCUAGCAGAAGCGAUCGUACCCUCCGGCGGUACGCAACCCUCUACACGCCUCUAAGGAGACGGGGUGCUUCCAUGCAAGGUGGUCAUCACCUCCACACAUGCACUUCCUCGCGUUCCCAGGGGGUUUCUUAAUGGUGAAGGCUCUCCCAUCUCUCAACACUCAGGGAUAAUUGAUUACUACUCAAAAAGUGCUAUUUGAUAGCCUAUAAUUAAUCCUUUUAAACACUUUUGAGUAGUAGUUUAGGCCUUUUAACUCAAUUGGCAUGUUAAGGAUCCUUUAAAGCAAUUUUAAUCACUUUGUGCAAGUUUUGGUGUUGUUGUUAGUAUUUUGAUCACCAAAGCAAGUCAAAACUGAGGAGAGCUAUGAGGAACCUUGGGCAAAGCUUAGAAGUCAUUUUCCAAGAGUGAAUCUGGAUUGUAAGGAGAAAAAGCAAAGAGAAUCUGUCAUGAAGCCUAUUCUUGAUGACAGUAGUAGCAGCCACUUUUGGAGAACUUUCUAAAGUCCAAAUGAUGCAUUCUAUAUACCAUUUCAAAUCUCAGGAAGUCAACAAUCCCAUGCUUCAAACGGUGUGCAAUUCGGAGUUGAAACGAAGAAGUUGCAGCCAUUACAAGCCAAUCACUCCGAGUUGAAGGAAGCAUUUUGCAAAGUGUUGCGAAAUCACCCUUUUUGUUGCGAAGUGAUUUCGCAGCAUUUUUGUACAGUAAGGUGUUUCUCCUUCUGACGAUGCACGAACCAUGCCACGAGAAGGGAGCUGGGAACCUCAAGGUGGAAGCCAACUUCGCAGCCCUGUGAAGAUAGCUUGGUGUUGCGAAAUAAUUUCGCAACCCUCUUGGGUGUCUGCAAAAUCUCGUAGACACCAUUUUUCUCCUGCGAAAUGGUUCCUGAAGCCUCUCGAUAUUUGCUACCGACAUUGGGAGAUAUUUUCCAUUAGAUUUUUGUUGUCUAAAUCCCAAAAUACUCCUUGUAAACCACCAAUUACAUGAUUCCUUAGUUUUUAAGUUAGUAAAAAGACUAAAUAUCUAUGUAAUAAUUAGUUUUAUAUUAUGUUCAUAUAUAUACCUCUCGGGAGCCUGUUCUCAGAGAGGAGUUCCUUCUAUAAACAUUUGGGUAAGCAAGUAAAGUCUAUUUUCUUUCUACUGUCUUACCUUCUCACUUUGUAUUUUCAUUUUAUUUCUAAGUUUUGAAUUCUCUGAGGAGUUUUCCCCAGAGAAUGAGUAACUAAACCUUUAAUUCCUUGGAGCUAAGGUUCCUGGGGAAGGUUCCAAGUGCAAGAAUGCAAAGCUCUGUGGUUUUAGCUAUUAAUGAAGAGGAAGUGAAAUCCUUUAGUGCUUUCUAUGUUUUUAGUUAACUUAAAACACCUUAGAGUCACCUGGGCCAACACUUGGUAAGGCAAGUGAUUUCCAACCAUGGAAAUGCACUAGUUUACCCCUUGCGAGCCUCUGGGAGGUGACUUCAGGGUAGGAUUUUCUAGAAUAGCCAACACUUGGUAAGCUUUUGGAUUCCUAGGAGGCAUCCAUUAGUUAUCUCUUGCGAGCUUUUGACGGGUAAUCCAAGGUUAAAGAUCACCUUGAAUGGUUAAGGCUUAGUGAGAGGCUUAAACCAUUGCAAGUUGCAUCAGUGAGAGAAUUAAAGUGAAAUCUAAUUGAAGGAGUCUUUGUACAUCACCGGUUAGAGAAUUGACUAUAUGUUGAAUCUCUAAUGCGAGGAAAUGAACCAUCUGACCGGAGCUAUGUCUUUUGCAUGAGGAACCACCCCAGUGAACCUAACUCUCCAGGGAAUGCUUUUCUUCCUAAAUUAUUCCAAACUUCUGUUAUGUUAGUUAGUUUAAGUCUAAACUUUUACCAAUCAAAGUUUGUUUUUUACUUCUUAAUCUAAUCUUGAAAUGAAACAAGACCAAUUCACUUGGAAUUGGUAUCAUUGAUUGCUUGUUAAUCAUUCCCAGUGAACGACCCUAGAGCCACUAUACUAUAGUAGCUUUUUCUUUGCUACCCUAGUGUANNNNNNNNNNNNNNNNNNNNNNNNNNNNNNNNNNNNNNNNNNNNNNNNNNNNNNNNNNNNNNNNNNNNNNNNNNNNNNNNNNNNNNNNNNNNNNNNNNNNNNNNNNNNNNNNNNNNNNNNNNNNNNNNNNNNNNNNNNNNNNNNNNNNNNNNNNNNNNNNNNNNNNNNNNNNNNNNNNNNNNNNNNNNNNNNNNNNNNNNNNNNNNNNNNNNNNNNNNNNNNNNNNNNNNNNNNNNNNNNNNNNNNNNNNNNNNNNNNNNNNNNNNNNNNNNNNNNNNNNNNNNNNNNNNNNNNNNNNNNNNNNNNNNNNNNNNNNNNNNNNNNNNNNNNNNNNNNNNNNNNNNNNNNNNNNNNNNNNNNNNNNNNNNNNNNNNNNNNNNNNNNNNNNNNNNNNNNNNNNNNNNNNNNNNNNNNNNNNNNNNNNNNNNNNNNNNNNNNNNNNNNNNNNNNNNNNNNNNNNNNNNNNNNNNNNNNNNNNNNNNNNNNNNNNNNNNNNNNNNNNNNGAAUUCCUCAAGAAAUUUUUUCCUACUCAUAGAACAAAUGACUUGAAAAGGUAAAUUUCAAACUUCUCAGCUAAAGAGAAUGAGAAAUUCUAUGAGUGUUAGGAAAGAUACAUGGAAGCUAUAAAUGCUUGUCCUCACCAUGGCUUUGAUACUUGGCUAUUGGUGAGCUAUUUUUAUGAUGGUAUGUCAUCCUCAAUGAAGCAACUCCUCGAGACAAUGUGUGGAGGAGAUUUCAUGAGCAAAAAUCCAGAGGAAGCUAUGGAUUUCUUGAGCUAUGUAGCUGAUGUUUCAAGGGGAUGGGAUGAACCAACUAAAGGAGAAGUGGGAAAGAUGAAGUCUCAGUUGAAUGCUUACAAUGCAAAGGCUGGGAUGUAUAAUUUAAAAGAAGAUGAUGACAUGAAAGCAAAGUUGGCAGCUAUGACAAGAAGAUUGGAGGAGCUGGAGCUGAAAAGAAUACAUGAAGUGCAAGCUGUUGCUGAAGCACCAGUGCAAGUGAAGCUGUGUCCCAAUUGUCAAUCAUUUGAACAUCUGGUGGAGGAGUGUCCUGCAAUUCCAACUGAAAGGGAGAUGUAUAGAGAUCAAGCAAAUGUUGUUGGACAAUUCAGGCCCAAUAACAAUGCGCCAUAUGGAAAUACUUACAACUCAAGUUGGAGGAAUCAUCCAAAUUUCUCAUGGAAGGCUAGAGCAACUCAAUACCAACAGCCGGAUCCACCAUCUCAGCAAUCUUCAAGUAUUGAACAAGCAAUAGCUAAUCUCAGCAAGGUAAUGGGAGAUUUUAUUGAAAAGCAAGAAGCCACUAAUGCUCGAGUCAAUCAAAAAAUUGAUAGAGUGGAGAGUAUGUUGAAUAAAAGGAUGGAUGGAAUGCAAAAUGAUAUGAACCAAAAAUUUGAUAACAUCCAAUAUUUAAUUUCAAGGCUUACAAAUUUGAAUACAUUGCAAGAAAAGGGAAGAUUUCCUUCUCAACCUCACCAAAAUCCUAAAGGUGUCCAUGAAGUGGAAAGCCAAGAGGGAGAAUCAUCACAGGUGAAAGAUGUCAAAGCUUUGAUCACUCUAAGGAGUGGUAAAAAAAUUGAGCAGCCAACACCCAAGCCACAUGUUGAGAAAGAAGAAGAGAUAAAGAAAGGGAAGGAAAUGGAAGAUAAAGAGAGUGAGAUCAGUGAAGAAAAGAAGGACUCUGAUGCAACAAGGAAAGUAAUUCCAGAGAAGGAGCUUCUGAAGGAAGAAAUGCUGAAGAAAUCAACUUCUCCACCUUUUCCUCAAGCAUUACAUGGGAAAAAGGGGAUUAGAAAUGCAGCUGAAAUCCUCGAAGUAUUGAGGCAAGUGAAAGUUAAUAUUCCACUGCUGGAUAUGAUUAAACAAGUUCCAACGUAUGCAAAAUUCUUAAAGGACUUGUGUACUAUCAAGAGAGGGUUGACUGUAAACAAGAAAGCCUUCUUGACUGAGCAAGUAAGUGCAAUCUUACAGUGUAAGUCCCCUUUGAAGUACAAAGACCCUGGAAGUCCUACCAUUUCAGUCAUGAUUGGAGGAAAGGUAGUGGAAAAAGCCUUGCUAGAUUUGGGAGCAAGUGUGAAUUUGCUUCCAUAUUCCGUCUACAAGAAAUUGGGCCUUGGAGAGUUGAAGCCAACAGCAAUCACUCUAUCUGUGGCAGAUAGAUCAGUGAAAAUUCCAAGAGGAGUAAUUGAGGAUGUAUUGGUUCAAGUGGAUAAUUUCUACUAUCCAGUAGAUUUUAUUGUUCUUGAUACAGAUCCUACUGUAAAGGAAGCUAAUUUAGUUCCUAUCAUCCUUGGAAGGCCAUUUCUUGCAACUUCAAAUGCAAUCAUCAACUGCAGGAAUGGGCUGAUGCAACUCACUUUUGGUAACAUGACACUGGAUCUCAAUAUUUUCUACAUGUCUAAAAAGCAAAUCACUCCGGAGGAAGAAGAAGGUCCAAAAGAGCUAUGUAUAAUUGAUACUUUGGUGGAGGAGCACUGCAAUCAACAUAUGCAAGAAAAGUUGAAUGAAAGUCUUGAGGAUAUUGAGGAAGGUUUUUCUGAAUCUCCUAUUGGGCUUGCUACUCUACAAAGUUGGAGAAAGAUAGAAGAGAUUCUACUUUUGUUCAAUAAGGAAGAGGAGGCAUCUGCUGAAAAAGAAAUUCCAAAACUCAAUUUGAAGCCUUUACCUGUGGAGCUGAAAUAUACAUAUCUUGAAGAAAAUAAUCAAUGUCCUGUUGUAAUAUCUUCAUCGUUGACCAAUCAUCAAGAGAAUUGUUUAAUAGAAGUUCUCAGGAGGUGUAAGAAGGCAAUAGGAUGGCAAAUAUCUGACUUGAAAGGCAUUAGUCCUUUAGUUUGUACUCAUCAUAUAUAUAUGGAGGAGGAAGCAAAACCAAUCCGUCAAUUUCAAAGAAGGUUGAAUCCUCAUCUACAAGAGGUGGUGCGAGCUGAGGUGCUGAAGCUACUUCAAGCAGGAAUCAUUUACCCUAUAUCUGAUAGCCCUUGGGUGAGUCCUACUCAAGUGGUACCAAAGAAAUCAGGGAUAACAGUGAUUCAAAAUGAAGAAGGGGAAGAAAUUACUACACACCUUACUUCAGGUUGGAGGGUGUGUAUUGAUUAUAGAAAGCUGAAUGUUGUCACCAGGAAGGAUCAUUUUCCAUUGCCAUUUAUUGAUCAAGUGCUGGAGAGAGUCUCUGGACAUCCAUUCUAUUGUUUCUUGGAUGGGUAUUCAGGGUAUUUUCAGAUUGAAAUUGAUUUGGCAGAUCAAGAAAAGACCACUUUUACAUGUCCAUUUGGAACAUAUGCUUAUAGAAGAAUGCCUUUUGGUCUAUGCAAUGCACCUGCUACAUUUCAAAGAUGCAUGUUGAGUAUUUUCAGUGAUAUGGUGGAGCGAAUUAUGGAGGUUUUCAUGGAUGACAUCACCGUAUAUGGAGGUACAUUUGAGGAAUGCUUGGUUAAUUUGGAAUCAGUUCUUUGUAAAUGCAUUGAAAAAGACCUGGUGCUCAACUGGGAGAAAUGCCAUUUUAUGGUACGUCAAGGAAUUGUCAAUAUCAUCUCUGAAAAAGGCAUUGAAGUUGAUAAAGCAAAGGUGGAGCUUAUUACCAAAUUACCAUCUCCAACAACUGUGAAAGGAGUAAGGCAGUUCCUUGGCCAUGCAGGGUUCUAUAGGAGGUUUAUAAAAGGUUUUUCAAGUCUUUCAAAACCUCUUUGUGAGCUGUUAGCUAAGGAUGCUAAGUUUAUAUGGGAUGAAAGGUGUCAGAAUAGCUUUGAUCAACUGAAGAAAUUUUUAACAACAACUCCAAUAGUGAGAGCCCCUAAUUGGCAAUUACCUUUUGAACUGAUGUGUGAUGCCAGUGACUUUGCUAUAGGAGCUGUGCUUGGCCAAAGAGAAGAUGGGAAGCCCUAUGUGAUUUACUAUGCAAGUAAAACACUAAAUGAAGCUCAAAGGAACUACACAACUACAGAGAAAGAAUUGUUAGCUGUGGUAUUUGCUUUGGACAAAUUUCGAGCUUAUUUAGUGGGGUCUUUCAUUAUUGUGUUUACUGACCAUUCAGCCUUGAAGUAUUUAUUGACAAAGCAAGAUGCAAAAGCAAGGUUGAUUAGAUGGAUUCUUUUGUUACAAGAAUUCGAUCUCCAAAUCAAAGAUAAGAAAGGAGUGGAGAAUAUGGUAGCUGACCACUUGUCAAGGUUAGUUAUAGCACAUAAUUCCCAUCCCUUGCCUAUCAAUGAUGAUUUUCCUGAAGAAUCACUCAUGUUCCUAGUGAAAACUCCUUGGUAUGCUCAUAUUGCUAAUUAUUUAGUAACUGGUGAAAUUCCAAGUGAGUGGAAUGCACAGGACAGGAAGCACUUCUUUGCCAAAAUUCAUGCUUAUUAUUGGGAAGAGCCCUUUCUCUUUAAGUAUUGUGCCGAUCAAAUUAUUAGGAAGUGUGUCCCUGAAGAUGAGCAGCAAGGGAUUCUAUCUCAUUGUCAUGAGAAUGCAUAUGGAGGCCACUUUGCCUCUCAGAAAACAGCCAUGAAGGUAUUGCAAUCAGGGUUUACUUGGCCAUCUCUUUUCAAAGAUGCCCACAUCAUGUGUAGGAUUUGUGAUAGAUGCCAAAGGCUUGGAAAGCUAACAAAAAGAAAUCAAAUGCCUAUGAACCCCAUUCUGAUAGUUGAGUUAUUUGAUGUAUGGGGCAUUGACUUCAUGGGACCUUUCCCAAUGUAUUUUGGUAAUUCUUACAUCUUGGUGGGGGUAGAUUAUGUUUCUAAAUGGGUUGAGGCACUCCCCUGUAAACAAAAUGAUCACAGGGUGGUUCUCAAGUUUCUUAAAGAGAACAUUUUCUCAAGAUUUGGGGUGCCCAAAGCCAUAAUCAGUGAUGGAGGUGCUCAUUUUUGCAACAAACCUUUUGAAGCUCUGUUAUCCAAGUAUGGAGUGAAGCACAAGGUGGCUACACCUUAUCAUCCUCAGACUUCCGGGCAAGUUGAGCUAGCUAACAGGGAAAUAAAGAACACCUUGAUGAAAGUGGUGAAUUCCAACAGAAAAGAUUGGUCUAUUAGGUUUCAUGAUUCAUUGUGGGCAUAUAGAACAGCUUAUAAGACUAUUCUUGGGAUGUCUCCCUAUCGUCUUGUCUAUGGAAAAGCAUGCCAUCUCCCUGUGGAAGUUGAAUACAAAGCUUGGUGGGCAAUAAAGAAGCUGAAUAUGGACUUGAUCAAGGCAGGAGAAAAGAGAUUUCUAGACCUUAAUGAGAUGGAGGAAUUAAGAAAUAAUGCUUAUAUCAAUUCCAAAGUUGCAAAACAGAGGAUGAAGAAGUGGCAUGACCAACUCAUCUCCAACAAGGAAUUUCAGGAAGGGCAAAGAGUUUUGAUGUAUGACACAAGACUCCAUAUCUUUCUUGGGAAGCUCAAGUCGAGGUGGAUAGGCCCGUUCAUUAUUCACCGAGUAUGGUCCAAUGGAGUGGUGGAAUUAGUGAAUUCCAAUGGCAAGGAUAGCUUUAGAGUCAAUGGAUAUCGUCUCAAGCCAUUCAUGGAGCCAUUCAAAUCAGAAAAGGAGGCAAUCAACCUCCUUGAGCCUCAAAAAGCCUAAGUGAAAAAGGGUUUGCUGGACGUGGUUUUACCACAGUCCAAAAUUUUUGUAAAUUUUGUAAAUUUUCAAGUUGUUUCCAUACUUUUGAUCUUAGUUUUUGAUCUUAAAUCAUGUUUUAAGGUGUGUUUUAAUCGUUUUGAAUGAUCCCAGGUGGAAGAAAUUUCGAGGAGAUUGAAAGAAAAAAAAUCGGGUCGAAAUCGGAGCCAAAACAGAGCAUAAACAGGGGAAAAACAGAGCUCUGCGAAAUUUCGCAGGGUGAAGGAAACUUCUGCAAAAUGAGCAUUUUGUUGCCAAACCAUUCCGCAACACUGUAGAAGUCUCUGCGAGGGUAUUUCGCAACUGCGAAAGUGAAUUUGGCACACGAGUGCCACUUCGCAGUACAGUAGCAUCCAUUUGGCAGCUGCGAAACGCAUUGCGAAGUGGAAAAGCGUGAUUUCGCACCAAAAGUCCCAUUCCGCAGGGUAUUUCGCAAUUGCGAAAGUGGUUUUGGCACACGAGUGCCACUUCGCAACACAGUAACAUCAAUUUCGCAGCUGCGAAACUCACGGCGAAGUUGCUGCGAAAAUGGCAUUUUGCUGCGAAAUUGGCGUUUUGUUGCGAAACUUAAACUGACCCUUAGGCUUCCGUUUUUCCUAUUUAUACCGGUCAUUUGAGCUGCGAAAAGGGUUUCAAAAAUCAGAGCACCAUUCUCGCAGCCUGUUCGUCUUCUUCACCAAGCCACGCCAUCCGAGCCUCCGGUCACCUUCUCCGAUCAGCAACGCCGGCCAAAGUUCGAUAGCCCAAAAUGGCGCGAACACGAGGGGCUAAGUCUUCAUCGCCUUCGAACUGCAAAAAGAGUCUGCGAAAGGAGCCAGUUCCAGAUUCUGCUCCAGAACCUUCGCAGCCGAAACCAAUUCCACCUCUGGUGAAGCCCGUGCCACCAAAACCGCCAGCAAGACGAUACCUUACCAGGUCAGGCGGUCGGCCAUUGCAGAAGAAACCCAGGGUGGAAAGCUCAGAACCCAUCGAUUUGACUGAGCAAUCUCCAGAGCCUUCCCCAAUUCCAUCACCGGUUCAAACUCCAGUGCCGUCUCCGGUUCCCUCGCCGAGUCCCUUACCAGUUCCAUCGCCGGUACCAUCUCCGGCGCCGCAAGAAAAAUCUCAGGAGCCUCAAGCGCCGCUUCCCGAGCCCCAAAUUCAAGUUGAACCAGCUCUGGAAGAAGUAAUUAGGAGGCCAAUGCUACCUCAACCCCCAAUUGAGGGAAACUUGGAUUGUCGAACUCGGGCAUUUCAUUCCGAGCUUUGCUUUGACUUAGCAACAUUCAGAGUGAGACCGGAGCUUGCCCAAUCAUUCCAGCUGCUGAGGAGGUACCAUAUGGAGCAACUGCUAGCUCCAAGAGACUUUUUCUAUCCCCGGAUAGCCACGGAUUUCUACCAAUCCAUGACAACCAAAGAGGUUAGAAAUCCAACCUUGAUUCAUUUCACAAUCGAUGGGAGACAUGGUAUAUUGGGAGCAAGACAUAUUGCUAAAGCCCUGCAAAUUCCUUUUGAGCCAACCCAAUUCGAUAAUUAUAGAGUUUGGGCAAAUCCUACUGAGCUAGAGAUGGUUCGCACCCUUUCCAGAGGAGCUGCAAAUCGAUCACAUCUGCUGAGGGGGGAGCUUCCUCCAGUUAUGUUUUUGAUUGAUGCCUUUUUGCGCCAUAAUAUAUAUCCAUUGCAGCAUUGGACCCAAAGAAGGGGAGUUCUCUUGGAAGCUCUUUAUAAGAUGUCAGAAGGAUUCUUCUUUGGGCCUCAUCAUCUGAUCAUGGCAGCCCUUCUCUAUUUUGAAGAGAAGGUUCACAAGAAGAAGCUUCAGAGAGCAGAUUGUAUUCCCCUCCUCUUCCCAAGGCUGCUAUGCCAAAUUUUGGAGCAUCUGGGAUACCCCUCUAAGCCUCAGCUGGAGAGAAAGCGAAUAUGCCAUGAGCCCUUCACUCUUGAUAAAUGGAAUAAUAUGACGGCCUACAAAGUUGAUCAACCUGGGCAGCCUCAGCCAGCUGCAAGGAGAGCCUCCCCAAGACAUAUACCUGAGGGUAUAACAGUUGCUGCUCCUGCCAUUCCUAGAGCUCCACCAGCUGCACCUGCUUUAUCUCAGCCAUCCACAUCAGCUGAGCCGAGGAUGGCCAUUCCUAUAUCUGAAUAUCGAGAGUUGUGCCGUGCAUUGGAGACUCUUACAGCUUCUCAGAGCAAUCUUGCUCAGGAGAUGGCAGCCAUCAAAGCAUGCCAAGAGCAGAUGUUAGCCUCUCAGGCUCAACAAGCUGCCAUCUUAAGGCAGCUCCAAGUCCAUUUCGAUCUGCCACAAGCUGUAGAGCCCUCCAUUUCUACUCCUCUAGAGCCACACUCUCAGCUUACAGAGUCUCAUCCUCCAGAGCCCGAAGCCCCAGCUGAUCCACCUACUGAGGAGGCAGAUCCUUCUGCCUAGCACCACCACCCCACUAAUCAGACAUUAUAUAUAUUUUCUGUUUAUGUUUUUAUGCAUUUUUGUUUUUUUUAGUUGAAAUGAAGUCCCAGUAUUUUGGUACUAUAUAUGGGAUUCCUUGUGUUACUUGUCUUUAGCAUUGUAAUCAAAUGAACUCAAAGUAAUACAAGUUAAAUAUUUCUUGUUAAAAGUUAGCAUUAAGUUAUUCUUAUUUCCUUUUCUCACAUAUUCUAUUCUUUUUUAAACAUGUGGUUUUCCCCAAUCAAUAUUCGAAUUUGAUAUCAGCAAGGAGGUACCACUUCCUCCCUUUUAUUACAGUCACUCAAAUCACAUUGAGGACAAUGCUCAGUUCGGUUGGGGGGUAUGAGGAAGGAAGUUUUCUAAAUCUUUUUGGUAUUGCAAUUAUAUUGGUUAAUUAGUUGUAGAUUUUACUUUUUACUAGUGUUACUCUAUUCUCCAUGAAUUUUGAGGAAAAAUUUUCAAAUUAAACCAAGAGAAAUUGAACUGUUGUUUUUCACUUGGCUUAGAGUAUGGAUUAUGCUUACUAAAGUGGUUCAAUUGUUGAAGCUUCUACUGAAAUUGAAUUUAGUUCUUCCACUUUAAGCUAUUCAUACACUGUGCACAUUAGUUUCCGAUUAUAAGAUGAAAAGCUAUUUCCCUCUUGACUUAGGAUAAUUUUGGGACUUGGUAUAUUUGACCUCAUUUGAUAAAAAUUGAAACACCCUGCAAAAGGCCAAUAAGCCUUUGAAAUAAAGAAAGUUGUUUGCUUGCCUUGAAACCCGAGCAAGGUCUAAGGGGUAUAUGGUGAAAAUCUUUUAAGCCUGGUGCCCUAAGCCUUAAUUGGUUGGGAGUCACCGACCUCAAUGCUCGUUACAAGGGUGAAUAGGUAGAGUUAGCAUAUGGUAGAUGCUUGGGUAUUAGAAAUUCAUUCUUAAAAGUCCGGGGAAAAAUCCGAGAAGUUAGUGGUUGAAAGAUCCUUAAAGCUUGGUGCCCUAAACCUUAAUUGGUUGGGAGUCAUCAAUGGACCCCCAUUACAUGGACAAGUCAGAAAGAGUACCCCAUAAAGCUACCUUGAAAAAAAAAAAAAAAAAAAAAAAAGGUGAUUUCUUUUCUUAUUGAUUUUGGUCAGUUUGCUAAAGUGUUGAAAAGAGAUAGGUUGGGGGGUGAGACUAGUUUAACAUAUUAUUCUCGGAACCUAAGGAACCAAUACACAUAGAUUUUUGUGGAAGAUUAAAGUUUGGUUCUUAGAAAGUGGAAAUGGUUUUAAAACUUCAGUUUGCAUAAUGCACUCCCUUGAUUGACAGUGUUUCGCAUAGGUGUUAUGACUCUUGUUGAGAUUUGGGUUUGUAUUUCUUUAAUGAUUCCUGUGAGAAUUAGAUCAUCAUGCCACUUGAGAAUUAUUUCCUUUCAGCAUGAUGUUGUAAAUUUUAGAUUAGUUUGCUAUUUAUUUUUAUUUUUCUCUCCUAUAUUGCUAAGGGACUAGCAAUAUGUCAGUUGGGGGGAGUGAUUACUACUCAAAAAGUGCUAUUUGAUAGCCUAUAAUUAAUCCUUUUAAACACUUUUGAGUAGUAGUUUAGGCCUUUUAACUCAAUUGGCAUGUUAAGGAUCCUUUAAAGCAAUUUUAAUCACUUUGUGCAAGUUUUGGUGUUUUUGUUAGUAUUUUGAUCACCAAAGCAAGUCAAGACUGAGGAGAGCUAUGAGGAAUCUUGGGCAAAGCUUAGAAGUCAUUUGCCAAGAGUGAAUCCGAAUUGCAAGGAGAAAAAGCAAAGAGAAUCUGCCAUGAAGCCUAUUCUUGAUGACAGUUGUAGCAGCCACUUUUGGAGCACUUUCUGAAGUCCAAAUGAUGCAUGCUAUAUACCAUUUCAAAGCUCAGGAAGUCAACAAUCCAAUGCUUCAAACGGUGUACAAUUCGGAGUUGAAACGAAGAAGUUGCAGCCAUUACAAGCCAAUCACUCCGAGAUAAAGGAAGCAUUUUGCAAAGUGUUGCGAAAUCACCCUUUUGUUGCGAAGUGAUUUCGCAGCAUUUUUGUACAGUAAGGUGUUUCUCCUUCUGACGAUGCAUGAACCAUGCCGCGAGAAGGGAGUUGGGAACCUCAAGGUGGAAGCCAACUUCGCAGCCCUGUGAAGAUAGCUUGGUGUUGCGAAAUAAUUUCGCAACCCUCUUGGGUGUCUAUACUAUAGUGAACGACCCUAGAGCCACUAUACUAUAGUAGUUUUUUCUUUGCUAUCCUAGUGUAUGGUGUUAUAGGUUAUAAAUUUUGUUGAUUACUCCCUCAAUCAAGGAGCACCAGCUGGACACAAAUCAGCUGAGACACCAAUUGGGCAUGAAUCAAUAAUCUAAAGUGCACAAUGAAGGAUGUGGGUGCAUCCGAAAAACCUAAGAUCUAAAGUGAGAUAGUGAACAAAGACAAGCAAUCAUACAAUCAUGCAAGAGAAAGGGUUGUCAUGCAACAAGCAGUCAUACCAAGCAGAUAAGUAUCAUACAAUCAAAGUCCUAUCUAGCAUAUGUGAGAGUGAAUCAUGCUAAAGUGAGCAAAACAAUCAAGUGAUCAUUCAAACAGUCAUUGCGAAGCAAAUAAAUAUCAAACAAACAAAGUCCUAUCUAAUAUAUGUGAUAGUGAAUCAUGCUAAAGUGAGCAAAACAAUCAAGUGAUCAUCCAAGGCAAUCAAACAUGGUAAGAUAGCAAACCAAACAAGCAAGCAAAUCGAAUCACCUUGCCUAAAAAAAGAGGUACCCACUAAUCGACCAAUUAAACGCCACAUUUUCCUCAACUAGUGUUCAAGCUUGAUCCUCAAAAUCCCCAGUGGAGUCGCCAAUUUGUGGACCCGCAUCUUUCACGUGCGCCCCCACUCGAUCGACGAGACUCGCUUUUUAUUCGUGAAAAAUAAUUUUUGAAAAACUCGGAGUCGCCACUUAUAUUAUUUUUAUUUUAAAGGGAAAAUAAAACAAGAAAGAAAAACCCUAAAAUGUGACUCCAUAAUUUUUGGAAAAAGCAUGUCUUUGAAAAACCCGAGUCUAAGUCCGGGGAUCAGGUUACCUAUUGGGAAGGUACCUUUAAAAGGUAGCACCCCUCUAAGCCCUAUAAAGGUCUCUACUAACUAAGUUAAGGCAAAUGUGACAAUUAACCUGUUAAUUAUGGAUACCUAAGUAGGCUAGAUGGUUCCAAAAAAUAGUAUGCCAAACAAGAUCAAAUCAUAAUAAAGGAAGGUUAGGAUGCGUACCUGGACCGCUUCUCAAGCGCUAUCAUAAAACAUCGAUGGUUAAUUUAAACAAUAUAUCAUCCAGCAUGUAUUUUAUUAGAAAUAAUCAAACAAUGAAACAUGUAUAUCAGAACACUCAAGCAUUAUUAGACAUAAGCAUUAUUUCACAAUGACAAGCAUAUUCACAGAAUUCAGAAAGUAGGUGAUAGAGGACAUACCUAGAUAGCAUAGAUAAUUUGUAACGUGCUUCCUCAAGUUGUAAGGGGUUAGAUAAAUAAUAAAAUAUAGAAAUCCUAGCAUGCUCGUUGUCUAAUUAGCAUAGCAGAAGUGAUCAAAGUAUACAAAAUCAUCAAUUAUCACAUACAUCUUGUAUAUAAUUCCUAAAAAAAAUAGAUAUGAUUUCAAUAAAUAGUAAGGGUGACAGUAAAGAUGAGUUUUAAAAAGAUGAUUUUAUGUAGGGGUUUCACCAAUUACCCAAUUGAUAUACACAAAUAUAGCUUGGAAUUAAAUGUUAUCACUUUCAUAAAAAAAAAAUAAAAAAUAUAUAAAUAAAAUAAAAUAAAUUAAAUUAAAAAAUAAAAAUUCAUGAGUAUUAAAAAAACAUUUUUUUGAUAGUUUUAAUGAAUUGUAUUUAUAAAAUAAAGUUUUGAUUUACUUAAAUAAGAAGGCUUUAAUUUCAUGCAAAGAAAAUAUUUUUUUUAGAAAAGUUUGUUCACAAGAAAAUAAAUGUUAUCACUUUUAUAAAGGAAAUGUUUCAUAAGUAUUAAUAAUAACAAUAAUAAUAAUAAUAAUCGAUUCCAUAGUUUUAAUGAAUUUUAUUUAUAAAAAGAAGCUUUAAUUUAUUAAAUAAAAAGACUUUAAUUCCAUGCAAAGAAAAUGUUUUUAAAAAGUUCAUUCACAAGAAAAUAAAUGUAAUCAUCACUUUUAUAAGGGAAAUAUUUCAUAAGUAUUAAUAAUAAUAAUAAUAAUAAUAAUAAUAAUAAUUGAUUCCAUAGUUUUAAGAAAAAAGUUUUAAUUUAUUUGAAUAAAAAGACUUUAAUUCCAUGCAAGAAAAUAUUUUUUUAAAAGUUCAUUCACAAGAAAAUAAAUGUAAUUAUCACUUUUAUCAAGGAAUUAUUUCAUGAAUAUAAUAAUAAUAGUUGUAAUAAUUGAGUCCAUAGUUUUAAUUAAUCUUAUAAAAGGAAGUUUCAAUUUACUUAAAUAAAAAAAGCUUUAAUUCCAUGCAAAGAAAAUGUUUUUUUUUAAAAGAAAGUUUAUUCACAAGAAAAUAAAUGUUAUCACUUUUAUAAAGGAAAUAUUUUAUGAGUAUUAAUAAUAACAAUAAUAAUAAUAAUAAUUGAUUCCAUAGUUUUAAUGAAUUUUAUUGAAGGAAGCUUCAAUUUAUUUUAAAAAAAGACUUUAAUUCCAUGUGAAGAAAAUGCUUUCAAAAAAAUUCAUUUACAAAAAAAAAGAGAAAGAAAAUUAAUUAAUUAAUAAUGGUAAUAAUAAAAAAACCUUAUAAAAAAUAUAUUUGAUCUUAAAAUUUUUUUUUUAUGUAAGAAUAUCUUUUAUAAUUUAAAUUUUCCUUUAAUAAUUUUUUUUAACUUUAUUUUAUUUACAAGAGGAUGAUUUCCACAACUCUUUAUUUAGAAAGCACAAUUUUUUUUUAUUAUUUUUUUAAAACAUAAUAAUUUUUUUUAAAAUAAGAUAAACAAUUAUUUUAUAUUUUAAUCCAAGAGAACAAAAAAAUGUUUAAAAUAAUUUAAAUAUUACAACUUUUUAUUUUUUAUUUUUGAACAAAGCUAUCAUAAAAAUUAUCAAAACACUUAAAAAAUUCAAACUUUUUCAUCAUCAUCAGGAAUUAUCCCAAAACUAAAAAUUAAGCACAAUAUAAAUUUUCAUUAAUAUCCAAAUUAUUGAAAACUAAAAAAAACUUGCAAAAUAUUUCAACUUUUCAUUAACAUCACAAAAUUGUCCAAAACGAAUAAAACAUCUAAUUUUUAAAUUAUCAUCCUGAAUCAUCCAAGACAAAUGCCUACAAAAAGUAACAUGAGAUUAGCAAUAAUAAUAAUGAUAACUAAAAUAAAAUAAACAAAAUAAAUUCAAAAACCAAAAAAAACUAAAAUCCUAACUUGAUUUAUAUUUUAUUCAAGCAAUCAUCCGGAAUUAUCCCAAGGCUAAAAAAAAUAAGCACAAUAUAACUUUUCAUUGAUAUCCAAAUUAUUAAAAAUUAAAACAAACUUGCAAAAUAUUUCAACUUUUCAUUAACAUCACAAAAUUAUCCAAAACGAAUAAAACAUCCAAUUUUUAAACUAUCAUCCCGAAUCAUCCAAGACAAAUGCCUACAAAAAGUAACAUGAGAUUAGCAAUAAUAAUAAUGAUAACUAAAAUAAAAUAAAUAAAAUAAAUUCAAAAACCAAAAAAAAACUAAAAAUCCUAACUUAAUUUAUAUUUUGUUCAAACAAUCAUUAACACAUCUCAUAUAAAUACAUUAAAUCCAACAAAACACUCACCGAAAGACAUUAAAUCCUAUUAUAACCGUCCAUGAUUUCAUUCCCUUUUUUUUAACAAAUAAAUAAAAACAUGCCAAUAGCAUCAUUCACAUCAGGACUGACCAUAUAUUCACAUUUGUUUGCAUUUUAAAUCCAACAAAACGAAGUCAAAGAACACUAACCUUGCUUGCAGCUACCCUCUUUCACGGUUGUGUCACUUUUUCUUCUCAGUCUAGUUAUGUCUGCUUCUUCGAUCUGGCUCGUGUGUUCCUUCACCACCAAGAGUCCCCGAAUCAGCCUAUGCGUCCUUUAGAAGUUCCACCAGGAAACGUGAUCUCCAUGUCUACAAUUUUCUUCUGAAUCUCAUUAAAAAAUAAAAAAUCCACCCAAAAUUCUUCCAGAACUCUCUUUUUUCUUUUUCUUUUCUCUCCUCAGACGUCUCCCUCUAUUUUCAAGCUCUCCUCUCCAAAAAAUCCUCCUCUCUCUCCUCAAUUGUCUUUCUCAUAUUCCCAAAAAAAAAACCUAAAUCCCCUUCAUCGCGCCUCUCCUCCCUUUUUUGCAUGUGAGUUGACUUUUCUUUCCUUCUAUGAAUUCCCCCUGCUCUCUUUCUUGCAAAAUACAGUCUGUCUAUUCAAUAUGCCACCUCAAUUCUUCCUAAAAUAUAUCAUCUCCUUUUCUUUUCCAUUUAAAAUAUGCUUUGACCCAAAACACUACUGAAUCCUCCUUCCAUCAUCACGUGAUUCUUUUUCCAAAAGACAUAUUACAUUACCUUCUUUGCUACUCAUCAUUUCUUUUUUCAUACAUAAGCUGAAUCUUCCCCAUAACAUGGCUCCAUUCAUUUUUUCCAUAUGUCUACUCUUGGAACCAAUAUGGUAGCUACCCACUCCAAGCUUCACAUCAUAGGCACUUUCUUAUCUUUCUAUUGGCAGACUUCCUACAAAAUUUCAAAGUUAAUAAAGUAAUAGUAAUAAUAAUAAUAAUAAUGAAAACUUUUAAACAAAAUUAUUAAAUUAAACUAAAUAAGUAAAGACAAGUAUUAGGGAAAAGUGAUAAAAUAAUAGGAAAAUAAAAUAAAUGAAGAAAUAUACAAAAUAAUAAAUAAAAUAAAAUAAGCAAAAAUAUAAGGGUAAAAAAAAUUCAAGCAAUGUGAUUUUACAAAAACGAUCUAAAUGGGCCUAAGGUGCCUAAAUGGGCCUAGAAUGCCUAAAUUGGCCUAAGGUGCCUAAAUGGGCCUAAGGUGCCUAAAUGGGCCUAGGGUGCCUAAAUGGGCCUAAGGUGCCUAAAUUGACUUAAGGUGUCUAAGUGGGCCUAAAGUGCCUAAAUGGUCCUAGGGUGCCUAAGUGGGCUUAGGGUGGUGCUUAAGUAGGUCUAAGGUGCCUAGGGUGUAUCUGAGUGAACCUAAAGUGCCUAAGUGGGCUUAGGGUGACGCCAAAUGGGCUAGGUGUGUCUAAUGGGCUUAGGGUGUACUAAGUGGGCCUAGGGUGCUUAAAUGGGCCUAAAGUGAUCUAAGUGGACCUAAAGUGUCUAAAUGGGCCUAAAGUGAUGCCUAAUGGGCCAAGUGUACCUAAAUGGGCUUAAAGUAAUCUAAGUGGGCCUAGGGUAACUAAGUGAGCCUAAAGUGUCUAAAUGGGCCUAAAGUGAUGCCUAAUGGGCCAAGUGUACCUAAAUGGGCCUAGGGUACCUAAAUGGGCCUAAAGUAAUCUAAAUGGGCCUAGGGUGACUAAGUGAGCAUAAAGUGGCUAAAUGGACCUAAAGUGAUGCCUAAUGGGCCAAGUGUACCUAAAUGGGCCUAGGGUGCCUAAAUGGGCCUAAAGUGAUCUAAGUGGACCUAAAGUGUCUAAAUGGGCCUAAAGUAAUCUAAGUGGGCCUAGGGUGACUAAGUGAGCCUAAAGUGUCUAAAUGGGCCUAAAGUGAUGCCUAAUGGGCCAAGUGUACCUAAAUGGGCCUAGGGUACCUAAGUGAGCAUAAAGUGGCUAAAUGGGCCUAAAGUGAUGCCUAAUGGGCCAAGUGUACCUAAAUGGGCCUAGGGUUCCCAAAUGGGUCUAGGGUGCCUAAAUGGGCCUAGGGUGACUAAGUGGGCCUGAAGUGUCUAAAUGGGCCUAAAGUGAUGCCUAAUGGGCCAAGUGUACCUAAAUGGACCUAGGGUUACCUAAAUGGGCCUAGGGUGCCUAAGUGGGCCUAGGGUGCCUAAAAGCUAUCCUAAAAAAAAACAAGAAAAGCCUAAGUCUAAGUUAGGGCUGCCAAGGGUCACAAUAAGAGGUCAGAUAAUCCCUCAAACAAAGUCUCCGAGGUGGCUUAGAAAAGAUAGGCUACACGAGUAUUAAUGGGCCACCAGGGAAUUGCUAUAAACGACAUGUGCAAGGAAGACGAAAUGGAGGGUCUACAAGGUGACUUGCCAUCAUUUCUGUCCUUUCACUCUACAGGUGGCUGAACGUGGGCUGUGGUAGGCUAUCGGAAUGACGUAGUAAGACUUGCUCACUUUAGUCAACGAUCCGGAUAGGAUAUGCUAUCGUCCAGGUGUGAUGUUUGCGAGUGUCGUGUGCUUCUUCUUGAGGAAGUUCGGAUAGGGGAGCGCGCCACGUGUCCCUCUUUGGGGAGUCCGGAUGGAGUCGCUUCGGACAGCGAGGCGUGCCACGUGUCAUCAGGGGGAGGGGUCCUUACAAUGCCCCCUUUUUAACUUGCCGAUUUUGCCCAAGCAGAAUGGGCGGGUUAAAAAUGAUUGUUUUUGAAACUGAGGUUACUUUUUGUUCUCAUUGGGCCACGUGAUGCGCGGAGGCAAAGAGGAACAAGAGCAUUUAUGAUGAGCCGCCGUCGUUGGGAUUUCCCAGGCAGCGUGUCUUUUCAAUAAUGGCGCGGCUGAGCGGUUAGAAUACCGAGGGGCAGUCUUUCGUUUUAAAUAGUAGACCGAGUCCUUCACUCUUGCAUUUUUUCUUCUGCAUUUUCUACCGGUAGUGCUUUCUCUUCAACCUUCUAUGUAUCUUCGUCUGUGAGUGAGGUUCUAGGGUUUUCUGCUAGCAAUACCCGUGUCGUGACGGUGACUGCACUACAGACUUCAUCUCCAUUUUUUGAGUUUACACUCGGUACGUUCUCUAUUCCUGCAUUCUCCUCGUUGUGUUUGCUUUGUGGUUUUUUUGGCUUGUUGGGCAAGCUACUUGCGACUGGGAGUCAGUAUUGGCAUUCUGAGUAUGCUGUUCAACCUGGACCUUUCACUUCUGGGGGUCAUUUUCAUCUACUCCAUCAAGAAGGGGAAAAAUGACGUCUUCAGCCUGCCUGCCUGCCUGCCUUCUUUCCAAUUGGUGACUGAUCUUUCGGAUUCGACGAAAGGAGGAGCCAAGGGGCAUGUAUUGGUCCGGGGUGUCUGGGCUGGGCUACUAGAGCCUGCAGAGAGACCGUUUUCCCCAAACCGUUCGCUGGUGCUUCCGGGUAAGGCAGCUUGUGGGGUUUGUCCGGCGUUCGUCUCUUGCUCUUCUUAUUUUGGGUUUAUCAGAUGGCUAACAUCUUUGGUUGCUGAUAAUGCAUGUACGGACAAGAGGGGUCUCGUAGUCGAGUGGGUGGAAAAAGCGUCUUUCGACCAAUUGAACAAGCUGUUUGAGAUUACUGCAGCUGAGAGGCAUCAUUAGACGCUGCUUACUGCGCGAAACUUGCUGGCCGUUGUUCGGGAGCCCUAGGCAUACGUCACCAAUAUUCUCCCUAGGAAGUUGCCAAAAAAGGUAGUGCCUGGGGAGCAUUUUUUUUGUCAAAGAUCUCCCAUUCUACACGGAAGCGCGCAAGGCAGACGCCCAAGCACGCCGAGCACUUCUCAACGAACGGGAGGAAAAAAGGCAAGAGGGAACUUUGCGGAAGGCCCCUGAUGAUAAACGUUCCGCGCCCUCUCCUAUUGCUGGCGCCCCAACGGGAAAGAAGAAGAAGGUUCCCACUAAGGGAAAAGCAAUAAAACCUCCAACUCCCACAAAGGGACUAGUAAUAAAAUCGUCAGCUCCCACAAAGGGAAUAGUAAUAAGUUUUCCAGCUCCCUCCGGCUUACCGUCUGUUUCAAGCGGCUCCGGACGUCUCGCGGGUCUAAACGGAUCGGGGCCUUCAAUGCCAGCGGCAAAACGGAUGGCUCUUCUGGCUGAAGAAGCAACCUCAGUGUAUCAAUCGGGCUCUUCCCCUCCGGACGCGGAUGUAGCCGGGGCCUCUUGUGCUGAAACGUUGCCUCCUAUGGGGCCUCUGAUGGAAGAAACGGGGGCUGAAAGGCAGGGUUUGCCCCUUUGUGAGUCGAGCUCCCUUGCCCUUGUACCGGUGAAGGGGCCAGCUACGAAGAGGCCUCGUCCAGCCUACGAUUUAAAGUUUGGCAUCAACGGGCGGCUUCAGGAUAUUCUUCUGGAAACCAUCGAAGUCAACUGCUCAUCCGCCUAGGAGGAUCAUCCGGAGGAGAGUGAAACGGAGAUGGCGGAAGAGAACCCAACUGACCCAGUGCUGGUCCCGGAUGAGGGUUCGCCCGGAGAGAUCCAGCCGACCGUGAAUGAUGGGGGCCCGGAGCCGGGGGAGGAGUCACACCCUAGUGCCUUGUCAGGGGGGAGUCUUGUUGAUGAUGCAGCUUGCAUUUCUGCUAGCCCUUUCAGCUAUGCGGAGUUGGGAGAGACGUUGAAACGGAUUCCAUCCAGCUCAGAUGUUGUUGCGCCCUUAGUGAAAAUGUUUGAAGCGGCGGAAAUGGUGUAGCUUAUCCUCCUUUGAUUUUUCUUACCAUACUGGUGUGCUUUUCACAUGACUGAUAAUUGAACUUGUUGUUGUGGGUUUUUCUGCAGCUGAUGAGUGGUAUUCGCGGCAUGGUUAAACAACACGAUCUUUUUACAGACAUGCUGUGGAUUUCGGAUCACAUGAAGGUCUUCAUCUCCCAGCGCAUGAGUGGUGAAGAGGAAUUGCGCUCGAGAUUGGAGCAGGUCGAAGCCAGCUUAUCCACUGCCCGGAGAGCUUCUGAAGAGAGUGCUGAAGCCUUGAAGAGGUCCCAAGAUGACAACGAGGCUCUCCGGAUAGAGCUAGCAGAGGCGAAGAGCCGGGAGGAAGCUACAGACGCCCCCUACACGAGGCAGAAAACGAGAUGGCCCAACUGAGGGGGGAAGUGAGACAACUCCGGACAGAGGUGUCAAUUGAGAAAAAACAGAAAGAGGAUUUGCAGUUGCGCUUAUCAGCACAAAAAGAAGAGUUGGAGGCUGAGUUUGCUGCGGAAAGGGAGGAACUCGAGACAGAAUACCAGAAGCAGGUAGACGAGAUGUAUCUCUUUGGCUACCGUUGUUGCAUGAAGAAGCAUGACAUUAAACGGGACGUCCCUUCGAUUCCCCCAGGCGAGAAAAUUUGCGCCGCAAACCCUCCCAAUGAGAGCUUUUCUUUUUGUAACUUUUACUGCUAUUUCUUUCUGUAUUAGUAGUCCGGAGAACCUUUUUUGUAUACAAUUUUCACAAGUAUUAAUAAAACAUACUCAUUUACAUUGUACUUGUAUCUUUCUUUCAUUGGUAAUACUGCUUUAGAUUGGAUAUAUUCCGCGGUCGGAGCAAUGGGGUUUCGUCUAGCUUUUGUAGAUGAUAGGCUCCACUUUCACUUGUCCUGGACACUAUAUAGGGGUCUUCCCAAUUGGCUUGAAACUUUCCUACUCCUAUCUCAGCAGUGUUUUCAAAAAGCUUUCUAAGAACCAGCAUUCCACUUUUGAAACUCUUGGGCCUUGCCUUGCGAUUGUAGUGAGCGGCUGCCCUUUGUUGAUAGUCUGCCAUCCGGAUGGAUGCGGUCUCUCUUACUUCGUCUGCCCAGUCCAAGUUUCUUCCUAACUCCGCAUUUGCAUCAUCCUGUCUUCCUGCCUCAGUCCGGAUAGUAGGUAGCCUUAUUUCAGUAGGAAUGACUGCGUCCAUACCAUAUGCGAGGGCGAAUGGGGUGUUUCCUAUCGGACGUCCGGGUGUGGUUCAAUAAGCCCAUAGGACGCCGGGUAGCUCCUCCACCCACUUCCUUUUGACUUGCUCGAGCCUCUUCUUUAAGACAUUUAUUAGGGUCUUGUUUGUGGCCUCUGCUUGCCCAUUACUUUGAGGAUAACGUGGUGUGGAGUAUGAAUUACGGAUGUUUAGUUCCGAACAAAAAUUCCGGAAAGCGAUGCUAUCAAACUGUGGACCGUUGUCGGCUAUAAUGGUUUGGGGGAUUCCGAAGCAGCAGAUGAUGUUCUUCCAUACAACUUGGUGACAUCUUUGUCUUUGAUGCUAGCGUAUGCUUCAACUUCCACCCAUUUACUAAAGUAAUUUGUGGCGACGAGCAGGAAUUUAUUUUGGGCAGCUGCGGCUAGUAGGGGUCCUAUUAUGUCCAUGCCCCACUACGCGAAGGGUCAGGGACCUGAAAUUGGUUUCAACAUCUCCAACGACACAUGUGGUAUGGGGGCAUGCUUUUGACACUUGUCACAUUUUUUUACAUAGGCUGCCACAUCCUUUUUCAUCGUGGGCCAAUAAUAUCCUUGCGAAUGGGCCCUGUGCGCCAAAGAUCGACCUCCAGAAUGGUUUCCACAUACCCCCUCGUGUAAUUCAGCUAAAACAUACAGGGCAUCUGAGUGUUUUAGGCAUCUGAGAUAAGGACCUAAAAAGGACCGUUUGUACAAGUGCCCCUCAAUCAGGGUGAAACGGGCGGCUUGCACCCGGAUCUUGUGUGCCUGCUUGGGCUCUUCGGGUAGAGUGCAUGUCCAGAGGUACCUUAUAAUGUCUUCCGUCUACUCUUGGCCGUCUGCUUGGUUUGCCUUAAUGGUAUUGCAAGUGGAGGCUUCUGCGACGGAAGGGUUGGCUUGCACAUGUAUAGGCAAUAAUAUGGCUUCUUUGAUGGGGAAGGAGGUAGCUAUGCCUGCCAAGGCAUCGACACAUCCAUUUUCAGUUCGUUUAAUCUUUUCGAUCGUCCAUUCGGUGAACCGUUGUAAGGUGUCCCUUACUUUAGUCAGGUAUCGCACCAUGCGCGCAUCCUUAGCUUCGUAUUCCUUCUGGACGUGCCUUACCACGAGUUAGGAAUCACUAUAGACCCAGAGUUUGGAGGCGGAUAGAGCCAGGGCGAGGUCUAAUCCGGAUAGGAUGGCCUCAUACUCUACUUCAUUGUUAGAGGUGGGGAACCCCAAUCGGAUGGCUUGCUCCAGAUGUUCUCCUGUUGGGGAUUGUAGCAGGAACCCUACUCCGGAUCUUGAUGACCGGGAGGCUCCAUCAACCCGCAAAGUUCACCACUCGUUUCCACUUGGUUCCUUGCGCUGGAUAGGCUUUCAGGAGUAUUCCAGCACGAAGUCAGCCAUCACUUGGCCUUUCAUGGACAACUUGGGUUGGAACUCAAUUCCAUAUUUGCUCAACUCUAUAGCCCAUUGAAGCAUUCUUCCGGUUAAGUCUGGUUUGUGCAGGAUGUUGUGAAGGGGUUGGUCAGUUAGCACGACCACCAGGUGGGCUUGGAAGUAAGGGCGGAGCUUCUGGGCGGCACUUCGAAAAGCCAAGGUCGUUAGCUCCAUCUUUGAAUACCUAGUUUCUACAUCCGCCAACGCUCUGCUGACAUAGUAAAUAAGUUUCUGCUCCUUGGGCAAGGGGCAACGGAAUAGAACAACACUAAUUGCCCACUCCGAUACAGCCAGAUACAUAUACAAUUUUUCUUCAGGGAGGGGGUUGCUCAGGAUGGGCGGUUGCAUGAGGCAAUGUUUAAUUUUUUCAAAGUGCUCUGACAGCUGUCUGUCCAUCCGCUUGCUCCAGCUUUUCGUAUUGCCAAGAAGAAGGGUCGUAGUUCAUUAGUGAAGCGGGCUAUAAAGCGUCCUAGCGCGAUGAGCUUGCCUGUGAGGCGCUGUAAUUCCUUUUUGUUCCUGGGGGGUGGUGUUUCCAUGACUGCCUUCACUUGAUUUGGGCUAACCUCUAUCCCCCUUUAGCUGACCAUAAAUCCCAAGAAUUUGCUAACACUUACGCCAAAGGCGCAUUUAGAAGGAUUCAACUUCAUGCCAUACUUCCUUAAGAGGUGGAAGACUUCUUGCAAGUGGAGGACAUGUUCCUCUCGGGUUUUGCUUUUAACCACGAUAUCGUCAAUAUACACCUCUACUGUGCGGCCGACCAGAGGUUUGAAGAUCUUCGUCAUCAGUCUCUGAUAAGUGGUGCCAGCGUUUUUGAGUCCGAACGGCAUGACUUUGUAGCAAUAAAGACCGUGUGGCGUUAUGAAGGCUGUCUUUUCUUUGUUAGUCGGGGACAUGGGGAUUUGGUGGUAUCCGGAGAAGGCGUCCAAGAAGGAGAGCAUCCCUUGCCGAGCAAUGGAAUCCAUAAUUUGAUCUAUCCGUGGCAAAGAAAAACUGUCUUUUGGGCAUACAUUAUUGAGGUUGGUGUAAUCGACGCACACCCGCCAUUUGCCUUCCUUUUGGGUACCACCACUACAUUUUCCAACCAGUCCGGGUACUCCACUUCUUUGAUGAAUCCGGCUUCCAGUAACUUGUCAAUCUCAUCCCGGAUAAUCUUUUGCCUAUUCGGGUAAAAACGUCUAACCCUCUGUCGGACAGGUCUUGCUAUUGGCAAGAUGUUAAGCAUAUGGAAGACGAUGAAGGGGUGAAUUCCCUUCAUAUCAGAAUGCGCCCAUGCGAAAACGUCGUGGCUUUGUCGGAGGGCGUUUUGGAUGUUCUGGGUCUCUUCUGGCGUCAAGAGGGAACUGAUAUACAUAAGGUGAGUUCCUUCUUCCGAAAUUUGGAUCGUCUGCAAGGGAUCCGCUACCGGGGGAUCUUUAUCCGCCGGACUCAGUGAUUGCUAUUGGUCCAGCGCGUGGGGGGACUCAGGGAGAGGUUUAUCCUCUUGACUGGUUCCUACCUCUCGUGAUAUCUAGUAGCAUUGGCGAGCGGCUAAUUGGCUGUCGUAUAGGCCGAUUUGCCCAUCCUUGGUAAGUAAGCUUACCAUUUGAUGAUACGUAGAGGGAAUGACUUUCAUGUAGUGCAGCCAUGUGCACCCCAAGAUGACAUUGAAGGGUGAUAAAUCUUGUACCAUCGAAAAUUGUACGUUGAGAGUGACUGGGCCAGCUUGGACCGGCAGUAUAAUAUCUCCCAAGGAAGUAGUUAACGCUCAGUUGAAUCCGGACAAGAUCCGCCCAGGGUUUUCGAGGCCUGUGAGACUGCGUCCCAUGUGGCUAACGACCGAUGCUUGUACAAGAUCGGCCGAGCUGCUCGGGUCAACUAGGAUGCGUCUCACGUCGAAGUCUCCUAUCUCUAGGGACAGGAUGAGGGCAUCGCGAUGCGGCUGCAAUAUCUGUGUGGGGUCUACUGGUGGGAAAAUGAUUGUCCCAUCUAUGGGGCAAGCCCCCCCUCCCAGUUAUCCCAAGCCGGAUGGAGUUGACACGCUCACGCACCGAUGCUGCCCGCAACAACCUUUGUCUUUUUCGUUUGGAGUCGUACUCCUCGUCGAAUGGGCCUCCGUUAAUAUAGUUUAUAAUGGCUUUGGGGGUGGCUGGAGCCCUAGGGGUUCUAGAGUUUUGAUUUCGGGAAGCGUCUCUACCUCUGGCAUCUGAGCGGAGGUAUUGUUUCAAAUGUCCCGCCCUUAUGAGCCUUUCGACCAAAUAAUGGAGGCACCUGCACGCUUCCGUUGUGUGACCAUGCUCCUUAUGGUAGGCACAUUUUUUACUAUGAUCCCUUUUAGAUGGGUCCGUUUUGAGGAGUCCAGGCCACCUGAAGUCGGACAUGUCUUGGAUCAUAAAGAAAAACUUCUCAUAGGAUAUGGAAAGGGGUGUGAGGGGCGGCAUUUCCGGGCAACUUGGCCCUUCCUACCUUUGAUCGGACGGCCUUGGCCGGUUCAUAAGUUUGGCACUUCUUUCUGCACCACUUCUGGAUGCUUAUUUGGCAACCAGGAUUUGCUGGGUGGCUGCUCGCACGUCAUCUUCGAGCAUUGAGUAUUUGCUCGCACGCUGGAACAAGUCGUCCAUCGUCAUAGGAGGCUUAUUAGCGAGUGAUUCGAAAAAUGGGGUGUCUGGACAGAUGCUUCGCUUGAAGAUCUGCAGGACAGCAUCCAUGCUGUAAGCCUCUACCUGUAGCACGGCCUGACCAAACCGCUUCACGAACUCCCUUAAGGACUCGUUAUCCUGCAAUUUUAUGUUUUGCAGAGUGCUGAUGUUCUGCUUAUGUCGAGCAGAGCAUAAGUAUUGUCCCACGAAGGCUUCCGACAAGUCCCUGAAAUUAUCCAUAGAGUUAGGAGGUAGGCGAUGAAACCAUGAGAGGGUCUGCCCUUGUAGGCUGGCGGGGAAUACUUUGCACAGCAGCGCGUCGUUUCCUAUAUCGAGAGUCAUGAGUUAUCGAUAAUGCAUGAUAUGGUCGAAGGGGUCGCUAGACCCAUCGUACGUGGAGAAUUUAGGCACGAGGAAUCCCCUUGGGGGCUCAUAAUGAAUAAUAUGAGAGUAGAAAGGCGUGGAGAGCAUGUCGUCCAGCCUUUUGCUGAUGGAGCCAAUGGGUGGCUCGUUUGGGAGAUUUCUCCCAGCUUUUCGUACCGUUUGGUACGGGGGAACAUUCUGCACCAUAGGGCUAACCAUAGGAUUAGGGUGCGGGGGAACGUUCUGCACCAUAGGGGUGACCAUAGGGUCAGGGUGCGCUCCCCAAGUUGUGACUACUAGCGGCCUUGGCCUCCCAGUCUCCUGUGGACCUAGCCUUGCGCGCAUUGCGUCUAACAACUGGGGUUUUUUGUCGCAUUGUCUUUUUGCUGAGAAAUGAGUAGAGUCUGAGCUUUCCUCAUGGGGAGCUUGGUGCAUGGGCGUGUGUCGCUCAUGUGGUCUAACGUUGCAUGUUUCAGGAAUUGCUCCUGCUGUCCCAGGGUAUAUUGACUCUGGGUCAGGCCUUGAGUUUGCUACCUAGCCUCUUGAACGUUGACGAUGGGGAGGCCCCAUCGAUGAAGCCUAGAUGUGCAGCAUAGCGUUUUCUUCUCUCAACCUUGCUGUCUCCUAGAGGAGAGCUUGCAUUUGUCUCUCGCUUGCCAACUGUCUUAUCUCAAUGGCUUGGCGCCAUUCAAAAUUAUCUUCCUCUUCCCUAACAGACGAGUGGCUUCUAAAAGGUUUGGCCAUCUUUGCCGGUGAUUGAAUCAGCAAACUUCCCACGAGACGGCACCAAUGUUGAGGCCUUGCGUCCUAAUGAUCCACGUAGCUGCCAAGUGGACGCACACUUUCAACUAAUACUGAGUUCUGGUUCAGUUGUCCCUGCAAAAGAUGUCCGGACAGGGUGUCCGGACACACCCUCCGAUGGUUUUGUCAGCCAUGGCUAAAGAGAUUAAGCAGUUGGCUUUUUUCUAGGUAUAGCAAGCAUACCGUCCUCCUUGUGUGAAGGUCCUUAUAUAUAGUAUCAGAAGCUCUGCCUCCCUCUUUAAUGGUAGGGAGACUUUUUGGCUCGUCAUGAUGCCUCUAUGUGGUGGUAGGGCCAUCAUCACCCUACAGACGGCUGUUAGAGAUCGUGGGAAGUGACUUGCCAUCAUUUCUGUCCUUUCGCCCUGCAGGUGGUGGAACGUGGGCUAUAGUAGGCUGUCAGAAUGACGUAGUAAGACUUGCUCACUUUAGUCAACGAUCCGGACAACAUAUCCGAAGGUGUGAUGUUUGCGAGUGUCGUGUGCUUCUCCCUGAGGAAGUCCGGAUAGGGGAGCGCACCACGUGUCCCUCUUUGGGGAGUCGGGAUGGAGUUGCUUCGGACAGCGAGGCGCGCCACGUGUCAUCAGGGAGAGGGGUCCCUACAGGUAUUGUUGACAGAAAAUCACAGCUCCUGGGUAUUUGAAGGUGAAUGAAGCUCUCUCAACUAGUGAAAGGUGUUUUAAUGCUUAAGAAUGGGUUUCUUUUCAUUCAAUUAUGUUCAAUGAGUAGAGGAAAGUGGAUGAAAUGAUUCCAGACGGAGCUCCUUUGUUACUCUUUGGUCAUCAGGCCAUCCCACUGGAUCCAAGGUCAGUCAGUUUUGGUACAAAUUCGGUAACAAAUCAAGCUAUGGGGGGAUUCGUCAUCAUGCUAUAGUACAACACCAAGCUCGUUUUAAUUUGAGAACCAUUUAUGGGAUUAUAUGAAAGUAGUAGCUUAGUGCAGAGGUUCACCAUGCCUUGAUCUCUACUGUCAAACCCAGUAUCCACUAAUCCAUUCUUCCCAUUUCCUAUUUCAUUACGGACACUUUUAUCUUUCACAUUUCAUUAUUUGUUCCAUCCCUUCCCCAUAUUGUAGCACAUAUGUCUCUAUUCUUUUUUCUUACUACCACUGAAUCUAUUUCUCAUUAAGCUUCUCACACCCGUUUCUAUACAUACCCUUAUUUCAUGCCCCUCAUGCAUAUCACCUUUCUUUCUUAACACCACGUGUCUUUCAUUCCCAUAUUCUACUACCCGUUAAAAUAAAUCAUUUAUUUUUCCGACUGACCAUACCAAUAUUUUCCUUACCCUCCAUACUUUAUUCCACUACCCAUCCAACUAAUCCUCUCUCAUAUCUUCAUACCCAUUAACGUGCUCACCGAUAUCAAUUCAUCCCACAUUUCUAAACCCAUUGCCCGUAACUCAUGUCGUGCCCAUCAUUAUACUGCUCAUUCGUGUCUUCAUCUCAUCAUGCUCUAAAGAUUCAUCAUUCAAUACCCAUUAUUCCUACUGUCAAACCCAUUUUUUAAGCCAAUCUUUUACAUAUUCAACACCUAAAGGCAAGCCUACCAUCCGACCAUCCUCAAAGUUCAUCAACCCACCAUCAUGCUCUUCAUUUCAGUCCCAAGGGCCAUGACAGUAUAGUUUAGAUAGAAAAGAUGAAACUGAAACUCUGCUCUCUUUGUUAGAGAAGCAAGAGAGAGAAAUUGAAUAUAUAUAUAUUGUUCAAAGAACUUUGUUACAACAGAUGGAGACAGGUUGUAAUAAUAGCUGGUAUAACUAAAAUACAGUUGGUAAAAUAACAAACCAAUAACAAUAAAGCUAACAAAUAACAAGUGGGCUUCAUCUCGUGAGAUCAAUAACUAACUCCUCUUUUCUUGGCUUAUCAUCCCCCCUCAAGUGAAAGGGUCUUGGAGCUAUACAAAGCUAAGAUUUGAGGGACAAGAACCUUGAACUUGUGAGAUGCUUAGUCAAUAAAUUUGUUGGUUGCUCUUCAGUGGCAACAAAGUGCAGUUGUAUCUUUUCUCUCAUGACUUGAUCUCGUAUAAAAUGAAGGUCUAUUUCUAUGUGUUUAGUUCUAGCAUGAAACACAGGGUUCUUUGCCAUAUGGUAAGCACUGAUAUUAUCAUACCAAAGUAGAGGUAUUGCAGGUAUUGACAUACAUAACUCUUGUAGUAAGACUUGCAUCCAAACAAUCUCAGCGGUAUCGAAAACAAGGCCACGAUACUCAGACUUUGCACUGCUGCGAGACACUACUUUUUGUUUGGUAGAGGACCAAGAGACUAAGUUACCUCCUAGAUAAAUGAGAUAUCCACUUGAGUUGCGCCUAUCAUCAAGGUGAGCACCCCAAUCUGCAUUUGUGAAUUCCUUUAUUGUCAAGUUACUUGAAGGACUUAACAGGAGCCCAUCUUGCAUUGUUCCUCUUAGAUACCGAAGUAUUCGUUUAAUUGAGAGCCAGUGAGCUAUGGUUGGUUGUUGCAUAAAUUGGCAUGCCUUAUCGACAACAAAGGCAAUAUCAGGUCUUGUCAAGGUAACAUACUGAAGUGCCCUUACUACACUUCGAUAAUGAGUAACAUCUGCCAUAGGAUCUCCAUCAAAUUUAGACAAGUUCUUCCCAACACACCAGGUGUUUUUGCCGAUUUGGUAUCAAACAUUUCAGUUCUAUGAAGCAUAUCUGAAAUGUAUUUGGUUUGGCUCAAAUUCAUAGAGCCUUCAUUAUAAGAAACCUCUGUACCAAGAAAGAAUGAGAGUUGACCCAAGUCUCGUAAGGCAAAAACUGAAUCAAGUUUAGCUAUGAGAGAAGAAAUCUAUGUGGAGGAGCUGCAUGUUAUGAUUAUAUCAUCAACAUAGACAAGAACUAUCAAAGUAGUGGCCUGACCAAAGUGUAGAAACAUCUAACUAUCAGUCCGAGACAUGUUGAAUCCCCACUGAAGAAGAGCAAAGCUGAGUCUUUGAAACCAAGCUCGUGGGACUUGUUUCAAGCCAUAUAAAGCCUUCUUCAAUCUACACACUCUAUUUGGGAAUUGAGUGUCGAAGUAUCCAAGAGGAAGAGACAUAUAGACUUGUUCUUCUAACUCACCAUUGAGGAAGGCAUUGUGAACAUCAAGCUGCCGAAUUUCCCACUUAAAACUGAGAGCAAUAGUAAGUAUGAUGUGAAUAGUGCAGCCUUAACUACUGGACUAAAGGUCUCAAAAUAGUCCAGACCAUGAGUCUGAUUAUAUCCUUUUGCCACAAGCCUGGCUUUAUACCUCUUUACACUCCCAUCUGGCUUAUGUUUCAGUUUAUACACUCACUUACUGCCAAUCACAUUGACAUUGGGUGGUUGUUCAACAAGAUCCCAAGUAUGGUUUCGAUGAAGAGCAACAAUCUCCAUUUCCAUAGCUUUAGUCCAGUUUGGAUCUUUGAAGGCCUGUUUAAGAGUAGAUGGUUCUGAAACCUUUAUGGAAAAGAGAUCAAGAAUGAUCUUUUUCUUGGUUAUACCAUGCAUUUGGAUCUUUGAAGACCUGUUUGAGAGUAGAUGGUUCUGAAACCUUUAUGGCAGAGAGAUCAAGAAUGGUCUUUUUCUUCGUUAUACCCACUUAAAACUGAGAGCAACAGUAAGUAUGAUGCGAAUAGUGGCAACCUUAACUACUAGACUAAAGGUCUCAAAAUAGUCCAGACCAUGAGUCUGAUUAUAUCCUUUUGCCACAAGCCUGGCUUUAUACCUCUUUAUACUCCCAUCUGGCUUAUGUUUCAGUUUAUACACCCACUUACAACCAAUCACAUUGACAUCGGGUGGUUGUUCAACAAGAUCCCAAGUAUGGUUUCGAUGAAGAGCGACAAUCUCCAUUUCCAUAGCUUUAGUCCAGUUUGGAUUUUUGAAGGCCUGUUUGAGAGUAGAUGGUUCUGAAACCUUUAUGGUAGAGAGAUUAAGAAUGGUCUUUUUCUUGGUUAUACCACACAUGGACCUUGUCAUUCGUGGAGCAGGAGCAAUGACUUGAGAUUCUGGAACAGAUUCAGGUGGCAAAUCUGUAGCAGGAGAAGAACUAGAUGUGUCUAGAGGUGAAAAAGAGUUUGUAGGAAUAGGACUUUCACUUGUGGAUAGAGAAUGAGAAUCUAUGGAAGCAUGACUAAUAUUUGAAUCUGGGAGAAGACAUGGAGUAGGAAAGAAGUAGGAGCUACAAUGGUAGGGGUGGAGCCUUUUGCUGAAGUAUCAUUAAACGAAAUGGAAGACUUGGACUGAGCAAGUGGGAAAGUUGAUUCAUCAAAGACCACGUGGGGAGUAAUAUAGACUCUUCCAGUUGCAUAAUUAAGACAUAAAAACCCCUUGUGAUUCAAACUAUAGCCAAUAAAAAGACAUUGGACAAAUCUGUACUGCAAUUUAUGAGUGUUGUAUGGCCGAAUGAAAGGAUAACAGAGGCAUCCAAACACACGAAGAGAUUUAUAAUCAAGAUGCCUUCUAAAAAGAGUGAAGUAAGGAGAGUCAUACUCGAGAACUUUGCUUGGCAUUCGAUUGAUAAGAAAAGUUGUUGUCUGAAAAGCGUAGUGCCAUUACUUCAUUGGCAAGGAAGCAUGAGAUAACAAAGCCAACCCAGUCUCAACUACGUGUCUGUGCUUCCGCUCAACUCUACCAUUUUGAGUUGAGUUGUAUGGACAUGAUAAUCAAUGGGUAAUACCAACUGCUUGAAGAAAAGACAUAAAAGAUCGAAAUUCUCCACCAUUAUUAGACUGUAAGCACUUAAUUUUCGCGUCAAACUGAUUCUCCAUUUGAAGCUUGAAUCGCUUAAAGAUGGGAAGGGCCUAAUCCUUUGUUUGUAAUGAAUAAAACCAAGUGUACCUGGAAUAAUCAUCUACAAAAAGAAUGAAAUAUUUCACUCCAGAUGUAGAUUUAACUGAGGCAGGUCCCCAAAUAUCAGUAUAAACAAGUUCUAAAGGUUUAGAUGCACGAAAAUUUGAGAGCUGAGUGGGUAGUCUAUGACUUUUAGCUAACUGACAAUCAGAACAAACAAUAGAUUUAUAUUUCCCAGAAGCAACAUUACAAGGAUUCAUGACUUUUAAAACAAUGUCAGAAGCAGCAUGGCCUAGUCAAUUGUGCCAUAACUCUGCUUUAUUUUCAAUAGUACUAGAAAAAUGGGAAUGAAAAGCAGAAGCAUUAUUAAUACUACUAUAAGGUUUCUUGUUGCUGAACAUAGGAAACUUAUAAAGCCCAUUUUCAAGCUUGCCUUGAGCAAGAACCAUCUUCGUAUGUCGAUCCUUCACAAAGAAAGCAUUAGAAUGAAACUCAAUCAAGGCAUUAUUAUCUGAGCAAAACUUAGCCACACUAAUCAAAUUAGCUGAGAUAAAGGGGACAUGAAACACCUUCUUGAGUUGAAAAGAAUGUGUAUGAGAAUGAAGCUGUUUAGAGCCAAUAUUGGAGAUGGAGAGAUGCUUACCAUUACCAAUAGUGACUCUAUCUGUUCCCAUGUAUGGUGAAGUACUGGUUAGAUUUCCCAAAUUCUUAGUCAGAUGGUGACUUGCUCAAGAAUCCAAAUACUAACUCUCAUCUGAAGGACUAUUAGAAGAAGAAGCAACCAUAGCAGGUAUAUUGUUUUGAUUCCCAUUAUUCAAAGAAGGAGAAGUAGUAGUCUGACCACCUUGAAAAGAGAUAUCAAAACCUAUGAUAACAUAUUUGAGCAGUGUGGCCAAACUUACCACAUAACUGACAUUGAGGUUUCUCACUUGGACUGGAAUUUUGCCUUCCACCUUAUCCAUUUCUACCUCCACGUCCACGACCUCUGUAGGUGUAAUUAUUGUUAUUUGGAGCAUAGCCUUGUCCACUACCUCCAUUAAACUUCCUUCCACCACCUCUGUUAUUAGAGGAAGAGGCCUAAUUGGCAGACAUUUGUUCAAUCGAGCUUUGUUGCUUAAGACGAUGCUCAAAGGCUAAUAGCAUACUAUGUAUAGCUUCAAGAGAGAUCUUAUCAUCUCUAAUGUUAAUAGUAGUAACAACAGCAUUGUAGUCGGAUCCAAGACCUCCAAGAAGAUUCAUAACCUGAUCUUGUUCUGAGACGGGUUAUCCAAUAGCAGCUAGAUUAUCAGCAUUGAUCUUCAUUAUGUAGUCUAUCAUCAACAUUGAUCCUUUCUUUGUGGAUUGUAAUCCGAGUUUGAGUUGCAUUAUCCUAGCUCUUGAAGAAGAUGAAAAAAAUAUUUUCCAAGGCAUUCCAAGUAGAGUGAGAAGUAUUAUGGCCUAUCAUCUGUGCUAUGAUACCUGGUGUGAGCGACGAGUAGAUCCAACUGAGGAUUGUUCGAUCUUGUCUCCUCCAAGCAACAAAAGCUGGAUUGAUCACUCCUGGACUCAGAUCUUUCUCUGGACAGAUAGAGGUUCCAUCAAUGAAAUCCUCAAAGCCAUUAGCAAAAACGACAUUAUCAAUCUGAGAUCUCCACAAGAUGUAAUUCGUCCGAUCAAGUUUCACAAGUAGAGUGUGAUUAAGCAUCUGAUAGGAAGGAAUGGACGCCAUUGUUAAGCUUUGUCCAGAUCCAAUCGAACCAAAGGAAGAAAAAGAUUGUGUCGAAGUAGAGGCCAUGUUUGGAUCGAGAGAAACAGAUAGAAAGUGAGAAAGAGAAGAAAAAUUCACACCUUGAACGUGAGCUCUGAUACCAAGAUAGAAAAUAUGAAACUGAAACUCUGCUCUCUUUGUUAGAGAAGCAAGAGAGAGAAAUUGAAUAUAUAUAUUGUUCAAAGAACUCUGUUACAACAUAUGGAGAUAGGCUGUAAUAACAACUGGUACCACUAAAAUACAAUUGGUAAAAUAACAACCAAUAAUAAUAAAGCUAACUAAUAACAAGUGGGCUUCAUCUCAUGAGAUCAGUAACUAACUCCUCUUUUCUUGGCUUAUCAAGUUCAAGGUGAGGAUCCACAACUCUUUGUCAUUGUGAUGGUCUAUGAUCAAAAUGGAGGAACGGGGCAAUUGUGGAGCUUCAAACAACUCGUCAAUGGUGAGCUCGGUUUGGAAGUCUGAUUUGCAAGGAAAAGAGGGAGGAUUUUUCUCUAAAGGCGAGCUUUCGCAAAGGAAGUAGGAAACAGAGGAGAGAGGUUGCAGUUUGCUGGAAACAAAGCUAUUUUUGCUCGAAGGGAGUCAUUCAUCUUUCUCAUUGGAGAUCAUUUGAAGUACUACUCCAAAAACUUGGGUUCCAUCCUGUCAAACUGUUGGAUAUAGAAGAAAGAGAAUGCCAUUCAACAAAUCUCCUUUUUCAAGGCUUAAAAGGAGUCUCUCCCUUCAAUCAUGCUUUCCUGAAGUGAGGUCUUCAAAGGCAUCCGGUUGCAAAUCUCAUGAUGACAAUGCCUCAAGCGUAAAUGGUGGACGUUCUUGUGAUGACAGACGUCAUAAUGUUGAUACCUGCUUAGACAUAGAUGAUCAGUGCAUUUCCCCAGCUUCCAGUUGUGGCAAAACCUCUACUACAUCAAGGCGUAUAUUCCCUUUAGAAAGCAGGAGUCUAUGCAAAUCAGUUUCUGAUAUCCAGAACUUUAAGUCUGCACUGCUUCAAGCUGUUCCAGAAGCAAUUAGAACUGAAGAUUCUGAAGAUUCUGUUUAAGUCGGCUGAUGUUGACAAGGAUGCCAUGUUGAGGAGUUUUAAUAAGGGUGCCAUGUAUAUAAGAAGAAGCCGAUUGAGAUGGAAAGUGCAAAGAACCUUUGGCAGUAUGUAUUCUUGUAAAUGAGGGGAUAAACAGCUGCAGAAACCUGGACAGAAGGAUGGUGUCCAGGUUAAAUCAUUGAGGGCAAUGAACUGGAUGUAGAUGCAAGAAGUGCCCUAGACAAGUUGCCUGUGAAUCUCCAUGCGCUACAGACUUGCAAUGUUGGCAAGUUUAUGAAUCAUUUACGCAGCCAUAAAAUUCUGAAAUUCAGAAGAAAGUUAAGAGUUUAGUUGGCACAUGGAAGAGACGAGUUGAAGCUGAAAUGAACAUUGAUGAUGCAAAAUCUGGGUCAAGUCGCAGUGUUUCAUGGCAAACAAAGGCAGUGUCUUCUGAAAUUUCUCAUGCAGGGAACAAGGAAACUGAGGGAUCGUCCGAAGCCGGCAUGAAGAGCUCCAUUAUACAACCACCGGCACCUAGAACUCCUUUAGUUAAGCUCAGUGGUGGUUCUUUUGAAGAUUUUGCCAUUACAUUCUCUAGAUCUUCUCCUCCACACCCUGAAAAGCAUGACCACCCUGACAAGAAAGUAAAGGUAAAAAAAUGAUAUUUUGUGGGUGAAUAUGGCAUCAAACACAAAUGCAGAACUAUGCCAGAGUAAAGAUGGAUUGGUCGGGUCUGAUGAAGGUAUUGGGUCACCAGUUGCUAUUCUUUGUGAUGAACUGCGCAGGAUGAGUGAAAAUGCUGAAAGGUCACAAAUUCGGAAGUUGACUCAGUUUUUUUCAAAUCAGGCUCGUUGUACUGAGAAAGGAAAUAAAAGAAAGAAUACUCCUUCAGAACGGGCUCAGAAGGGAAUUUCCUUUGCAUGGCCACUUUGGCAUGCAAAUCUUAAUGGCCACCACGUGUCACCUCCUUCUAUUUAUCUCAUUUCACCAUCCUUAGUUUUGAAAAUAAUUUUCCAAAUCCCUUUAUUCAAAUAACCUUUUGGAUUUUAAUCUUUUUAAAUAAUCUCAACUCCACAUGUUCCUUUAUCAAAAAUUCCAUUUUUUUAAAUAGAAUCUUGUCCAAUAUUUGGUUGGUGAUGGGAUAUAAUAAACUAUCUCAUCACUUAUCCUAUCCUAUAUUCAACUCAAUAUAGGAUAGCAUAAGUGGUAGGAUAUAUUAUCCACCAUUUUUUUUUCAUCCUUUUCACAUGUAAUAUGUUAAUUUUAUGGUACAUACAUAUCCCAUUAUCAAAAAUUUAUUUAUUUUUUUUUUGCUUUUUUAAUACUCAUUUUACAAAAUAAAUUUUUAAUUAUAAAAUAAUUUUAUGAUUAAAAAAGAAAAACUAAAAAAAUAUCUAUAAAAUAAUAUUAAUAUAUAAUAUAUAAAUUAUUUUUAUAUAUGAAAUAACAUAAUAUAAAAAAUAAUUAUUUGUAAAAUUUAAAUAUUUUAAUCAUAAAUAUUUUUAAACAUAACAAAAUUUUCAUUUUUUUAAAUAGAAAAUAUUUAAAUGUGCUAUAAUUUUUAUUUUAAACAUUGAAAAUAAUAUAUAUUUCAUAUUAUUUUUUAUUCAUUUCACAAAUUAAAUAUAAAUAUGAUAUAACAUAUCUCAUUAGAUUUCCUACCUUAAAAUAUUACGUCCAUAGGCUAUGUAUUGGAUAGGAUAUGCAUAUCCUAUCCAAUGAGAUAUGACAUCUCCUAGGAUAUGUAUUGGAUAGGAACACUCCUUUUGGUAUAAUAGAGUGAUUGGAACCCUCAAAUAUUAUGCUAGAGAUUAUCCCAUUAAAAUACAACUUGAUUGUUUUGAGACUGAAGUGCAAUAAAUAAAUAACAUUUGAACAAAAGUUAAUUACCAUAUUAGUCCAAAAUGCAUACCUCAUAUAAUGUGUUAUGUUUCAAGAUUUGAGAAUUCAUAACAUCUAUUAAUUCAAAUUAGAUCAUUGAGCUUUCUCAAAGGAUUAAUUCUUUGGUGCAAAUAUAUUAUAGAGGAUAGAAACUAUAUAUAAUUAUUAAGUCUCAACAGUUCUUAUAUCUAUAUCUUGAAGUAUGAUGUAUGAUUAGUUCCAUCACUCCACUGGAUGUUUCCAACUACUCGUCGUCACAUUUCAAUCCAUCACGUAUAGUCUUCAUAAGUUCAUCUCUAUCCUAUAACAUUUUCCCACUUGAAAUAUUUAUAGAGAUAGUUUUAAUUUUUUUUUAUAGUAUAAGAAAAUAUAAUAUCAAAAUGAUCUAUUCUCAACACAUGAACAAUUCAAAAGAUUGAUAAUAGAGUUCAAGUACUUUUUCUUUUUCUGGUCUUAUCUUAAUUUAAUAUAACUUGUAAUGAAAGCUUAGAUUACAAGAUUUCAUGCUUUCUCUGCUACUCUUAUGGAUGUUGCCUCCAACAGCUAUUCCAACAUUGUCCAAUGCCACAUCAAUAAUGAGUAAGUUUUACAUUUUUUUCUCGUAAGAUUGACCUUUUUACAAAUCUCUAGCUAUUGCCUUUGUGCCAAAAAUUCAAGACUAUGUGACAUUUAGAUUAAGAAGAAGAAAAUUGACUUGUACAAAUUUUGAUUUUCUAUAUAUGUAGAGGUAAACCUUUGGACUAGUCCUAGAACAAACUUUGGGUAUACUUAUUAAUGGUAAUCUAAAAACUCGAAUGGAUAUUGUCCAUCUCUAUUGCGUUUCAAGCCAAACUUUUGUUGGGUGGAGUGUCAUAUACAUUGUUUUAUAUCUCACAAAUUAAUUAAUUUUAUUUCAUACAUAUGAGUUCUAAUCUUAUAGGUGAAUAAUAUUUCAUUCAAGUUUGCGAGCAAAGACAACACAUAUGAGUUCUAAUUUUUUAAUAUAUUAAUAAGCCAUAUAUCAAACUUUUAAUGUAUCUGAAAUAAAAAAAUAAAAAAUAAAAAAAUAAAAAAAGAAGAAGAAGAAAAAACCCUAAAUAUUAGUUAAGUUAUAUUAUUAUUAGGAUUUAGUUGUUCCAUAAAUUAUAAAAUUUUAAAAACUUCUUAUCAUCAUAAUAAAUCAAGUGGUUUUUAAUUCACAAAAAGGAAAAAUAAAAGUUGGACAAGUAUUUUGUUUUUGUUUUUUUUUUUUUACUAGAGUAUACAUUUAACAAUAUUGGUACUUUUUGUACCUAAAUGUUUUCAAUCUUACACAUACAUACAUACACACAUACAUACAUACAUACAUACAUACAUAUAUAUAUAUAUAUAUAUAUAUAUAUAUAUAUAUAUAUAUAUACAAAGUGGGUUUGAUAUGAUUUCAAUUAAUAAGUAUUUGAUAAUUUCUAUUUGCCAUCAAUAAAAUGAAUUUAUAAGACUCCCUACGUUUGAGGAAAUAUCACCUAAAAUAUACUCAAUGAAUAUUUUGUUGUUAUUUAGAUGAAGUAUUGGAUAUGAUGAAUUUCUCAAAUAAUUUAAUUUAUCUUUAACAAUAGGAUAAUAAUUUAACCCUUUUAAAAAAAAAUGUUAAUUUCAUUAUUUAAUUCUUUUUUCUCUUUCUCUAGUAAAUUAAAGCAAAAAAGAAAUUAUUCAUAUAAAUAGUAUACCUUUAGGACUAAAUUCAAAAUUUCAGUGGACCUAGAUCAUAUCAAAAUACAUCCUCCAUGUCAUAUGUGCCAACAUCAAGAGCAAGUUUGCAAUUAAAGCAUUCCAAUUUUAAAUUUUAAAUUUCAAAAAGAAUGUCAAAUAUCAAAUAAGUAAAAUCCUCUCUAAAUUUUCCUAUCAAUAGAGGAGCAUUCUUUUACAUCAAAAGGAGGGAAAGGAAUUGGGCAAAUUGAGGCAAACCUCAUUAUUGAUUAGAAGGUUUCCUUAUAGUCUACAUCCUCUCUUUGAAUGUAAUCUUUGGCCAUGAGUCAAGCAUUAUACCUCUCUAUUGAACCAUCUAUCUUUCAUUUGACCUUGAGAACCCACUUGCUCCUAAUUAUCUUAGAAGAGAAAAAAUGAGUCUCAAAAUAAUUCUAAAUCAAGUAAGAGAGGUUAGAAUUGAAAAAUAGAAAAGGAAAUUCCAAAUUAGGCUAAAAAUGAGGACGAGGUAAUAUUUCAACUAAAAGAAAUAAUAAAUCUCAUAUAUAAUAUUAUAAUUAAAGAGAAAUAUGGUCAUUGCAAGUUAAAACGUAGGGCUUGGAGAUCGAAUGAAAGAAAUUUUUAAGCUAAUGCUAUAAAAGGUAAAAGUGAAAAUUUAGAGACCUUGUUAUUAGUUAUAGUGUUGGAAAGAAUGAAAACAAAAGUACAUGGUUUUUGGAUUCAAUCUAUAGUAGUCAUAUGUGUGGUAGGGAAGAGAUGAUUUCCAAGUUAGAUAAGACUUCUAAUUUAGAGGUAUAAUUUGGAAAUGAUAUAAUAGUACUAGUUAAGGAUAAAGGUAAGAUUUUCAUUCAAUUAAAUAAAGGAUCCUAAAAUUUUAUCUCUAAUUUGUUGUAUGUUAAUCCAUGUCUUCAUCAAAAUCUAUUAAGUAUAAGGCAACUUUUACAAAAAAAUGGUUUGAUAUGUGGAUCUAUAUGGGUGUUCAUACCAUUAACAAUGAUUAGAAAUGACUACUACCAAAGCUAAAUAUGAUACAAAAUCAUUUAUUUUCGUUAAAUAUUAAUUGUGGAUAAUUAACUUUCUUUAGCUCUAUAGUUGAUGAUAAAAUUUAGUUAUUAUACUCAUUUUUUAGAUAUUUAAAAUUUGGAAGUCUAAAAUUACUUGCUCCUAAGAAGGUUUUUGGGUUGUCUUCUAUUAAUUCUCUAAAUGAGGUUUGUGAAACAUGCAUUGGAGCUAUUUCAAAGAUUGGCAAUCCACCUAAAGUUGAGAAGUUAGAGCUGAUUCACACAAAAGCGUGGAGGCCAUCACUGGUUUCAUCUCUUAGAAGAUCAUUGUACUACGUCACCUUGAUUGAUGACUCUACUAAGAAGGUAUGGGUUUAUUUUUUGAAAAAGAAAUCAAAAGUUUGUGAUGUUUUUAAAAAAUGGAAAGCCAUGGUGGAGAACAAGAUGGGAUUGAAAGUGAAGCGAUUGAAAUCUGACAAUGGAGGAGAGUACAAAGAUGAGAAGCUUAAAGAGUUUUGUGCAACUAAUGGAAUUAAAUUGGAAAAAAUUGUUCCCAAGACACCUCAGCAGAAUGGUGUAGUAGAGUGCCUGAAUAGAAUAUUAAAUGAACGUGCUAGAAGCAUGAGAAUACACACGGUCUUAUCCAGGAUGUGGUAUUUGGUGUGUUUUGUGCAUUUCAUGUCAUGAUUCAAAAUCAAUUCUUAGAUAAAGUUCAGAUUCUUCGAUCAGAUAAUGGAAGCAAGUAUGUCAACCAAUAAUUUCAAGCUAUUUCAAUUAAAUGACCUUCUUCAUGAAACUUCUUAUACUCACACUCCACAACAAAAUGACAUGGUUGAGCGAAAGGACAAACAUAUUUUAAAAAUGGCACAUGCUUUGUUAAUUGGAGCAAAACUACCUGGUCAACAUUAGGAUGAUGCUAUUGUUAGUGUUGUACAUUUAUUGAAUCGACUGCCCCAAAAUGUAUUGAAGUUUCAAACUCCAUUAGGCUUCAUCUAAUCAUGUUAGCUUACCGUCCAUACUAUUUAUUCCACCACACAUUUGGAUGUGUUACGUUUGUUCAUUUGCAUAAAAAUCAAUGAACAAAACUCAAUCCUUGUGUCAAUCAUUGCAUUUUUUUUCCAGGGUAUGCUACAAAUAGAAAUGGCUACCAUUGCUACAAUUCUACCACCAAAUUUACCUAGCUCAUGACAGAUGUCACAUUUUUGGAAGUUGAAUUUUUUUUUACAUUUCAUCGGAAUCCACUUAUGAUCUUCAAGGGGAGACAUAGGAUGAAGAAUAAUAGCGGAAGGGUUUUAAGGAAGUUAAGGAAAUUGAUCAAGAACUUAGAUCUAGCAAGAUAAUAAGGGGAGGAAAUGAGGUUGUAGCAAUAAAACAACAUAAGGAGAAUAGCAUAGAAAAUAAGGACGAAAGAAAUGGAAAUGGUGGCAACAAUAGGGAGGAAGGUGAAUUUAGACCCUCUAGCAAAAAACCCCUCUCCCUCACGUACCUAAGAAUUGUUCUCCAAAGAAUAUUCUUGAAGUAAGAUCCCUUGUAUCAUCUUCUAGUCAUGCUUUAGAUACUCCAACUAGUUAUCACUUACCUUUCAAGCAUAAUAGAGGUAAACCUCUAGUUCGAUACUCACCAAAUGUUGAAGAGAAAGAAUCAAAGUACCUGAUUGUUAAUCACGUAACCACCUAGAUACUAUUUGAGCCUCUUAAAGCCUUUAUGCACAAAUUGUUCUCUUGUCAUGUUCCUUGUGGAGUACAUGAAGCCUUAGUAGAUUCAAAAUGGGACUAAACAAUUUAAGAGGAAAUGAAGGCACUACAAAAGAAUAAGAUAUGGGAUCUUGUUUCACUACUGAAGGGAAAGAAAAUAGUAGGGGGUAAAUCAGUGUUCUCCAUUAACCAUAAGGCAGAUAGGUCUAUUGAGCAAUCUAAAGAAAGGCUUGUAGCCAAGGGAUAUACACAAACAUAUGACAUAGACUAUCAAGAGACAUUAUCACCAGUUGAAAAACUAAACAUUGCUAGAGUUUUACUAUUUCUAGUAGCAAAUUUAGAUUGGCCUUUACACCAAUUCGACGUGAAGAAUGUCUUUCUUCAUGGAAACAUUGAGAAGGAGGUGUAUAUGGAUAUUCCACUUAAUUACAUUGCAUCAUCAAGCAUUGGAGUAGUAUGUAAGUUGCAACGAGCAUAUAGACUGAAAAAGUCAUCUCAAGCAUGGCUUAGUCGUUUUGGCCUGGCUAUGAGAAAAUAUGGUUUUCAACAAAGUAAUUCAAAUCAUUUUUUUUUCUUUUUGUUUUUUUUUAACAUGAACAAGGAAAGAUUACUACCUUGAUAAUCUAAGUGGAUGGUAUGAUUAUCACAAGAGAUGACAUAGAAGAAAUUUCCUAGCUUCAGAAAUAAUUGGAACCAAAUUUGAGAUGAAGAAGCUAGGAGGACUAAAAUGCUUUUUUGGGAAUAGAAGUAGCCAAAUCAAGCCAAGGUAUAUUUCUUCCCCAAUGAAAUCAUGUAUUACACUUAUUAUCUAAAGUGGGAAUGGUUGAUUGCAAGCUAAUUAAUACACUAAUUGUUCAAAAUCACAAACUUGAGGAACAUUUAGAUCGAGUGCCAACCAAUAAAGAGAGAUGCAAAAUAUUAGUGGGUAAACUAAUCUAUUUAUCUCAUACUUGUUUGGAUAUUGCAAUUAUGUUGUCAGCCUAAUAAUCUAAUUCAUGCACAAUUCUAGUGAAGAUCAUAUGGGAGCAGUAAUUCGAAUACUCACCUGCUUAAAAUUAACCCCUGGUAAAGGACUCGUGUUCUCUAAGAGUCACCAUCUCAAUGUUGAUGGCUACUCAAACAUAGAUUAGGCAAGAACUACUGAUAGAAAGUUGACAUUUGGGUAUUUAACCUUUGUUGGUGGUAAUUUGGUUAUAGGGAGAAGCAAAAAGUAGAAGGUGGUAGCAUUGUCUAUUGUCUAAGCAGAGUUCAAAGGAAUUCCAAGGGACUUUGUGAGCUUCUUUGGCUUAGGAAGUUGUUAACCGAGAUUGGGUUUGCACCAAUGAUAGAAAUGAAUUUGUUUUGUGACAACAAGGCAACUAUUGAAAUUUCUCAUAACCUGAUUCAAUGUUGAGGUGGAUCAAAGUCUUAUCAAAUAGAAUCUUGAAGAAAAAUUCAUUCAGUUUCCUUUUGUGAUGUCAAAAGAUAAACUCACAAAUAUGCUUACAAAGGUUAUUUCAAGUAAAAGCUUCCACAACUCACUAGACAAGUUGGGCAUUAGAGACAUCUAUGCACCAACUUAAUGGGGAGGGUUAGUGUGAGUUGUAAUUCCUUUUCUAAUUUAGAGUGAUUAUAGAACUAAUUAGUUGUCAUAUUCAUUGUAAAUUCCUCGCAUUCUAUUAGCCUAAUUUCCAGCCUAGAAUUUUCUUUUUCCUUUACUAGUUCUUUAUUGCUCGGUGAACCACUUCUAUAUAAGGGGUGCACUCAUGUAAACAAAACAUAGAAAAAAAAUAUAAUUGCUCAGAUUUAUCAUAGUAAGGAUUUAUCAUAUAUAUAUUGCUUUAUAACUCAUAAAUUAAUUAAUUUGAUUUCAUACACAUGAGUUCCAAUCUUAUAGAUGAAUAAUAUUGCAUUCAGGUUCGUGAGCACAGAUAACGCAUAUGAGUUCUAAUUGUUUAAUAUAUGAUAAGCUACUGAACUUUUGUAUGUCUUUAUAAUUUAAAAAUGAAAAAGGAAUAAACCUUAAAGACUAGUUAAAUUAGCUUACUAUAAGGAUUUAGUUUUUCCAUUAAUUAUAAAUUUUUAAAAACUUCUUAUCAUCUUAAUAAAUUAACUAGUUUUUAAUUAAAAAAGAAAAAGAAAAAUAAAAAAUUGGACAAGUAAUUUUAUUUUGGAAUUAGGAACCUUUUUUUUUUUAUCAAACAUCGUUGAAUAAUUUUUUUUUUUAUAUCAUUUUUAAAUAAGUACAUGAGUUAAAAAUGGGUACUUCAAUUAUAAAUAGUUUACAAUUCAAUUAGAUCUCAUAAUACAGAUCUUUUAUAUAUAUGUUAAUGAAUUAGCUCAUUAUAUUCAUUUAUUAAUCUUGAUUUAGGCUAAUAGUGCCCUACCAAAAAAAAUGUAUCCUAUAUCACAUUAAAGAAUUCUAUUUAGAGAAUUUUUAAAUAAAAGAAUUUAGUUAAUAACUAUUGUUCAUAAAAUCUUUUGCCCUAUCCCUUUCAAAAUUUAAUCUCUUUGAUCAUUUUCUAAUAGAUCAAUAAAAAGUUGCUUUGUCAUAAACAAAUAUAUAAAUAACAUUAAAAAAAAAAAAUAAGAAAGGAACACUCCUUUAGCGUAAUAGAGUGACUGGAGUCCACAAAUAUUAUGUCAUGUGCAACAAUUUUAAUUUAUUUAUUUAAGAUAUUUUGGCUUAUUGAGUUAGUUCAAAUAACUAGCAGUAGUGGGCUAGAGAGUGGGUAACGUGAGCUAUUCUUUAGCUAGCUAUUUUUUAGUAAUUGUUGAGUUAUAAAUUUCCUUAUUCUUGAGCAAUAAAACCAUCAAAUGAAAAACUUCCAAAAACUUGUCUUUGUUUUCUACUUUCCAAAUUCUUUCAAUACUGCAAAUAUUUUGUCUUAGCAACAUAGCUUGAGGGCAAGGUAGGGGGAGAGGAAGGGGACAGGAUCGUGUCAUUAACUUAGAACGUGAUAGAGUGGUAUCAGAGCUAAGUGUUUGGGUGAGUGUUUGAGUGUUGACACAAGUUAUAAAGCCCUUAAUGAAUUGUGAAGUUAUCAAGUUGUAAAUUCAUAAAUAAAUUGUGAUGUUACAAUAGGUGUAAAGUCACCAAUAAAAUUUGUGAAGUUGAAGAAAGUUGAAAAAUGCCAUGAUUUAUUGGUGUGUCAAUAAAAGGAUGAAAGUGCAUUAUAGUUUCAGUACCUUUUUUUUUUCUUUUCCAUUUGUUGGAAGAUAGUCUUCCUAUUUUCCUUUCGUAUCAAAAAUUCUAAUUUUCUAGUACAAGACUAGAAGGGCAUGUAUGUGAGCUUGUGGAGGGUUUUGUACUUGUGAAACUAAAGUAAGGUAAAAGAAUAUUUUACUUCUUGUUUCUAAAUUAAUGCAUCCACAUAUGAAGAUCCAGGGGUAAUUAUAUUUAAGGAUUUAUUUCAAGUUUUUUCUAAUACUAACCCAAAACCACAUGCACAGUAAAGAAAAGGUGUUGUUGAAUAGACUUGCCUCUCUUUUCUCUCAUAGAGAGAGAACUAGAAAGUAUUUGACAUCAUCCUAAAAGAAAAAUUAACAUAUAUUCAAAAUGAUAUCUUAUAAUGAAAACUAUUUAAUAUAAGGUUUUGAUUGUCAAAACUACUAAAGUUGUUCAUCCAAAUUAUUCAAAAUACUUUAAUUUUCUUGUAAAAGUAAAAUAAAUGUCAAGAUAUUUUACAUAUUCUAAAGAUCAAUGAUGACCACAACCAAGGCAAAACGUGUUGGUGAUUCAAACUUAAUCGAUCUUUUUAUUUUUGUAGCAUGAAUUAUUCAAAAUCAAUUAUGUAUGUGAAUUGUAAAAAUAAAAUAAAAUAAAUUAAAAUAAAUCAAAUCAAAUAAAUAAAAAUAUCUACUUCCCACUUUAUGUCUGAAUUGUUGCUUCUUCAAAAUACAAUGAAUGAUAUUGAAAUAUUUAAAAGCAUGACUUCAAUAAUUUACCUUAUUAAUUUACUUCCUUUGUGGGACACUAAGUUUGAUCACAGAAUAGAUCUACGGUGGGAACAGAUUUUUUUGAAUCAAAUGUUUGAAUAUGACUGAUGACUCUACUCACAUGCAUCAGCUUUUUUAUGCGUUGCAACGAGCCAAGAGCAGAAGCCCUUUCCAAAUUGCCAAAUUGUGUAUUUGUGUGCAUGCUUGUUAUGAAGGUCUAGUGUUCUGCCAUGGCUUUUCCGUGUACAUGCUGGCAGAGGAUGCUGCCAUGGCUUCCAUUUCUAAGGAUGGCUAUGACAAAGAUCAAAGCUCUUAAUGAUGUAAUCAUAUUUGUACAUCUAUUGGGAGCUUACUGUGAUUAGAUUACACAGAUCAAAAUCUUCUGAUAGAUUAUAGAGUUUCUUGCUUUUACUUGUUUCUGCUUAUUAACAAUCAGAAUUGGUUGCUAUAAGUUGCGACAAUGGCUAAGGAUUUGUUCGUACUCCAGGCUUCUUCUGGGAAUCAGGAUUUUUGUUCUGAUGAUUUGACUUGGUGGAACCAGAUCAUUGCCCUCGUUGUCCUUUCUUUUUCAAUGGGCAUUCAAAAGAUUGGCCGUCAUGUAUCAGGGGUCAGUAGUGAUUGUAGACGGGUUUCUUAUUCUUCCAAUGUUGAUAACAUGGUAUUGGAGGAGAACCAAGCCUCAGGGACAAGCUUCGAGGAUGACUCUGAUGAUUGUGAGUUUGAGGAAGUGAGGUGUGAGCUUGGCGUGGUAGAAGGUCAGCUUUGCAACAUUCCAUUUGAGCUUUACGAUCUACCAGAUUUAAGAGAAAUAUUAUCUCUGGACACAUGGAAUUCGUGUUUAACAGAAGAUGAAAGGUUGAUAUGGACCAACAGACUUUUUGGUUGACUAUGAAGGAACUCCUUGUUGGUAGUGAUAUAUUUUUUGGCAGUCCCUUGGAUAUAUUCUUCAACAGAUUGAAAGGUGGAUUCUAUCCUCCAAAAGUGGGUUGUUUUAGAGAAGGUUUAGAAUUCUUGCAAAGGAUAAAGUAUUAUCAUUCUAUGAGAUUUUACCAUGACAACAUGACAUAAAUGUUCAUAAACACGAGGAAGAUAUGGGCUCACUGCAAAAUGAGCACUGGUGUUGAGGAAAGGAUUUAUUUGUAGACAAGGAAAAAACUGUAAACUGAUUCGCUUGAUCUUAAUACAUAUCCUGAGAAUGGGUUUUUAUUAUGUAAAGAGGUGAACCCAGAACCAGUCACAAAUCAAUUGUCAAGGCAAACAGAGUCUGUGAAAAGCAGAAGGGAAAAUGCUUAACUCAACAAACAACAUACUAUGGCACAUGGAGUGGUAUUUUGAGGUCACAACACUAACUGAUAAGGCCACUAAGGUACACACUACAACCCUCUACCCCACUGACAUGAUUACUUUAUGGUGGCGUUUGGAGGUAUGUUGAUAUAGAAAAAGGCACAUGCAUUAUAUACAAAUAAGAUGCCUUUAAAACUAAGUUAGUGCCUAAAACACCUCUCAACACAAGGUUAAUGUACGUAGAAGCCUAUGUGAAUGACAAGCCCACCAAGGCCAUGGUGGACAAGGGUGCCACACACAAUCAUCUUUGUGGAUGAGGUAAAGAAACUAAAGCUCCAUACAUCCAAGGAAGGUCAAUGGCUUAUGGGAGUCAAUUUUGCUACCAAGCCACUCUAAGAUAUUGUAGCAUGAUGGGUUACCCUACAUAUUGACAUUUGGGAAGGCAAGAUGGACUUUAUAGUGGCACUGAUGCACGACUUCAACGUUGUGUUAGGGAUGGACUUCCUAUGCUAGGUAAAGAUAGUGCGACUAUCCUUCCUAUGUUCCAUAAUAUCUUGGAGAAGGAGACACCAUCUGUAGUCCCUAUGGUCACCAAAGGUAUGCUCAAAACCCUUUUGUUAUCAGCUAUGCAAGUGAAAAAGGGGUUAAAGAAGAAGUAGGUGACCUACUUGGCAACACUUAAGGAGGGGAACCCUUACCCAAGGCAAUCCUUGACAAGUUUAAGGGCAUGAUACUGCCUGAGCUGCUUAAAAGGCUCCCUCAAAGAGGAAAAAAGAUCAUCAGAUCAAGUUGGUAGUUAAGCCUUAGCUAGUUGGAGAAGAUAACUUCAUAGAUAUAUCCAAAAUCAUCCUCUACUUCAUAUCUAUUCCAUAUACAAUAUAUUUGUUAUUGAGACUGUAUUUGAUUCUUUAAAAGUUUAAAGAAAAAGAAAAAUAAGAAAAAGUAUUAAUUUCUUUUUCAUGAAAAAAUCAAGAGAGAAAAUUAAACAUUUAAAAGAAAAAAAAAUACAUUUUUUCAACUUUUCUUAUGUCUAAUUCUAAGCAAAGUGAGAAGAAAUUAAAACUAUGUAGCAUAUUUCUCUUUUAUUUUUGUGAUAUUUUCCUUAUCUUUUCUUUAUAUUAUUUAAACGUAAGAAAAUUACUUUCUUUUAUGGUCUUAUUUGUCUCUUUUUGAUACUUUUUUAAGAAACCAAAUACCCUAAAAAAAUUAUUGAAAUGAUUAAAUAUUCGUAAGAUUGAAUUUGAUUUAAUACCUAUUUAUAUAUGGAGACCAUGCUGCCGUGUAGUUGUCGAUAGAUGACUUGAUUCAUUCCCACUCGGUUCAACCUUGAAAACCUAGGCCUAGUUAAACCAUCUUUCUCAGAAAACCACAAUGCCACUAGUCAACCGUCACCAGGGACUACAAAUCAACAAAAACGAUACAUAUAAAACAAAAAUGUUCCAUUCCUUGUUUGAAAAAUGGGAUUCACUUGUAGGAAAAUCCUCUUCAUGAUGCUAUUUACUUUCCUAGUUUUCUCAAGUUGGAGGAUCGGAGAAGUUGAAGCAAUGAGGUCUUUGCAUGGCGGAGAGAAAUGGGCCGAGAGAAAUGGUUUGUUGCGUCAGUCCCUACAGGCGGGUCGGUGCCACCAUCUGGUCCCGGUCCGUGCAUACACAUCCCUGGACAGAGAGGAGGCAGGUGCGCCUUAAAUGAAAUGAACGUAGCUGGCCGCGUUGGGCUUGUGCCGCCUGCAUUUCCCAAAUUUGUGAUAGAUGUUGUUGUGGCUUCCGUUGCUUAGGAUAACCAUGCUCAAGAUCGAAGCUCGUAGGCUUGGCUUUGGAAUUGGGUUAUUGUAGAUGACAAGCUUCUUCUUUUUCUUUUUUUUUUCUUUUUUUUUUUUUUUUUUUUUUUGGGCAUAUGUUGGAGGACCAAUUCUGAAGAAAAGAAAAAGGUAGUCAGGAACUCUCAUAACUGAUGUAACUUCAAAAUGUAUGGAAAUUGAUUUUAUACUUUUUAUUCCAAUGGAUUGUCCCAAAGCUUAAUUUACUCAAAGUUAAAUGGCUUCAAAUCACGUAAGAAAUUCAAUUGAUGGAUUAAUUUUUUUUGCUAAGAAAUUAAGAAUCUUGUUAGGAUGCAACAUGAUUCACGUAUGUUUGGUAAUUCUUUUCAAAAAUAGUUUUUCAUUUUUCAUAACAAAAAAUUGGAAAACAAGUUCGAUAAUUAGAAAAUAGAACAAUGUUUUAAGAAAAUAAAGUAUUUUCAUAAAUUAUUUUAAAAAUAGUUAUAAAAUAUAAAACAAUAUGAUUAAAGAAUAAAGUACGCAGUAUAAAUUAAAUUUAUUUUCAGAACAUAUUUUAAAAUAUAAAAAAUAAAUUAAGAAUAUUUUAGAUUUUCAAAUAAACUUUUAUUUUAUAAAAGAUUAGAAAACAACUUUUGAAAACGGUUUUUCAAAAAACCAAAUUGUAACUCGAGAUUAAGUCAAAAUGAUGCAUCAAAGGUCAUACCUAACUUCAAACUAUGAUUUUCUUAAGAACCCUUUAAUGUUAAGUGUUGUACCAAAGUCAAAUUAAAUUCAACUUAAAUCAAUAAGUAUUAAGUUUUAGUAAACACCCUUUAAUGUUAUAACUUAAAGGUAAAAAUAACUUUAACCAUUAAGUCAAAAUGAUUAACUUAUUUUAAAUAAUCGAUUUCCUUUUGUCCAUAUACACAUCUAAUGAGAAUAUCUUUUAUGUCAAUGCCUCCACCACAUGAUUCAUAUAACUUUUUAACUAAAUAUAUUGUAGUUAUUUUAUGAUUCUACAAGACAUUUAAUAUGAAUGUUUAGCAAAUAAAUUUAUUAUUUAACAAUAAUGAAAGUAAAUAUUAAUGUAAAUUAACAAAGGUAAAUAUUAAUUGAAAUUAAUAAGAAUAAUGCGUUAAUUUGAUGAUUCAAUAAAAAUGUUAACUUUAUUGGAUGACUUUAAUGCUUAAAGUAUAAAUUAAAUAAUAAAUUUUAAGUUAACAAUUUAAAAAUAAUUUAGCUUAAAAUAUAAAGUUUUAUCAAACAUUUUGUAAAUCAAAUAAUAUUUGGACAAUUUUAUGCAUAUGUGAAUAGGAUUGCAACUUGAGUCGGUCCAAUUUGUACCCCACGUAGGGUUCGAGUUGAAGGAUAACCUUUGAAUAAGUCAAGGUUUGACUUGGGUUGGAAAAAUAUCGAUUUAAAAAUAUUAGGAUAGGUGUGGGUUCAAGAUUCAAGCAAUCUACCAAAACCCGAACCCGCACAUAAUUAUUAAUUAUAAAUUGAAGCAAUUGGAAAGUUAUAUAUACCUUGCCAUUAAAAUUUCUUAAAAUUGCACACGCACUUGAGUUCCCAGGAAUCACAAUUUGAUAAUAUAUUGAGUUUUCAUCUAGUAAGAAGAUUCAGGGGUAGAUUGACCCAUAUACAUGGAGAUGGAAUGUUUGCAUGGUCACAAGCCAAGAGACGAUUAACAGUACCUAUAAUUCCAAGUGAUGGUCUUUUCUCUAGAAAUAGGCACAUGAGCACAUACCAUAUGUCUCAUAUACCACCUCAAUGUUAAUCAAAACUCACUUGAUUAAAAAUAAAUAAAUAAAUAAUCAAAGAAGAAAUUAAAAUCCAUCUAUGACUCCAUGUAUUUAAGCAAAGUCAGAAGAGACCAAAUUUUAAGUCGAAAAGGAAGUCAGAAGAGACCAAAUUUUAAUCGAGCUAUGUUGGGAAACUUUAGAAUUGGGUUUGAAUCCAUUUUUAAGUCUUCUAUGUAAUCGACCCUCACUCUCCGUUUUCGUCCUCUCUUUUUUGGAUCACAUGCUGAGAAUGAAAUUACCUUUGAAACGUUCCAUUGAAUUUUGGAAGUCAAAUAAAUAAGAGAGCAUAGUCACAGAAAAUUGCUUCCAAAGUAAUAUCCUCUGCUCCGUAGACCACUCCAUUGAAAUCAACGCUGACCUCUUGAUCUAAAAAUUGGGCUAUAGAUUUUUAUAUUCUUCUAGAGACGAAUACCAUAUUUUUUCAAGAAUUGCAGUCCCUUUCCUAAAAUAUGUGGAGACAAAAAUGAUGAAAAAGAAAAAAAACACAUUAAUUAGAUAUGAAACAAAGAUGCUAAUUUUGGGAUGAGUAGGUAAGGUCGGAGAUGGUUAGACACCGGCAUAAGUCUCAAGACAAGUAAAGCCCAACGAUGCGUGUAUUAUGUGGGAUGAGUCCAACUCCACGGAAAGUUAAGCCUGAAGAAGAAUAUGAUUGAUUGACUGACAUCAAGAUUAAAUUGAUCUUAUUUACAGCAAAUUGGUUUAUAGUUAAUUAAGCCAUUGAUCCCAAUAAGUGAUAUUAAUUACAGCUAGGUCAUGGGUUAGAGUAGCAAGAGCCCCAUGUUGGACAAGGAAAAACCGUAAGGUGAUAGAUUUGCUUGAUCUUAAUACAUAUCCUGUUGAUGGGUUUUUAUUAGGUAAAGAGGUGAACCCAGAACCAGUCCAUGCACACACAUCCCUGGACAGAGAGGAGGCAGGUGCGCCUUGAACCUGCAUUUUCCCAAUUUUGUGAUUGAUGUUGCUGUGGCUUCCGCUACUAAGGGUGGCCAUGCUCAAGAUCGAAGCUCGUAGGCUUGUUUUAGGAGUUGGGUUUUUUGCAUCUCAAUGAUCCCUCUCUUCCGUAUCUAUCCAUUUCCUAAUAAGAUUUAGGUAUGUUUGAUAAUUGCUUUUGAAAAUAGUUUUCUAUCUUUUAUAAUAAAAAACCGGGAAACAAGUUUGAUAAUUAGAAAACAAAACACAGUUUUAAGAAUACAAACUAUUUUAAAAAAUUAUUUUAAAAAUAAAAUGGUAAAAAUAAAAUUUAUUUUAAGAAUAUAUUUAAAAAUAUAGAAAAUAUAGAAAACAAAUUAAGAACAUUUCAAGUUUUCAAAAAAACUUUUGCUUUAUAAAACGUUUGAAAACCAUUUUUAAAAACUGUUUUGGAAAACCAUUUUUCAGAAUUAUUUUUUAAAACACCUCUUGAAGAAAGCCUUAGUCUUACAAAUUUUUAUUUUGACAUGAAUGUCAAAUUUCUAUUAGGAAUAAACAUAUAUCAAAGCUUUAAUUUUGUGCAACCAAAUUUGACUUAUUCUCUUGCUGCAUGUGGCUAUCACUAUCCAAUUCAUUGAGAUAAAACCAGCCACUAAAUAGAGAUUUUGGGAAUUAUUUUCAAAAUAGGGACAAGUAGAAAUUAAUUCUCCUUGAUAUACUAUAAAUUAGAGAGAUAUUUUAUAAAGUAAUAGAAUACUAAAUUAAAUAGAAGUUAGAUCAAACAAUUGUAAGUCAAGAGAUUAAGUCAAAAUGAUGCAUCAAAGGUCAUACCUACUAUUAAGAAAACCUACUACUGAAAAACAAUUGAAAAACCUAAUACUAGUCGUCUUCAAAAUGUCUUAGCAGUAGGAUGGUAAGGAUUUUGAUUGAAAAACCUACUAUUCCUAGUGUCCGAAAUGCUUGUCUUAUCAGGACAAAUCCACCCUAUGUUGAUAUAUAUAUAUAUAUAUUCUACUUUCCAAUCAAAGUAAAUCACUGAUUAAUGGACUAUCAGCAGAUGAUAAAUGAAUUUAGAGAAAAUUUAAGGCAUCCUAGAUGUCCAUCGAAAAAGAGUAGUUCCACGUGUCGCAUUGGGGAAUAUAAUUGGGGAAUAUAUGGUGACAACCUGUCACAUUGGGGAAAAGUAAAGUCUCACGAACUAGCAUAUACAGUCAAAUACUUUUGGACCCACCCUCUUUCCAUAACAAUCUAUUAAAAAUUCAAACUUAAAAUUAAUUUUCAAAAAUUAGAUUAUCAAUAUUCUACCUAUGUAGAUUUAUCAUAAUAAUAAAUUUUAAUUUAAAUAAUUGAAAUGAAAUAGUGCUAAAAUUAAUGUUUAAAUGAUUAAAAAACAAAUAUAUAACCUAUAAGACAAGUAUAAAAACUAAUUUAAUUAAUUAAUUAAUUAUAAAAAGUAUAAAUAAUAAAGAAAUGUAAAAAAUAAUAAUAAAAUUUGAUAACGAAUUUUUAUUUAUUAUAUAUAUAUAUAUAUUAUUAAUAUGAUGAUUUUUCAUUUUUAUUUUUUGAGUUAGGUUUCUUUUUCGAUAUAUAGUUUUUUUUUUUUUUUUAUGUAUAUAUAUAUAUAUAUAUAUAUAUAUAUAUAUAUAUAUAUAUUAUUAAUAUGAUGAUUAUUAAAAAAUGUUAUUUCAAUUUAAAACCCCAAAACCCUAACUCACCCCUCUUCUUUCUUUCCAUCAUCUAGUGGAAAUUUCCUAAAUCCCCAAAUCAUCAUUUCAUUUUUCAUAUACAUGUUUUUUUUCCACAUAAAUUAUUUAUUUAUUUUUAACAUAUACAUAUUCUUUUUUUUUUUUAACACGUAACAUUUUUUCUUACUGUUUUUUUUUGUUCACACACAUGUUUUUUCUUUCUUUGUUUCUGACAUAAUAAUUUUUUGUUUAUCUUAUUUUAUUUAUAGCUUUAUAAACAAAUAAUUGAAUUGGCAAUAUUUUAAUGUUUUAUAAUUUUAAUUUUUAAUUUUUAAUUUAUCUUAUUUUUAUUUUGAAUCUUACAACUAAAAAUAUUUAACUCAAUAAUAUUUUUUAUUUUUUGUACCCCAAAAUUAUAAAUGUGUACAAUAAUUUUUUUCACUAUGGAUAUUGCACAUAAUAUUGUACCAAUAAAAGUGAAAACUUAGAAAUGAAAACGUUAUCCUAAGAACUUCACAUGGUUCAUAAUUUUUUAUAUUAAUUUUUGAGAACUUACUCAUUAUGAUUAAGGUCACUUGAUAUUGCAUAAAGGGGCUCGUGAUCCCCUUUUGUCUCUACGUAUCCAAAGUUUAUGAGGUUUUUCAUUUUCAGUUGAUAUUGCAUAAAAGAGUUCUUUUUGGUCUAGGCUAAUUAAAAAAUUGAAGCGUAAUAAAGUUAAUUAAUUAAUUAAGAGUCAAAUGAGUUUGAUUAAGGGAUCAAAACCCAAGAUGGACUUAAGUUACUUAAGCCCAUAAGGAAAAUCAUAUAAACCCUCUUAAGGGUGUAAGACUUCACUUUUGCAUCCUUAUCUUCUACACUCCAUAAAAGAAAACCCUAACCUCCCUCUAGAAAAGCUUAUCUUUCUCUUAUGCUAGAGAUCUAAGAAAAGAGAGAUUUAGCGGAAGAUCUUUAGGUAUAUGAGAUCUACGACAUCUAUGGUUUACUUUAUCAAAUUAGACUUGAUCUAGGAACAUCCAGAUUGCAAGUAUAUCACUCAAAAUCUCUAGAUAUUUGUUUAUUAUGGUUUUUAUUGUCAUUUUUUUUUUGUCUUAAAUCUAGAAAAUCCAGGAUAGCUUGCAUGCACCCUAUGAGAUCCAUAGGGAACAAAGUAAUCCCGAUUUCCCUACAAAGAUGACUCCAAAACAAUUGUGUAAUAAGGAGCCCCAAAGUUCAAUGCUCUUGACCAUUCUAUGGUACAUAUGAUCAUAAAGAGAGAUUUUUCUUCUCCCAAGUUCAAUUACCCGCUUAAAUUGCCUAAACACACAAAUUUUGACAAUACUUUAAAAUUCCAAGGCAUAUAUUUCUAAUCUAAAUAAUAAGAAAAAAAACGGAGCAACUAAUAGUUCUGAGAAACAAUUAGCAUUUGCUAAACUAGAAAAUGGGUAUUUUAAUGAAGUUGCCAAAUUAAUAGAAGCAUAAAAUCUAAAAUUAAAAUGAUGUUUCAUGCACUUGAUGUAUUUCUAAGUUAGCGCUUAAUUAUGACAGAUCUUAAGGACACGUUUCAUAGGCUAGAUAUAACAUGAUAGGAUAAAAAAUGGAUGAUGCAUUUUAUCUCAUGUUUGAUUGACAAUGAGAUGAGAUAAGUUAUCCAAUCACUUAUUAUAUCCCAUUUUGACCAAACAUCAAGUAGAAUAAGUAUGGCAGGAUAUAUAAUCCCACCUCUUUUUAUAUUCCUUAUGUAUGAAAUAUAUCAUAAAAUGAUAUUAAAAUGUAUAUUAUUUAAUAUAUACAUGUUGUUUUGUAUAUUUAACAACAUAAUAUAAUAUUUUUUAUUUAUAAAAUUUAAAUAUAGUAAUCAUGAACAUUAUUAACAAAGAAAUAAAAAUUUACUUGUUAAAUUAUAAAUUGUAGAAUGUUUUCAAGUUUAUAUUAAAUAUAUAAGAUAUUUUACACUUUUCUUAAUAGUAGAUAUUGUGACACAAUAUAAUUUUUAUUUUAAACAAAUAUUAAAUAUUGAAAUAUAAUAUAUUUUAUAUUUUAUUCUUUUUACAAACCAAAUAUAAGUAGAGGAAAUGAUGUCUUAAGAUAUACAUAUCUUUAUCCUAUCAUCUCCAAUCGAGUAAACAUAUCCUAAAAAUAUGUUUGAUUAGUUGGAUAUAGUAUGUGAUAAGAUAAGAGAUGAAAUAACUUGUCAUAUUUCAAGUUUUGUUAAUGAUGAGAUAGGAUGAUAAAAAUUUAUUUCUAACAAUUGGUUGAUGCAAAAAUCAUUUAUUUGAAGGUUAUAGAGUUCAUUUAUAAUUCUUUCAAUUCUUAAACAUUAAUCUUAUCAACCAUUAAGAGCUUUAAACACCGCCUUGUGUCCAUUUAUUUUCACAAUUUGUUGAAUUGCAUGAUGAGCCUACCCACUUUCUUCUUUGUAAUUUAUUCCAAGUUAACUCUCGUUACCUUAUAUCAAUUCUAUUUUGUAUCUUUACGAGAGAAGAGUGGGAAAUGUGUAGGAGAACAUUUAAAAAGUUGUAAAGGUCCACUGAAACCUUUAAAUCCAAGUGUAUACGAAUUUGAAUGACUUUGGUUGAGGAACCUCUUAGCAUACUAGAAAAGUCUCCAUGCUUAAGAAAAACCUAGAAACGAAUUUAAGAGGUUGUCAAACUUUGCACCUUGGUAUACUAGAAAAGUCUCCAAGCCUAAGAAGAACUUAGAAGAAGCGAAUUUAAGCGGUUGCCAAACUUUGCAUAACUUCUACUAUUGUGUGAAAAUUGAUCAACACCUAAUUCACUCUAUCCCCCUUCCACUCACCUUAUGACAAACAUAUCAAAUUCAUUACUAAUGAAAGAGUACUUUAUAAAUAGAUCCAUAUUCUUUAUUGGAAAAGAUUAUAGGUUUUGGAAAAUAAGAAUGACUUGGUUUUUAAAACAAGUGAAGUAUGAUUUGUAGAAAGUCAUUUAAAAUAGCUCUCAUGUCCCAACUAAAUUAAAAAAAAUAGAGUUAUUAUUCCAAAACCAUGUCAUGAGAGAGAUAAAUGUGAUAAAAAAAAACUCAAUUAUAUGUUACAAUCAUCUACCAUCUCUAUUACAUCAUUGGUAGAAACGAAAAUAAUAGAGUAUAUCAAUAUAAUUGACUAAAAACAAUAUGAAGAUUAUUCGAACUUAUGAUGAUUAUAUCUCGUGUCACAACUUAGAUUAUUCGAACAUAUAUUAUAAAGUGUGUCAAUAUAUAUUUCAUAUCUCAAUUUAGAAUUAUUAUAUUUGGAAUAUAAAAAAAGAUUGGAUAAAUUUAUCUCCAUCCCAUAUUAUAUAUGAAUUUAUUGAAGUUUAUCAUAAUUCUACUUUGGUAAUCUAUACCAGGUGUCUUAUAGAGGGAAAAUAAGAAGGGAAUAAGAAGAAAAAUAAGGAAGGAAUAAGAAAAAGUUGGUAUACUAGUGAGGAAGGAAAUGCAAAGGAAAUAUAAAAAGAUAAAAAGAUUGAAAAAAUAUGGUAGGUAAUUAAAAUAGCAUAUUCAUGGAAAAUAAAAUAAAGUUGAAUAAUUUUUAUUUUUAUUUUUAUUUUUAAUUUAAGUCUUUAAUGGUUUGUUUGAAAAACAUUUUUACUUAUUUUAUCUCAAUUAAAUAACAUUAAUAAAGUAUUUUAAUUAAAAAUAAAUAAAUUAUUUUUAUUUAUUACUUAAAGUUAUUUUUUACUUUAAAUCAUACUAUUAAAUUAUUUUAUCAAAUAUAUUUGAUUUACAUGAUAAUUUAAAUUAAAUUAUUAAAUUAUUAAAUACUACUUUACUGGCGAAAUUGUACCAUAAAGUCACAUGUAAUGGUACUAUAAGAGUAAAUCUAGAAUAAUGGGUCAAAAUAGCCUUCCGCUGAAACAUAAUGUUCAGAAUGGCCUACUUUUCAAACAAUUGUUCAAAAUAGCCCUUUUGAGUCCACGUCAGCAUACAAAGUAAUUUUUUAUUCUUUUUAUUUUUUACUUUCCUAAACUUCAGCUGCAUUUUUUCUUUCCCAAUCCCAAACUUCCAUCCGAGCUGCUCUCUUCUCCCGUGCUCUACAUGUGGUUUUUUCGUUAAAAACCCUAGCCCCACCAAUGGGCCACUGAAGGAGACGUUGGAGCUACAACUUCCAUCCGAUCUGCUCUCUAUUCCCAGUCCGUGCUCAUUUUUCCUUAAAAAUCCUAGCCCCACCAGUGGGCCACUGAGGGAGACGUUGGAGGUUGAGGUUAGUGUUAAUUUUUUUUCAGAUCUAAGCUUUUUUUUAUCAUGUGUUGUUAGUAUUUUUAUUUUUCCCAUUGGAUGCUGAGAAAAGUGGGAAACGAGAAUGAAAAUAGGAAGAAAAAUAUUCUUGAUUUUUCCCGUUUCUCAGUUUUGAUUUAGGGUUCUUGAAAUUUAAAUCCAAUGGCACAACAGCAAAGAUACCCCUAAAACGGAUCCAGAAAACACAGAGAGCAAAAGAAAAGCAAUUUUUUUGGUUUUCCUUGGGGGUUUUGCAUGGAUUUUCUCGGAAAUCAAACAAGGAUGAAUUUUCCCAGAAAUCGAAUGGGGCCUGGAUUUUAUUGGGAAUCAAAGGGGGGUUGCAAAAAAAAUAAUAAUAACAUGAUUAGAUUAGUACCUGCGAGGAUUGAGAGUGGCAGAGUGAGAGAAGGGCUUUUUUAGGGAUUCUCCCGGCUGGAGGGCAACUUCAGAAAAGGGGUUCUUCAUGCCCGAGUGAGAGAAGUGGGUAGCCUUUUGAUUUUUAGAUUUAAUAGAGUUAAAAAAAAAAAAAAAAAACAAAUCAUGAGAACAAUUUUAUCUCAUCUUAAUAGAAUAUAUUAUAAUUUUUAAUAAAAUUAAAGAUUAAAUAAAAAAGAUAUUAAUAAAAAUAAUUUUAUCAUAUUAUUAUUAUGAAAUUUUCCUGUGGAAUUAUUAUUAUGAGUUUGCUUUGGUAUUGGUACAUCAGCUUAUCACUUUUCCUAUGGAAUUAACUGAAUUUACUAAAUUUAUAUUAAUAUUACUAAAUUUUCCUAUUGAUAUUAAGUAAAUUACUAAAUUUAUAAAAUAUUUAUAUAUUUGAAUAUUUAAAUGAAUAAAUGAAUAUAAGAAUUAAAGUUUGAAGGUGUAGUAGAGUCAUUUUUAUAAAUAUAUCAUAUUUAAAUACUUCACUUUUAAAUAAAUUUUAUAAAAUAUAGUGUUAUUUAUUUUUAUUUUCAUAUUUUCAAUUGCUAAUUUACUUAAUAUCUUGUUUUUGUUAAAAAAAUAUUAUUUAAUUUCAUAACAAGUCAACAUAAUACCACAGUUAUGCGUGAUGUUCAUUAAUCAAUUAUCAAAUUUCAAUUAGAAAAAUUUCUCUUUAUUUAUCAAAAAAAAAAAAGUCAAUUAGAUAAUUGCUGGCUUUUGAAUAAGACAAGGGGACCCAUCCUAGUAAUUGUUAAUUAUUCAAAUCAAAAGGGUAGUUGGUUGGUUUGAAAUUUGAAACUUUGGAAUUGGAAUAGUUGUUUUAUUGUUUGUUUUUUAUAUUGAUCGGAAAAGUCAAAGUAAAUACUUAAUAAUGGAUGAUAAUAAUAUAACUAUUGAAACCUUGGAAUAUCUUGAUUCACUUGAGGUAAGUUAAGUUGCUAACUAGUCAUGGUUUCACUUUUCAUUUAUUUUUCAUCCUGCUUAGAACUCUUUGACAGUGUUAAGUUCAUCAAGAAACUUAUUGUAUCAUCAUGAUCAUUAUGAGUCAUUCAAAAGAUGAAAAUACGUACUUUCAUUAACAUUAAAUUUCAUUAGUGCAGAUUGACACAUCUACUCAGCUAGAUUUACCGCUAGUCAUUCCGAGGGGUAGGCGGGGCUUACGUCGACCUAGAUUGCUACCUCCUCCACCACCUCUAUUUCCAGCUCUAACCCCAUCACAGACAGAUGUUCUUCAUGUGUCACAUGCAGUACCUGCUAUAGUUAGAGAGGGGCGUCCAAAAAGGAAGAGAGUACUAGUUACACAUAGGUUCUCUCCUUGUGGAGGCAUGUGAGAUUAUAUAUGUUUUUUAUUUUCCACUAUAUUAAUGUUUAGUGGAUAUUUUUUGUGACUUUAAUUAAACUAUUAAAAAUUACAUUUUCUAGUAGACUUUUUGUAAUUAAUUUCAUUAACUAAUUUUGUAAAAAAAUCUAUAUAUGACAACUACGGCUUAAGAGUAUGUUAUUAUUUUGUUAAAGAUAAAUUUGUCAUAAUAUAAAUAAAUUAAUAUCUUAAAAAUUAACAAAUUAAAUAUCUUAAAUUAAUAAAUUAUAUAAUUUUAUAUAUUAUUUAUAUGUUAUAUAAAUUUAUUAUUUUAAGAUUAUUAAUUUAUUAAUAAAUCAAAUAUUCAUUUAUAAUAUCUUCUAUUUAUCAAUUUAUGUUUGUUGAAAUAAUACUAGAUUUUUAAGUUUAAAUAUAAAUAAUUUUUUAUUUAAGUAUAUUUUUAAAAUUUCAAUCAUAAAUUGUCAUUUAAUAGUUUUUAAUUAAAUUUGAAAGUAAAAAAAAUAUUAUAAUUGAAAUCUCAGUUAUUAACUAUUAUACUAUUAUUUCGAUAAAGAUAAAUUUAUCAUAAUAUAAAUAAAUUAAUAUCUUAAAAAUUAACAAAUUAAAUAUCUUAAAUUAAUAAAUUAUACAAUUUUAUAUAUUAUUUAUAUGUUAUAUAAAUUUAUUAUUUUAAGAUUAUUAAUUUAUUAAUAAAUAAAACAUUCAUUUAUAAUAUCUUCUAUUUAUUAAUUUAUGUUUGUUGAAGUAAUACUAGAUUUUUAAGUUUAAAUAUAAAUAAUUUUUUAUUUAAGUAUAUUUUUAAAAUUUCAAUCAUAAAUUGUCAUUUAAUAGUUUUUAAUUAAAUUUGAAAGUAAAAAAAAUAUUAUAAUUGAAAUCUCAUUAUUAACUACUAUACUAUUAUUUCGAUAAAGAUAAAUUUAUCAUAAUAUAAAUAAAUUAAUAUCUUAAAAAUUAACAAAUUAAAUAUCUUAAAUUAAUAAAUUAUACAAUUUUAUAUAUUAUUUAUAUGUUAUAUAAAUUUAUUAUUUUAAGAUUAUUAAUUUAUUAAUAAAUAAAACAUUCAUUUAUAAUAUCUUCUAUUUAUCAAUUUAUGUUUGUUGAAGUAAUACUAGAAUUUUAAAUUUAAAUAUAAAUAAUUUAUUAUUUAAGUAUAUUUUUAAAUUUCAUUAAUAAAUUGUAAUUUAAUAAUUUUUUAAUUAAAUUUUAAAUUUAAAUAAAAAUGAACUAAAGCCGCAGUUGCCAACUGCGGCUUUAGUUAAAAAAUGAAGCCGUGUUUGGCAAAUGCGGCUUUAGUAUAAAAAUGAAGCCGCGUUUGCCAACUGCGGCUUUAGUGCAAAAAUGAAACCGAAUUUCCCAACUACGAUUUUAAUACAAAAAUGAAGCCGCGUUUCCCAACUGCAGCUUUAAUGCAAAAAUGAAGUCGCGUUUUCCAACUGCGGCUUUCAUUAUAAUGACGAAAAAAAAUAUUUUUUAAUGAUGUGGCGCCUACGUAGCAUCAAAGAGGUCAUUUUGAACAAUAGUUUCAAAAUGUGUCCGUUUUCAACAUUAAGUUUAAAAAAUGGGUCAUUUUGACCCAAAACUCGUAAAUCUAAAUAAAUGAGACGUGUCACAUGUAUGAUAUUGUGUUAUCUCAGUUUCAAAAGAAAUGAAAAUUAUUUAUCCCACAACUUCAAAACUAAAAAUAUUAUAUAGAUUUGUUAAUUCCUUACAAAAUACAAGUACAGCCAACAUGCAAGCAAUCAGCAGAUGAUAAAGAAAAUUUAAGGCAUCGAGAGAAAGUCUGUUCUCACGAACAAUGUGAAAAGUCCCACUCUUUCUCACGAACUAGCAUAUAUAGUCAAAUACUUCUGGAUCUUUCUCACGAACUAGCAAUACGUCUGGACCCACCCUCUUUCCAUAUCUCCAGCUACACCUGAAAAAGACUUGAAAAGAGCUCCUUAUAUAUAUAUAUUUAGACGUUUAAAAGAUCAAUGGCCAUCAGAAAAGAAACAAUCAAAAAAAUUUUCAUGAUUCAAUUAAUUUUCUUCUUUUUAUUUUUGUAUCAUGAAGUGUACAAACUUCACAUGGUUACAGCACACAUUAAGAGCCAAAGUAAUACACAGAAACGCAUAGAACUUGUCCAUGUUAUUCGUUGAACACAAACUCCAUCAAAAGAUGAAAAAUAGAAUACAGUUACUAAAGCUCAAAUGACCUGCAAAUCAGUUUAUUCAGAUGAAAACCACGACAAUAAACUACGUAUACUUGGAGCUGAUGGCUUGUAAAAAUGUCACUUGUGCAUGGUAGCCUUGACAGCCGGAGCGGUGGCAUGUGCUCUUGCAGGAGAUGCAGGUGGAUGUUUGCAAGGAGGGCCUUCAACGGGGGUUUUCCCACAUGGAUUUUGGCCAGAAGGAGGGACAGGACCACUUUGCUGAACCCUAGCAGCAUUGUGUGGCUGGACACUCAGAAGAAAAACAAGGGCUAUGACAGUAAAAACAACGUUGAGAAACCUCAUGAUAGUCUUGGUGAUGAGGCAAACAGGACAGGAGAUGAACUAAAAAUAAAUUGGAUAUGUAGAUUAUAUGCGUAUGAAGAGGAGAUGGUGUUAGUUGUUAUUUAUAAGCAUGCAUAUCCAAUGUGAUCACUUGAAUUUUUAAUUGUUUUGAUUUGUUUGAAGGGUUUGGAUUCUUGACUAAUAGUUUUUGGCACGAGAUGACUGGAAAUUGAUUGGUCUAAAAGAGAAACUGCCCUUGAAUACCUGAAUGCAUGGCAAAGUUUAAUUUCUNNNNNNNNNNNNNNNNNNNNNNNNNNNNNNNNNNNNNNNNNNNNNNNNNNNNNNNNNNNNNNNNNNNNNNNNNNNNNNNNNNNNNNNNNNNNNNNNNNNNUAGGAAUUUGGGACACUUCCUAACACUCCUAAUAAGAAUUGAUCAAUUCUAUGGACAUGAUUCCACUCAGAUGCACCAGCUUUAAUUUCCAUCAUCAAGACCUAAGCCACAAUGCUUGCCCUUUCAAAAUGGGCCAUCAUCUGGGUGUGUAUCUGCAUAUACAUUCCAUUUUCACACCACCACAAAGCUUGUUUAUGAUUUUGUUUUCUUUUGUUCAAAUCUCUUGAGAAAAUGCAAGAAAAAUGUGUAUAAAACUUUUCUCCCUUUUUCCCCAAAGUCACACGAUACAAGAGAUAAUUAGAUUGGUUGGAUGAUGGGUUUUGAUCAAUAUAUGUAUAUACAUUGACCAAGGGUGAAACUCAUAACACAUCAAACUAGGUCUACUAACAUGCAUGCUAAAUUAUCAAUAAAGUUCAAAAUAUUAAGUUGUAAUAAAUUUAUGCACCAAUGAUGAAUAUCAAGAUGCAUGAUCUAUACUCAUUAUUUUCAACAUACACAUGAAUUUAAAUUUUUUUAUUUUAUAUUAUUUAAAUAAAUAAAAAAAGCAUUCUAGCUAAAAGCUAAUCAUACAACACAAACAAUGCAAUAAGUGAGCAUUAAUUUGGCUCACGUUGUUGUGUUAUACACACACAAAUACCCAUGUUACAAGAUGAUAAGUUUGGCAUUCCUAUUCAAAUAUUCCAAGUUUGAUAUAGGAAACACCAGGUAGAUUUUGUUUGACUUGGAUCAACAAUACGCAUGGUUUACAAAAAUUUCCUAUGCUCCUUGGAUUUUCUACUCAUUUCUUGACUUUUCUUUGAGGACAAAUCAUAGUAACUAGCUUUUUUAAUCUAAACCUCUAAAAAUGAGUAUGAUUCAUAUAGAUUAGCAUGUCUAUUCGACUUGCAUCGGCAAAUAUUUGGUUUAUGAACAUUUGGAGAUGUUAAAAUGUGUAGUAUCUGUUGUGCCAGUGGAAGCUUUAUGCAAAUAAUGUUAGUUCAAGAACAUAAAAAUAAAAGAAUCCUCAGAAGGUUACAUGAGAUUUUAACAGAAUUUGAAUAAUCAUGCAUUGAUCCUUAGCCCCUUGACAUUAAAACUAUCACAUCCUUACAAGGUCAAAAGAUUUGGGUUAGUAUGGGCCUCUCAACAGCCCAAUUGCUUUGAUUUCUUCUUCCCAUAUAUCCAUAAAAUAUAGAAUGAAAACAUAGAAAAAAUAUAUAUGCAAAGACAACAAAAUCUGUUCAACCCAAAAGAAAAAAGAAAAAAAGAAGACCUGCAUGCUUUAAAAUUUGAUUCACAAAUUUGAAAAGUUCAAUUACAGGGCAAAUCUGUUCUAUGAUAAUAUAUUCUACUUUCUAAUAAAAGUAAAUCACUAAUUAAUAGACUGUUGAGUUUCAGCCAUGCAAAAGAUCAUGAAGCAAAAAUUUGUUCAUGAUUCAACUUUCUUCUUUUUAUUUAUAUAUCAUGAAGUGUACAAACUUCACAUUGUUACAACACACAUCAAGAGCGAAAUUAAUACACAGAAUGCAUAGAACUUGUCUACGUUAUUCGUUUAAUAUAAACGUCAUCAAAAGAUGAAAACAGAAUACAGAUACUAAAUCUAAAAUGACCUGCAAAUCAGUUUAUUCAGAUGACAAACACGACAAUGAACUAUGUAUACUUGGAUCUAAUGGCCUGCAAAAAUGUCACUUGUGCAUGGUAACCUUGACAGCCGGAGCGGUGGCAUGUGCUCUUGCAGGAGUUGCAGGCGGGUGUUUGCAAGGAGGGCCUCCAACGGGGGCUUUCUCACAUGGAUUUGGGUUAGAAGGAGUGACCGGUCCCAUCUGCUGAGGACUUUCUGAAAGACCACGUCUUUUCUCUAUCAAGUACUCACGGUUCACUCCUUCAAGAACCCUAGUAUCAUUGUGUGGUUGAACACUCAGAAGAAAUGCAAGUGCUAUGACACUAAAAACAACGUUGAGAAACCUCAUGAUAGUCUUGGUGGUGAGGCAAACAGGCUAGGAGAUGUAAUCGAUUUGAUAUGUGGAUGAUAUGCAUAUGUAGAGGAGAUGGUGUUAUUCAUUAUUUAUAUGCAUGCAUAUCCAAUGGUAUCACUUGGACUUUUCAUUAUUUGAUUUGUUUGAAGGGUUCGAUUCUUGACUAUAAGGUUUUGCCACGAGGGGACCAGAAAUUGAAUGGUCAUAAAGGAGAAACUGUCUUUGAAUUACCUGAAUGGCAAAGUUUAAUUUAUCAUUUCAUUUUACAUUCACACCAAGGAUUUUUCUGGUGGAGAAAACAUAGAAUUUAUUAGUAUCAAUCACUUUUAUUCAUUUAGUUAUUUAUUAUUAUUAUUAUUUAUUUAUUUAUUUAUUAUCUUGCUAUAACUAUUAUUAUUUUAUCAUUCUCUAAUUUUUUUUAUUCAUUUAUUUGAUUUAAUAAUUUGAUAUAUUUUUUUAGGGAAAUCAAUGGAUAAGAAGAGUUGAUUCUUGUAAGACUUUGAGAAGGAAGGAAACUCUUUUGGACGUUAUUGAAGAUCACCGGAAAGUUAAAAUAGGGGUGAAGAAGUUUUUGAACAAGGUGGGACUCCUUGGGUGAUAUGCAUGGAUUGGUUUUUAAAAUUUAAAAAGGAUUUUUCUGGUGGAGAAAACAUAGAAUUUGGACAAAGGAGUCCUCGCAUGGGACAGUUGCCAAAGGCCAAUGAAAAUAGGGCUGGUGUUUUUGGAUAAGGGUGGGAGCCAAGAAGAACUCCCAGCCGACUUGGGGAAGAUCGAACCACCAUUGGAAAGAGGAUCUGCCACUUAAAAAUCUAGAGGACGCAAUUAAAAAGGGGAGGAAUAAGGAGGAAUAAGGAGGAGAGGCUGCCACUAAAACUCUACAGCACGCAUUCACCAUUGGAGGGGCCAGAGUCCAUGCAUUUUAAGAGCUUCCACCACGCACCAUUGGGGGAUCUUUCCUCCAAAGCACAAGCAGCAGAUUUUUGAGAGAUCAAGUGCACCGUUCAGCCAUAAAGAAUACCAUCCAGAUUUUUAUUUUUAUUUAAAAAAAAAAAAAAAGAGAGAGAGAAAAGACCGGCUGGUGGUUUUUUUGGGAGAAGGGAGAACACGCACAGUCCUUCAAGAAACCUAGCAGCAUUGUGUGGUUGGACACUCAGAAGAAAAGCAAGUGCCACGACAGUAAAAACAAUGUUGAGAAACCUCAUGAUAAUCUUGGUGGUGAGGCAAAUAGGCUAGGAGAUGAAAUCAAUACGAUAUGUGAAUCGAUGAUAUGCAUAUGUAGAGGACAUCGUGUUAUUUGUAAUUUAUAUGCAUGCAUUUCCAGCAGUAUCACUUGGAUUUUUCUUUGUUUGAUUUGUUUGAAGGGUUUGGAUUCUUGACUAUUAGGUUUUGCCACAAGAUGACUGGAAAUUGAAUGGUCAUAAAGGAGAAACUGCCCUUGAAUUACCUGAAUGGCAAAGUUUAAUUUCUCAUUUCAUUUUACAUUCACACCAAGGGACGGCAGUUGUUCAAUGGAGGCUUGCGUUUUGAGAUUGCUGUACUGCAGUGGCCCAUCAGGGGAUCAUGGUCUGUACACUAGUGUGUUUUUGCUUAUACUAUAAUUUCUUCCUACGUUGAACGAAUAAUAAAGUUUUGAUAGAGACGUGUUUACUUGAAUUGAGGCUUGAAAUUUUGGGGUUUGGUCAGAGAGUUCUAGAUGUUAAGCUGCUUUUUCUGGUAACAUAUACUCCUAAUUAAGAAUUGAUCAACUUUUUGAAGAUGAUUCCACUCACAUGUACCAACCUUCCCAUUAUCAAGACCUAAGACACGAUGUCCUUAAUUUAAAAAUGGGGCAUCAUCUGGGGAUGUAUACGCAUGUACAUACCACCACUUCCAGACCACCACAAAGCUUGUUUAUGAUCUUGUUUUCUUCUGUUCAAAUCUCUUGAGAAAAUGUUAAAAAAAAUGCAUAUAAUGCUUUUCUUCUGUUUAUCCUGCUAUCCUCCUUGAGCCUGUAAUUAAUUUUCAAAUUGAGUGUUUAGGUUUUGGAAAAUCUUAUGACUAAGAGCAUAACAUUGAGUGACAGUGAAAAAUUUUCUAUUAAAAGAGUUCAUUCAAUUUUGUACUCAUCUCUUUUUCUGAUUCUAUAUUUGUUGGAGUAAAAUCCAAUAUUGUUCUUAAUUAGGCAUCAAGAAGUUAAGAUUGUUCUAAAAAGGUGGUUUCAAAGAGUUUCCAUGUGAAAGUAUGUAGCCGAAGAUUGGGAAGUGUGAAUUGGGAAUGAUAAAAUUAAUUUGCUGAGUCAUCUCCAUACUUAAAAUACACCUAUUGUUCACCCUCAAGGUCAUGGUUGAAAGUAUCAUACGCAAGUACAUGGCUGCUACAACUCUAAGAUAUAUGAGUCAGUGGUGUACAUGCAUUUCAAUAAUAACUAGGUUCCGACUAGAAAAUAAUUGGCCUUACAUAACCAAAUCAUAAGAUAAGUUGGAAUUAGGUCUCCACAACUCGAAGCUAUAAAAAUGGAAGGAAAAAAAACAAAAUAAUCUCUACAUUUUUCAGAGAUUUCCUUAUCAAUCAAGGAAAAAUGUCUCCAUAAUUAGUAACUAGUAAGGACGUUAAAUUGAUUUUUUUUUAAAUUAAUAAUUCACUUGUUAUCCCAAUUAUAAAAAAUUGGUAUUACCCAUAAAAAUAGGUGGGCAUGGUAAUAUUUUAAGAUUUUUUCAAUUUUUAAAAUUAUUAUAAAUUAAUUGAAAAUAACUUCAAAUGUUAUAGAUUUUAUUUUAUUUUUAUUAUUAUGUUGAACUCAUCUAAUUAUAAUUAUUAAAUUUUUCCUCAUUUUUUCAGAUUUUUUUUAACUUUUUUAUUCUCAACUAUUAUAUUGUCUACAUAUUUUUUAAUUAAGAUAAUGUGCAUGCCACGCUAAAUGCUUAAUGAAGCACGCAUCAAAGUCUCAAAAGGCCAAAAUUGAUAAAUCGAACUAACAAGUGUUGAGCAUUCAACAAACCAAAGAGAUCCCAAGAGCUACUAAAAUCAAUGACAGCUCAUCAAAGCAAAAUAUUAAGUAUAAUUCAUCAUCUUCUGAGCAAAAGAUAAUUAUUGUAAAGAAAAUGCUAAGGUAUUGCAUUAAUACCUAUCGAAGUUCACAUUUGGACCAUUGAAUAUGUAUGAUGAAAUUUAAGCUGCUAAAUCAGGGAACAAGUAAAUGAGACUUAACUAUAAGGGUGCAAACAAAUAAGACUAUUACAAAAAAUGAGACUUAUAUAUGUAUAUAUGACUAUGCCUAAUUCAUGGUGCCUUUUUGAUAUCUAACAAAAAAGUAUCAUUUUGUACUGUCGAUGAUCCUUACUAUAAAAGUUUAUUUGACUAUCAUAAGAGUGUUUAGUACCUCAUCCAAAAAUUCUUGGUAGUCCAUUGAAUGAUGGUACAAGUAAAUGAGACCAAAGGAUAAAGAUACAAACAAAUGAAACUAUGUUACAAAUAAUGAGACUUAUGUAUACAUGACACCACCUGAUUAGUGAUACUUUUUCUAUACUUACCGAAUGAAGUAUCAUUCCAUAUUCUCAAUGACCUUUACUAUAAAAGUGGGUUUGACCAUCAUAUCAGAGUAUUCAAUACCUCAUCCACAAAACCUUUGUAGCCUAUAUAGUGAGAGUAUGUAUUUACACCUUGAACUACGAGCCCUCUCGAUCCACUGAGUGUCUCCCAUUCUUUCUCUCAUCCCUAUCCAUCAUGUAUAAUCUUUACAGGCCCAUCUCCAUCUAUAACUUUUUCCCCUUAUAACCUAGAAUAUUUAUAGAGAUAUUCUUUUCCUUAUUCUAUUAGGAAAUCCAAUAUUACAAUAAAAAAUUAAUUUAGGAAAUAUUCUAUACAAUGUUCUAUACAAAAAGGAAUCUAUACAAAUUAAAAAUUUGAAACAUUUUUUAACAAUCUCCGUCUUGGCUCAAAUUCCAUUAAAUCAAUCUUCCAUCUUUCCAUGACACUUUUUGUAUCACAUUUGAUGAAAUAACAAUCGACUUUACCUUCAAUUAAAAUUCUUUGUCAUACUCGUGUGUUUUGUUAUCUUUUACUCUUCUAGAAAUCGUCAUUGUGAGCUCUAGCUAAUACCAGUUGGUCGUGUCAGCGGAAGCUCUAAUGCAAACAAUGUUAGUUGAAAAACACAAAGAUACACAGGGUUUUAAUGUGGUUCGACCAACCACACCCAAUUCAUAGAUGAGAGAAAAGUAUUACACUACAUUAUAGAGAAUAUUACAGAAAAUGUAAACAGAUACACUAUUGGUUUCACGAAAUAUCUCAUGUUUCCCCGCUUCUUAUAUAAAACCUUGAACCAUAGGCUCCUCGCUCCUCUGAAUGCUUUUCAUUGUUCCUCACAUCUCUAUCCACCUCAUAUAGUCUUUACGAGUCCAUCUCCAUUUCAUAACCUUUUCUUCUCAUGACCUAUAAUAUAUAUAGAGAUAUUCUUAAUAACUUUUCUUAUUCUAUAAGGAAAUCUAAUAUUAUAAUAAGAAGUCAAUUUUAAAAAUAUUCUAUAUAAUAAUCUUUACAAAAAGGAAUCUAUAUUAGGAAUUUGGGAUACUUUCCAAAAAAAUAAUUUGAGGACACAAUAAACAAAAAAGAGAACUAGUCUAGUAGUUGUCAUUUGCAUCCCCUUCUAGUGGGAUCUAGUCAUGUUAGCCAUGUAAGAUGGGAUGGAACAAACCACAAAGGUGGACAUAGGUGGGCCCAUACCCAAGGAAAAACAUAGGUUUUCAACUAAAAAGACCAGUAUGAUUCCUAAAAAACUUACUGGUCCGCCAGUUUAGACAAUUCAAUUGACUAUUCACGUGAGUUUGCCCUAAUUCAAUGCCUAGAACAAUCUGCUUUUAAAAAUCAUGCCUUUAAGAUAAAAUUUUGAUAUUCCCAAAAAUCGGAUAACCAAGAGACUUAUAUUUAUUGUAAAUCUGGGUUGGUCUAGGCCUCAUAGUUGUAUCAAAAAACGAGAUGACCCACAACUCUAUUGGGUUGAAUGAAUGAAUUGCUUAUCUUUAAAGCCAAUAGACAAUAAAUUUUUCAUGCAUUUCAUGGUUACAAAUUAUAUAUGUCACAAUUGAUGAUAUUUAUCCUUAAAUUAUAUUGUAUAAAAAUCAUCUUGAUAAUAGAGAUUAUAAACAAUGAGAUAUGAUUUCUAAUUUCUUUAUAAUCUUAAAAUAUGUUUACAACUUAUAAACUUGUAAUGGAUAACAUGCUUAUUAAAAGCUGUCAUGAAUUGUACUCCUAUAUAUGAUAGAGUGAUGGAUCUUAUUCACUAAAGUUGAGGGGCUCUUAAUAAAUUUCAUGGGUGAUUAUAAUGUGAUAAUCACAAAACUGUACCAUUACAAGACAAUUUUUGGAUCUCUUAUUAUUUAUUUGGUUUAAUAUUACAUAAAAUCCUUAGACUUAAGGAUGUUACUAAGUUUUGUACUUGAUUUUGUAUAGCUUUGAUAUUAUCAACUGUUGAUGUCUAAUAAUGGAUUAUAUAUGGAUCUGUUGGGUUUUAUAAAUAAUAUAUAAAAACUAGUGGAUAUUUGAUAAAGGACCCAUUGCUUCUAUAGUAGGAAAGAAUAUUUAAGAUUGUGUCACUUAUAAAAUUUAGAAAGAAUUUUUUUUAGUGUAUAUAUCUAUUUAGUAUGUCAUAUAUUAAGAUUUUCUAAAUUGGUUUCUCUAAAAGGUCCAAUUAUAAGAGGUGACACACUUAUAAGUUUAGGGAAUGACAGGUAUCUUGAUCCGACUUCAAAACUUGUAAGGAAUAUUAGUUAGUGGAAGAAUUAAUGUGUAAGUGGGGAACUUACUAAUCUAUCUCUCUUUUUCUUUUUUUUGGGUGAAAUUGUAAUUGACAAGUUCAUUUGGAAUAAACAUACUAGAGAUGUAGAGAUCCCACGAAGGUCCCAUGCUACAUGUCCUCACCUCGGAUUAUUAACUUAUUGAAAUAUGAAGAGUUCAUAACAUAUGAAUGAGUUUAUUAAUUAUAGACAUUUACUUUAGAAGUUGACAUAUUCUAAUGAAUUGUAAAGUUAGAAAAGGUUGUAAAUAUACAAUGAAUUAAUGCAAUGCCACAAAGAAAGGUAAAGACACUAAUGAAUUGUAAUGUUACAAAAGUUGCAAAGUUACAAUGAAUUGUAAGGUUACAAAAGUUGUAAAGUCACAAUAACUUGCAAGGUUACAAAUAGAAGUUAUAAAGUCACUAGUGAAUUAUCAAGUUAUCAAAUUGUAAAUUUACAAAUAAAUUAUGAUCUUAUAAUAGGUAUAAAGUCAUCAAUAAAAUUUUUAAAGUUACAAAAUUUUGAAAAAUGUCAUGAUUUAUCAUUAUGUCAAUAAAAGGAUGAAAGUGCAUCAUAAUUUCAACACUUUUUUUCAUUUGUUGGAAGAUAGUCUUCCUAUUUUCCCUUUGUCUUUCAAGAGUUCUAAUUUUCUAGCACAAGACUAGAAGGACAUGCAUGUGAGCUUGGAGUUUUGCACUUGUGAAAUCAAAUUGGGUUAAAUAUAUAUAUAUAUAUAUUGUUGGUUAAAAAUAAAGUGUAAGAAGAGUUACACUUUUGAAAAUAAAGUGUAAGAAGGGUUACACUUUUAAUGUGUGAAUUAAACAUAUGAUUUAAUUUUUGAAUGUUACAAAGAUGAAGAGAUUGAGGAAGACAAUGGGUUUUUCUCAUCCUUGUAACCUUUUUUCAACCCUAAGAGUGCUUUAUAUGACUUUUCUUCUUUUUGAAAUCUUAUGCAGAAAAGUGAAAAGGGUUGAUCAAUCCCAAGACUAUUUCCAUUAAGUUCCCUAAAGAUUUCUAGAGGUGGGAGGAAAUAGAGUUUUUGGACAAAGUUCUAAGAACUUGUUUGAGCCUUUCUUGUGUUCUUCUUCUUCUUGUUCUUAUUUUGUAACUUUGAGAGUUUUAUUGUAUCAAAGUGAGUGUUUCUUUUCUCCAUUGUAUCCAAAUUUUUCUAUCCAAAGAUCCAUGUGUAAUUAUUUUUAGGGAUUUAUUUCCUGUUUUCUCUAAAUCUAACCCAAUAACUUAUGCACGAUAGAGAAAAGGUAUUCUUGAAUAUACUCCCUGUCUCUCUCUCCGGUAGAGAGAGUAGUGAAAGUAUUUAACGUCAUCCUUAAAGAGGAAUUAAACAUAUGAAAACUAUUUAAUAUAAGGUUUUAAUUGUUAUAUCUAUUAAAGUUGUUAAUCCAAAUUAUUCGAAGUACGUAUCUCUAUGGACUUGCAUGUUCACAAAUUUUGAAAGGUUUAUACGACAAAUUAUAAGUAUUUAAAAUAAAUGUUGUGAUGUUUGACAAAAUACACUAUUGGGUUUUACAUAUUCAAAUGAUCAAUGAUCACCACAACCAAGGAAAAAUGUGUUCAUAAUUUAAACUUGAUCUUUUUAUUUUUGUAGCAUGAAUUAUUCAGAAUCCACAAGGUCACACGACAUCAAGAGUGAAAAUAAUACACAACAUUCUUGCACAGAAUUAAUUGAUGCAUGUUAUUUAUUUUUUAUUCAUUAUAUAUGUGUACAAAACAUACACAAACAUUACGGAAAGAUGAAAAAAUUACAGAAGCAAACAUGAGCUGCAACUCAGUUUAUUCCCAUGAUUUUAUGACAUAUGACAGUUAUACUUGGUGCAAAUGACUAGUAAGAAUUUCUGAAAUCUGGUGGUGGCCAUGGUGAAGCUUCAUUUGUGCUUAGUAGCCAUGACAACCGGAGAGGUGGCAGGCGGGCUUGGCCGAAGGGGAGGCAGGGCGUGGCUUGCUAAGUUCUUGUUGAUCAUGCAAGGGGGGCCUUUGCCGGGAAUUCGGGUGCAUGGACUUGGGGCAGAAGGAGAAACUGGACCCGCAUGCAGAGACUGCAAGACAAUAUUAAUUCUUUUCUUCUUCCACUCUUUUUUCUCUCCAUUAGGAACCCUACUAGCAUGGUGUGGUUGGACACUCAGAAGAAAAACAACUGAAGUGACAGCUAAAACAAUGGUGAGAGACCUCAUGAUCUUGGUGGGGUUUAAGCUAAGGCACUAGGAGAUAUGGAAUUAAUAUGAUAUCUGGGAUGAUAUGCAUAUGUGGAGGAGAUCAUAUUAAUUGCUAUUUAUAAGCAUGGAUACCCAAUGUUAUAACUUUGAUUUUCCAUUGUUUCAUUUGUUUGAAAGGGUUUUUUUAGCUCUUGAAUACAAGGGUUUUGCCACGGCAUAGACUAGAAAUUGAGAAGGUCAUAAAGAUACUAGGUUUGAAUUACAUACAAUGACAAAAUUUUCAUAGGUCAUUAAUUGUAAGCAUCCGCCAUCCCAAAAAUAAAUUAAUUAAUUAAUUAAAAAAUUUAGCUUCAUGUCUGUGAAUUGUUGCUUCUUCAAAAUACAAUGGAUGAUAUUGAAAUGUUUAAAAGCAUGACUUCAAUAAUUUAGCUUAUUAAUUAACCUGUAACAUCAUACUUUUGCAUGAUGUUGCCCCACCGAAUAAAGUAGCAGCAUGACGGCCACCAAAAUCAUUUCCUAACAAAUAUUUUCCAAAUUAACUUAGAAUUGGUCUCAUGCAAACUGUCGCAUUUAAAAAGUUUCACGGUUUGUAUACCACUUUGUGGGGCUUGAAUGUUGGGAACGGAUUUUUUUAGUGAAUUGGGGCUUGAAUGUUUGUUGGUUUGGUCGUGAUGCUCACAGCCUUUACGUGACAUCCUCCUCAACAAUCAAAUGUUUGAAUAUGACUGAUGACUCUAUUCACAUGCGUCAGCUUUUUUAUGCAGUCACGAUCCAAAUUUCCAAAUUGUGUAUUUGUGUGCAUGCUUGUUAUGAAGUAACCCAAAUUGCCUGUGCAAAGGUAUAUGAAUUCGUACACAUAAUCAGGUGCCACGAAGUUGGAUGAAACGCUUGAGUGGGGUUUCCUAUUCCAUGCAUGCCCCAUGCAUGAAUGCAAAACUAAGAAACAUGAUGAAGAUGGUAAAUCAGCUACCAAAGAUAUGUAUGCCCAUAUGAUUUCCAUCUUAUUCAUUUUUUCUCAUUUAUCUUUGUAGAUAGCGUAAAAACUUAAGAAGGGUACCACAAGUAAAUAGUGAUAAUGAUUAUUUCUUUCUUGUUCUAACAAACACAAACUUUAUCACAAGAAUGAAAAAAUACAGGACCUGCAAAUCAGUUCACUCCAAUGGUCUCACUAGAAUUAAUUAGAAGUAUAUUUUGGUGCUAGAGAAUUGUAAGAAUUUCUGAUUUUGGUGGCUCCCAUGGAGGAGCGAGCUUCAUUCAUCUAUAUAUGUUUACUGUCCAGUAGCCAUGACAACCGCCAGGGGAGGCAUGGCAUGACCUGCAAAUUUAUUCUGUUAUGGCAAGGUGGAGCGCCCUUUUCCGGGAUACAGCUGCAUGAACUGCUUCCAGAAGGAGGCACAGUACCUGAAUUCAGAGACUGUAAAGGGACAAGUCCUAUCUUGAUCCACUCUUCUUUCUCCCCAUCAAGAACCCUACCAGCACUGUGUGGCUGGACGCUCAGAACAAGAACGAAGUGCCGUGACAGCUAAAACAAUGUCCAGAAACCUCAUGAUCUUGGCGGGUUAAGCAAAGAGGAGAUGAUCAAAGAAAUAUUUUUAGCUGGACAAAUUAAUAUGCAUAUAUGAUAAAUGGAAAAGAACCAAUAUCUCAGUUAUUUAUAGGGUUAUUCAAU
Molecule: long non-coding RNA, 235115 nt
Filed under: Vitis vinifera (wine grape)
Lineage: Eukaryota; Viridiplantae; Streptophyta; Magnoliopsida; Vitales; Vitaceae
Description: long non-coding RNA (VVIN_LNC004967)
Rfam family: Bacterial small subunit ribosomal RNA (bases 114311-114567)
Source: RNAcentral